AGCUGAAACCGUGCUGUUCUCGGCGGAGGGCGAGUUCACGUCGGCUGACCUCGCAGACAUGGAAAUUGUUGAGGAAUAAAUAAAAUAGGCACUGAGAAUGCCUGCUUCGCUGUGUGACGUAAACUGCAGUAGCUUACAUAGAGAGUGUGGAUGAAUAAAGAAGUGAUCCGUGCUAUAUCCUGUUAUUCCUCUUUUCGGCCCAAUACUUUGAUUCAUGUUAUCAGUGAAGAUUGUGAUCACAGUUGCCAUCGUUCGGAAGCACGUAGUGUAAUACGUUGUGCUAGAAUCUGGAAGCCUGGAACCGAAGUUCCAUACGGCGCGUGGUUUUACUAUAGAUAGUCAAUAAACAUGACUGUCGAUCGUUGUUUCAUUGCCCAUCGACACCCGUCGAACGUUGCUUUCCGGCUGCUCCAAUUCGGGGUGGAUGGACAGCUUUCGCUGCAGCACGCAACAGCAAAACCAGUUAAUGUAUGUUACCGCCUCUCAAUGAUUGCACUCGAAAUUUAAAUUGCCUAUAAUAUGACGCACACUUCCUUGGAAUGUGUUCCUUAAAUUUGGGAUGAACCCCGGCUAGCGGUUUCCGAAUAAAUUCAUUAUACUAGUAGGUGGUGGUAGAAUGAAAGCCACGCACUUGAAUCCUAUGCCACAAGAGGCUGGCAAACCAUCUCUACUCGGCAAACCAACCUGUGAUUGGAUGGUUAGAGGGACAGUGGUAUCCCCAGCAAUCAGGGUUCAAGUCCUGGUGCUCGUAUUAGGUGUCUAUGGUGACUUUGUAAAUUUUAAGAUGACAUGCCGGCUUAGUCUCUCGGAUGUGCUCAUAGGGAUAGGGUAUGCGUGUGUGCAUUCACGCCUAUGGUGAUUUCAUAAAUUUCAAGAUGACAUGCCGGCUUAGUCUCUCGGAUGUGCUCAUAGGGGUAGGGUGUGCGUGUGUGCAUUCAUAGGGGUGAGUGUAUGUGCGUAUGUAUGAGCGCUUGCGUUGUUAAGGGUGACAUGUCAUCACAUUGUUGUUGCUAAUCCUCGCUUGAUCCAAAUCUUAAUUCAAAUUAAAAUCCAAAAUUCAAGUUUCUCAGACAUGCAAAAUAAAAUGUUCAAAGUAUGGCAAAUAUUUCAUAACUAAUUAUGGUGGUGACCCAACACUUUUUUAAAGUGUUUAAAUCCCCUUUUGUGAAUAUAACAGUGGCUUAAACAAUCAUUUAAAUGCCUUUCCAUUUAUGAAAAAUUUCAAACAAACUCGAAAGCCUCCCAAACUUUUUGUGGCAGUGCUAGUAAAUGCAAGGUAUUUAUCUGGCCAAGUCCCAUUUAAAAAAAAAUACAUUUCCUAGCUAAAAGAAAUGCAAAAAAGAAAAGAAUAAAUGUAAAACUAAAAAGUAAAGGUAGACAAAACAAAAUAAAGAAAGGAGGUCUAACCCCCACUGCUGUCCCUCCAGCCAAACCAGCCCAUCCGGCUACCCUCCCAAUCCCCUGUUCACGCAGUCCCCCGUGGCCACGGCCGAUGCCUGACACGGCACUGGCCGACGUCGUGGCGACCAUCCACCGGUGCCGCCCUGCCAAUAUUACCCGGCGACCCCUCUCCCGUCGCCGAACCCUAACCCGCUUUCCCUUCAUCGCGCCCCCGUUCCCCUUUGUUCGCUCGUCGACGUCUCAGCGCCCCGAUCCCGUCCGUCACCGCCGCCGUCACGUCGCCGCGGCCGCGGCCAACGGCCUCCCCGGGGCUCGACGGGUUGUUCUACGGCCUCCCCGGCGUCGUCCCCGUCCUCUAUGCGCCGCGGCCGACCGGUGGAGCUGUCCUGCGUCGCCUACCCCAUCGUCUUCUACUUCGGGCAGCCGAGAUCGCCGCGGUCACCUCGUUGUCUCCGGUGCUCCCCCGAGCCCGCUAGUCUACCCUUCCGCCCCGCUGUAAGCCUCCGGUCCACCCCGACUCCUCCUUGCUUCCCCUAGUGUGUCGUAGCUAGCUUCCCGCAUGCCCGAGCUCAGGUUUGUUAGACUAUGUAUAGCUUCUGUACAUAUGUACGUAUUGUAACACAUCCAUUAUAUAUAAUGAGACAAGCCACCCCUAGAGGGUUGUGCUAGUUCCCCCAAAACUUAUUGUCUUACAUGGUAUCACACUAGGUUACGAUCGCUUCCGCUUCCAAACCCUAAUACCCGCACCGCCGCCGCAGCCGCCGCCGCCUUCACCGCCGCCAUGUCGAGCGCCGCCACCACCGGUUCCACUGCUGCGGGGUUCCUCCCGGCCUCUCUUGCGGCUCUGCUCAACCUCCCGCUCGAUGCCGUCGCCGUUCCGGCUCCGAUCGGGACCAGGAGCAUCGGCUCCGUCUACUCCACGCCGCCGGCGCCCUCGCUUGGGCGCGACCUCGUGGUCCACACCGCGGCGCCGCCGUCCGCUGCGGACUCCGCGGGCGUCGUCCCGCCGCUCCUGCCGCAAGCGGAUCACACCGCCCCGCUGGCGGGGUUGGCGGCGUCCGCCCCGGCCGCGGGCCUUGCGGCGUCCGACCCGGCCGCGAGCUUUGCGGCGUCCGCCCUGGCUGCGGUCCCGCCUCCUCCCGCAUCGGCUUCGGUGCCUCCGGCUGCCUCCAUGGUGUUUGCACCCCAGGCAGCCCCCUCGAUGGGAUCGUCUUCGCCGCCGCCGUUUCACUUCGGUCAUCUCAUCACCAUCAAGCUCUCCGCCGAUAACUACAUCUUCUGGCGUGCGCAGGUUCUCCCGCUCUUGGGGAGUCACUACCUGCUAGGCUACGUCGACGGAUCGCUUCCCUGCCCACCCGCACUGGUAGACAGCGUGCACGGUCCGGUCUACAAUCCGGCCCAUCGCGUCUGGACGGGGCAGGACCAGGCGAACCUCUCCUCCAUCCAGGGGUCGCUCUCGCCGGCAGUUGCCGGACUUGUUGUCUUCACGAAGACGUCUCAUGAGGCCUGGACCAUCCUUGAGCGAACCUUUGCAGCGCAGUCCCAGGCUCGUGUCUCUGCACUCCGUCGUCAGCUUGGAGAGUGUCAGAAGCUUGACUCCACUGCCACUGAGUUCUACAACAAGGUCAAGGGCCUCGCCGACACAUUGACCUCCAUUGGACAGCCCCUCACCGACUCCGAGUUCAACUCGUUUAUUGUCAAUGGUCUUGAUGAGGAGUAUGAUGCCUUAGUCGAGAUCAUCAACGAGCGGGGCAACUCGACACCCAUGCUGGCACACGAGGUUUUCUCUCGGCUCCUUCUCACUGAGCAACGGGUCGAGACACGCCGCUCUAGGGGCACUGGCUCCCUCUCGGCCAACGCCGCCACCAAGGGUGGCCGCUCUUCUUCAUCACCCCGGUCUCCCUUGGGGCUGCCACCGUCGCCCGCCUCGGCCCCCCCACCUACUGCGAUCUUACCGGGGGCUGGCGGUCCACGUGUGUGCCAGCUUUGUGGCCGCGAUGGGAACUGGGCCUCCAAGUGUCAUAAGCGCUUCCAGCGAAGCUUCCUUGGUCUUGGCAAUGACGGCAAAGAUACACGCAACAAUGCCCGUCAGGUCGCCAUGGCUGAUCGUCCCGCGCCGCAGAAGCAACAGGGACACACUCAGUCCUACUCCAUCGAUCCACACUGGUACAUGGACUCUGGGGCGACAGAGCAUCUGACCAGCGAGAUGGGGAAGCUUCACACUCGUGAACCCUAUCAUGGCUCCGACAAGAUCCACACCACCAAUGGAGCAGGUAUGCACAUCUCUCAUAUUGGUCAAGCAUCUCUUCUCACUAGCCAUGCCAAUAGGAGUCUUCAGCUUCGCAAUGUUCUUCGAGUUCCAUCUGUGACCCGUAAUCUUCUUUCAGUUCCUAAACUCACACAUGAUAAUAAUGUGCUUUGUGAAUUUCACCCUUUUGAUCUUUUUAUUAAGGAUCGGGGCACGAGGGACAUUCUUCUUAGUGGGCGGUUGUGCCAGGGCCUCUACCGUCUGGAGCAUCCUGGCGUCGCCCGUGUUUUCAGUGGAGUUCGGGUCUCUCCGUCACAGUGGCAUGCUCGUCUUGGUCACCCGGCCACACCUAUUGUCCGUCAUAUUUUGCGUCGUCAUGAGCUUCCUAGUUUGUCUAGUAAUAAAGAUGUAGCAGUGUGUGAUGCUUGUCAGCAGGGGAAGAGUCAUGAACUUCCUUUUUCGGAGUCCAGUCGUGAGGUGAAACAUCCUUUAGAGCUUGUGUUUUCAGAUGUAUGGGGUCCUGCUCAGACUUCUGUCAGUGGUCAUAAUUACUAUAUCAGUUUCGUUGAUGCUUAUAGUCGCUUUACCUGGCUUUACCUUAUUAAACGCAAAUCUGAUGUGUUUGAUAUUUUUGUUCAGUUUCAAAAACAUGUUGAACGUCUUCUCAAGCACAAAAUUGUUCAUGUCCAGUCGGACUGGGGGGGCGAGUAUCACAACCUCAACUCCUUCUUUCAGUCGCUUGGGAUAGCUCAUCGUUUAGCAUGUCCACAUACACAUCAGCAGAAUGGUUCAGUCGAACGUAAGCAUCGUCAUAUUGUUGAAGCUGGUCUUACUCUUUUGGCCCAUGCAUCUGUUCCGUUUCGGUUUUGGAGUGAUGCUUUCACCACUGCAUGCUUUCUCAUCAACCGUACUCCCACUCGUGUUUUAAACAUGAAGACUCCCAUUGAGGUUCUCCUUAAUGAACAACCUGAUUAUACCUCUUUCAAGGUAUUUGGGUGUGCUUGCUGGCCGCAUCUUCGUCCAUAUAAUAAGCGCAAGCUUGAGUUUCGUUCUAAGAAGUGUGUUUUUCUUGGCUAUAGCUCUCUUCAUAAAGGUUACAAAUGUCUUCAUGUUCCCACUAAUCGUGUCUAUAUAUCUCGGGACGUCGUGUUUGAUGAGCAUGUUUUUCCCUUUGCCAAACUUCCUGUGUCCACUGUUGAACCACCAUCUCUGCAUUCAUCCUCUGUUGCUUCUGACCAAUUUGAUGAUGUUGCAUACUCUCCUUUGCUGUUACCUAACCAUGGUGCAGGAACCGGACGUGGGGCUCGUUUGGAGCUGUUGGAGGAUUCACCAUCAUCAUCGCCGCCUUCUGAUGGGCACGUCGAUCGCCCUAUGUUGCAUGGCAUCGAUUCGCGUGCCCAUGCAUGGUCACCCGAAGAGCCCGUCGCACCGAGCAUCUCCACUGCUCGGUCCGCUACGCCAGCGACCGCCGCGUCUCCAGCGGCUCGGCCCUCUUCGCCAGCGGCCGCCGAGUCUACAGCGGCUCGGCCUGUCACGCCGUCUUCGCCCGCGGCUCGGCCCGUCACGCCGUCUUCGCCUGCAGCUCGGGUCCGCGACGCCGUCCUCACGUCGCCUUCAUCUGCGGAUCGGCCCGCGACACCGGCCGCGCCACGGCCCACUAUGCCGGGCUCGCCAUCGGCCCGGUCUGUGACGCCGGCGUCGCCAGCUGCUUCGUCUGCUCUGCCGGUUUCGCCGGUGGGCCGGCCUUCUUCGCCGACCGAGCCCGAGGCUACUGUGUCUGGCUCCUCGUCACCGGCUGACUCGUUAACAUCGCCGUCCUCCAGCCCGUUGCAGGCUGCUCCGUCGACCUCGGUGGUUCCUGUGUCCCGACCACAUACACGCAGUCGCAGUGGCAUUUUCAAACCUAAGGAACGUAAGGAUGGUACGGUUGCUUGGUUGGCUGCAUGUUUGGCUGCUGCUGUUGCGGAUCCAUCUUCUGAGCCUCGCUCAUAUCAGGCUGCCCUGCGCAUUCCACAUUGGCGAGAGGCUAUGGAGCAGGAGUUUCAUGCUCUCCUUCGUAACAAAACAUGGACUCUCGUUCCUCCACCACCACGGGUAAAUGUUAUUGACUCAAAAUGGGUAUUCAAAGUGAAGAAGCAUUCGGAUGGAUCUAUUGAGCGUUACAAAGCGUGACUUGUUGCUCGCGGUUUUCGGCAGCGCCAUGGUCUUGACUAUGAGGACACCUUCAGUCCUGUCGUCAAGCCUACCACUAUUCGGCUUCUUCUCUCCAUUGCUGUUUCUCGUGGUUGGUCACUUCGUCAACUUGAUGUGCAGAAUGCUUUUCUACAUGGAUUUUUGGAGGAAGAGGUUUAUAUGAAACAGCCGCCUGGUUUCUCUGAUCCUGAUCGUCCUGACUAUAUCUGUCGUCUGUCCAAAGCACUAUAUGGUUUGAAGCAAGCUCCUCGUGCCUGGCAUGCCCGCCUUGCCUCUGCCCUUCGUGCUCAUGGGUUUGUGCCGUCCACUGCUGACACUUCAUUAUUUCUUCUACAGAAGCCAGAAGUCACCAUGUAUCUUUUGGUAUAUGUCGAUGAUAUUAUCCUUGUCAGCUCUUCUCAGUAUGCUGCUGAUGCUCUUGUCUGCUCUCUUGGUGCUGAUUUUGCGGUCAAAGAUCUUGGGAAGCUUCACUACUUUCUUGGAGUUGAGGUCACUUCUCGUGCUACUGGUCUUGUCCUUACGCAAAAGAAGUACUCCUUGGAGUUGUUACAAAGAGCGGGCAUGCUGAAGUGCAAACCGACCACCACACCCAUGUCGUCUACCGACAAGAUAACAACUGUUGAUGGUGAGCUUUUGUCUCCUGCGGAUGCCACAGAGUACAGGAGCAUUGUUGGUGGACUUCAGUACUUGACGAUCACGAGACCAGAUAUCUCUUAUGCUGUUAACAGGGUUUGUCAGUAUCUUCAGGCUCCCAGAGAUACUCAUUGGGCUGCUGUUAAACGCAUUCUUCGUUAUCUUCAGUUCACCCUGACAUUUGGUAUGCAUAUUCGGCCGACUUCCUCUCGGGUCCUUUCGGCCUUCUCUGAUGCAGAUUGGGCUGGUAGCCCAGAUGACAGGCGAUCCACGGGGGGUUAUGCAGUAUUCUUUGGUCCUAAUUUGAUCGCCUGGAGUGCUCGGAAACAGGCUACUAUGUCACGUAGUAGUACUGAAGCUGAGUACAAGGCUGUGGCUAAUGCUACUGCAGAGAUUAUUUGGGUGCAGUCUUUGCUUCAGGAGUUGGGUUUGUCUCAACCACAGCCUCCCAUUCUUUGGUGUGAUAACAUCGGUGCUACAUACCUUUCUGCAAAUCCAGUAUUUCAUGCCCGAACGAAACACAUUGAAGUUGACUAUCACUUUGUACGGGAACGUGUAUCACAGAAGCAACUCCAGAUCAAGUUUAUCUCAUCUAAGGAUCAACUUGCAGACAUCUUCACUAAGCCUUUACCUCUGCCACAGUUUGAGGCUUGUAGGCGCAAUCUUACCCUUCUCAGUUCUUUAGAAAGUGGCUAAGAUUGAGGGAGGGUGUUAGACUAUGUAUAGCUUCUGUACAUAUGUACGUAUUGUAACACAUCCAUUAUAUAUAAUGAGACAAGCCACCCCUAGAGGGUUGUGCUAGUUCCCCCAAAACUUAUUGUCUUACAAGGUUGCCGCGUAGUUUCCCGUCCGCCCCCCUGCCCGUGCUCGACCACGCCAUCGCUCCCCUGGCCGCUUGUUCCGCGCCCGCGGCCACCUCCCGCUGCUGCUGCUUCUGCUGUUGCGGCUGCCGCCCGCUGCCCUCGCUACUCUGCAUGCUACUGCUGCUACCCGCGCCAGUCGCCCGUGGCCUCACCCUGCUCGUCCCUGUCCGCGCACUGCAUCUGCAGCCCGGCCCUGCCUACAGCGUGCGCGCCCCGCCUCUGACCCCGCGGAUGCCCGCCUCUGCGCCCGCGCCGUCAUCGCUACCACUGCCGCCGAGUACUGCUACCGCCGCAACUGUCGCCGCUAGCGCCGCUCGGCCCCACGCCUCCGGCCACCACGCCCCCUCCGCCACGGCUCUCCGCCAUGCCCGCCUGCGCUGCGUUGUCGCUCGUCGGCGCACACGCGCCCGCGGCUCCGACCCCUCCUUGCCCGCGCCUCCCCGCUCACCUCGCCUCACCGCUGAUGCCGCCGACCCUCCUCCCGCUCCUGCCACGGGCAACCAUCCUCACCGCGGCCACGCCCGCUGGCCGCGGCCAGUUCGGUCUUCGCCCCGACGGGCUCCACUGCCCGCACAAGACCGGGCCGGUGCAUGUGUGCCCGUUAAGCCGCCCAGCGCCCGAGUGGCUCCUGGGCCACUUACACGUGGGGUCUCCCCCUGUAAAAAAAGAUUUAAAAAAUAUAUAUAUUAAUAAAAAUAAUUAAUUACUUAGUUGAAUGAUUAGUUAACUUAAUUAAGUUAAACACAAUUAGUCUAAUUACCUAAUUAGUUAAUCAAUUAGCACUAACAGAAACUGACAUGUGGGUCCCCUGCCCAGUUGACCAGUCAACUAGUCAACAGUUGACCUGGUCAGCGGGGUCCACUGUCAGCCUUUGGUGGUCCUGCCGUGUGCAUUCUGCUGGGUGCACAUAGAAAUUUCUCCUUUUAUUUCGAAUUAAUAAUAUUUUCAGGGUAUUACUAAAACUUCGAAAAUCAUAUAAAAUAAUCCUUAAGUCAGAUGAAAAAGUUUUAUACAUGAAAGUUGCUCAGAACGACGAGACGAAUCCGAAUACGCACUCCGUUCAUCUGCCACGCAUCCCUAGCAUAGCGAACAGAAGAUGCCAAACUUUGGGAUAACUUUCCCGGAUGUUUCCCCCUUCGCCGCUAUCGUGUAGCCCUGCGUUAGAACACCCCCUAGCGCUGGUUAUUGCCUGGCAUGCAUCUGUUUGCUCUGUAUUUACUGUUUCUUCCCCCUCUUCUCUCUAGUAGACCUCGAGACCGAUGCUGAUGCCGCUGUGACCUAACAUAUCAGAGCAGUGAUAAUUCUCUGCUUAUGUAAACACCUCGGUGUACUAACUCCGUCAGUAAGGACUUGUUACUAUUGUUGAUGACAUUCAAGUAGCCAUCGAUGGACGAGAACUUUGUCUAUUGGUUCGCCUCGUCUUAACGAGCAGGAAAAUGGUUCUCUUUGUCCCUCGCCCUUGAUACCAAUGUUGUUGCCAACAUAAAUAACACGCUAUCCUUUGACCUGCCUUGCUUUCAUGAUCGUGCAAAAUGUUAGCGCCUUCCCACUUCUAACCCACAGUUCCACAGGAUCAAAACCUGACUCUCAUGUACAUCCCUGUUUUCCAAAGUUGUUCCUCGCACUUGGCUUCGUAUGUAAAUCACGAGCCACCUUCCUAGUGAUCUAUUCUGGUAUCAGAUGCAAUACUUAUUCCCAUUGCUCUGAACCCCUUUCACCCUCUGUUUCAGGCAAUGAACGAUUGCCUACCCGGUUGAAGCUUCUUAUUACACCUCCUUAUCUUGCUCUUGAUGGCUUUCUUGAAUUUGAACUCGAGAGAUGCCUCUAUGGCACGUUCACUGAGAUAGCCCGCAGGUACCUAUCUUGUGUUGAGCCCCAUCCUUCUCGAGUCUUUCCCCCUUACUCCACCCCUUAAAUCUCGGGACAAGAUUUCUUGUAGUGGAGGAGAAUUGUGACGCCCGGAUAAUUUAGCUACAACAAUCCUCUAUUAAGGGUCACAUGUCAUCACAUUCUUGUUGCUAAUCCUCGCUUGAUCCAAAUCUUAAUUCAAUUUAAAUUCAAAUUAAAGUCCAAAAUUCAAGUUUCUCAAACAUGCACAAUAAAAUGUUCAAAGUGUGGCAAAUAUUCCAUAACUAAUUAUGGUGGUGACCCAACACUUUUGUAAAGUGUUUAAAUCCCCUUUUGUGAAUAUAACAGUGGCUUAAACAAUCAUUUAAAUGCCUUUCCAUUUAUGAAAAAUUUCAAACAAACUCGAAAGCCUCCCAAACUUUUUGUGGCAAUGCUAGUAAAUGCAAGGUAUUUAUCUGGCCAAGUCCCACUUUUUACAAAAUACAUUUCCUAGCUAAAAGAAAUGCAAAAAGAAAAGAAUAAAUGUAAAACUGAAAAGAAAAGGUAGACAAAACAAAAUAAAGAAAGGAGGUCUAACCCCCACUGGGUCGUGGCCCAGCUGUCCCUCUAGCCAAACCAGCCCAUCCGACCAACCUCUCAAUCCCCUGUUCACGCAGCACCCCCGUGCCCACGGUCGAUGCCCGCCACGGCACUGGCCGACGUCGUGGCGACCAUCCGCCGGUACCGCCCUGCCUAUAUUACUCGGCGACCCCUCUCCCAUCGCUGAACCCUAACCCUCUUUCCCUUCCUCGCGCCCCCGUUCCCCUCUGGUCGUUCGUCGACAUCGCAGUGCCCCGAUCCCAUCCGUCACCGCCGCCGUCACGUCGCCAUUGCCAACGGCCUCCACGAGGCUCGACGGGUUAUUCUACGGCCUCCCCGGUGUCGUCCCCGUCCUCUACGCGUCGCGGCCGACCGGUGAAGCUGUCCUGCGUCGCCUACCCCAUCGUCUUCUACUUCGAGCAGCCGAGAUCGCCGCGGUCACCUCGUUGUCUCCGGUGCUCCCCGAGCCCGCUAGUCUACCUUGUCGCCCCAAUGUAAGCCUUCGGUCCACCCCGACUCCUCCUUGCUUCCCCUAGUGCGCCGUAGCUAGCUUUCCGCACGCCUGAUCUCUGGUUGCCGCGUAGUUUGCCGUCCGCCCCCCUGCCCGUGCUUGACCACGCCAUCGCUCCCCUGGCCGCUUGUUCCACGCCCGCGGCCACCUCCCACUGCCGCUGCUUCUGCUGCUGCGGCUGCCGCCCGCUGCCCUCGCUACUCUGCCUGCUACUGCUGCUACCCGCGCCAGCCGCCCGUGGCCUCACCCUGCCGCCGAGUACUGUUGCUACUGCAACUGUCGCCGCUAGUGCCGCCCAGGCCCCACGCCUCCGGGCACUGCGCCCCCUCCAUUGCGGAUAUCCGCCAUGCCCGCCUGCGCCGCGCUGUCGCCCGUCGGCGCCCGUGCGCCCGCGGCUCGGGCCCCUCCUCGCCAGCGUCUCCCCGCUCGCCUCGCCUCGCCGCUGACGCCGCCGGCCCCUCCUCCCGCUCCUGCCAUAGGCAGCCGUCCUCACCGCGGCCACGCCCGCUGGCUGCCGCCAGUUCGGUCUCCGCGCCGACGGGCUCCACUACCCACACGACACUGGGCCGGUGCCCGUUAAGCCACGCAGCGCUCGAGAGGCUCCUGGGCCACUUACACGUGGGGCCUCCCCCUGUAAAAAAAAUUUAAAAAAUAUAUUAAUAAAAAUAAUUAAUUAGUUAGUUAAAUGAUUAGUUAACUUAAUUAAGUUAAACACAAUUAGUCUAAUUACCUAAUUAGUUAAUUAAUUAGCACUAACAAAAACUGACAUGUGGGUCCCCUGCCCAGUUGACCAGUCAACUAGUCAAUAGUUGACCUAGUCAACGGGGUCCACUGUUAGCCUCUAGUGGCCCUAUUGUGUGCACUCUGCUGGGUGCACAUAGCAAUUUCACCUUUUAUGUCGAAUUAAUAAUAUUUUCAGGAUAUUACUAAAACUUCAAAAAUCAUAUAAAAUAAUCCAUAGCUCGGAUGAAAAAGUUUUAUACAUGAAAGUUGCUCAGAACGACAAGACGAAUCCGAACACGCACUCGGUUCAUCUGCCACGUGUCCCUAGCAUAGCGAACAUGCAACCUUCCCCCUCUGAUUCAUUUGUCUGAAGAUGCCAAACUUCGGGAAAACUUUCCCGGAUGUUUUCCCCUUCGCCGGUACCAUGUAGCCCUGCCUUAGAACACCCCCUUGCGCUGCUUAUUGGCUAUCAUGCAUCUGUUUGCUCUGUAUUUACUGUUUCUUCCCCCUCUUCUCUCCGGUAGACCUCGAGACUGAUGCUGAUGCCCCUGUGAUCAAGUACCACUACUGCAGGAUGCUGCUAACGCGACACUACGAUCAGAGACCCUUUCACGAAACUGUGUGUGAUGCAUUAAUCAUGAACCGGGAUUAAAAAACCGUCAAAAAAGGUGCAAAAUGUUUGCAAUGGAGGAUGCAUCAAACACGGUUCAGAUUUUAGUUGUGUGUGUGAUCUAUGGCAUACGGUUCAGUUCAAUGAAACGUUUGCGAUGAGGCGGAACAAAAGAAACGGGCAACCUGAUGAAGGCGUGUGCGAUGUAUAGCAUACAGUUCACUCGGAUGAACUAUUUGUGAUUAGGCAACACAAAAGAAACGAUCAGCCAGAUCACGGUGUGUGUCAUGUACAGCAUAUGGUUCACUCGGAUGAACUGUUUGUGAUUAGGGAACACAAAGGAAACGGUCAGCCAGAUCAAGGUGUGUGCGAUGUACGACAUGCGGUUCACCCGGAUGAACUGUUUGCGUUGAGACAAGAGAACAGAAAUGGUUCAAUAUAACAAAUACCAUAAAUAUUGCAAGGUUCAAGUUCAAAGAUUACAACACCCAAAUUCAAACAUUGCAAGCUGCGUCAUUUCUGAAAAGGGAUCACCCGUUGACAAGUCAUGUAUGGGUUUGACACAAUAACUUCCAAUUGAUUUGCCAUAUGCUCUUCCAAUAUGAAGUUUGGCAUUUUUGGAGGCACUUCCAUUCCGCAGUACCAGCUGAGGAGUCCUGGACUAAAGGGUUCUCGGGCGUCCGGCCUGUUAGCCAUGGGCCGGACUGAUGGGCUGUGAAGAUAUGAAGACCGAAGACUGCACCCGUCCGGACAGGACUUUCCUUGGCGUGGAAGGCAAGCUUGGUGACCAAAUAUGUAGAUUCCUUUCUUUGUAACCGACCUUGUGUAACCCUAGAUCCUCCCGGUGUUUAUAUAAACCGGAGGACGUAGUCCAGAGGAUACACAUUACCAUAGCCAUACAAGCUAGACCUCUAGGGUUUAGCCAUUACGAUAUCAUGGUAGAUCAACUCUUGUAAUACUCAUAUUCAUCAAGAUCAAUCAAGCAGGACGUAGGGUAUUAUCUCCAUAGAGAGGGCCCGAACCUGGGUAAAACAUUGUGUCACGUGUCUCCUGUUACCAUCGACCUUAGACGCAUAGUUUGGGACCCCCUACCCGAGAUCCGCCGGUUUUUACACCGACAUUGGUGCUUUCAUUGAGAGUUCCAUUGUGCCUUCAUCGAAAGGGUUGAUGGAUCCACUUAUCUUCAAGGAAAAUAUCACCUCCGGAGGAGCUCUGGCCUCUGGCCAAACCCUUUGGCUGGGCGGUUUUAUCAUGACUGCCUGUUCGGCCCUUGAGCCGACGAUGAUGACCUCUGGAGUCAUCGAAAAUCGCUUCUGCGUUGAUUCUGAAUACGCCAAACGGAUGGAUCCGACGGAGUUAUCGUCUUUAAACGAACACCUAGAUCACAUUGCCUCCUUGGGGGUUGCUAUAGACUACGAUCGGAUUGGGCUUAAACCCGACCAGAGAGAAAUUAAAUCUCCGUCGAUCACCCACCAGAUAGCGGUAGUCGAGGAGCAAGAUAACUCUUCCUCUAUAUUGAGGAUGAACUAUGUUCGGAUCUCCGACCUCGAGAAGCCGGACACCUACCGGCAGAAAGACACGUGUCACAUCCCUGCUUUUAGUCAUGCAUUAGGAUUGGAUGAACAUGUGCAUCAUGUUUAAAUUUCUUUUAAACUUGAAAUGGGGCCUAAUCAACCCCAACACCCCCCUGAAAAUGCUAAUUUCCAACAAUUGGAAUUUCAAUGAACCCGAAAUGCCCUUCAUAAAAGCCCACCAUUUUUGGUCUUGACUAAAACCUCUGCCAAAAAUGGUCUUGCAAUUUAUGGAGCCAUUCUGGAUUUUUGAACAAGCCAUAAGUAUUUAAAUUUGGGCAUUUUAAAUGCUAUAAAUAUUUUAAAGUUCUUAAAUAAUCUUGGAAGCAUUUUUAGGCAGUUGAGAAUAUUCCCAAAUGCGCCUCUGAAUAUUUCCAGAGUUUUUGGAAUGAAAUAGUAUUUAUUCUAUUUCAAUACACAUAGCAGGAAAUAAUUAAAAGCAAAACAGAAAAGAGAGAGAGAGUUAGAGCUUACCUGGAAGCCCACCAGCCGGCCCACCUAGCUGGCCCGGCCCAGCAGCCACUCCACGUAGCUGCUUCGCUGUCGGAGUAAAUAGCCAUGGGUAGCCUAGCCGGCUUCCCAUGGCCCUUCUGAAAAAAUCACGAGCCCGUCCGGCUCUCAAGAAUCCAAGACAUGGAGCCGACUCCCCCUUGCUGGCUGCUACCCAGGCCGGCUUUCGGAAGGCGGCCCGACUUUACCCCUCAUGAAGAAAACCAUGGGAGGCCGACUCAAAGAAGCCGGCUCCAAGAUGCCGACUCCAAGAAGCCGGCUCCCCUAAAGCGGUCGAGACCGUACCCUCAAAGUUUGCACCCACCUAACGGUGGUGCGACGGGGCGUGGCUACAGUGAAGCCUGCCACCCCCGAAUCCCGGAGCACGCCUGGCACAGUGCGCCGUACGGAGUGGCCAUGACCCGUCCGGCGCGGCACUGUUGCCAUGUUGACCUUGAUGUCAUCCACGACGGGCUACCAGUACGGCCUACGGGCGGUGGGCCCCUUCGGGCAGAGAGACACCCGAAGGCGGCCUGGCCUCCCCCAGUCGGCCUGAAGGCGGCCUGGCCUCCCCCCAGUCGGCCCGAGACGGGGCCGGCUCCCCGCAGGUGGCUCGCUUCCCCUCUCAAAGAAGACGCCCCAUUAAGGAGACAAGACGCGGUGAGGCUACAGUAAUCGCCCGCCGGACGGCGGCACUGUAGCCACGCCUACCUCGACGAAGCCCUCGUCAUCAAGAUGAGUCAACAGUGACCAGCCAUCGACAAGACCCUUGGCGGUGGGGCCUGUCUACUGCCAAGGAGUUGGUAGCCGGCGGGACCCAUCAGCCGGCGGGCCCCAGCGGUCGCCGCAGAAGCCGGCGAGCGCGGUCACAGACGGCUGGGCCCCGCGCCCAGUCAGAUUACCAUUGUACCCCCGGGGGGUAGGCCUAUAUAAACCCCCCGGGGCACCCAUGCAAAGGGUUUGACCCCCUGCUAGUCUAAAACACCACAGAAGGAGAGGAAGCAGGCUAGUCAUGCCCUUCUACCUCCUCCCACCAAACCGCUCAAGGAGCAUUGUGUAGUUACUUGUUCAUCUAGUGAUCAUGCGGAGACCCCGCAGAGCAGCAGUAGGUGUGUUAUCUCCACGGAGAGCCCCGAAGCUGGGUAAGAUCCGCCGGCGUGCAUGUCUUCGCCUUAUCCCGUUUCCAGGCACCAGCGAUGUCUUUCUGGCUCCCACAAUGAUAAGCCACCCGUUGGCAUAUGUCGCACCUACCACCCGACAUUUGGCGCCCACCGUGGGGCCAGGUGCACCAUCGUCCGGAGACCUGUUCUGGACGGGAACCCUCUUCCUCCCCAGCGAGCGUAGCCAGCCCGGCACGCCCGAUGGCGCUUGCCAUGACGCGCUGCAAGGCAUCACCAGCAUCUGCGCGGCGAGCAGCCUCGCCGAUCCCCUCGACGAAACCCUCAUCUCCGACGAGCUCGCCUCCGAUGCGGGCACCGACCACCUCGCCAACCUUCUCGGUCAGCUCCAUGUCUCCAGCGAGGCCGCUGCGGACCUGGAGUCGGUUUGCUCCUCCAACCCGGUGCCUGUCGACUCCGAUACGGCCUCCUACGACACCUUCCCCACCAGCGUCAUGAUCUACAACGACCCGCUUCCCCGAGCCGACGGUUGCGAUGCUGUCACCACCGAAGUGAUGGUCAUCGGCCACGGCGGCCCGGCCGGCGAAAGCGCCCACGGCAUCCCGCACGUGGCGGCCCAUGACUUGUCCACCCCACUCCCGGGUAACGCCGACGACGAAGCACUGGAGGCACGCCGCCUCGCCCUCCUUGCAGAGGGCCGGAGGCUGGCUUCCGUGAGACGCCUCACAGAGGCCUACCAGCGCGAAGCUGACCGCGCCGCCUUCGGCACGCCGGCCCCGGGCGGGCCAAGCCGGGCCGGCCUUGUCAAGCAACGCGGCGCCGUCAUCGCCGACACGCUGGGAGUCGACCGCCCGAUCUAUGCCACUCCGCUCGAGAACUUGCGUGCCGCCCAGGCGGCCGUAGACGAGUUGGACGGCUUGGAGGCCGAAGACCUCCCCCACAUGACCCGGCGCAUCCAGCAACUGAUUGACGCAGCCGCGCAGCGACAUGAAGCGGACACCCGCGCGGGAAGCCCUCCCCCGCGCUGAGAUCACGGCGCGACGUCCCGGACGCCGGCUACGAGCAACACCCGUGCGCGGCGCGAGAAAGAGCCAGCUGCCAGCCGCAGCCGGACCCAAAUCUCCAUCGAGCGAGACGCGGACGGCCGUCCCCGAGCCAUGGAAUGGCGGGGAAACCCGCCUCCGCCUCGACCCCGUGGAGAGAGAUAUCCCACCCCGCCGCCCGUGGCGCACCCGACUCUCAGCGGCCGACUAGGUCACCACGAAGGAGUCGGCGAGAACGACGCCCGCCAUCGGAUUGACCGCCUGGCGCGAUCCCUGGCGUUGGAAGAAGAAGACGAUGUCGGUCCGCCUUGUUUCGGCCCCCGCAUCCGCGACGAGCCUUUCCCCAAAGGGUUCUCGCUCCCAAGAGACACGCCCAAGUACAACGGCUCCGUGAAGCCGAAAGAUUGGCUAAUCGACUACUCCACGGCGGUCAGCAUAGCCAACGACAACCGGCGCGUUGCCGUGAAGUACGUGCCCCUCAUGCUGCAAGGCACGGCGCGAACCUGGCUCAACAGCCUCAAGCCUCUCAGCAUCAACAGCUGGCUAGAUUUCACCGAGGCUUUCAUCCGCAACUUCACCAGCACCUACAACCGGGCUCCCAAGCCCAGACAGCUCUCCUUGUGCGUACAAGGCCCCGCCGAGUCCACUCGCAACUACCUCACGCGUUGGGCCAAGCUCCGCAAUUCUUGCGAGGGGGUGCACGAGGUGCAAGCCAUCGAAUACUUUACAGCCGGAUGCCGAGAAGGCACCCUCCUCAAGCACAAGCUCCUCUGCGACGAACCGGCUACCCUCGACGAGCUUCUGGACAUAGCGGACAAGUACGCCACCGCCGAUUCCUUGAUGAAGACCGAGCUUCGGGUAGACUCGUCCGGAAAGGUACUCAACCCGGUGCCCAAGACGCCGGCUGGGGAUUCCGGCCGACGCCCCCACUCGAACGACCACAAGCGCAAGGGCCCCGCGCCGCCUCCCGCUAGUCGGCAAGUGGCCACCGUUGAAGACGUGCCGCCUGAAGGGCGGCCCGCGCCCAAGAAACCCAAGGGCGGCCCGCCGGCUUGGCAGCCGGCUUUCUCCUACGAGCAAACUCUCGACGCCCCAUGCAAGUUCCACAGCGGCGCGAAGCCGUCGAACCACACAACCCGGAAGUGCCAUUGGCUCACCCGAAUCUCCAAAGGCGAGGGGCUCGCGGCGCCUCCGCCUGCCGGCCCGCCGCCUCCGCCUCCGCCGCCUCCGGCAGCUCGGCCCGCGGUCGGAGCCGUGCAUGACGAAUUCCCUGACGAGCAAGCAACCUACAUCAUCUUUACAAGCCAGCCCGAAGACCGGUGCAGCAAAUGCCGAGAGCACCAGGAAGUUAGCGUGGUCGCUGCCAACCCCGCCAGACACAUGCAUUGGUCAGAAAAGCCCAUCAGCUGGAGCCGGGCCGACCAUCCAGAGGUGAUGCCGUCUCCCGGCUCUUAUGCUUUGGUCCUGGAAGCCACCCUUGCGACGGACAGGCGCGCCGCCCACUUCUCCCGUGUGUUGAUAGACGGCGGGAGCAGCAUCAACAUCCUGUAUCGUGACACCCUGGAGAAGCUGAACGUCAAGACGAAGCAGCUCAUGCCUACUCGAACAGUGUUUCAUGGCAUCGUACCCGGCUUAUCUUGCGCCCCCAUUGGCAAGAUCAAGAUCGAUGUACUUUUUGGGGACAAGGAGCAUUUCCGCCGGGUAGUGAUCUGGUUUGAAGUGGUGGACCUGGAGAGCCCUUACCAUGCAUUGCUUGGCCGACCUGCUUUGGCCAAAUUCAUGGCAGUUCCCCACUAUGCAUACCUCAAGAUGAAGAUACCAAGCACCAAAGGCGUCAUCACCAUAGCCGGCGAUUACAAGAAGUCCUCUGAGUGCGCAGUAGCCAGCAGCCGGCUGGCCGAGUCCCUUGUGAUUGCCGAAGAAAAGAAGAUGCUGGACCGAGUCGUGGCCAUAGCCGGCAAGCAGUCAGCCGUGUCCCCCGACCCCAAGGAGCAUGAUGCUCAAGGGUCUUUCCAGCCGGCCAAGGAGAAGAAGAAGGUGCCUCUUGACCCCGAGCAUCCAGAGAGGUUCGCCGUCAUCGGGGCAAGCCUGAACAGCAAAUAGGAAGGCGAGCUCGCCGAUUUCCUCUGUGAGAAUCGGGACAUCUUUGCAUGGUCCCCCAAGGACAUGCCGGGUGUUCCGAGGAAAUUCGCCGAGCACAAACUACACGUUCAAGAAGACGCAAGGCCAGUCAAACAACCCCUUCGCCGACAGUUGGAGGAGAAACGCAGGAUUGUAGGGGAGGAGAUAGCCCGGCUUUUGGCAGCCGGCUUCAUUAUGGAAGUUUUCUUCCCAGAGUGGCUCGCCAACCCAGUCCUCGUGCUAAAGAAGAACAACAAGUGGCGCAUGUGCAUAGACUACACAAGCCUCAAGAAGGCCUGCCCCAAAGAUCCCUUUGCCCUGCCAAGGAUAGACCAAGUGAUAGACUCCACAGCCGGAUGCGAGUUGUUGAGUUUCUUGGAUGCUUACUCCGGAUAUCACCAGAUAAAGCUUGAUCCGGACGACCGCCUGAAGACCGCCUUCAUCACGCCAUUUGGAGCCUUCUGUUACCUGACUAUGACAUUCGGCUUGAGAAAUGCCGGUGCCACUUUUCAGCGUUGCAUGCAGAAGUGCCUCCUCAAGCAGCUCGGCAGAAACGCUCAUGUUUACGUAGAUGACAUCGUGGUGAAGACGGAGAAGCGCGGCACCUUGCUGGGAGACCUCAAGGAAACGUUUGAGAACCUGCGCCGAUUUCAAAUCAAGCUCAACCCCGAGAAAUGCAUGUUCGGAGUGCCAGCCGGCCAGCUCCUAGGCUUCCUGGUCUCCGAACGCGGCAUCGAAUGCAACCUGGUGAAGAUCAAGGCCAUCGAGAGAAUGGCGAUCCCCACCAAGCUUCGAGACAUUCAGAAGUUCACCGGGUGCUUGGCCUCCUUGAACCGCUUCAUCAGCCGGCUCGGAGAGAAAGCUCUCCCCCUCUACCGCCUCAUGAAGAAGGGCCCUCACUUCAAAUGGAACGACCAGGCCGACCAAGCCUUUCACGAGCUGAAGAAGAUGCUGGCCACGCCGCCUGUCCUCGCGGCGCCAACUGAGAAAGAGCCAAUGCUCCUUUACAUCGCCGCAACCAGCCGGGUGGUCAGCACCGUCAUUGUAGUCCAACGCCCAGAAGAAGGCCGAGCCCAGCCGGUCCAAAGGCCAGUGUAUUAUUUGAGCGAGGUGUUGUCCGCCUCAAAGCAGAACUACCCACACUACCAGAAGAUGUGUUACGGCGUGUACUUCACCGCCAAGAAGCUGAAGCCCUACUUUCAAGAGCAUCCCAUCACGGUCGUAUGCACCGCCCCGCUGGCCGAGAUCAUAGGCAGCCGGGACGCAUCCGGCCGGGUGGCGAAAUGGGCCAUCGAGCUGGCCCCUUACACAAUCUUCUACCAGCCCCGCACCGCCAUCAAGUCCCAAGCACUGGCCGACUUCCUCGUCGACUGGGCCGAGACCCAGUACCUGCCGCCGGCUCCCGACUCCACCCAUUGGCGCAUGCACUUCGAUGGGUCCAAGAUGCGCACCGGCUUGGGAGCCGACAUCGUCCUUACCUCCCCUAAAGGCGACAAGCUCAGAUACACGCUACAGAUCCACUUUGCCGCCUCCAACAACGUGGCCGAGUACGAGGCGCUCAUACACGGGCUCCGGCUUGCCAAAGAACUUGGCAUUCGCCGGAUCCUAUGUUAUGGCGACUCGGACCUGGUGGUCCAGCAAUCAUCCGGCGACUGGGACGCCAAGGACGCAAAUAUGGCGAGCUACCGCUUCCUGGUCCAACAACUUAGCGGAUACUUUGAAGGAUGCGAGUUCCUCCAUGUACCGCGAGCCGACAAUGAGCCAGCCGAUGCCCUGGCUCGAAUACGCUCUACUCGGCAAGCAAUUCCAACCGGCGUCGCUCUACAACGCCUCCUCAAGCCGUCUAUCAAGCCGUCUCCAGAAUCCGACUCCAUCUUCGUGCCGCCUAACCCCGAUGCGGCCGGGUCCGGCUUGAAGAACCAAGCAGGCGACCCCGAGACUCCCGCAACCGGCUCGGGGACUGCCACACCCGGCUCGGGGACUUCGGCAACCAGCUCGGGGACUGCGGUAGCCGGCCCGGGGACUGCACCAGCACAACAACCGGCGGCCGACUCCAGCAUUUCACCACCCAGCCCGCCCACCCUGGUGGCAAUAGCCACAUUGGCAGUAGAAGAAGUUGCGGCUCCAUCAUGGGCUCAGUCCAUCCUCAACUUCCUAGUAAACCAAGACCUGCCGGCCGACGAAACAGAAGCAAGACAAGUCCAACGUCGAGCCGGAGCAUACACAAUUGUCAACAGAGAACUGGUCAAGCGCAGUGUCACUGGAAUCCUCCAACGGUGCGUCGAGCAAGAUAAGGGCAUUGCAAUCCUCAGAGACAUUCACCAAGGAGAAUGCGGCCACCAUGCGGCCUCAAGGUCACUUGUCGCCAAAGCCUUCCGCCAUGGUUUCUUUUGGCCGACUGCUUUGGAUGACGCCAAAGAAUUAGUCAAGCAUUGCAAGGGAUGCCAACUCUUCAGCUCCAAGCAACACAUGUCGACUUCGGCACUCAAGACCAUUCCCCUCACUUGGCCCUUCGCCGUUUGGGGACUGGACAUGGUGGGCCCAUUUAAGACGGCGCACGGCGGCAUGACGCAUUUGCUCGUCGCCGUGGACAAAUUCACCAAGUGGAUUGAGGCAAAGCCGAUCAAGAAGCUGAAUGGGCCGACUGCUGUGACAUUCAUCGCAGACAUAACAACUCGGUACGGCGUGCCACACAGCAUCAUCACCGACAAUGGCACGAAUUUUGCCAAAGGAGCCUUGGCACGUUUCUGCGCAGCCCAAGGUAUCCGACUGGACUUAGCAUCCGUUGCCCACCCGCAGUCAAACGGCCAGGUCGAGCGAGCCAAUGGCCUCAUCCUCUCCGGCAUCAAGCCUCGACUGGUCGUACCUCUGGAGCGCUCAGCCGACUGUUGGCUCGAUGAGCUGCCGGCUGUCCUCUAGAGUCUGCGCACUACACCGAACAAGUCAACCGGCUUCACCCCUUUCUUCCUUGUAUAUGGUGCCGAGAUGGUCAUCUCAACUGACAUCGAGUUCGACUCACCUCGAGUAACCAUGUACACGGAAGCGGAGGCCAAGGAAGCACGAGAAGACGGCGUUGACCCGCUGGAAGAGAGCCGGCUGUUAGCACUCAGCCGGUCUGCCAUCUACCAGCAGGGUUUGCGCCGCUACCACAGCCGGAAGGUCAGGCCAAGAUCUUUCCAAGAAGGCGAUCUUGUGCUCCGGCUGAUCCAGCGAACAGCCGGCCAGCACAAGCUCUCAGCCCCUUGGGAAGGCCCCUUCGUCAUCAGCAGAGCUCUAGGCAACGACUCCUACUACCUGAUCGAUGCACAGAAGCCGAAGGCACGCAAGAGAGACGACUCCGGCAAGGAGUCGGAACAACCAUGGAACGCCAACCUCCUUCGAAGAUUUUACAGUUGAAAGGCAGUAUGUAUCACGCUAACUUUUGUAUUAAGUACAAGACAAUAGGCCCCCCGAGGAGGGCUCGGGGACUGCCAUCCCUUAUUUAUGAAUGAAAAGUAUCAUGCUUAUGACCUCGUCAUUUCAUUUACUUGUUCCGUCCGGCACCGGGUUCGACUAGUCGGCUCGGGGACUGGCCGACUGGAGUUAUAUUAGAAGUCCUACCCGCAAUCAGACAAGUAGUGUGCCGGCUCCCAAGCCUUCUCUUGCCAAAAGUCGUAGUUCAAAGAACCGGCUGUCCGGCUGGCAAGAGUUAAAGGCAGGAACGGGCGCCCACACGAAAAACGGCUAGGGACUAACGAACUAAUAUAACGAAAGCCGGUUUUUUCUCCCACCGCCGACUGGCUACCAGAGUAGCCGGCCGACACGUUUCCAUUCACUUCACUUCAAUCCAAGAAAGCUCAAGUACUUGCCUCCCCAAAGAGGGAAGGCGGCAAAGGAAAAAGCCUAAGGAUAAAAAGCAUACGCGAAUGGAAACCAAACAUGCACAUAAUAAUAUUUACAUAAAAGACCUCCGAGAGGCCAGCAUUCAACAUAGUUUGGAUACACCCCCAGUUGGUGGAACUGCGAAAACUUAAUGAAGAUUGUUCAAAAGACAACAAGCAGGAAAGAUAAAGACAGCAGGUCAAGCUGGCGGAGCGACCGACGAGCCGGACUGGUUGGCGGAGACGGUCGUGCCGGCUGAAGGAGCGGCCGACUGGCGAACUUCGGCUUGGUCGCCGCCUCUCGCAGAGGGCGUGCUUCCAUGCGCCUCGUUGUUGGAGGCACGGUCGGCCUGAGGUCGGCCGGUUGUUCCACCAGCCGGCUCGACGUCUUCACCGUCCUCCUCUUCGUCAUCCUCGCCAUCGUCGCUGGAGGCAAUCUCCUCCGCCGAGUCCUCGCCCACCGCCGGGUUCAGCCCGAACCACUCCUCCGGCUGAGCAACGCCGUCAUCAUCGAUUUCGGGUGCGAAAACACUGAUGUCGGUGCACUCGGCGAUCGUCGAAGCUCGCUGGGCGAUAGCCGGCCUCACCUCCUCCAGCUCCGCGUCGGCCUCCAUCCGCCAAGUGCGCAGCUGGUCCAGGCUCAGCCCUGGGUACCAAGCCCGAACGAACUCCAACGCCCGCCCGGCUCCGAGGCGGGCCGCCGACGCCUUCCAAGCCUCAAAGCGACCAACACUUGCCGGGCCAGAGGGCUUGGGGUGCGGGGGAUCGUCUCGCCGGGCCAGAGGGUGGCCAACACUUGUGCCCCGGCACGUUGGAGCCGGCGAAGCAUCCGAUGAGCCGGCUGCAACCGCGCCUGGACAGCCAGGAGCUGCUCCUCAAGUGUCCGGUUCGCAUCCGGCGCGAUGUUGGCCCCCGCCUGACGACGCGCCUCGCGAUGGGCCUCAAUGCUUUGGGCGGCGAAGGCGGAGUAGCCGGGGAAGUAGUCUGCACCAAAAAACAAGCAGUAGCUCAAGAUAAGCCAAAAACCCAGGCGGCAAGGGGCAGGAGAGGGGCGAGGAAGGCGGCCUACCGUCGAUCAAAUCCUCGAUCCGGCUGAAGCGUUCAUCCAGGGCUCGCCGGGUGUCAGACUAGCUCGCCGCCUCGGUCUCAUACUCCGCCUUCAAGGCGGCUUCGCUAUCCUGCGCCGCCUGCAGGGCCGCCUUGUGGCCCUCCUCUUGGUCGGCCAGCUCCUUGGCUAGGCGAUCCCGUUCCUGGACCAAGGCGGCGUACUCGGCCUCCUUGGUGUGAAAGGCGGCCUUCGCUUUGCUGAGCUCCUUCCUCAAGUCGGCGUUGGCCCCUGAAGACAAAGAAAAAGAAAAACCAAUAAGGAAAGAGUCGUCAAGAAAGAUCCGACCCGACUGUGCAGCAGUCGGCCCGAAUCUCGGGGACUACAUCCAGUGCGUGCGCUGACGCGCCCCCAUAGGAGACAGACAAGAUCGAGUACUUACUUCGGCUGUCGGCCAGGUCGUCGGUCCUCCGGCUCAACUCCCGAGCCUGGGAGUUGUAGGCGGCAGCACGGAGGUUGUGAUAUUCCUGAAAGUUCAGACCCAAAGCAAAGUAAGAUAGUCGUCGAGAAAGAUCCGACCCGACUGCGCAGCAGUCGGCCCGAAUCUCGGGGACUACACCCAGUGGGUGCGCUGACGCGCCCCCACAGAAGAAAUCAAUAAGUCAAAAGCGGCCAAGAAUGAAGGACUCACCCGGAUGGUGGCUCGCGUUGACAAGAACUCCUGGGUGAACUGUUGCAGCAGGGCGGCCUGAGCUUGCAGUCGGCUCCGGACCCCUUGGGCCGCCACAUUCAGCUCGCCAGUCCCCCCGCUGGGAGUCCACUCGGACGUGGCAGUGCUGGCCGCCUCCAGAUCUUCCGCCGACUGGCCUGCGCCUGCGACUCGGCGCAACUCUGGCGGAGCGGCGCCUCCCCCUACGCGCCGGCUCGUCGCCGGCUGCACCUCGAGGCCGGCUCUGUUCUCCGGCUCACCUCCGGGCGGCCCCUCUGGCGCCGCUGACGAUUGGCCGCCUUGGCCCGCUCCGGUUGGCGCUGCUGGCGGCGCCCUCCUCGCGGAGGCCACGGGGUCCUCCCCCCUCUCCAUCAGCGGCGGGUCUUGGACGAUCUCCUCUGCCAAGGGCAAUGGGGUGUCGGGGGCUACAGCUCGGAGAGGAAUGGCGAGCAGCGGAGGCUGGUUGCGCGAGCUUUCCACCUACGUCUCCGCGGUAGCCGCCUCCGUCUGGGCCUUGGCUGCCGCGUCGGCCUGCUCCCUCGCCGCCUCGCGCUCCUCCCGCGCUUCGCGGGCGUUCCGCUUUGUGGCCUCCCUGAGAUCGGCGCGGGGGUCCAUGCGGCGGGAGCUCGAAGACCCUCCAGCCAGCCCCACGACGGAGCCGCCCGGACCCCGCUCAAGGGAAAGCGGCGCCCUGUCCAGCAAGCGAGAAAAAUUUAAGAAGAAUAUUCGAAGAAAAAGAGAAUGAUGAAGGGCAUGUGACCAGGCAAUCAGCGACUUACGCUGAAACCGCCUGAGGCUGCUUCACCGCCUUGCGGAAGCGGGCCGCCUUCGCGGCCGCCUCGUCUCGUUUUGUCGCCGCGUUGGAGGGCUUGGACUUCUUCGGCCGACUGCCGAAGAGGCCUGAAGCGGCCCGGCGCUUCUGCAUGCCGCCGGCGGCCGGUGCGAUGGACGAGCCCGCGCCCUGAUAGUCGGCCGCCGGCUGGCGACGCGGGGCGACUUCGGCUUCAGCAUCGUCCGGCCAGUCCUCGAAGCUUGCGGUGAACCUUGAGCCUCCGGGCUCGGCAUUGUCCCCCACGACGGCGUCCUCCAUGGCGGCCGCCCCCAAGUCCGGGUCGUCAACGUCGUCCACCGUGCGGUCGGGGGCAUACUGGCGUUCAAUCCCUGCCGCCCCGGCCGGCGGUGGAAGAAGAGGGUUCUGCUCAAAAGAACCGACUGGUCAGAAGCCGGCCGUCGCGAAGCCGGCUGACGACAAAAAGAAGAUAGAGAGAGAAGCUUACCACGGGCGGAGGAUUGGCGCGAGAAUACGGCGCCUUGCCGUAUUGCCAGUCCCCGGCGAGCUUGCAGUUGGCGAUGUAAUUAACCAUGAGCGCCACCUCCGCAUGGGGCAUUUCCCAUGUGCUCAGCCGGCUUGGGUCGAAGCGGCCGCUCAUCUGACACAUCAUAUGGGGCCAGCUUUGGAGAGGAAGAAUCCGGCGCUCCACGAAGGCGGCUACGAAGUCGGCCCCGCGCAGGCCUUCCGACUGAAUCAUCACCCGAAGCCGGGAGACGGUGGCGUUCCCGUCCGGAGAUAGUGACCGGGACCGGAAACCCCACGAGGGCUGCCUCCCAGCCGGCGGGCCGGCUACGUAAGCCGGCAGGUUGAUGUAGUCUCCUUGCUCGGCGACGUUCCUCACGUAGAAGUACGAUUUUUGCCAGACCUUCACCAACUGGAUUAGGGGGAUGGACGGGAACGGAUUGUUCUCGCUCGCCCUCCUCAUAGCGAUGAAGGCCCCGCAGGGUGCGGGCACGCUGGCGACGACGGUGCCGAGUUUGCUCUGGAAGAACUCUCCUCAGAGCUCCAGCGUGGGGAGCAGCCCCAAGAAGCCUUCGCAGAGGGAGACGAAGGCCGACAGCAGCAUCACCACAUUGGGCGUGAGGUGAUGCGGCUGGAGGUUGUAGAACUCGAGGAAGGAGCGUAGAAAUUCGCUCGCCGGAAGGCCAAAGCCGCGCAGGCAGUGCGAACGGAAGACGACCCGCUUGCCCUCCUCCGGUGCCGGCGAGAUCUCCGUCUCCGGCGCCAGGCGGACCUACAUGAGGUUGGCGCCGGGCAGGCACCGAGUCUGGCGGAGGAACUCCACAUGGUCUUCGUGGACGUUGGAGCCGUCCCACGAGCUUGACAACGCCAUGGGAGCGAGGCGAUGUGGAGACGCGGCGGCGCUGAGACGGUAGGCUGCGGCGGCAACAAGAGGAAGAAACAGAUUAGGAGGGGCGGAAAGAGAGAGAGCGUGCGAACCUCUGUCGCUUUCCCUCCUCCCCCUACUUAUAGGCUUGCAUGGCGGAGCCGAGGAGGCGCGGCGUGGGGAAGCGUGGGGAUCGAUCGUGCCCACUCCCCACGUCCCGCGAUUAUUGAGCCUUAACGGCGAAACAAAACUGCCUCGGGAAGGCGAGCGGCCCCUGUGGGCCACGGAAGAUCCGCGCCCGGACCAAGGCUCGCAAGUGGCGGGCCCGGGCCUGCAGCGGCGUCCCGUCGCGCGCGUGCGCUCGCAGGAUCUCGCUGCCACGUGGCCGCGGGAGGGCCCGUGGUCAGCAUGCAGGUCCCCCCUUCUCCCGCCUACAAGACGCAGGGCUCUCUGAAGUCGGCAUACGCCCGCAAAGCCGGCUCUUCAGGAUGGGAAGCUGACCAAGCUUCUCGUCCCCCUGCUCGCCUCGGAGCUCGAUCAGCUUCGGGGACUACUGUCGGAGUAAAUAGCCAUGGGUAGCCUAGCCGGCUUCCCCUGGCCCUUCUGAAAAAAUCACGAGCCCGUCCGGCUCUCAAGAAUCCAAGACAUGGAGCCGACUCCCCCUUGCUGGCUGCCACCCAGGCCGGCUUUCGGAAGGCGGCCCGACUUUACCCCUCAUGAAGAAAACCAUGGGACGUCGACUCGAAGAAGCCGGCUCCAAGAUGCCGACUCCAAGAAGCCGGCUCCCCUAAAGCGGUCCAGACCAUACCCUGAAAGUUUGCACCCACCUAACGGUGGUGCGAUGGGGCGUGGCUACAGUGAAGCCUGCCACCCCCGAAUCCCGGAGCACGCCUGGCACAGUGCGCCGUACGGAGUGGCCAUGACCCGUCCGGCGCGGCACUGUUGCCAUGUUGACCCUGAUGUCAUCCACGACGGGCUACCAGUACGGCCUACGGGCGGUGGGCCCCUUCGGGCAGAGAUACAGCCGAAGGCGGCCUGGCCUUCCCCAGUCGGCCUGAAGGCGGCUUGGCCUCCCCCAGUCGGCCCGAGACGGGGCCGGCUCCCCGCAGCCGGCUCGCUUCCCCUCUCGAAGAAGACGCCCCAUUAAGGAGACAAGACGCGGUGAGGCUAAAGUAAUCGCCCGCCGGACGGCGGCACUGUAGCCACGCCUACCUCGACGAAGCCCUCGUCAUCAGGAUGAGUCAACAGUGACCAGCCAUCAACAAGACCCUUGGCGGUGGGGCCUGUCUACUGCCAGGGAGUUGGUAGCCGGCGGGACGCACCAGCCGGCGGGCCCCAGCGGUCGGCGCACAAGCCGGCGAGCGCGGUCACAGACGGCUGGGCCCCGUGCCCAGUCGGAUUACCAUUGUACCCCCAGGGGGUAGGCCUAUAUAAACCCCCCGGGGCACCCAUGCAAAGGGUUCGACCCCCUGCUAGUCUAAAACACCACAGAAGGAGAGGAAGCAGGCUAGCCGUGCCCUUCUACCUCCUCCCACCAAACCGCUCAAGGAGCAUUGUGUAGUUACUUGUUCAUCUAGUGAUCAUGCGGAGACCCCGCAGAGCAGCAGUAGGGGUGUUAUCUCCACGGAGAGCCCCGAAGCUGGGUAAGAUCCGCCGGCGUGCAUGUCUUCGCCUUAUCCCGUUUCCAGGCACCGACGAUGUCUUUCUGGCUCCCAGAAUGAUAAGCCACCCUUUGGCAUAUGUCGCACCUACCACCCGACAUUCACCUAGCCAGCGAGGCGAGCAGGUGCUCGACGGCGAGCACAGGAGCUCGCCACGCCACCUCUCUGCCUGCCGUCACCCGCGCCAGCGUGAAGCCUCGAAACACCUUCACGUCGCGCACCGAACCCCCUGGACACGUCCAUUCCCCCUGCCUCUCUCCCUCGCUCCCCUCCGCCAUGGCCGACGCAGCCGCCGCCGUUCCGCUGCCGUAACCGUGCCCACCAUCGUCAACCCACCACUCCACCGUGUCCUGAAGCUGCGCCACUCCCUCCUCGACUGUCCCACCGGAGGCCCCCGAGCAUCUUCACCGAGCCCAUCUUCAACCUCGGUCCGCCGAGAUCGCCGGCGACCGUAUGCCGCCUCUGAUGCCUCCCCGAGCUCGCUGAGGCCACCGCUACACUCCCCGUGAGCUCCUUCUCCGUUCCCCUCUCUUUCCUUGCCAUUUUCUCCCUCUAACCGCGGGCUCCGUUGAGCCCGAGAGCUCGGCUCCGCCGGCCAUGUCGCCGCUGUGGCCACAGGUGCGUAAGCUCGAUUCCGAGCGCGUCACCACACUCACCACGUUUCCAGGAGCCUAAUGCACCACUCCCCACGCCUCGCCGUGCCCCGUAGCUUCGGGUUUAUCCUCGCCCGAACUCCGGCGACCGCCAAGGACGUCGCCGGCGUCAUUUCCGGCCUCCCCGAGCUCCACUUCCACCACCAAACACCGCGGCUUGCCCCCAGCUACGCGUAGGACCAAACCGCAGUUGAUUUGGUCGACUGUGGGCAAAACCCGAGCCCCUCCGCCGCGUCUGUCAUCGCCGGCGUCAAGCCGCCGGCGAGUUGACCACGUUUUGACCCGUGGACUAACGUGUGGGCCCAAGUUGACUUCCCCCCUGAGCCUGUGACAGGUGGGGCCGGCCUGUUAAUUAGUUUAUGAUUAGUGUUAACUAAUUUUAGUUAGUUUAGGUCACUGACAUGUGGGCCCAGGCCCCACUGAUAGUUAAUUAGUACUAACCUAAUCCUGUUAGUUAGCUGAGUCACUGACAGACAGGGCCCACCAGUCAGGUUUGACUGGCCCUGGCGCCUUUGACUCGCUGACGUCACAGUGACGCAGUGCUGACACAAUUAUUCUUUUUCUGGAUUUAUUUUUAUAUAGGAAAUUCCAAAAAAUAGCCAAAACUUCUAAAAAUCAUAGAAAAUGAACCAUAGCUCCAAAUCAAACAAAUUAUAUAUGAAAAAUGAUUAGAAAAAUUCAAUCUAUCCAUCUAUAAUGGUUUCAUGCAUGACAAACCACUUAAACCUUGCUGUUUAGGUGAAACAAGCUAAUACACUUUUUAUGCAUAAGAAUUUUAACUUCGAUUUGAAUCUUUGGUUCAAAUGGACCCCUUUUCAACUUGUUUCACAUUGCAUUAGGCAGGACACAUCAUUUUGCCAUGUCAUAGCAUGCAUCAUAUUGUUGCAUAUUGUCAUGUGUUGAUUAUGUUGUGUGUGUCCUUCGUGGUAGGUUCUGCCUCCGAGGAUAUCUCUGAGUAUCCAACUAAAGGGCAGUACCCUACUACCACUCCAUCAGGCAAGCAGCCCCAUUGAUCAUAUCGAUACAAUCCCAUGUUCUCGCCUCUGCUCUUAUUUACUGCAUUAAGACAACAUCGUUUCAAACUGUUGUGUGCUACGGUAGUUGAACCCUUAUCCUCUGCAUGACCUGUCAUUGCCACAAUAACUAGAUGAAACCCACUAGCAUGUGUAGGAGUUGAUUGAGCCAUGUAUGUGUUUCCUACCUUGCUAUGCCUGCUAUGCUUAGAGUUGUGUCAGGUCAUGUUCAUCUGGGUGAUGGGCUAGAGUGAAAUGAUUAUGUCGGUAAUGUGAGGGAUGUGUUGAACAUGUUUUGGUAAAGGUAUCGAUGAGAGGCCAUGUAGGAGUACAUGGUGGGUUGUUUCAUUGAGGCCGUCCCUAAGAACUGAGAUCUGUAUGUGUGAUUUAAGAUUCAGUUACUACCAUACAUUGGGUCCGAAGCCAAUGGACCCUCUCGGCUUCUUAAUCACCCUAGUACUCUGUCCAGGAGUUGCAAUUAGUUUCUGGUGUUUGUAGGUUAUGUGUUGGCGGCCGUGCAUAGCGCUGACCCUAGGGGUGGGCUAUGUUGCGGUAGAUACACCGUGGCACGGUGUAUCGAGUCACCCGUUUGGUGUCUUGGGAACCCUAUUCACAUCAUUCGGGGCCGUAUGUGGAAACCUUGGCCGGACUCCCUGCGGAUGGAACCUGGAUAGGCGAUAAACCUGGACUAGAGACUUGAGUGUUUAGGUAGGCCGUGGCCGACACCCUCGUUGGGCCUCCGCUUGAAGGUUGCCGAGUACAUGCCGUGUAAACGGCGGUAAGUGGUGAAAGCGUGUAUGAAGAAGUACACCCCUGCAGGGUUAACAUCAUCUAUUCAAAUAGCCGCGUCCGCGGUAAAGGACUACUUGGUUGCCUAUAUAGGUCAUAGACAAGUUAACGGUUACUACUAAAAGACUCAAGAUAAGUGUGAGUACCGAGGAUGGCCCUCUCGUAGGAUGACGAGGGAGGAUCCCCGGUGGAGUAUUGUGUUGGUGAUUAGCGGACUCGUGUGCGAAAACUAUUUUACUAGUGGAGUCUCGUAGGAUAGCUUAGCCAAGAGUCAAAGCUGGCUUGCUGCAAUAACUCCACCACCUUCUUGAGAAUGAGCAUGUAUAGUAGGUUCUGAUGUAAGACUUGCUGAGUACCUUUGUACUCAUGUUUGUUUAAUUACUGUUUUCAGACGACAACACCGCCCCCUCCGAUGGGUUUUAUGUAGAUCUCGACGUCAAUGAGUGACUUGUGACCCAGGUGGUGAUCCUGUCCAUGGAGGGCCCUAUGUAGAUAGACAGGCUUUGAGAAGCCUUCUUUCUUUCUAGUGUCUGUACUCAGACUAUUUGCUUCCGCAUGUGCUUGUAUGCUUGUAUGACUUGAGUGUCGGGUCAUGUGACCCCUACCUGUAUGAACAUGUUAUGUAUGGCUCUCUGGAGCCUUUAAAUAAAGUACUUGAGUUGUAGAGUUUUGUUGUGAUGCCAUGUUGUAUUUGCACAUAUCGAGCAUAUUGUGUGUAUGAUUGAAAUGCUUGGUAUGUGUGGGAUCCGACAAUCUAGUUGUUUAUCCUUGGCAGCCUUUCUUAUGGGGAAAUGUAGUCUAGUGUUCCUCGAGCCAUAGUAGUCCGCUACAGCCCGGUUCACCGGAGUCCUGCUAGCCCAGCACUACUGCUCAGGACAUUUGACUGGCCGGCAUGUGUUUCACUUCGUUCCUAUGUCUGUCCCUUAGGGGAAAUGUCACGCGGUGACAUCCGGAGUCAUGCCUAGCCUGCUACAGCCAGGGUUCCCCGGAGUCCUGUUAGCCCAAUGCUACAGCCCGGGUUCACUCGCUGAUGACCGACAUGCUCGAUGUGAUUCAUGUAUGCCUGUCUCCAUAGGUCUGUGCCGCUUUGGGUUCACGACUAGCCAUGUCGGCCCGGGUUCUCCGUCAUAUGGAUGCUAGCGACACUAUCAUAUACGUGAGCCAAAAGGCGCAAACGGUCCCGGGCCAUGGUAAGGCGACACCCGUGGGGAUACCGUGCGUGAGGCCGCAAUGUGAUAUGAGGUGUUACCGGCUAGAUCGAUGUGACUUGGAAUCGGGGUCCUGACAACACGCCUUGUCCUUCGAACAUAGAAUCAGACGAUAAGCUUCAAAAACCAGUUGAUAUCCCGGAGCUCAAACCACUAAGUCCGGAAGAUCUUCGGACUCCGGACCCAAAAUUGGGUCAGGGCUCGGAUUUAAUUCCACCCACCCACCCAGACAUAAGCGCUCUCUUGAGCACGCAUCAGCAAUUUCGGGAAAUGGUCCACCACUUUUGGGCCAGAUUCCUCCUUGUCCAACACAAGAUCAAAGAUUGCCGCGACGAAGAUGCGAUCUCAAUGUUUCGCAACAAUUGCAUGGACGAGGGAAUCCUCAACGCCAUCAACCGCCGUCACAUAUUACACUUUUCUGACUUGGCAACUAUCGUGCAGAAGUACAGCACAAUGGAAAGCGCCUGGAAAACUCAGGCAACACGGUGGGGACCAGCAGUCCCCACUCAACCCCUCAUUCAGACGAAAAGGGCGCACCCUCAUGGCACGCUGGGACAACUGGUAAAGAAACACAAGCCCGUUACGGGGCGUGGAACCAUUCUGGAAGGAUGGCUCGACGGGCCAUGGAAAAUACACACAACACCGGAUAGCAUACCAACCCACAACCUUAGAGCAUGUUGGAUACUCUGGCAGGUGGCCAAGAGCGGUGAAGAUAUCCUCACCAGGAAUACCCCAGAGCAACACGCCCCAGAAGACGACGACCUCAAAGUAUUGACGGUCAUCGAGACAUUCGCCUCAAACAAUAGGCGCAAAAGGGCACUCCGCGAACUCAUCGAAGUCUGCCAGAUUGCAACAAUAAGCCCUUGGAACGACACGGCGAUAACCUUUAAUGCUGGCGAUGAGCCAAAAUACAUGACAGUCUGAGCACCAACCGCCUUGGUCCUCAGUCCAAUUGUGGAUGGCUUUCGGCUCACCAAGGUUCUCAUGGACGGUGGCAGUGGACUAAACCUCAUCUAUGAGGAUACAAUACAAAAAAUGGAAAUAGACAGGAGCCGCAUCGAGCAAAGCAACACGACCUUCCGAGGAAUCAUUCCCCGUCGAGAGGCACAGUGUGCGGGAAAAAUCACACUCGACGUGGUAUUCGGCACACCGGAGAACUAUCGGUCCGAAGAAAUAACCUUCCAAGUGGCCCCUUUCAACAAUGGAUAUCACGCCCUCUUAGGGCGAGAUGCAUUUACGCGCUUCCAAGCGGUACCCCAUUAUGGAUACAUGAAGCUUAAGAUGCUUGGGCCCAACUGUAUAAUCACUCUAGCUAGUGAUCCGGACAUAGCACUCCGCGCCAAGAAUAAAACCGCAUCCUUGGCCCUAGAGGCAUUAUCUGAAGCCCUCGCGGCUGAAGAAUUAACCGUGUUACGAUCCACGGUGGACAGGGACGAUGUGGUCCUAGACAAACAACCCAAAUCCACCUCCUUCAAACCAGCAGAAGAAAUAGUCAAAUUCCAAGUCCAUCCAACGGACCCCAAGAAGACAUCAUCCAUUGGAGCACAACUAGACCCAACGGUUGACGCCGUGCUACGAGAGUUCCUGCGUGAGAAUUGGGAUAUAUUCGCCUGGCACCCUUCUGAUAUGCCAGGAAUCCCACGCAAGUUGGCCGAACACAGCCUCAAUAUACUGAAGGGAUAUAAACCGGUCAAGAAAACACUGCGGCGCUUUUCCGAACCCAAACGUCAAGCUAUGGGGGAGGAGCUAGCCAAGCUAAUCGAGGCAGGAUUCAUUAGAGAAAUAAAACAUCCGGACUGGCUGGCAAACCUGGUGAUGGUGCCAAAGAAGGACAAGUCCUGGCGCCUAUGCAUGGAUUUCAAAGACCUCAACAAGGCUUGCCCUAAGGAUCCCUUCCCCCUCCCCUGCAUUGACCAGAUCAUUGAUGCUACUGCAGGACACGACUCAUUAUGCUUCCUUGACGCAUAUUACGGAUACCAUCAAAUUAAAUGAAGGAGUCCGAUCAAGCUGCAACAACAUUCAUCACCCCAUAUGGGCCAUUCUGCUUCAACACCAUGCCCUUCGGACUCAAGAACGCCGGCGCCACUUAUCAACGCAUGAUCCAAACAUGCCUGGAGAAACAGAUCGGAAAGACAGUUGAAGCCUAUGUGCAUGACGUCGUAAUCAAGACAAGGCAUGUCGAAACAUUAAUAGACGACCUACGCCUCACAUUUGACAACCUCCACGCAUAUGACAUUAAGCUCAAUCCAGAAAAGUGUGUUUUUGGCGUCCCCACAGGAAAGCUGCUGGGCUUCAUCGUUUCCAAUAGAGGAAUUGAAGCAAAUCUAGCCAAAAUCCGAGCUCUGUCACAAUUGGCUACGCCAACAGACCUUAAACAAGUCCAAAACCUCGCGGGUUGCAUGGCAGCUCUAAGCCGCUUUAUCUCUAGAUUGGGAGAAAAGGCACUGCCACUCUAUUGUCUUCUACGGUGAACCGAUCACUUCAAGUGGAUGGACGCGGCAACAACCAGACUGGAAGAAAUAAAAACCCUUCUAGCGAGCAACCCAAUCCUGGCGGCACCAAACGUCGGCGAACCCAUGUUGAUAUACAUAUCGGCAACACAUCAGGUGGUGAGCGCCGUACUCGUCGUUGAACGAGAACAGGACGGACACAAAUUCCCACUUCAGAAGCCAGUAUACUACGUAUCCACUGUCCUUACACCAUGCAAAUCCUGGUACCCCCAUUAUCAAAAGGUAGCAUACGUGGUAUUCAUGUCAUCCCGAAAGCUACGACACUACUUCCAGGAGUGUUCGAUCACGGUGGCUUCCGAAGUACCACUCAAUGAUAUAAUAAACAACCGUGAUGCCACGGGCCGGAUUGCCAAAUGGGCCAUUGAUCUCCUCCCAUUUGACAUUACAUAUAAACCACGUCGAGCUAUUAAAUCCCAAGUACUGGCUGACUUCGUCGCCGAAUGGACAGAGGCCGAACUCCCUAAAGAGUACGACCCAUAUUCCAAUUGGGUUAUGUAUUUUGAUGGCUCCAAAAUGCUGGCAGGACUAGGAGCGGGCGUCGUUUUAAUGUCCCCUACUGGAGACAUCGUUCAGUACAUACUCCAAAUACUAUACACAGACUUCAAUAACGCAGCCGAAUACGAGGCCUUAUUGCAUGGUCUCCGGAUGGCUGUCUCCAUGGGCAUACAACGUCUGGAAGUGCUCGGGGACUCAAACCUCGCAAAUAUCUCAAAUAAAUGGAGACUUCGAUGCCAAAUACCCGAAGAUGGCAGCUUAUCGUAAUGUCCUAAAAAUAUCAGCUCGGUUCGAGGGCUCGAGUUCCAUCAUGUUGCCCAAGAAAGUAAUCAAGCGGCGGACGUUCUUGCUUGCAUAGGCGCUAAGCGCGACCCCGUCCCACCUAACAUUUUUCUGGAAAGGCUUUUUAAGCCAUCCGUGGUGUGGAAGGGGGAGGGCGGCAACACUAGUCCGGAUCCGAACACAACCCCAGAUUCCGAACACAUCGAUAUCGUCGGAGGCUCAACCACCGAAAUAACACCGCUGACCCAUCUCAUUAUGGAAGUCAUUGCCCAAUGGACCGAACCAUUCUUGGCCUACCUUAAUAAGAAGGAGCUUCCUGAGGAUCAGAAUGAGGCCCGCUGCAUUGUCCAGCGUUCGAAGGCCUACAAGGUUCAUGAUGGAGAGCUCUAUAAGAAAAGCGCUGUAAGUGCAUCUAGUGCCACCCCUAGUUGGUUUUGGAGUAUUGAUGACAAACCUGGUUGAGGGACAAAUGUGUUUGUGAGAAUUGCAGGAUAACACAGGUAGAAGUCCCUCAUUGAUUCAGUUUUCCUACCAAAGAUGACCCCUAAAAAUGUAUGAAGACAUUGAAGCCAAAGGUGGUAUGUGAAGACAUUCACAUUGAAGACUAUGACAAGAGAAGACAUCGCAUGAAGACUAUGGAGCGCGAAGACUUAGUUGUUUCGUUGUUCUUUUUCUUCUUUGUUGAGUCAUAGGAACCACCGUACUGUUAAGUGGGGUCCAAGAGAACCAGUUAGAAUGACUGAAGUGAUGCUUAACCAAAAUCCUAUGUCUUCAAGUGAAGACUAUGCGAGCAAAUCUUGUCCAGAGUUGGAUAAGUCAGCUUUGCUUGUAGCCCAAGUAAAGUUGCCGUGUGUGUUUGAAAUCUGACCGUUGGAACACGUGUCAGUUCCUUAGUGAUUGAGGGUCAUUUCGGACAAAUCAGGUCGGGUUGCCUAGUGGCUAUAAAUAGCCCACCCCCUACAACCAUAAACGGUUGGCUGCUCAGUGUUAGUGCACGACUUUUGUCGUUUGAGAGCAACCCACCUCGAAGCCUUUGAGAGAGAAUUCCUUGCGAGGAUAAAGCCCUAACCACCCAGAGCCAAAGAGAGUUAGGCAUCACUGAAGUCUUCAUGUCUGUGUGAUCUAAAGACUUAUUACACUUGAGGACUGUGAAUCCUCCAGCCAGUUAGGCGUCGCGUUCUGAGCAUCCAAGAGUCAUUGUGGAUCGCCGGUGAACGAAGUCUGUGAAGGUUUGGAAGUCUACCUUCAAGACUUACCAGAGUGAUUGGGCAAGGACUGGGUGUCCUUAGCUCAAGGGGAAUAAAGUGAAGACGCGGUCUUCUGAGUUGAAUCUCAGCCUACCUAACCAGACGUACAGUUGUCACAACAACUGGAACUGGUCCAACAAAUCAUUGUCGUCAACGAGUCACUGGUUUCAUCCUUCCCAUUCCUUUACUUACUGUUGGCCCUGGUGAAGUCAUUGCAUGAUUGCCUUAUCUUUUGUCUUCAUUGAGUGACUGCUUGUUCUGAUUGGCUUCACUAUAUCUUCCUACCUGAUCUUUACUGCCUAGCUGCUAUUAGUCAUUGUGCUUUCAGUUCAUUUAAUACUUGACUAUGGUUUGCCUAGUGUAGUCUACCUUCCGCUGCAUGGUAAUAGGUUUAUUUCUAUCUUUUGUCUUCGAAACUUCCAUGUUUUGAAGACUUUCAUAAAAAUCGCCUAUUCACCCCUCUCUAGUCGAUCACCAGCACUUUCAAUUGGUAUCAGAGCAAGGUACUCCCUUGUUCUAUGUGAUUCGGUUUAACCACCUGGAGUUUUAGCUAUGUCGACUACAGGGAUAAUCAAAGUCUCCGCUGCGUGCCUAGUCUUCGAUGGAACUGAAUAUCCCUACUGGAAGAAUAAGAUGCGCAUGCAUCUUGAAGCCAUUGAUGUCGACCUAUGGUAUGUCGUCAAGAAUGGCGUUCCCAAGGCUGGUGAAGGUGUCACCGCCGCUGAUGUCAAGAAGUUCGUUCAACUGGACUCCACUGCCAAGAACAUCAUCUGUGGUCAUCUGACCAAAGGACAGUAUGGCCAUGCGAGUGCUUUGGAAACAUCUAAGCUAGUCUGGGACUGGAUCUACAGGGUCAACGAAGGUGUCUCAACCUAGAGAGAUCAGAGAAUCAGUGUCCUUCGCAACCUCUUCAACCGCUUCAAGAGAAAUGACAAUGGGAAUGUUCAGCUCAUGUUUGAUCGACUCGCUGACAUCACAAAUGAGCUUCAAGCCCUCGGCGCCACUGAGAUCACCAAGCAUGAAGUCGUCAAGACACUCCUGAGAUCACUUGACAGCUCGUUUGACACCCUAGCCCUGAUGAUUCAAGAACAUCCUGACUUCAAAACACUCGAUCCGUCUGACAUACUUGAGAGGCUCAACACACACGAGUUUCAGCUUUCUGAGAAAAGAGACAUCUACGGUCCAAACUAUGGGCGAACUCGUGCCUUGAAGGCAAAAGCUAUAUCCUCAUCUAAAGAAGAGUCUGACAGCAGUUCUGAUGAUCCUGAAGACAUUGGAAAGGAGCUUGCUAUGCUUGUGAAGAAGUUCCAAAAAUUCACCAAGAAGAAAGGCUGCAGAAAGUCCUCACGAUCAAGCUCAAGAAAUGAUGAAGCUUCUGCUCAUGACUACAAGAAGAAAACAUGCCACAAGUGCAAGAAACCUGGCCACUACAUCUCCGAGUGUCUGCAGUGGGACAAUGAGAACAAGAAGAAAAAGAAGAGCAAGGAGUAUGAUUCUGACGACAAGAAGAAGAAGAAAUACUCAAAGUCUUCUUCCAAGUCCUCCUCAAAGUCUUCAUCACACAAGAAGAGCUCAUCUGGCAAGGCACGUGCAUUUGCUGGCAAGGAAAUGGAUUCAGAGGAGGAGUCCGCUUCUGAGGAGGCGGAGGUGGAGUCUAAGGAGGAGUCCAAUUCUGGUGUUGUGAGACUGGCUACGGCAUACGUUGCCAAGUCCAUCUUCAACACUGAAGACAAUGACUCCGUCACCGACACCGAUGCAAAUGACAAGGACUACUCUGCUCCUACCUACUGCUUCAUGGCACGUGGUGCCAAGGUAAACACACGCACUACUCACUAUCAAACUUCCAGUGAAGAUGACUCUGAUUGUGGUUCCAAACCCAGCUACAAAACACUUGCUAAAAUUGCAACUGAACAACAGAAAGCUAUGGAACAUAUUCAAAAACUGUUAGACAGAAGCGAUGACCUGUUAGACGCUGAAAUGACUCGAUCUCAGUCCUUAAUUGAAGACAUAAAAAAUCUUCACGUUAAGUAUGAGGAACUUGAAAGUCAUCAUGAAACGCUCUCAACAACUCAUGAAAAGCUUUCCUAUGAUUAUCUUGAAAGGAAGCAAGAUCUUGAGAAAUUGAGAGUGGCUCAUAAAGAUCUUCAAAAGGAAAAUGAGUCACUUCGCGCCAAACAGAUCAGUUCCACUCAGGAAGGAUUUGAACCACCAUGUCUUAAAUGUAUUGAGCGUGACAAUGCUAAUUCUGUUGCUGGUUGUUCUACUGCUGCUACUAUUGCAAUAUCUUCAACUGCUGAUGUGCCAACUAACCCCUCUGUUGAGGAUGCCACUGCUGUUGCUGAUGAGAAUGCUAGGUUGAAGACAUUGCUUGAAACAGGUAUGUUCAAAAGCCUCAAAGGGCAUCGGACACUAUGUGAUGUCCUCAAAAGGCAGAUCCUGAACCAAAACCCUAGGAAAGAGGGUGUUGGGUUCAAAGGGAAAAUGAAUGCUGAUGGUUCUUACUGGAAACCUGAGCAGUACCCCAAAACCACAUGGGUUGCUGCAAAGGGACCUUCAGUGGAUCCAUCCACCCUAUCUGGCUUCACUUGUGCAAAUCCCAUUGUUAUUGAUGAAUCCUUUGAUGCAAACUAUAAACUGUUUAAGAAUCAGAAGGGUGAAGUGUUUGCCAGGUAUAUUGGUACUAACUGCAGGAAUGGACCGCCUAUGAAGAAGGUCUGGGUGCCGAAAAGGUGUUUGGAGAAUCUUCCUGUGAAUGUCGUCAUGACACCACAAGUGAAGAAGACAAACCCCAGACCACAGGCUUCAUACGGUCCAAAGGCUUCAUAUAGACAGAGGACUCACCUGAGUCGCACUAACGCAAAUGUUUUGCAGGGAAGCCAUACUCAGGCCUAUGAAUAUGAGCAUGUUUCAUCAAACCGCCAUGUUCAUAAGACCAAGAACUAUUCUGCUUAUUCUUAUGAGUACUAUUGUCCCCCUGCAAGAUUUUUUGCUAGGGCUCCAAAGCCAAAGUUCUCAGAUGCUGCACUUAGACUCAUUGCUUCAAAGCCACCCUUGAAGAUGUGGGUGGCUAAGAAAGCUUAACUCUCUUUUGCAGGGAAAGGUCUCCAGCUGAAAACCAAAAUCGUCUGAAGCUAUUGCUGGGGACCUUAAACAUCUUGUAGGGCGCAAGAUCAAAUGCCCAAAUGGUCUUAUUAUGUAUUUUGUUCCUGAGUCGCUUGCUACUUGCCCUAUCAGUCCUAACCUCGAUCUAAGCUUUCAUAAUCCACUUGCUCGUCAAAUGUUUUUGCUUCACAACUCUCUUCAUGAAGCCUAUCCCCCUAACUGCACUGUAGGGUACGACACCAGCUGCUUCAGAAUGGAUUAUUGAUAGUGGGUGUACUAAUCACAUGACUGGCAAGCGAAGUCUUCUUAUGGACUCAACCUUACGUCCAUCUGACAAAAGUCACAUCACAUUUGCUGACACUGGUAAAAGUAAGGUAUUGGGUCUAGGUAGAGUUGCAAUCUCAAAGGAUCAACACAUGGAUAAAGUCAUGCUUGUUGAAUCCCUUGGUUUCAACUUAAUGUCUGUCUCAAUGCUUUGCGAUUUAAACAUGAUUGUGAUGUUUGGAAAAUAUCGUUGUCUUGUUCUAAUGGAAUCUGACAAGUCUCUAGUGUUUGAAGGAUAUCGGAAAGAUGAUUUGUACGUGGUAGAUUUCUCAGCAGGACCACAACUUGCCGUAUGGCUUCUAGCAAAAGCUUCAGAAUGCUAGCUCUGGCAUCGGAGGCUAGGGCAUGCUGGCAUGAGGAACUUGCACACUCUUGCAAGAAAGAAGCAUGUCAUAGGCAUCGAGGGCGUCAAGUUCAAGAAGGAUCACUUAUGCGGUGCCUGUGAAGCAGGAAAGAUGAUGAGGGCCAAGCAUCCCUCGAAGACAAUCAUGACAACGACUCAACCGUUCGAACUGCUCCACAUGGACCUUUUCGGUCUCACUCAUUACUCAACUCUUACUACUACUGCUUGUCUCUAUGGCUUUGUCAUUGUUGAUGAUUAUUCAAGAUAUACUUGGGUGCAUAUAAUCCUCUACAAGACUGAAGUGCAGGAUGUCUUCAGACGCUUCGCCAAUCGAGCCAUGAACAACUAUGGCGUCAAGAUAAAGCACAUCAGAAGUGACAAUGGCACUGAAUUCAAGAACACUGGGCUAGAUACAUAUCUUGAUACUUUGGGCAUCACACAUGAAUUCUCAGCUCCGUACACGCCACAGCAGAAUGGCGUCGUCGAACGCAAGAACGGAACACUUAUUAAGAUGGCUCGGACGAUGCUUGAUGAAUACAAGACUCCAAGAAAAUUCUGGCCUGAAGCCAUUGAUACUGCAUGCCAUAUCAUCAACCGUGUUUAUCUUCACAAGCUUCUGAACAAGACAUCCUAUGAGCUCCUUACUGGCAAGAAGCCAAAUGUCAGUUACUUCAGAGUAUUUGGUGCCAGGUGCUGGAUUAAGGAUCCACAUCACACUUCAAAAUCUGCACCAAAAGCACAUGAAGGUUUUAUGCUUGGAUAUGGAAAGGAUUCGCACUCCUACAGAGUCUUCAACCUCUUUCACCAUAAUGUGGUUGAAACUGUGGAUGUGCGGUUCGAUGAGACUAACGGCUCGCAAAGAGAGCACCUGCCAAAUGUGAUAGAUGAAGUUCCAUCCAGUGAAUCAAUCAAACUUAUGGGAACUAGAGAAAUCAUACCAUCUGAAGCUCAGCCUGAAGAGGAACUUAUCAUCUCCGCACCUGAUCAACCUGAAGACAAUGCUCAGCCUAAAGACAAUCCUUCUAACGAUGAAAAUGAUCAGCAAGAGCAAAAUCUUUGUCCUGUACAUCCUCGUGUUGCAAAUGAAGUGCAGAUUCAGAGAAUAAUUGAUAGCAUCAAUGCACCAGGUCCACUCACUCAUUCAAAGGCAACACAGCUAGCAAAUUUCUGUGGACACCUCGCAUUCGUCUCAAUAUCUGAACCCAAGAAAGUUGAUGAAGCCUUCAUGGAACCUGAAUGGAUUCAAGCUAUGCAAGAAGAGCUUCAACAGUUUGAGCUGAAUAAUGUUUGGGAACUGGUUAAGCGUCCCGAUCCUCGCAAGCACAAUAUAAUAGGCACCAAAUGGAUAUACCGCAACAAGCAAGAUGAGCAUGGUCAAGUUGUCAGAAACAAGACUUGUCUCGUUGCUCAAGGAUACACUCAAGUUGAAGGGAUUGACUUCGAUGAGACAUUUGCUCCUGUGGCUAGACUUGAAGCCAUAGGCAUACUGCUGGCCUAUGCAAAUCAUCAUAACAUUCUUCUGCAUCAAAUGGAUGUGAAGAGCGCUUUUCUCAAUGGCAAGAUUGAUGAAGAAGUGUAUGUUGCACAACCGCCUGGCUUUGAAGAUCCAAAACAUCCUGACAUGGUGUACAAGCUCAACAAGGCACUGUAUGGCCUCAAACAAGCCCCUAGGGCUUGGUAUGACACACUCAAAGAGUUCCUGAAGAGCAAAGGCUUCAAACCUAGUUUCCUCGACCCCACUCUCUUCACGAAGAGAUAUGAUGGUGAACUGUUUGUGUGCCAAAUAUAUGUGGAUGACAUUAUCUUCUACUGCACCAAUCAGAAAUACACUGAUGAGUUUGGAUAUAUGAUGCAAGAGCAAUAUCAGAUGUCCAUGAUGGGAGAGCUGAAGUUCUUCCUUGGUCUUCAAAUACGUCAGCAACACAACGACAUCUUUAUAUCUCAAGAGAAAUACCUCAAAGAUUGCCUGAAGAAAUUUGGAAUGCAAGAUUGCAAAGGCUACACGACGCCAAUGCCAGCCAAACAUCAUCCGGGUCCCGACGACAAUGGUAAAGAGUUCGAUCAAAAGGUAUAUCACUCCAUGAUUGGUUCCUUGCUUUAUUUAUGUGCAUCUAGGCCAGAUAUCAUGCUUAGUGUUUGCAUGUGUACCCGGUUCCAAGCGACACCAAAGGAAUCGCAUCACUUAGCUGUGAAGCGAAUUCUCAGAUAUUUGGCUCACACCCCAACACUAGGAUUAUGGUAUCCAAAGGGCUCAGAGUUUGAUCUAGUUGGAUUCUCGGAUGCUGAUUAUGCUGGUGACAAGGUGGAUCGCAAGUCUACAUCAGGCACAUGUCAUUUUCUGGGACGAUCACUUGUAUGUUGGUCUUCAAAGAAGCAGAACUGUGUAUCUCUCUCCACCGCUGAAUCUGAAUACAUUGCUGCUGGAUCUUGCUGCACUCAGCUUCUAUGGAUGAAGCAAACACUCAAAGACUAUGACAUUCACCUGAAGCAAAGUGCCACUCUAUUGCGACAACGAAAGUGCCAUCAAGAUUGCCAACAACCCAGUUCACCACUCAAAGACAAAGCACAUUAAAAUUCGUCAUCACUUUCUUAGAGAUCAUGUUGUGAAGGAAGAUAUUGAUAUCAUACACGUCAACACUAAAGAGCAAUUGGUAGAUAUCUUCACCAAGCCCUUGGAUGAGAAGAGGUUUUGCAAGUUACGGUGUGAGCUAAAUAUCUUGGAAUCCUCAAAUGUCCUGUGAUCAGGCACACAUCCUAACACUUAUGCAUGUUGAUGACUUAGAUGUGCAACACACGAAGUAAAGUAUAUCUUCAAUAAAUGAAGACUUACAUUCUGAGUGUGAAUACAUUAACAUGGAAUUUGACUUUGGAUCACCACGAUAAUUGUGCGUCGUGUCUGGGUCUAAUACUUCCUAUACGGUGGGUAACGCCACCACCAAAUUCUUCUGUUGAAGUGUUUUACCCAUGACGUUACAUUUGCUAUGUCUUCACAUUUGGUUUGUCUUCAUUUUCAACUUGUCUUAAUGAUUAUCUUCACUAUGUUGAUAUGAUUGUCUUCUGGUAUAUACUGAUUUGGUUUGGUUUCUGUUCUCUACAGCAUUCACUUAUAGCUAUGGCUUCCUGAUGAAUCUUUUGAACUAAGUGAAUGUGAUCGGACCCUUACCCCUCUAUGCUUCUUUCCUAAGUCUAUCUAUCCAAAUCAUAUGCAUUCUAUUGACACAGUCAAAUGUCUUCUCUGCAUCCAUGUCAGCAAAAGACACCGAGACAAACAUUAAUCCGUUUUCAAUGCUAAAUCCUUUCACCUAAAACCCGGAGAAGUGGGAACGACCACCCGACAAUCCAGGCGUGCGUGGGAACGUGGAACAACCUUCGAUGUGUUGCAUGAUAGCCACGUGUCCUUCAGAUGUGAAUCGCCAGGGGCACUUGUGUAAUAACUCUAUGCUGUCCCUAUCCCUAUAAAUACGCACCUCACCAUAGUCAUUAUCCCUUCUUCCACUCUCGCACAAACCCUAGAGCCACCGCUAGCCCUCAACGACGUCGCGACUAAUCGCUUAGCUGCCGCGACCUGUAACGCCCCGAGACCUAUGUGCCAGGUGUCUUCCAGUUAUUCGCUGUCGUUGCCAUGUAUUUGCUUGCGUGUCAUGCAUCUCAUAUCACGUAGUCAUGUGUUUUUCAUUUGCAUACAUGUUUGUCUCAUGCAUCCGAGCAUUUUCCCCGUUGUCCGUUUUGCAAUCCGGCGCUCCUAUGUCAUCCGGUGUCCCUUUCUACCUCUUUUCAUGUGUGGGUGUUAAACAUUUCUGGAUUGGACCGAGACUUGUCAUGCGGCCUUGUCUUACUACCGGUAGACCGCCUGUCAAGUUUCGUGCCAUUUGGGCUUCAUUUGAUACUCCAACGGUUAACAGAGGGACCGAAAAGGCCUCGUGUGUGUUGCAGCCCAACACCCCUCCAAAGUGGCCCAAAACCCACCUAAAACCCCUCCAUCAUCUCGGUCGUUCGAUCACGAUCGUGUGGCCAAAAACCGCACCUCAUUUGGAGCUUCCUAGCUCCUCCUACCAAUAGAAAGGUCCCUCCAUCAAAAUUUCCGGAUCAAAACACCCCCUAACCCUAGCCCCGCUCCUCUCCGCGCGGGCGGACACGUCCGCCGCCGCCGGACAUUCCCGCUGCCGCCACUCCUGUCACGCCACGUGGCGCGUGGCCGCUCUCCCCGCCACCGGCCCGGGCGAGCCUGAUUCGGGCCCCCCGAGCCCAUCUCCUCCACGCCGCCCCCCCCGUUCCAGCCGAGUCGCGCCGCUCCUCGCGCCAACCGCGCCGCCUGCCGCGCCCCUCGNNNNNNNNNNNNNNNNNNNNNNNNNNNNNNNNNNNNNNNNNNNNNNNNNNNNNNNNNNNNNNNNNNNNNNNNNNNNNNNNNNNNNNNNNNNNNNNNNNNNNNNNNNNNNNNNNNNNNNNNNNNNNNNNNNNNNNNNNNNNNNNNNNNNNNNNNNNNNNNNNNNNNNNNNNNNNNNNNNNNNNNNNNNNNNNNNNNNNNNNNNNNNNNNNNNNNNNNNNNNNNNNNNNNNNNNNNNNNNNNNNNNNNNNNNNNNNNNNNNNNNNNNNNNNNNNNNNNNNNNNNNNNNNNNNNNNNNNNNNNNNNNNNNNNNNNNNNNNNNNNNNNNNNNNNNNNNNNNNNNNNNNNNNNNNNNNNNNNNNNNNNNNNNNNNNNNNNNNNNNNNNNNNNNNNNNNNNNNNNNNNNNNNNNNNNNNNNNNNNNNNNNNNNNNNNNNNNNNNNNNNNNNNNNNNNNNNNNNNNNNNNNNNUCGACGACGCCCCACCGCGCCCUCUCGCUGACGCCGCCCCGCCGCCUCGGCCGCCAUGCGCCGCCAUCUCCGCCAUCGCCGGCGCAGCUGCUCCGGUCACCGCCCGGUGCUCCGGCAGCCGCAGGCUCCUUGCCGGCCACCGCCGUCCUUGACGCCGUGCCGCCUCCUCUCGACACCGGCAAGCUCGUCGGAGGAGCCCCGUUGCCGGCCGCCCCAUCCAGAUCCACUGGAAGGUGGGAUCAGAUCCACCGGCGCACCCAACCAAACAUCAUCCCUGAUCCCGGAUCCCUCCGUCCUGAUCCGCGAGAUCCGCUUUUCCCGGGGUGAGAUUUUCCCUAAGUCUUUUCCCCCCAAUAUUUUUUGGGCAUUUUCAUCGCAUCAUUACUCAUCACCCGUAACUCCGAUUCGUGUGUGUAGCAUAUCAAAAUGUUCGUCUCGACGAGUACAUCAUUUCUUCUCGUUGCAUCAUUUUCAUUUGAGCUCAUCUUUAUGCCCGAAAUGCUAUUGGAAGAGGGCUAUGUGAUAUAUUUGCCAGAUGUGUUUCAUCAAAUAGAUAUUUGUCAUUUUUGCCAUGUUUAAUGUGUGCAUGAUAUGAUCCUGAGCUCUACAUGUGUUUUGUUUUAUGCCAUGCCAUCUUUACAUAGGUGCUUGCCAUGUAUUUUUGUGGUGUUUGUGGUGACUAGCACAAGCUUGCAAAGUAGUGUAACCGGUAAUGCUGAUUUCAGGGACUUAGAAUUUCACCAAGUCCUUGUCUUGAUUUUGUCGCUAUGCCAUAUGUUCAUGUUGUUUCCUACUAAUCGUGCCUCUUUUGAGGAUGAUCAGUAAGGAUGUUUUGUUAACAUUGUGGUGCUCUAUCCAUCCAUUUCUUUGUUUGCAUUUAUGGAGCACCCUAGCUUGAGUCAAUCGAGCUCUACUUUCGCUAUUUCGUGAAUCCUGACAGAUUGUUGACUUGUUAGCGAUUUUGCCGAGGAUGUUUCUAUUGAUCCGUGCAUGCUAUGUUCUUGUUCUUUCCAUGUCUAGCUUCUAUGCCAUGUAUUAUUGAUGGGUGUAUGCUUAGUUUGUCAUGCCAUGCCCUGUAGUGAGUGCAUCGAGCUCGUAAACAUGCCUACUCACUAAUCUGUUUUGCAUGCUCUAGUUUUUCACUAAGUCUGAAUCUGUUUAUGUUUUUGCCAUGUGCACAUGCUUGCAAUUGUAUUUUCUGAUCCCUUUUGGCUCAAGGUCACUAAGGGACUUUUUCUAAGUGCUUUGAGUAGCUUCAUGCCAUGCCUUGCUUUGCUAUGUUAAGUUCCUGUAGCAUGUAGUUUUCAUGCUCUAAAAUGUGCUUCCUGAGGAUAAAUUCCAGACUUGUGUUAAUUUCACUAAGUCUGAAACCUGUUAUCAUUUGCCCUUUUGCCAUGCUUGUUUGAACCUGUUAAUGAGUGAAUUAGCCGUAGCUCAGUGUUCAUCUUUUGUCAAGCAUCUUGAGUGGAUCCCUGCCAUGUAUUUUUUUCCAUGUUUGAGUGCUGUAGCAUAUUUAUCUUGAUGCAUUUAGAUGGCUACUUGCUGAUUAUCGCAGUCCGAUGCCAUACUUGUUUUGCUUGCCAUUUCCAAACCGUGCAUCCGAUUCCGGUGAUCUUUAUAUCAAUUUGAACCGAAAUCACCUCACCUUUCUAGUGGCACUCUUGGAUUUCCAUGUUGAGGCCAGGUUCAAUCAUUCCUUUGCAAAUCAUGCAUAUGCAUCGCAUCCCGCAUCCCGCAUAUCAUACCAUGUUCAUGUGUUGGUUGUUUACUAUGUUGUGUGCUUUUUCCUGGUGUUUGCUUCUUCGGGUUGGUUCCGUUAUCGUCGUGUUUGUGAGGACCCGUUUGACUACGUCUGUUUCUCUUCUUCAUGGACUCGUUCUUCUUCCUUGCGGGCUUUCAGGCAAGAUGACCAUACCCUCGAAAUCACUUCUAUCUUUGCUUGUUAGACGCUCGCUCUUUUGCUAUGCCUAUGCUGCGAUACCUACCACUUUCUUAUCAUGCCUCCCAUAUUGUUAAGCCAAGCCUCUAACCCACCUUGUCCUAGCAAACCGUUGUUUGGCUAUGUUACCGCUUUGCUCAGCCCCUCUUAUAGCGUUGUUAGUUGGAGGUGAAGAUUGUAGUUUGUUCCUUGUUGGAACAUGGAGAUGUUGUUCCUUGUUGGAACAUGUCUAUUUAGUUGGGAUAUCACAAUAUCUCUUAUUUAAUUAAUGCAUCUAUAUACUUGGUCAAGGGUGGACGACUCGGCCUUAUGCCUGGUGUUUUGUUCCACUCUUGCCACCCUAGUUUCCGUCAUAUCGGUGUUAUGUUCCCGGAUUUUGCGUUCCUCACGUGGUUGGGUUAUAAUGGGAACCCCUUGACAGUUCGCCUUGAAUAAAACUCCUCCAUCAAGGACCAACCUUGGUUUUACCAUUCGCCACCUAGCCUUUUUCCCUUGGGAGUCGCGCAUCCCGAGGGUCAUCUUUAUUUUAACCCCCCCGGGCCAGUGCUUGUCUAAGUGUUGGUCCGAACUAGAGUCCUUUGCAGUACCACCUCAGGGAAACUUGAGGGCUGGUUUUAGUUGUACGGAGCGCUCAUCCGGUGUUGCCCUGAGAACGAGAUAUGUGCAGCUCCUAUCAGGAUGUCGGCGCAUCGUGCGGUCUUGCUGGACUUGUUUUACCAUUGUCGAAAUGUCUUGUAACCGGGAUUCCGAGUCUGAUCGGGUCUUCCCGUUAGAAGGAAUAUCCUUCGUUGACCGUGAGAGCUUGUGAUGGGCUAAGUUGGGACACCCCUGCAGGGUUUUGAACUUUCGAAAGCCGUGCCCACGGUUAUGGGCAGAUGGGAAUUUGUUAACGUCCGGUUGUAGAAAACCUGAAGUUGAUCUUAAUUAAAAUACAUCAACCACGUGUGUAACCGUGAUGGUCUCUUUUCGGCGCAGUCCGGGAAGUGAACACAGUGUUGGAGUUAUGCUUGAUGUAGGUUGUUCUAGGAUCACUUCUUGAUCAUAGUUGUUCGACCGUGCUUUUGCCUUCUCUUCUCGCUCUCAUUUGCGUAUGUUAGCCACCAUAUAUGCUAGUCGCUUCUGCAGCUCCACCUCAUACCUUUUACCUUCCUAUAAGCUUAAAUAGUCUUGAUCGCGAGGGUGUGAGAUUGCUGAGUCCCCAUGACUCACAGAUACUUCCAAAAACAGUUUGCAGGUGCCGAUGUUACCGAGCAGGUGACGCAACCAAGCUCAAGGAGGAGCUCUAUGAAGAUCUUGUCCUUUAUGUUGUUCCAUUUCCAGUUGAUCAGUAGUGGAGCCCAGUUGGGGACGAUCGGGGAUCUGUGUAGCUUUUGGGGUAGUCUUCUUUUAUUUUGGCUCCGUAGUCGGGCCUUGAUUGUAUUUGGAUGAUGUAAUGGUUUAUUCAUGUAAUUGUGUGAAGUGGCGAGUGUAAGCCAACUAUGUAUCCCUGUCCCUUAUAUAUUACAUGGGUUGUGUGAAGAUUACCUCACUUGCGAGAUUGCUUUCAAUGCGGUUAUGCCUCUAAGUCGUGCUUCGACACGUGGGAGGUAUAGCCGCAUCGAGGGCGUUACACGACCUCACCGACGCCGUCUUCACGCCGGCCGCGGACAUCGUCUUCUCCGCCGUCGCCGUAGGUGUCCUCCGUUGCCAAGUUAGGGCACGGACGAUCGAACUGCUCGGCCUCCUCUCCCACACAGUCUAGCAGUUCUUCGUGUGGUAAAUAAAACUUCCUUUUUACGGCCCCCUUUGAUCCUAUAGAUUCAUCGCUUUCUACCACAAGAAGUUUCUAUUCACACAAGUUGGAUCUAUUUCAUACUGUAUCUCAUAAUAUGCCUAGUAUGUUCACUUAUGCUUCACAAAGAAGUUAGAUUCCUCACUUGUACUUAUUCGUGGAUUCGUACAAAUCUGGAACCAACUCUUUAUCUAUGAGUGAAUGUCUUCGCACUAUGAGGUCAAUGUCUUCUAAACUGAUUUAUCUUCAAAAACUUCUAAGAAUGCAUAUGAGCUCUUCCCCUUCCCUCGCACCUUAAUGCUGUCACAGGUACAUGUCCGUGGGAGAAUCCCGUGCUUCUCAUAGUCUGCAUUCGUUUGCAGAAUUCUUAUAUCAUCACAUUAACUCUCCCGAAGCCAGUUCCUGUUUGUCCAAAAAACGGAAGCCUUUGAAGCCUUUGAACGUGUUGAAGCCUUUCAGUUUAAACUUCAUGGCACCAGAGAAACCUACAAGAAAGUGCGGCAGACAGCGCCGUGGGGGUACAUCAAUGGACCUGCCCGAAGAUCUUUAUGAACUGUAUAAAACUGACCCCGAAGAAAGCUAUGGUCAGCGCAAGACACGAAUCCAAUGGAUUCGAAGAUACUAGGCAGAGCAAUGGUUCAAGUACAGGUUUGUGACCCAGGAAUAUGCUGAGAAGAAUGCUAUCAAGCGACCGUGGGGAGACAUCCUAUACAAAAAUCUUCAACCCAAGUCCAGAGUUGAAGCCAUUGAACAAGGCUUCUAUCCUUGCAUGGUCCGUGGACCGCAGCCUGCGGAUGCAGACCCAUCUUCAAUACUGUUGUGCCGCGAUGAUAAUCUGUUCAAGCGCAACCUUUAGUUUGCCAGGAACUCGGCCAAAGAGAACAAGAAGUCACGAGGCUUAGACUUCAAUCCAGGCCCCUCAGCUCCUCGUGCUGAUGGCACACGCGAAGCUGAACCCAAUUGACGGUGUACUGGACUAGGGGGUACUCACCACGUCGUCUCCCGAUCUAUUAGAUUGGGCCGAGGCCCCCCAUGGCCGUAUACUCAUGGGCCAGUUUGGACAGCUGCCGCAUACAAGGAAGAUUCCACAAAGACUUGGCGAUCAAGACAACGACUUCUCCCCAUCGGCGUAUUCGGCUAGGACUCUUGUUAACCUAGGCCUCUGGUGCAUUAUAUAAACCAUGGCCAGGCUAGUCGAUAGAAGAGACAACAUACAAAAGAACAAUCAUACCAUAGGCUAGCUUCUAGGGUUUAGCCUCUCCGAUCUCGGUGUAGAUCUACUCUUGUACUGCCCAUAUCAUCAAUAUUAAUCAAGCAGGACGUACGGUUUUACCUUCAUCAAGAGGGCCCGAACCUGGGUAAAACUUCGUGUCCCUUGCCUCCUGUUAUCAUCCGGCCUAGACGCACAGUUCGGGACCCCCUACCUGAGAUCCGCCGGUUUUGACACUGACAUUGGUGCUUUCAUUGAGAGUUCCACUAUGUGAUCGACAAAAGGAUCGAUGGCUCGCCUGCAGAUCAACUGCGACUUCGACGUCUUUGUCACCAGUUCGACUGGUCACCUUGGUUCGACCAAGAAUUGCGCUUCGUGUUCGGAUCACCAUGUUCGGACGAGGGCCUUUAUCAAACAUCAACUCCGAUCUCUAUCAAGAUCACGGAGGAAUCAUCUAUGGAGCUCGGGGGCUCAACAUCAACAUUGCCCUCAAGCGACCAUGCUGUUUUUUUGGACAGCGAACUCGUAUCUGCCGCCACCACCUCCUCGAGUAUCGCUUUGACGAUCGCUUUGGUGGAAUUGUGCGGAAUUGAGUCUAUAACAACCCUGGAAAAUUUCGUCGAGUUCUGAUGGAGGAAUCUCUGGCAAUCCACGAUAUACCGGAGCCCUGUCAAAUAUGGAUGGGAAUUUGGAUGAGUUUAGGGCGUGGUGUCCAGCUUCUAGCUCGGAGGUCCUUUGGAAGAUCCAACCGUUGAUCGGCUGCGGAAUUCCUAUAUCUGCCACCUCUCAAAAUUUCAGCUCGAUCCGACCGUCCAAACUCCAGGAACGUUCCGAUUAGUGCAUCACUUUUCGGAUCUGUUUUCUGCGCGAAAACGAAUCCGACCCGAGUUCAUCUUUUUUAUGAACGGGAUUUCGGACAUCCCUUUUGAAGGAAGUUUUGUAUGGGGUAUUGUGUUUUGUUCCGAAACACAUCCCACUAACUUUAAGAUCUUUUGAACAUGAUCUUCUGUCAGAGUAAUGGGCCACGGGUAGGCUAACCCGAGCCCCAGAAACUUUCAAGACAUCGGGGCAGGCUGCGCCCCUCAAGACCCCAGGACAAUGAGCCGCCUUCUGAGAAGUCCGCGGCAAUGCGACCGACUGCCCACUCGCGGCCGAGUUCCGGGGACGGCUUCAGGAUAAGCCGACUCCCGACUGGUGACUUCUAGAGAAGCCAGCCUUCGGGAGUCGGCCCACGACUCUAGCAAAACCCCAUGUCCUCAUCAAGAGGGACAUGACAGGGGAGUGGCUACAGUGAAGACUGCUCCCACCCCUUUCCAAAGGCAAGCAUGGUCAUAGUACGCCGUACCCGCGGAGAUCUCCGUGCGGCGUGGCACUGUCGCCAUGCUGGCCCUGACAUCAGCACCGGUGGACCGAAUCCUGCGCCCACGAUGGCUUGUCUGUACGACCUUUGGGUGACGGGUCCCACCGGCCAGCGGGAUCCCAGAAAAUGGCAGGUGCGCCACAAGUCGGACUCGUUGGGAGUCGGCCCCUGGGAGUCGGCCAGCUCCUCCCCCGGGGCCCACGCGCCAUUAACCAGAUGUGACGGAGAGUGGCAAUAGUGAUCGUCCGCCAGGCGGCGGGGCUGUUGCCACGACUCCAUGAUGAAGCCUGCAUCAUUAGAAGCGCGGCUACAGUAAUCAGCAGCCGGCAAGACCCACCCGCGGCGGACGCGGCCUGUCGGCUCUGUAGCUAGCAAGUCGGAGGGGCCCACCAGUCGGUGGGCCCCAGCAGUCAGCGGAGAAGACGGAGGCCGGAGGCACUGAUGGCUGGGCCCGCGCCCAGCCGGAUUACCGUUGCACCCCUAGGGGGUAGGCCUAUAUAAACCCCCCAGGGCACCCAUGCAAAGGGUUGGAAACCAUUAGCUCUAGACCAAAUCAUAUAGGAGGGAGAGAGCUAGCCUUGCCCUCUCCUGCCUCCAGAAAACAGCUCAAGGAGCAAUCGUGUAAACACUUGGCCAUAGUGAUCAUGCGGAGACCCCGCAGAGCAGUAGUAGGGGUAUUAUCUCCCCAGAGAGCCCUGAAGCUGGGUAAGAUUCGCCGGCGUGCAUGUCUACGCCUCAUCCCAUUUCCAGGUACCGGCGACAUUCUACUCCCCCCACCAUGAUAAGCCAUCCUUUGACAUAUGUCGCACCCAAUCCCCGACAUUUGGCGCCCACCGUGGGGCCUGGUGCACCGUCGUCUAGAGACCUGUUUUAGACGGGAACCCUUUUCCUCCCUGGCGAGCGCAGCCAGCCAGGCACGCCAGACGGAGUUUGCGUCAACGCGCUGCACGGCGUCGAGAUCGCCUGCGCCACUAGCCGCCUCGCCGAACAUGUCGGCGAGGUUCGCAUCUCCGACGAACCUGCAUCCGACGCAGGCACGGGCGGCUCCGAGAGCCUCCUCGCGGGCCUCCUUGAUCAACUCCACGUCGCCGGCGAGCCGGCCGUAGACUUGGAGUCUGUAGGUUCCACCGACCCGAUGCUGGUCGACUCCGACACCGCAUCGCUUGACGCGUUCCCCACUAAUGUGGUGGUCUACGACGAGCCUUUCCCUCGCGCGGAGAGCGACGGAAGCACCGUCACCGAGGUGCUCGUCAUUAGUCAUGACGAGCCUCCCGGCGGAGGAGCGCAUGACCCGCUUGGCGCGGCGCUACAAGACCUGACUGCGCCCAUUCCGGAAGACACUGACACGGAGACGUUGGAGGCGCGCCGCCUUUAGCUCGUCGAAGGUGCGAAGAAGCUGGCUAGCAUGAGACGCUUGUCAGAAGCCUACCAGCGAGAGAUGGAUCGCGCCGUUGGUGGCUCGCCAGCCCCAGCUGGGCCCAACCGCCUUGGCACGAUCCAGCAGCGCGGCGUAGCCAUCGCCGACCUGUUCGGGGCAAGACGCCCUAUGUAUGCUACACCUGCGGAGAACAUUCGAGCCGCCCAGGCGGCAGCGGACAAGCUGGACAAUUUCGAGGGCGAAGAGCGCCGCCUGAUGAUGGAGCGAGUCCAGCGGCUCCUCGACGCGGCUGCCGCAUAGAAUGAGGCCAGCUGCCGCACAGAGGCACCGCAGCGGCAAAAUGACAACCUUCGCCGAGCCACAGUCGGACUCACAUUACCAUAGAGCACGACCGAGAUGGCCGUCCUAGAGCAGUGGAACGAUGGGACGACUGCCCGCCUCCUCCUCCUCGCAAGGAAAGGCGAGUCUCCCCGCCGCUUGUUGAUCAUCCGACUCUUGGCGACCGCCUUGGCCGCUGAGAGGGAGUCGGGGAAAACGACGCCCGCCACCGGAUCGACCGGCUUCACCGAUCCCUGUCAUUGGAAGAAGAAGACAAGUUGGGUCCGCCUUGUUUCGGGCCCCGCAUUCGAGACGAGCCCUUUCCCAAAGGGUUCACGCUCCCAGGAGACACGCCCAAGUACACCGGCUCCGUGAAGCCGGAAGACUGGCUAGUCGACUACUCCACGACUGUCAGCAUAGCGAGCGACAACAAGCGUGUCGCCGUAAAAUAUGUCCCGCUCAUGCUCCAGGGCACGGCCCGGACAUGGCUGAACGGCCUGAAGCCUCGCAGCAUCAACAGCUGGGUCGACUUCACUGAAGCGUUCGUCCGCAACUUCACCAGCACGUACAAGCGUCCUCCCAAGCCUCGUCAGCUCUCCUUGUGCAUGCAAGGUCCCGACGAGUCGACUCGCGACUACCUCACGCGUUGGGCCGAGCUUCGGAACUCCUGCGAGGGUGUGCACGAGGUGCAGGCUAUCGAGUACUUCACCGCCGAGUGCAGAGAAGGCACCCUCCUCAAGCACAAGCUCCUCUGCAACGAGCUAGAAACCCUCGACGAGCUGCUGAUCGUAGCAGACAAGUACGCCAUGGCCGACUCCUCCAUGAAGGCGGAGAUUCAAGUUAGCGCAACUGGCAAAGUGGCCCCUCAAGCUCCAAGAUCUUCGGCGGGAGAUGCCAGUCGGCGGCAACAGCAGAGCGACCACAAGCGCAAGGCCCCGCAGCCGGCUUCCAGCAGCCGGCAGGUCGCGACAGUUGAAGCCCAGCAGCCGGAUGGGCAGCCUCCGCCCAAGCGACAGAAAGGCGGCAAGCCCAACUGGUUGCCAGCCUUCUCCUACGAGCAGACUCUGGAUGGACCUUGCAAGUUCCAUAGCGGCGCGAAGCCGUCGAAUCACACCACCCGGAAGUGCCACUGGCUCACCAAGAUCGCCGAGGGAGACAGCCUCUUACCUCCCCCGCCUGCUGGGCAGCCGCCUCCGCCUCCGCCCCAGCAGCCGGCUGUCAGACCAGUCGGCGCAGUACAAGACGAAUACCCCGAAGAACACGGAGCCUACAUGGUGUUUACCAGUAUGGCUGAUGAUCGACGCAGCAGGCGGCUGCAGCGACAAGAGGUGAAUGCAGUAGCAUCAGAGACGCCAGAGUUCAUGCACUGGUCCGAGAAGCCUAUCAACUGGAGCAGAGCUGAUCACCCAGAGGUGAUGCCUAGUCCAGUCUCUUAUGCUCUGGUCUUAGAUGCCACCUUUGCCACGGAUAGACAAGCUGCUCAUUUCUCGCGAGUUCUGAUAGACGGAGGCAGCAUCAUCAACAUCAUGUACAAAGACACCAUGGAGAAAUUAGGAAUCAAGCAAAGACAGCUUCAGAACAGCCGGACUGUGUUCCACGGCAUUGUUCCUAGGCUUUCCUGCUCACCAAUCGGCAAGAUCCUGAUGGACGUCCUCUUUGGAGACAAAGAUCACUUCCGCCGAGAGUCAGUUUGGUUUGAGGUGGUGGACCUUGAGAGCCCAUACCAUGCACUACUUGGCCGACCCGCCUUGGCCAAGUUCAUGGCGGUCCCCCACUACGCCUACCUCAAAAUGAAGAUGCCCAGCUCCAGGGGAAUUCUGACUGUAGCUGACGACUACCGGAAGUCGUCUGCCUGUGCGACUGAGAGCAGUUGGCUAGCCGACUCCUUGGUGAUCGCAGCCGAGAAGCGGCUCCUGGAACGGGUUGUGGCGAUGGCCGGCAAGCAGCCAGAGGUGUCGCCCAACCCAAAGGAGUCGGAGGCUGAGGGUUCGUUCAAGCCGGCCGAGGAGACAAAGAAGAUACCUUGGAUCCGGAGCACCCAGAGAGGUACGCUAUCAUAGGCGCAAACCUCGACAGCAAAUAGGAAGGCGAGCUCAUCGAUUUCCUCCGUGAGAAUCGGGACAUCUUCGCAUGGUCCCCUAAAGACAUGCCAGGUGUACCGACGGAAUUCACCGAGCACAAGCUACAUGUCCGAUCUGAUGCAAAGCCGGUCAGGCAGCCCAUGCGCCGCCUAUCAGAAGAGAAGAGAAGAGUUGUCGGAGAAGAGAUAGCCCGACUCCUAGCAGCCGACUUCAUUAUGGAAGUGUUCUUUCCAGAGUGGCUAGCCAACCCGGUCCUGGUACUGAAGAAAAACAAGCAGUAGCGAAUGUGUAUUGACUACACGAGCCUCAACAAGACCUGCCCCAAGGACCCGUUUGCUCUGCGAAGAAUUGAUCAGGUGAUAGACUCCACCGCCGGAUGCGAGCUACUGAGUUUUUUGGAUGCAUAUUCAGGUUAUCACCAGAUCAAGCUGAACCCAGCUGACAGACUGAAGACCGCCUUCAUCACACUGUUUGGAGCUUUCUGUUACCUCACCAUGACGUUCGGCUUGAGGAAUGCCAGUGCCACCUUCCAACGUUGCAUGCAGAAGUGCCUCCUCAAGCAGCUCGGUAGAAACGCCCACGUCUACGUGGACGAUGUGGUGGUGAAGACGGAAAAGCGUGGAACACUGCUGGAAGACCUCAGGGAGACCUUUGAGAACCUGCGCUGAUUCCAGAUCAAGCUCAACCCCGAGAAGUGCGUCUUCGGAGUACUAGCCGGCCAGCUCCUUGGCUUCCUGGUCCCUGAACGCGGCAUAGAAUGCGACCCUGUAAAGAUCAAGGCCAUUGAGAGGAUGGAGGUACCCAGCCGACUGCUGGACGUGCAAAAGUUCACCGGCUGCUUGGCAUCCAUCAGCCGAUUCAUUAGUCAGCUGGGCGAGAAAGCUCUCCCCCUAUACCAACUCAUGAAGAAGACCACUUUUUUCAAGUGGAACCACAAGGCGGACGAAGCUUUUCUCCAGUUGAAAAAGAUGCUGACUACUCCACCAGUUCUGGCGACUCCGACUCCUAAGGAACCUAUGCUCCUGUACAUCGCCGCCACCAGCCGGGUAGUCAGCACGGUCAUUGUAGUGGAACGCAAGGAGGAAGGCAAGGCACUACCUGUCCAGAGACCGGUAUAUUACCUGAGCGAAGUACUGUCGACCUCCAAGCAGAACUACCCGUACUACCAGAAGAUGUGCUAUGGCGUACACUUCACCGCUAAGAAGUUGAAACCUUACUUUCAAGAGCAUCCAAUCACUGUGGUCUGCACGGCCCCACUUGCCGAGAUAAUCGGAAGCCGAGAUGCUUCUGGCCGAGUGGCCAAGUGGGCCAUAGAGCUGGCUCCGUACACCAUCCACUACCAGCCCCGCACCGCCAUCAAGUCACAAGCACUGGCCGACUUCCUCGUCGACUGGGUCGAGACCCAGUACCUACCUCCAGCGCUUGACUCCACCCAUUGGCGGAUGCAUUUCGACGGCUCCAAGAUGCGCACCGGCUUGGGAGCCGGCGUCGUCCUCACUUCCCCUAAAGGCGGCAAGCUCAAAUACGCACUGCAAAUCCAUUUUGCCGCCUCCAACAACAUCGCCGAGUACGAGGCGCUCAUUCACGGGCUCCGGCUUGCCAAAGAACUUGGCAUUCGCCGGAUCCUGUGUUAUGGUGACUCGGACUUAGUGGUCCAACAGUCAUCUGGCGACUGGGACGCCAAAGAUGCAAAUAUGGCGAGUUACCGUUUCCUCGUGCAGCAACUCAGUGGAUAUUUCAAGCGGUGCGAGUUCCUCCAUGUGCCAAGAAACGACAACGACCAAGCAGAUGCCUUGGCAUGAAUCGGCUCUACCCGCCAAGCAAUACAAUCCGGCGUCGCCCUUCAACGCCUCCUCAAGCCGUCUAUCAAGACUUCACCAGAAUCAGACUCCAUCUUUGUGCUGGCUCCCCCCGAAGAAGUCGGAUCCGACUCCAGAGCCCCAGCAGACGGUACAAAGAUUUUGGCAGAUGGCUCCAAAGGCACCACAGUCGAAGCCGGCCCAGGGACUGCAGUACCCGGCCCGGGGACUGCAGCGGCGGGCUCGAAGACUCCAGAACUCGGCCCAAGAGCCACGCCAGUCGGCCUGGGGACUUCAUUAACCAAGCAAGCGGUUGUUGACUCCAACCCGCCGCCUCCCAGCCCAGCCGCCCUCGUCCAAGUCGCAGUUCUGGUAGUCGAAGAAAUAGCAGCACCCUCAUGGGCCCAGCCCAUCCUCAAAUUCCUCGUGAGCAAAGAGCUGCCGACUGAUGAGACCUCAUCUCGGCAAGUACAACGCCGAGCGGCAGCCUACACCAUAGUCAAUAGAGAGCUAGUCAGGCGCAUCGUCACUGGUGUCUACCAGCGCUGCGUAGAGCCAGAGCAAGGCCAAGCAAUUCUCAAAGACAUCCAUCAAGGCAAGUGUGGCCACCAUGCGGCUUCAAGAGCACUCGUCGCCAAAGCCUUUCGACAUGGUUUCUUCUGGCCGACUGCCUUAGAAGAGGCUAAGGAAUUGGUCCAAAAAUGCAAAGGGUGCCAGAAGUUCCGCUCCAAGCCGCAUCAGCCGGCUUCUGCACUCAAGACCAUCCCCAUUGCCUGGCCUUUCGCACUUUGGGGUCUAGACAUGGUGGGACCAUUCAAGACGGCACGAGGUGGCUUAACUCACUUACUUGUCGCAGUGGACAAGUUCACCAAGUGGAUAGAAGCGAAGCCAAUCAAGAAACUGAACGGUCCGACUGCCGUGACUUUCAUCUCCGAUAUCACAAUUCGGUAUGGCAUACCACACAACAUCAUCACCGACAACGGCACAAAUUUUGCCAAAGGCGCCUUGGCUCGUUUCUGUGCAACACAGGGCAUCCGACUGGACCUAGCGUCCGUCGCCCAUCCACAGUCAAACGGCCAGGUGGAGCGAGCAAACGGCCUCAUCCUGUUCGGCAUCAAGCCCCGGCUGGUCGAGCCUCUGGAGCGCUCGGCUGGCUGCUGGCUCGAUGAGUUGCCAGCCGUCCUCUGGAGUCUGCGCACGACUCCAAACAAGUCAACCAGCUUCACGCCUUUCUUCCUCGUCUACGGUGCCGAAGCCGUCAUCCCAACGGACAUAGAGUUCGACUCCCCGCGAGUCACCAUGUACACCAAGGAGGGAGCAGAAGAAGCACGUCAAGAUGGCGUCGAUCUGCUGGAAGAGGGCCGGCUGUUGGCACUCAGCCGGUCCAGCAUCUACCAGCAGAGCCUGUGCCUAUACUACAACAGGAAGGUCAAGCCAAGAUCUUUCCAAGAAGGCGACCUUGUGCUCCGGCUGAUCCAGCGAACAGCCGGCCAGCACAAGCUGUCGGCACCUUGGGAAGGCCCUUUCAUCAUCAGCAAAGUGUUGGGCAAUGACUCCUACUACCUGAUUGACGCUCAGAAGCCCCGAGCACGCAAGAGGGACGACUCCGGCAAAGAGACAGAGCGGCCAUGGAAUGCAAAUCUCCUCCGAAGAUUUUACAGUUGAUGCAGUAUGUACCAUGCUACCUUUUGGAUUAAAGUACCAAGACUUCGGCCCCCCCCGAGACAAGCUCGGGGACUGCCCUCUUUUGUCUAUAUGAUAAAAGUUAUGCCUACGAGUAUGUUACUCUUUGUUAUGCCGCUUGGCACCGGGCUUGACAUGUCGACCCGGGGACUUGCCGCCUUGCACUAUGAAAUGCUUCCUGCAGCCGGACAAGUAGUGUGUGACGCCUAAGCCGUCUCCUGUCAGAAGCCGCAGCUCGCAGAGCGACUGUACGGUGGGCAGGAGUAAGGUAGAAUGGGCGUUCACAUGAAAAAUGGCUAAGGACUCAAAGCAUAGAACAUAGCUUAAAGCCGGCUUCCAGCCUUCCUUUUUUUUCCGCAAACCGACUAUUAAGCAGUCGGCUCACCGCCUUCUAUUCAACUUGCUAAAAAACUCUAAAACGGCUACGUACUUGCCUUCCCAAAGUAGCCAAGCAUUUGAUCCAACGGCAGUCCGCAGAGCGGCUGUCCGACUGGCAAGACAUGCAACUAAGGGAAAGCGGCAAAGGAACAAGCCAAAAGAGCAAUGAGCGAGAAAAGAUAGAAUUCGGAUAAAUAUUUACAUAGCAUAGGCCCUUGGCCGAAUCUUUGAGCAGAAGUUCAAAAUACACCCCGCGGGUGAAAUUGUGUAAAUCUACAAGUUCUUCAAAAGACUACUAAAGCAGAUAAAAUAGGCGGCAACCUAAGAUGCGGCAGACGGAUUCGGAGGGUCGAAGGAGACGGCAGCGUCAGGCGUUGGGGCGGCCGACUGGGCAGUCUUGGCUCGAUCGCUUCCGGCGGCAGUCAGCUCGGUCGCAUGCGGCUCGUUGCUGGAGGCACGGUCGAGCUGAGGCUGGUCGUCCGCUCCGUCUUUUGGUUCUUCCACCUCGCCUCCGUCCUCCGCCUCGCCUCCCUCCUUGGCGCUGGAAUCGAUCACCUCCGCUGAGUCCUCGCCGUAGUCUGGGUUCAUCCCAAACCACUCCGGAGGUACUUCCUCGCCAUCUUCAAACUGCUCGGGGACGAUGAUGCUGGUGUCGGUGUACUCAGCGAUCGCCGCCGCACGCUUCACGAGGGCGUCUUCCGCGGCUGCCAGCUCCGGCUGGGCCUCCGACCGGAGUGUGGCCAGCCGGUCUAAGUCCAGCCCCGGAUACCAUGCCUUGACAAACUCCAAGGCCCGACACGCUCCAGCUCGGGCCGAGGAACCCUUCCAGGCCUCAAGACGACCAGCCGCGACCUCCAGCCAGUCGGCAGUCCGACCGGGGGUGCGCGGAGCCUGCAUGUCCGGCCACAGGGCGGCAAUCGCCUGGGCACCGACACGUUGAAGCCGGUGCAGCAUCCGGUGAGUCGGCCGAAGACGAGCCUUGAUGCUCAGGAUAUGCUCAUCAAGGGUUCGGGGAGCGUCGGCGGCGAUCUCUGCACCUUCUGCCCUUCGACCUUCAUGGUCAGCCUCGAUGGCUUGGAUGGCGGCCUGCGAGUGCCCAAGGAAGAAGUCUGCCAAGACGGAAGAAACGAAAAAACAAGUCAAAAACUGGGAGUCGGCACGAUUUAUAAUCGGCAGCUCGAAGAAAGAAAGUAAAGAAACUCACCAUCAACAAUGUCUUCAAUCUCAUGGAAGCCGAAGGCCAGCAUUGCCUCUUUGUCAGUCCAGGAGGAGCGCUCACUCGCGAACUCGGCCAGGAGGGCGGUUUCCGCCUCUUCCGCCUCCUUCUGCGUCUUUGCAAGCAGCUCCCUCUGCUCUGCCAAUUGAGUGGCCAGCAUAUCGCGCUCUAUGGCAAGCUUGCUACACUCCUCCCCCUUGGCACGUAACGCGGAGUUGGCUUCGCUCAACUGCUGUUGAAGAACAGCGUUGGCUUCUGAAGAGAAGGAAGAAAGAAGGCGUUAAGUCAUCAGUAAAGAAGGUCGCCGGGAAGAUCCGGCCCGACUGCUCAGCAGUCGGCCUGAAUCUCGGGGACUACAGCCCGCGGGUGCGCCAGCGCGCCCCUGCAAAGAAGAGAAAGGACUCACUCCGGCUCUCCGACAGUUUGGCGGUCCGCUUGCCCAACUCUUCAAUGUUGCGGUUGAAGGCGGUGACUCGGAGGUUGUGGUAAUCCUGCGACAAGCAUUUCAGACAAAAAUUAGUACCCGGAAACUCACCAAUUGGAGUUCCGGGCUGCCUGCUCAACAGCCGGCCCGAAACUCGGGGACUACACCCAGUGGGUGCGCUGGCGCGCCCCCACAGAGAGGAACAAGAAAACAAGGACCAAAGAGAAACAUACCCGACCGGCUGCCCGUGAUGCCAGGUACGCCUUGGUGCAGUUCUGGAUGGCGUCGCCCUUAGCUCGAAGCUUUGUUUGGACGUCCAGAAGCGCCUGGUUCAGCGGCCCUGUGCCGCCUCCCCGCACCCACCCAAUGGGCAUGGUGCUCGUCGCUUCGGCAUCCGGGAUCGCCGAGCUGGCAGUGCCGGUCUCCAGGGGGCGUGGCGCCGAGGCUGCUUUCUCAAGACGGCAGCGCGUUGGCGAGCUGACUUGAAGGAGUAGCCUUGCCACGGCCUCGUCUUCAGUCAGCGGCACCGGAGGGUCCGCUGGCUGUUCGCCUUGCGCGCUCCCAAACGGCGGCGGAGGCGGCGGCGGAACGAUCACGUCCGGCGUGGAGGAGUCGCCGCCUUCCUUCUUCAUGACGGGGUUCUCGCGGCCGGCUUCCCCAGUCUGCCCCAUGAACUCUAGAGGCGGCGGCGCAGAGUUCAGUGGGGUGACGAACACCGCCGAUUGGCGGUGCGCGGCCUCCUCAGCCUGCCGCUUCGUCGCGGCGACGGCUUCGGCCUCCGCCAGUUUCUUCUUGGCGGAGGCCUCCGCCUUAUCCCCUCCACCUUCUCCAGGCGGGCGGCCUCUUCCUCGUUGCGCUUCUCCUGCGCAUUCCGCUCUGUCGACUCCCGGAGGUCAGCAGCGGGGUCAAUCUGCCGUGUGGUGGCGGACGUCUCCGCUGACCCCAUGAUGGAGGCGGCGGCAACCCUCUCAAGAGUGAGGGGAGCCCUAAAGUGAGGGAAGCAAGUAAAAGACUCAGACAAAGCUACAGAGAAAGAAUAAAGCGUCAAGACGGAAUACUCACGCGGAGACCAGUGGCGGCUUCUUCACGUCCUUACGGAAGCGGAUAGCCUUCGCAGCCGCCUCGUCCCGCCGGGUCGCCGCAGCCGAACUCUUGGGCUUCUUCGGCCGACUGCCGAACAAAGUCGCCACGGCCCGGCGCUUCUUCCCGCCGCCCAGAGCACCUGGCGCGGCAGAAGAGCCCGCACCAGGAUGGCUGGCUCCUGGCCGGGGGCGGGGGGUGACCUCCUCCUCAUCGUCAGGCCAGUCCUCUAGACUGGCCCCGAGCCGCGGGCCGCCUCCUCCUUUGGCGUCGUCUUCCAAAGCCGCCGCCCCUAGAACGGGGUCGUCGACGUCGCUCUCCGCCCGGUCGGCAAGGAACUCGCGGGCCGGCCCUGAGGUGCCGGCUGGUGGAUGGAGGAGGGGAUUCUGACCAAAGCCGAUUGGUCAGGUCGCACAAAACAGACUCGGCAAGAAAGAAGACAACACGAAGAAAGAAAGAAAGGGCAACUCACUGUAGGUGGGGGGUUGGCGCGGGAGUAGGGCUCCUUGCCGAAUCGCCAGUCCUCCAGCAGCUUGCUGUCCGAGAGGUAGUUCACCAUGUAGGCCACCUCCUCGUGAGGCAUGUCCUUGAUGCACAUCCGACUCAGGUCACGGCGCCCGCUCAUUUGGCAUAUCAUGUGGGGGCGACUUUGGAGCGGGAGAACUUGGCACGCCACAAAGGCGGCCAGCAGGUCCGGACCAGUCAGGCCCUCCGACUAUGUCAGCACUCGGAGUCGUGUGACGGUGCCGGCUCCCGCAAGCGUCAGCGACUUGGCCCGAUACGACCAGUUGGGCAGUCUCCCAGCCGGCGGGCCGGAAUCGAAAGCCGGCAGGUUGACCCAAUCGCCCCCCGCGAAGACGCUCUUCACGUAGAAGUAUGAUCGCUGCCACAUCUUCACCGACCUUAUCAGCUUGAUGGUGGGGAAGGGGUUGUCGGCUCCCGAUCUCCGCCCGGCGAUGAACACGCCGCAUUGAGCCGGCACGCCUGCAGCCUGGGUACCGAGCUUGCAGUAGAAGAACUCCCCCCAGAGCUCGAGGGUGGGGAGGACUCCAAGGAAGCCUUCGCACAAGGCCAUGAAGGCAGACAACAGCACCACCGUGUUGGGCGUGAGGUGGUGCGGCUGGAGGCCGUAGAACUCCAGAAAAGAGCGGAAGAAGCUGCUCGCCGACAGCCCCAAUCCGCGCAGGUAGUGCGAGCGGAAGAUGACCCGCUCGCCCUCCUCCGGCGCUGGGGAAAUCUCCUCCCUCAACGCAAGCCGCACCCGCACGUAGUCUUCGACGGGGAGCCGACGAGUCUUGUGAAGGAACUCGAUGUGGUCGUCGUGAACUUCUGAGCCAUCCCAGGUGCCGGAACGCACCGAGGGAGGCGCGGCGGCGGAAGAAGAACUCAUCGUGAGCUGAUCGCCACGAUGUUCGUCAGAGCUUGGGCGCACGGUGGGGCGAGGAAGAAGAAGAAGAAGGAGAAGAGCAAGGAGUAGUGGAAAGGAGGGGCGCGCGUGCUCUGCCGCGCCCCCCUCCUCCCCCUACUUAUAGCCUCAUGGGCUGCGAAGCCGGGGGGGCGGUCGUGGGAUUUACUGCGCCCACGGCCCCAUGACCCCCACAUUUCCACGACAAAGUUACUGCGCGCAGUAACUCCAUGGGAAUCCCAACCGUCCGCCUGGCCCACAGCGGAUCCACUCGGGCGCCGAGGCACGAUAGUGGCGGGCCCCGCCUACGGGCCUGUCCCAUCACGCGCAUAGGCUGGCAGACUGGCCCGGCCGCGUGUUAUCACGUGACAGGCCUGGAACGGGCGGCGUCCUGGAGGCUUAGCCAGCACGCUACUUGGAUCCCGCCAUGACGUUCGAAAUACUGUGCAAGUCAGAGUUGGACGGGUCCGACUCCUUCUAGUCGGCCCGGCGGAAAUCAAGCAAGAACCAUGUGUCGAGCACCCGGAAAGAGAAACUGCUGAGGUUUCUCGGCCGAUCGUCCGCGGCGCCUCACCAGCUUCGGGGACUACUGUCGGAGUAAUGGGCCACGGGUAGGCUAAGCCGAGCCCCAGAACCUUUCAAGACAUCGGGACAGGCUGCGCCCCUCAAGACCCCACGACGAAGAGCCGCCUUCUAAGAAGUCGGCAGCAAGGCGACCGACUGCCCACUCGCGGCCGAGUCCCGGGGAUGGCUUCAGGAUAAGCCGACUCCUGACUGGCGACUUCUAGAGAAGCCGACCUUGGGGAGUCGGCCCACGACUCCAGCAAAACCCCAUGUCCUCAUCAAGAGGGAUAGGACAGGGGAGUUGCUACAGUGAAGACUGCUCCCACCCCUUUCCAAAGGCAAGCAUGGUCACAGUACGCUGUACCCGCGGAGAUCUCCGUGCGGCGUGGCACUGUCGCCAUGCUGGCCUUGACAUCAGCACCAGUGGACCGAAUCCUGUGCCCAUGAUGGCUUGUCUGUACGACCUUUGGGCGGCGGGUCCCACCGGCCAGCGGGAUCCCAAAAGACGGCAGGUGCGCCACAAGUCGGACUUGUUGGGAGUCGACCCGCGGGAGUCAGCCAACUCCUCCCCCGGGGCCCACGCGCCAUUAACCAGAUGUGAUGGAGAGUGGCAAUAGUGAUCGCCCGCCAGGCGACGGGGCUAUUACCACGACUCCAUGAUGAAGCUCGCGUCAUUAGAAGCACAGCUACAGUAAUCAGCAGCCGGCAAGACCUGCCCGCGACGGACGUGGCCUGUCGGCUCCAUACCUAGCCAGUCGGAGGGGCCCACCAGUCGGCGGGCCCCAGCAGUCGGCGGAGAAGACGGAGGCCGGAGGCACUGACGGCUGGGCCCGCGCCCAGCCGGAUUACCGUUGUACCCCUGGGGGGUAGGCCUAUAUAAACCCCCCAGGGCACCCAUGCAAAGGGUUGGAAUCCAUUAGCUCUAGACCAGAUCAUAUAGGAGGGAGAGAGCUAGCCUUGCCCUCUCCUGCCUCCAGAAAACAGCUCAAGGAGCAAUCGUGUAAACACUUGGCCAUAGUGAUCAUGCGGAGACCCUGCAGAGCAGCAGUAGGGGUAUUAUCUCCCCGGAGAGCCCUGGAGCUGGGUAAGAUUCACCGCGUGCAUGUCUAUGCCUCAUCCCGUUUCCAAGCACCGAUGAUGUUCUACACCCCCACCAUGAUAAGCCAUCCUUUGGCAUAUGUCGCACCCAACCCCCGACAUCUUCAACAUCAUGCUGGUGUCAAACCAGUCCGGCAAUAUUACUCCACGGCUGCCAACCUGCGCUAGACACGUCGUCACUUUAGCCGAGCUCAACUUCUUCGGAUCAUCAUCUCGGCAAGCGGAACAAGAGUCCGGCAUCGCGAUGGAUAAAUCAUCAUCAACAUCGCCGCCCCACGGAUUACACGGAGCGGGCAUACCGGCAUUGCCGCAUGGUCACUUCAUCAAGCCGGCAUCGACCACGUCACGACCUGCAUCGACAGGGCCGCACUAUUGCUUCUUCAAGCUGGUGUCCAUCACGCCGACCUACUUCGACUCAUCGGCUGACGUCGAGGCUUCGACAUCUCGGCUGGACUGGGGGCUUCGCCAUCUCUUCAUCAACCUACUCUGGACACUUCGGCGUCACUAGCCGACCAGCUCCGUCACGUUAGCUGGGCCGAGGGCUUUGCCUCAGCGAGUCAACCUUUAGCAGCAUUGCCAUGCCGUCAUUUUAUCGCCCAUUAGGCAAUGGGUGUGCGGAGCGAGUCCCAAUUUUGGGAAUCAGCUUCCUUCGGAUUGCUACAACAAAUAAACCAGGUGCUAUUAAUCGCAGUAUUUUUUGCUUGUUUGGGUUCAUUUUUCCCAAGGAAUUAUUACUUUGGUUUGUCCAUGAUAUGUACAUAAGUCUAUCAAAUGGUGACCGCAUUAACGAUGGUCGCGUGGUGGUUCGAUCAGUUUCCGUACAUAGUCCGGCGAACACUGCAUCCGGAGCUCGGACCGACCUGUGAAUUCAGGCUUUGCCACACCUUUACUAGAUCAUGUCGAGGCCCUGCAUCGACAUUGACUUCGGCGCCAGGACAUAUUUCUUCUAUUCCUCACUUUGCAUAAAUUAUUUAUUAUGCAACAUUUUUUUAAUUAUCAUUAUUACUAUUAUCUCUGGUUUGCACUAUUUUUUGUGCACAUGAAAAUGAUCCGCGGACUUCGGCGUCACUCUGCCGGUCUGCAUUGAUCGUGCUAUGUCACCAAUUCGGCGUGUCGAGCUCUCCGCUCCGCCACCUCGGGACCAUCUUGGGGGAUGGAACCUUUCCCGCAUCAAGCUCGGACCGUGUCAUCAAUACCGAACACAUUAACCAGCUAAGUCGCUUUCAUGCUCAAAGCUUUAAUUUCUAACUUGUGUUCGGUUCGACCAAGCAUUAUACUUUUUUGGAAAAAAGUUGCUUGUAAAAAAUUUCCUUGUGCAAACUUUGUUUGUGACGCAUAAAUUCAAAUACCCAAUUCAUUUGGGGGCUUCCUUCAUGAAGCUUUUCCACUUGCAUAUGAUUAUACUUGUAUAGCUUCGUUCCUUGUUCGUGUAUUACGCCACAAUAUGCACCAUAUUGACUUAAGCGAUUUGCAAGCUGGGUUGCCUCGCUCCUGUGUUUACCCCUACGUUCCCGAUUGUUCGGCUAGGGAGUAAAGGGAGCACCUCUGCGAUUGUCACGAUCGGGUCGCCCGAGCCGGACCUCAGACUAGGUGAAGCCGAAAGCUAGCGCUCUUAUAGUUUUCAAUGAUGGUCGGCACACAACGGAACUCAUGAGUACAAAAAAUAUAUUGCACAAGUCUCAUAAUAACAAUGAGCACCGAAGAAAGGUAUCAGUGGGGGUACUAUUUUCUUUGAAGAUGCUUCUUACACUUCACAUCAAUAUAGCAUAAGUUCCCUGAGCGCGCUUUGUCUGUUACAGCCUUAUGGCAUGAUUGCCUGGUUAUUGGAAACACCAUCGAUAUUCUCGACCGAUGGAGUACAUAACACUUUUCGGUCCUUGACCGAAGAGGGAGAAGCUGACAGUCGGUUAAGACACGUUUAAAGUUCGGUUGAACAUAGAUAUGAUAUAAGUACUUCGGUACAUGCAAUCAUUCUUCUACCCAAGUCACUUGGGGGCUCUUAAGUUUAUUUGAGCCGUUUUAUAAUAAGUGUUCUUCUUCUUAGUCGUUGCAAAGUUUUAUUAUUAUUAUUUAUCACUCCUUUUUUCGACAUGAGUGUGCGGUCACUAGCCGGGGAGCCUAAUUUCUCUCUCAAAGCCGCUAGAGUUUAGUUUGCUAGACUGGCCUGAUGAUAAGUACUCCGCCCUCGGGAUAGGAGGUUGAAGCCAUAGGCUGGCCCACUCGAAGUCUUGAGAUAGGAUGUAUCAUGUUAAAGCACGACAGAAGCACUUCUUUUUUCUAAGACCAACUUUCGAAUUGGCACCGAACACUUGAUAUUGUUCGGAUGUCAUGUUUUUACUGAUGUUUCUUGGUUUUCCAAGCCUUUUGGCACUUUUAAACUAUUUGUGCUUUUCCAGCAUUAGUCUCGCAGUGCAACGCCGGGCACCUUUAGGGAUUCGGCAAAAACAUUCUCAGAUAUUGCUAUAUAUGCAUCGGUUUCGAAUUGUGUCUUCGGUCAAUAGUUGGGUUGCCCGGCUCCUGCACUUGCUUCCUACGUUCCGUUUUGUUCGGCUAGGCGUGCAAAGGGAGAACCACUGCGAUUGUGCUUCCAGCUCACAUGGUUAAGCACCUCAGUGGAGAAAGCCGAAAACUGACUUUCACAAUAAGCGUAAACUGGUCAGCGAUCCGAUGACUAUGUUAAAUGAUGGGCCGUUCAUAAUAUUGGCCGAAGUGUUUACGGCUUGACCCCGACUGUCGCCGAACACUACCGAGUGCUAUUUACCGGCCUCCCGAACUAAAUCCUCAAUAUUUUGCUCUUACAUUAGAGCUGAGGUUUAAUGAUCAUGCUUAGCAUGACAACCCAAAGAAAGGAACCGAUAGCGGGACUAUUUUCUUUGGAAGACAUUUCUUCUGUUAAACAGUAAUAUAACUCUCUGUGUACCUUUGUUUAAAAAACUGUAUGGCCAGAUUGCCUUGUUUGUUGUAAAUCUUUGCCCUCAUAAAGGCUCUAUAAAGUAGGACAAACACUCCUCGGCUACUGGCCGGGGAGGUGGAAGCCGAUGGUCGGUCAACAAAGUUUUGUACAAUGCGGAUCCGAGCAUUAAUGACGUAAAGUACUUGGAUACAUAGAGUCAUUACACAUAAUUUGUGAUUUUACUAUGGAUAUUGAUCCUUAAUUCGGCCACCCGUGCCUGCAUUAAGGCUCGGGGGCUACUGGGCUUCGGGCUUAUUAUUUACAAAUAUUAAAGGGGCACAUUGAUCCCCUGAUCUGGUGUUACCACCCGACCAGUGUCUCGGGGGCUACUGCAUUGCUUGUCCAAUGCAGAAAAUUUUAUGUGCAAUAUAGUUUCCGAGGAGAUUUUGAUCCUCAGGUUGGUCGGCCGCACCCAACCUGAGUCUCGAGGACUGAGCACGCCGCUUUUAGUGUCCCAAAGUAUUCUGCCGAGCUUGGACUUGAUCCUCAGGCCGAUUUUGCAAAUCAACCUGAGUCUCAGCGGCUACUGGGAUCAGCGGUCUUACGUCAUCCUUCAGGUGCAUCUCGGGUUUUAGACCGAUACACACCUUGAGGGCUACUGGCUAUAUAUCUCGGCAGAGAAUAAAUUGCACCAAUAAAAAAUAUUCACAAAAAUCGGCCCACAUUCGGGGUGGUGCACCACCUCAGAAGCAGCCCGGCAUAAAGCUCGGGCGCUAGUGGCUGGCUCCAUAGAGGGUAUUCCCGGCAUUAAGCUCGGCUAAACUCCUUCAAACUUCUUUGAACCAAGGUGAUUUACGACACCUCGGAUAUAGUCCGGCGUUGGAGCUCGGAUACAGUCUGGCGUUGGAGCUCGGAUAUACAGUUCGGCGCUGGAGCUCGGAUACAUUCCGACGUUAGAGCUGGGAAGCGGUCCGGCGUUGGUGCUCGGUUGCAAAAGAUACCUCGAAUACAGUCCGGCGUUGGAGCUCGGAUGCAAGAGGACGCUGCCGCCCGGGAACAACUUCAAACCCGAGGUGUGGCAUAAAAAUAACAAGGCAUUGGUAAAGGCCGGAAACUUAAAGGGGCUCCUCGGAUACCCGACGUGUAAACUCGUCAAAUGCAUUUCGGCGAUCCUCAAGAUCGAAGAUAAAGAAGAUUUGUUGAACCAGUUUUCAAGACCGACGACCGAAGAUGAAGAACAGUUUGGAAGAAUCGAGGAUCGUCCCUAACUUGAAGACCGGUUCAGGGGGCUAUUGACGGUGUCUUGGACUAGGGGGUACUCACCACGUCGUCUCCCGAUCUAUUAGAUUGGGCCGAGGCCCCCCAUGGCCGUAUACUCAUGGGCUAGUUCGGACAGCUGCCGCAUACAAGGAAGAUUCCACAAAGACUUGGCAAUCAAGACAAGGACUUCUCCCCACCGGCGUAUUCGGCUAGGACUCUUGUUAACCUAGGCCUCUGGUGCAUUAUAUAAACCAGGGCCAGGCUAGUCGAUAGAAGAGACAACAUACAGAACAACAAUCAUACCAUAGGCUAGCUUCUAGGGUUUAGCCUCUCCGAUCUCGGAGUAGAUCUACUCUUGUACUACCCAUAUCAUCAAUAUUAAUCAAGCAGGACGUAGGGUUUUACCUCCAUCAAGAGGGCCCGAACCUGGGUAAAACUUCAUGUCCCUUGCCUCCUGUUACCAUCCGGCCUAGACUCAUAGUUCGAGACCCCCUACCCGAGAUCCGCCGGUUUUGACACUGACACCAAUCUUGUUGGGCCCUUCUACAACCUGGAAGGUCUCGUCACUCAUAUCAUGGUUCAAGGGAUAGCCGUGGAUGAGCCUGCAGACGACGCUGAAUCUAAUGAAGCGCCUGCAACACCGUAGCCAAAGAAACUGAAAAAGCCUAAAGCUUCAAAGCCUGAUCCUGCACCAAAAAUCUUACGGGCGAAGCCUCUGGCCACUGCACCUCCUGAACAUAGUGUGCAGUCUGAAGAUUUGUCACGCAUCUCCAAGCCCUCAAGAGUGAAGAUGCCCUUGCAACCCACCAGCCAAGAACUAACUGCUGCUGCUAUUCUGUGCAAUGACGCCAUUGAUCUGUCCAACGAUGAAGAACUUGUAGAUGACGCUCUUGAGCAACUGAUUAAGAGCAAAGAAGAAGCAGAAAUCUUCAAUGAUUUGCCUCUCUUUGACGUGGCAAUCCUCCACAACUUCAUUGAUGAGUGGUUUGAAACCCCCAAUCUCAGCUUUGAUGAUCUGCAACUUCCAAUUGGCCUCAGCGUCGCUUUCACUGGCGCCAUUGCUUAUGAGCUAGCUCUAGCUCAGCGCAUCGUUGAACUGAAGCAAAAGAUCGACUAUGAGAAAUCUCAAUUCAAGAAGCACAUGGCCAAGCUCAGCAUGCAAGAUGUGAAAAACUUCAAGAUUAUGCUGCAUGAGCUCAAGGAAGCCUUUCUCAAGAAACGUGAAGAAGCUAAAGGGUCUCGUGAGCGCAUGAAGAGUCUGGCUGACAAGUGUGUGCAAGCCUACAUGAAGCUGAGAAGCGCAAUGCUCUUGGGCAUCCUGGCAUCGACCCCAGAAUGGCGGCCAAGCCAAAGAAGAAGAAGCCAGCUGUGGCCGAACCCAAACAACAAGGCAGGAGUACAUCCCAUUGUCUUCCCUGCCAGUAUGACAGGCUCGAAGCCUAAGGUCCCCAUAGUGGCUUCAGAACUAAAGAAGACAAGGGCUGCCGAGGCUGAAUCCAGAAAGAGGAAAAAUCCUGAAGCUUCUGAUGCCACUCCCUCCAAGAAGAAGCGCAAAACCAAGAAAGAUCGAGCUGCUCCCACAAAGCCCCUUGUUGUCGAGCCCAUCUCGGUUGCUCGUCCUGCCUCUUCGCAUCAAGAACGACGAAUGAUAGUUCAUGAGCCUGCUUCCACAGAGGCUCCUGAAGCUGAAGACAUUCCAGCAGUUGACCCCACCGCUGCUGAAGACAUUGGUCACCAUGACAAUGUUGAAGAUGAUGAAGUCCUUCCUUAGAUCGAUCACCAAUUGGUAUCAUCGCCUGUGCUCACGCACAGCGAACUCAUCAGCAUUGGUCGUCCUCUGACGCCAACUACUUAGGAUGCAUCGUGGGUUGAUCACCCAUAGAGACAAGACACUCCAAGCUCUCCCAACCGCAAGCUACCCCACCGGUGCAAGAUGAUGAUGACUUUGAGGCCCCGCACGCUCCAUCUCCACAAGCAUCACCCGCAUUACGCAGGCUUCGCAAAGCACCCAGGCCCCAAGUCACUCCCACAAUGCACGUGUCUGAAUGCGAAGCCAAAAUGGCUGAAGAUGUUCCAGCUGCAUCAGCCGAUGAAGAAGAUGAAGAAGAAGCCCCAAGAGUUACUAGAGUUGCUACACCCCCGUCUCACCAGGAUGUUGUUCUCGAGGAGAAUCUGACUGACCCACCAGCUUCUGAAGUGGAGGUUCACAACCCUGAGGCGGCCACCGACAUCACUGCUGACGCCAAUGACGUUGUCAUGGUUGAAUCCAAUACGGUGCCAGAAGCCAAUGAGGCACCAGAAGUCAAUGUUGCAACACCUGAAGUCAAUGCUGCAACACCUGAGGUCCAAGCACCUGAAGCACAUGUGGCCCCUGAAGCCCAUGAAGACAAUGCCAAUGCCCCUGUUCCCCCUCCAAGACCUCACACAAUGGAGCUGGCAUUUGAUCGUGGUCAGCCGGUUAUGGUUCGAUGGCCCAUUCUGACUCCUCCGCCUGCUGCUGGUCCACAAUUUGAGUACCACGUCGAGCACAGGCCUCAAGUUCAACAGCCCAAGCCAAGACUUCCACGAUUCCUAGGCACUGCCACUUCACCUGGGGUCUUCAAUGCAAAUGGCUUCGUGGCACAUAAUACCUUCUUCAACAGCUCCAAGAACCCCUAUACAAGACCGCACAUUUCCUCAGAUCGGUUCUGGAGCUAUCAACAGCGCAGCUACUAUUCCUAUGUCCUAUACAAUCAAGGGCGCAUAUUUCCACACAUGCGCCUCGACUCUCAAGCUAUAGCCGGUCUGCCCUGCCUCGAAGAAGCAUUGGACUGUUUCAGAGAUGCUGGUCUGUUGCAGUUCAUCACUGACAAGGAGCACUGGAACGAAGAAUUGCUGCUUCAAUUCCAUGCCACUCUUCAUAUUCGAGGCUACAACAGGGAUCCGAAGACUUGGGUCCUUGAGUGGAUGACAGGCAAUGCCCAUCAUGAAGCUAAAGCUCUUGAUUUCAUUGAGCUCACAGGCCUGCCCACUCACGGUGAAUACUAUGAACCAGGUUGUCAACAACAUCAAAAUGCCUUGGAAAGCAUCUUUUAGAAGCCAGAACCCAACAUGAGUCAAAUGCUGAGCAUGAUGAAGCCUCUGCCUUAUGACGCUGAAUACCCAUCUGAGUUCUUUGUUGAAGACCUAGAGUACCUGCCUCGCACCAUUUACCACAUCAUCAGGAAGACUCUAUGGCCUGUCAAAGGACACUCAUCUGCAGCGAAGCUUGAAGGAGCAAUGAAGACUUUGGUUUUCUAUAUCUUCAAUGGCAUCAGCUUCAAUGCUCAAGACUUCUUCAUCAGGCAGUUGGCUGCGUCUGGCUCUGACAACAUUGGGUUGAAAUUCUAUGCUCCAUGGGUCAUGCGACUGAUAAAGCAUCACUCAGCUUUCAACUAUCAGCCGUCUGCGCGCAAUCAUCUUAUAUUCUUUCCCGAGGUUGAUCUGUCAGUUGGAGCCAUUUACCCAGAGCCUUCUAAGGAUCCCAUUCAUCUUCACAAUGCUGAUCACCAAAGCUUCACCCAGCCCAUUGAAGGGAUUCUAGCAGUUUCUCGUGUUUAUCCCCUUGCUGGAAACACGCGUGUCCCUCGUGGUCAAAUUGACGUCGCUGGUAGCACCAUUGCGCAAAGGCCUCAAAGACGAUCUCGUGUCCUCAAUGACCGAGAGCUUCUUGUUGCGCUGCAUCAGAAACAGGACAAACAUCACGGCUGGCUUAAGCGUCAGAUGCAAAGCCUCUUGGUGGAUGUCAACCGCAUUUGCAAUCUUGCCACCAAGAAUGUCUUUGUCACUCAUGAAACCUGUCAGAGGUCGUGGAAGAGUUUGACCCUACUUAGUGCUGAAGCUGAUCUGCAUGACGAUGGCUUCACCGAACGCUUCAAGUUUGACUCAACUCCUCCCAGAAAUGCUCACUUGCGUCAGACUCCCUCACUUGAAGACUCUGAAUACUCGUCCUCAGCUGCGACCGUAAAUGCUAGAGUCAUCGAUGACCAAGAUGAUGCAACUUCACCUCCUCCAACUUCAGCGCAUGUCGACACUGCACCAAGUUCCUCUGCACCACCGGAUCUGUCACACCCUAGCUAGUCAUGCAUUAGAGUGUUGCAUCAUGUUUACUCUUUCAUCAGAAACUUGAAAUGGGGAUGACAGAACCCCCAGUCCCCUCUGAAAACCAACUAGGGUUUACUAAAAUAAUUUUCAAUGAACCUGAAAUGCCCUUCUAAAAUGCCCAUCAUUUUUGCCUUGGUUCAGACCCUCUGCCAAAAGUGGUGCACAUUUUCCUAGGCCAUCCUAGGGUUUUGAAUUAAAUCAUAACUAUUUGAAUUUGGGCAUUUAAAAUAAUAUAAAAUAUUUAAAUGCUCAAAUAUCUCCAAGCUAAAAUGUUUCAUGUUGGAAAUAAUCCAACUAUGGACCAGGAGUAGUUUGGUGAUUUUUGGAGUUGCCUAGGUAUUUUAUUUAAUUCAACAAAGUUGCAGAUAUAUUAAAUAAAACAGAAAACAGAAAAUAAAUAAAGGGAGAAGCUUACCUGAGCUCCUCCCUGUGCGGCCCAGCCCAGCCGGCCCAGCACUGUGCUGGCCCGUGCCAGCCAGCUGCUUCCCCUCGCCAGAGCAGGCAGGGAGGUGAGCAUGGCGCGCCCGAGCUCGCCACGCACCACCCAGCCUCUCUGCAUCGCCCUGGUCGCUGUUGCGCCGCGUGGAUCGUCUUCUGGUCGUCGCCCCGACCUCGCCGACACCCUCUCACUCUCCCCCGGCUCUCCCUCGCUCUCUCCCUCUCACGGCCGAAGCACACCGUCGCCGCCGUUCGCCUUAGCCACUGCCUCCGACCACCCCUCGCUCCCCCGAUUAGCUCAGGAGCUCCGCCUCGACUCCCUCUUCCUCCCCACCGCUCCACGAGUCCCCGGAAGCCCUGCAUCGCCGCCAUGUCGCCGUUCCCCUCUUCGGGCUCCGAUCAUCGUCGCCGACGAAUUCGCCAUCUCCAGCGCGUCCCCGAGCCCGUUUCGACGCCCACUGCAACCGCGGUGAGCUACGCCACCGUUUCCCCCUUCUUCCCGGCUCUCUCCCGACCCCUAGGCCCUAGCCCCACCGCGGCCGAAAGCUUCACGCCGCCGGCGAUGUCGCCGUCGUGGUCACGGUCACCGUAGCGCCCAACCGAGCUCACCAUCGUGCUCCACAUCUCACUAGGAGCACGUAGCACGCUCCAACACCCCCCCUAACGCCCUGCAACGCCGUUCCCGUGCACGACCGAACCCCGGCAGCCGCAACCGAGCUCGCCGCCGUCGACUCCGGCCACCCCGACCCCAACGGACUCCGCCAAGAGCCGCGGGUCGUCCUCAGCUUCACUCCGGUGGCCUCCGCGGUUCAUUUGGUGGCCGAAACAACCAAAACCACUAUCGCCGCCGCACUGAUGGUCGCCGCCGGCCAGAACUCCGGCGAGCUGACGUGGCCCAGUUAAUUAGCCACUAACCCACCACCUACUGACGCUGACAAGUGGGCCCCAGGGCUUAGUCAAAGCUAACCAGCCCGGGUCAACACGGGAUUAGCCCCUGUGUCACUGACGUGUGGACCCCACACGUCAGGUUUGACCCGAGCCAGCCCUGUUGACCUGCUGAUGUCACUGUGACGUCAGGCUGACGCAGUAAAUGAUAUUUCUGGAUUUAAAUUAAAUCAGGAAAUUCCAGAAUAUUAAUUAAACUUCAAAAAUCCAUAACUUUUAUUCUGUAACUCCAAAUUGGGCAAGUUAUAUAUGAAAAAUGAUCAGAAAAAUCCAAUCUAUCCAUCUGUACUAUUUUCAUGCAUGAUCAAACAAGUUAAAUUGAUGUUUUAAACAGAAUAAGGAAAAGCACUUAAAGAGGCCAUAUUUGAGUUUGAAAUUUGAAUCUUUGAUUCAAAUUUGCUCAAACACUUCUGGCUUUAGUUGCAUUAGCCCAACACACUCAUAUUGCCAUGUUUCAUGCAUGCAUCAUAUUGUUGCACAUUGUUUGGUGAUGCCUGUGUAUCGUUAUCCUUUGCGACAGGAUCUGUCCCCGAGGAGUACCGUGACUACCCUAACGAAGAACCGUAUCCGUGCAACGAACCAUCAGGCAAGCAACCAACCAUUUGAUCAUAUCGAUACAAUCCCAUGUUCUCGCUCCUGCUCUCUUUUACUGCAUUAAGACAACGCGAUUCAAACUGCUGUGUGCUAUGGUAGUUGAACCCAUUUCCUCUGCAUGACCUGUCAUUGCCACAGUAACUAGAUGAAACCCACUAGCAUGUGUAGGAGUUGAUUGAGCCAUGUGUAUGUGUUGUUCCUACCUUGCUAUGCCUGCUAUGCUUAGAGUCGUGUCAGGUCUGGUUCAUCUGGGUGAUGGGCUAGAGUGAAAUGUUAAUGUCGGUAAUGAGAGUGGUGUGGUGAACACGAUUUGGUAAAGGUAUCGAUGAGAGGCCAUGUAGGAGUACAUGGUGGGUUGUUUCAUUGAAACCGACCUUAAGCACUGAGAUCUGUAUGUGUGAUUUAAGAAUCAGCUACUACCAUGCAUUGGGCCCGAAACCAAUGGACCCUCUCGACUUCUUAUUCACCCUAGUUCUCCGUCCAGGAGUUGCAAGUAGUUUCUGGUGUUUGUAGCCUACUGGAGGCCGUGGACAGCGCUGACCGUAGGGGUGGGCUGUGAUGCGGUAGGUACGUGGCACGGUGUACCGAAUACCCGUUAGGUAUCUCGGGAACCCUGUUCACAUCGUUUGGGGCCGUAUGGGAAACCUCGGCCGGACUCCCUGCGGAUGGAACCUGAAUAGGCGAUAAACCUGGACUGGAGGCUUAGGUGAUUAGGUAGGUCGUGGCCGACACCCACGUUGGGCUUCCGCUUGAAGGUUGCCGAGUACAUGUCGUGUAAACGACGGUAAGUGGUGAGAGCGUGUAUGAAGAAGUACUCCCUGCAGGGUUAACAUGAUCUAUUUGAAUAGCCGCGUCCGCGGUAAAGGACUACUUGGUUGCCUAUACAGUUCAUAGACAAGUAAAUGGAUACUAUUAAAAGCCUCAAGAUAAGUGUGAGUGCCGAGGAUGGCUCUUCCGUAGGAAGACGGAGGUGGAUCCUCGGUAGUGUAUUGAAGUGGUGAAUAGUGGACUCGUGUGCGCAAAACUAUUUCAAGUUGGAGUAUCGUAGGAUAGUCUAGCCAAGAGUCAAAGCUGGCUUGCUGCAAUAACUCCACCAACCCUUCUUGAUACUAUGCAUGUAUGUAGGAUCUGAUGUAAGUCUUGCUGAGUACCUUUGUACUCAUGUUGCUAUAAUCUAUAUUUUACAGAAGACGCUGCAACCCCUUCUGAUGGGUUCUAUGUAGACGUUGACAUCAACGAGUAGGCUAAAGACCCAGGUGGUGACCCUGAGCUUGUGAAGGACCACAUAGUAUAGUCAGGCUUUCCAAGCCUCUUUUAUUUUACUAGUUGUCUGUACUCAGACAAGUUACUUCCGCUGUUGGCUUGUAUGAUUGUAUGACUUGUAUGUUGGGUCGUGAGACCCGUACCUUUGUGUGUAUGUUAUGUAUGGCUCUCUGAGCCUUAAAUAAAGUACUUGUGUCGUAGAGUCAUGUUGUGAUGCUUCGUUGUAUUUGCACAUAUCGAGCAUAUUGUGUGUAUGAUUGAAAUGCUUGGUAUGUGUGGGAUCUGACUAUCUAGUUGUUUAUCUUUAGUAGCCUCUCUUACCGGGAAAUGUCUCCUAGUGUUACCGCUGAGCCAUGGUAGCUUGCUACUGCUCUGGAACACUUAGGCUGGCCGGCAUGUGUCCUUCUUCGUUCCUGUGUCUGUCCCUUCGGGGAAAUGUCACGCUUUGAGUACCGGAGUCCUGUUAGCCCGCUACAGCCCAGUUUACCGGAGUCCUGCUAGCCCAGUGCUACAGCCCGGACCCACUUGCUGAUGACCGACACAUUCGAAGCUGGGUCAUGGAUGCCUGUCCCUGUAAGUCUGUGCCACUUUGGGUUUACGACUAGUCAUGUCAGCCCGGGCUCUUUAUCAUAUGGAUGCUAGCGACACUAUCAUAUACGUGAGCCAAAAGGCGCAAACGGUCCCGGGAAAAAGGUAAGACGACACCCGUGGGAAUACCGUGCGUGAGGCCGCAAAGUGAUAUGAGGUGUUACCAGCUAGAUCGAUGUGACAUCGAGUCGGGGUCCUGACAGCGUUGGCAUCAGAGCCGGACUGCCUGUAGGUUCUCCAAGCCAAACUGGUCGAUGUUGAGUCUAGAAAUGCUUUAGUUAUAUGUAGGGGAAUUGUUUGUGGGUUGGAACGUAAGGCUCUUUUUACUCCUUAUACCUUAUGACUUUCUGAUCUGAGUCAGUCCAUUCUUCCACCGGGGGUUAAGGAAUUAGGAUCUGUUCUCUCUAUCAGGAUCACGAGUUACUAAUCAGUAGUACCUUAUAAGUUUGAUGGUCACCAGCCUAGUUCAGUUCUACUACCACAUUAUGUUGUUGGAAUGGUUCCAGAACUUGAUAUGAUGAUGUUGAGUGUGUACGAAAUCCUUUGUCAAAUGUCUCAAUAUCCUUUUUGAGCAUUUACAGCUGUUAUGCUGCCGAAAUUUUGCUAGAAAUUCUAAUGCCUUUGCAUUAUGAUUAUGCUUUCAGAUGGCCACUCGCGACCUCAAUCAAGUGGUUCGCCUAACUCGAUGCCUAGAUGUACCCGGCCAUACUGCUAAGUUGGUCAGGGUAAUGACUGAGGCCGGAUACCGCUGGUAUCCUGAGUACACGGUCGAAGAGCAAUUCCGAGAUUUUAAUCAAAGCCAGUAUCUCUGCACUGUCAGGAUAUUUCCAUCUUAUCCUGGAUCCACUGAGCCUCUUCACUGCUCCUAUGGACUCGGGGUUACUAUCGAGAUGGCUGUGCAGGAUGCCGCCUACUCUAUGAUGACCAUUAUGCGAGUCAGAUCUGGGUUAUUUCGGGACUCUGAUUUCCGGUAUAUGCCAGGAUCACUUCCGGGAGCACAAGGAUAUCUCCAAGCUAUUUAUGCUGAUUCCACUCAGGAGGAUUCACGAACUCGCACCACUGCUGAGAUGCUCGAGGAUAAGGACCGUGAAAAUCGGGCCUUAAGGUUAGAGCUCUUCAAUACCCGUGCUGACCACUGGGCCACUUUGACUCGGUUCGCACCGGCGGUGCAAGCUGGAUAUUCAGAUAUGCGUGAUCUCUAUCCAGUGAGAUCUGCUCUGCCAGACGUGAUGGUUUGGCGUGAUGUAGGAGGCAUCACCCCACCUCGCGGUCCCCGCAGGCCACCGUUUGUUGGUCCAAGGCCUCAUCCUAGCCCCUAUGGUCCACAAGCUCCGCGAGAUCGUCUGUUUCCGGAUGAACAUGUUGAACUUCCAGGCUAUGGAGGUGACUUCUACGAGGACUACUACGGAUCGGUCUGAGUUAGUAGUAGUAUCACUAGUUCGCACUAGCUGUGUCGUCUAUCGUCCUGCGUGACUCGUGGGAUAUGACCUAGUUUGUACUCUUUCCGGAGUUGUAGAAAAAUAAUGUAUAGGAGUUUGGAAUGCCUCCGAUGAGAUGUAAUCCCUUUUCACCGUAAUAGUACUUUGUUUGGUCUUGUACUAAACCUUGUAUGGUGUGUAUGACGAUGGAAUAAAGAAGCAGUUUCUGUAUCUACCAUGUCAUACGGAUGAUCAUCUUGCAUUCCGAGUUAUUCCUUGCAUUAUGUAUCCUAUGUCGGAAUUUUAUCAUUCUGACUAAAUCAUUGUCUUGUUUACCUAGGAUGGUCAACACGCGCGCCAACCCUGCUUCUCAAGAGCAGGCCGAAGGCAGUGAAGCCAGGAAUGAAAAUCUGCCUCAUCCUCCUUCACUAGCCGAGGUGAUGAUGGAAGCUGAGAGAAACAAGCGGGAGACAAACCGUUUGUUGGAGCGUAUUGAACAGAAUACAGCACACCAUCAGAGGGCUAACGUGGUGUCACUUAGUGAUUUUAUCAAAUUGCAUCCACCCACGUUCCACCACUCCAUCGAGCCUCUCGACGCUGAUGACUGGCUUCGCAGUAUUUCUCACAAGCUGCGUUCCGCGCUGGUAGCGGAGGCUGACAAGGUCACCUUUGCCGCAUAUCAUCUUGAAGGCCCCGCCAGUCUUUGGUGGGAGAAUUAUGGAGCCAUGCGCCCAGCGGGCCAUGUCACAACUUGGGCUGAAUUCAGCGAGGCUUUCCGUGAACAUCAUAUUCCGAAGGGUCUCAUGGACCGUAAGCGUGAAGAAUUUUGCAAUUUCACCCAAGGCCGACUUUCUGUGGAUGCCUAUAGCAGGGAGUUUGGUAAGCUCGCCCGAUAUGCAACUGAGGAAGUGUCUACUGACGCCAAGAAGCAAGCAAGGUUCCGUAAGGGCCUUAGUCCUGAGCUUCGCCGCGACCUCCGUCUGCAUGAGUGCACAUCUUUUCCGAAACUUGUCAACAAAGCCAUCAGUGCUGAAACUGGUCAGACAGACUAUGACGCAACACGCAAGCAUGGACGUGACAUGGGUUCCUCAUCCGGUGCUGGUCCUCAGAAGCGCCGCGUGUGGGUACCCAACACCGCCCUGCCACCCAGGUUCACACCGAGGCCAUCUUUCCAGACGCCUCGCCCUGUUCAACAGUCUGCACCGGCCAAGCCCUAUGGGGGUCCAACCAAUAAUGCUCCUCCACGUACCAGUUCCGUGACUUGUUUCAAGUGUGGGGAAUCUGGUCACUAUAUGCGUGAGUGCCCCCAGACCAACCCCAAUCAAUCUGCUAAAGCUGUUGGCCGUGGCAAGCCGACAUGGAAGGUGUUCCAUGCCAAACCGGUCACCGCUUCACGUGGCCAGGUCAAUUGUGUCUCUGCCGAAGAAGCUCAAGAGGAUCCCAACGUCGUUCUCGGUACGCUUCUUGUUAAUUGCCACCCGACAUCUGUUCUUUUCGAUACAGGAGCCUCUCAUUCUUUUAUAUCUGAAAAUUAUGCACGUUUGCAUAACGUUGCAUUCUGUGACUUGCCAUCCACUAUGGAAAUCUCUACCCCUGGGUCUAGAUGGCAGACCUCUAGGGUAAGUUAUGGAAAUGAGAUCCAAGUCGACAGACUUGUUUUCCUUGCAUCUCUAAUAGCCCUUAAAUCUUCGGAUAUUAAUAUCAUUUUGGGUAUGGACUGGAUGUCAGCUCAUCAAGCCAAAAUUGAUUGCUUCUCUAGGACUGUUCAACUCACCCAUCCUUCGGGGAAGAUAGUUAAUGUCUUGACCCGAAUAGCCAAGCGACAAUUAUAUUCUCUUAACGCCAGCCCUUUACCAGACCUUGAGGACAUUCCGGUAGUCCGUGACUUUCCGGAUGUCUUUCCAGAGGAAUUGCCAGGUGUUCCACCUGACAGGGAUGUUGAGUUCGUAAUAGACCUCAUUCCAGGAACCGUUCCGAUUGCUAGAAGACCCUAUAAUAUGGCACCCCUAGAACUAGCCGAGCUUAAGAAACAACUCGAUGAAUCCUUGAAAAAGGGUUUCAUCCGCCCUAGUUCAUCUCCGUGGGCUUGCCCCGUCCUAUUCGUUAAGAAAAAGGAUGGUACGGACUGGAUGGUUGUAGAUUACCGACCUGUCAAUUUGGUCACAAUCAAGAACAAAUACCCGCUUCCCAGGAUCAAUGAUCUGUAUGAUCAGCUCGCUGGAUCCUCAGUCUUCUCCAAGAUGGAUUUGAGGUUGGGCUACCAUCAAAUCAAAAUCAGAAACGGGGACAUUCCUAAAACGGCCUUUGUUACUCGUUAUGGACAAUACGAGUACACCGUCAUGUCCUUCGGUUUAACCAACGCUCCAGCCACUUUUUCUCGGUUAAUGAACUCAAUCUUCAUGGAGUAUUUGGAUAAAUUCGUCGUAGUUUAUCUCGAUGAUAUACUCAUCUACUCCAAGAACGAGGAAGAACAUGCCGAACAUCUAAGGCUAGUGUUGAAGAAACUUCGAGAGCAUCGCCUUUAUGCCAAAUUUUCUAAAUGUGAAUUCUGGUUGUCAGAAGUGACCUACCUGGGUCAUGUAAUAUCUGGUAAAGGUAUUGCUGUUAACCCUGAGCGAGUUCAAGCCGUCCUUAACUGGACUCCACCCGAAUCGGUCAAGCAAGUUCGGAGUUUUCUGGGCUUAGCGAGCUAUUGCCGUCGCUUUGUCGAGAACUUCUCCAAAGUUGCUAAACCUCUAACCGAACUCCUCAAGAAAGAUAAAAAGUUCGAAUGGACUCCACAAUGUGAGCACAGCUUUCAAGAACUGAAAAGACGCCCGACCUCUGCUCCUGUACUGGUACCGCCAGACUUCUCCAAGGACUUUGUUAUCUACUGCGACGCCUCGCGACAAGGACUAGGUUGCAUUCUCAUGCAAGAUCGACACGUAAUUGCUUACGCUUCACGGCAAUUGCACCCACAUGAGGAGAAUUAUCCUACUCAUGAUCUAGAGCUUGCAGCCGUAGUCUAUGCACUUAAGACCUGGCGACAUUAUCUCCUCGGUAAUCGUUGCGAAAUAUUCACUGAUCACCAAAGUCUGAAGUAUAUUUUCACCCAACCGGAUUUGAAUCUCAGGUAGAGACGUUGGGUUGAAUUGAUCACAGACUUCGACCUAGGAAUAACCUAUACCCCAGGGAAAGCCAACGUCAUGGCUGAUGCACUAAGUCGUAAAUCUUAUUGUAACAACCUGAUGUUACAACAAAGUCAACCGCUUCUCCAUGAGGAAUUUCGGAAGCUUAACCUUCACAUUGUACCUCAAGGUUUUCUCUCCACCUUGGUGGCAAAACCUACCCUUACGGAUCAAAUUAUCAAAGCACAGAAGGUAGAUCCGGGAAUCUCCCGCAUCAAGAGAAACAUUCAGAAAGGAAUUGCGAAUUGUUUCUCCGUUAAUGAUCAAGGAGUCGUAUACUUCGGGGAUCAACUAGUGGUUCCCAAGGUGCGCAACUUAAGGCGAUUAAUCCUUAAGGAAGCUCAUGAAUCUCCUCUCACCAUUCAUCCCGGUAGUACUAAGAUGUAUCAGGACCUACGCCAGAGGUUCUGGUGGACUAGGAUGAAGAGAGAAAUCGCUCAGUAUAUUGCUAAUUGCGACGUCUGUCGUCGUGUAAAAGCAGAGCAUCAACGGCCUGCUGGCACCCUUCAACCCUUAGCUAUUCCUGAAUGGAAAUGGGAUAAAAUUGGUAUGGAUUUCAUUACCGGUUUUCCCAGAACCAAAAGAGGGAAUAAUGCUAUUUUCGUCGUGGUCGAUCGUCUUUCCAAAGUAGCUCAUUUCUUACCUGUUCGUGAGAGUAUAACCGCUAGUCAACUGGCAGACUUAUACAUCUCCCGAAUAGUGUCCCUCCAUGGUGUUCCUUUGGAAAUCAAUUCGGAUCGAGGAAGUCUUUUCACCUCUCGAUUUUGGGAAAGCUUCCAAAAUGCUAUGGGAACUCGUCUUUCUUUUAGCACCGCUUUCCACCCUCAGUCAAGUGGUCAAGUGGAACGCGUCAACCAAAUUCUAGAAGACAUGCUUCGAGCCUCUGUUAUCUCGUUCGGAAUGGACUGGGAGAAGUGCCUUCCAUUUGCCGAAUUCGCUUACAACAACAGCUAUCAAUCUAGCUUGGGUAAAGCCCCUUUUGAAGUUCUCUAUGGACGACGAUGUCGAACACCCCUUAACUGGUCAGAGACCGGGGAAAGACAAUUCUUUGGCCCGGAUAUGAUUCAGGAAGCAGAAGAACAAGUUCGUAUCGUUCGUGAAAAGUUGAAAACAGCCCAAUCCCGUCAAAAGAGUGAAUACGACCGAAAACAUAAGGCUAUGACUUUCGAGGUUGACGAGAAGGCUUAUCUUCGGGUCACCCCUCUGAAGGGAACCCAUCGUUUCGGUAUCAAAGGCAAAUUGGCUCCUCGUUACAUUGGACCUUUUCGCAUUCUUGCCAAACGAGGAGAAGUUGCCUACCAAUUGGAACUACCUCCGCACCUCUCCAGAGUUCACGAUGUCUUCCACGUUUCUCAACUCAGGCGUUGCUUCUCGGAUCCUGUCCGUGAAGUGGACCACGAAACGCUUGAUCUCCAAGAUGAUCUUACAUAUCGAGAGUACCCCAUCCGUAUCCUCGAUCAGGCCGAGCGUACCACGCGACGUCAUAACAUCAAGUUCCUCAAAGUUCAAUGGUCGCAUCACUCUGAAGAUGAAGCAACUUGGGAAAGGGAGGAUCGUCUUCGACUUGAAUAUCCCGCCUUCUUCUCGGAGGAACCCAAAUCUCGGGACGAGAUUCUUUUGAGUGGGGGUGAGUUGUCACACCCUAGCUAGUCAUGCAUUAGAGUGUUGCAUCAUGUUUACUCUUUCAUCAGAAACUUGAAAUGGGGAUGACAGAACCCCCAGUCCCCUCUGAAAACCAACUAGGGUUUACUAAAAUAAUUUUCAAUGAACCUGAAAUGCCCUUCUAAAAUGCCCAUCAUUUUUGCCUUGGUUCAGAACCUCUGCCAAAAGUGGUGCACAUUUUCCUAGGCCAUCCUAGGGUUUUGAAUUAAAUCAUAACUAUUUGAAUUUGGGCAUUUAAAAUAAUAUAAAAUAUUUAAAUGCUCAAAUAUCUCCAAGCUAAAAUGUUUCAUGUUGGAAAUAAUCCAACUAUGGACCAGGAGUAGUUUGGUGAUUUUUGGAGUUGCCUAGGUAUUUUAUUUAAUUCAACAAAGUUGCAGAUAUAUUAAAUAAAACAGAAAACAGAAAAUAAAUAAAGGGAGAAGCUUACCUGAGCUCCUCCCUGUGCGGCCCAGCCCAGCCGGCCCAGCACUGUGCUGGCCCGUGCCAGCCAGCUGCUUCCCCUCGCCAGAGCAGGCAGGGAGGUGAGCAUGGCGCGCCCGAGCUCGCCACGCACCACCCAGCCUCUCUGCAUCGCCCUGGUCGCCGUUGCGCCGCGUGGAUCGUCUUCUGGUCGUCGCCCCGACCUCGCCGACACCCUCUCACUCUCCCCCGGCUCUCCCUCGCUCUCUCCCUCUCACGGCCGAAGCACACCGUCGCCGCCGUUCGCCUUAGCCACUGCCUCCGACCACCCCUCGCUCCCCCGAUUAGCUCAGGAGCUCCGCCUCGACUCCCUCUUCCUCCCCACCGCUCCACGAGUCCCCGGAAGCCCUGCAUCGCCGCCACGUCGCCGUUCCCCUCUUCGGGCUCCGAUCAUCGUCGCCGACGAAUUCGCCGUCUCCAGCGCGUCCCCGAGCCCGUUUCGACGCCCACUGCAACCGCGGUGAGCUACGCCACCGUUUCCCCCUUCUUCCCGGCUCUCUCCUGACCCCUAGGCCCUAGCCCCACCGCGGCCGAAAGCUUCACGCCGCCGGCGAUGUCGCCGUCGUGGUCACGGUCGCCGUAGCGCCCAACCGAGCUCACCAUCGUGCUCCACAUCUCACUAGGAGCACGUAGCACGCUCCAACACCCCCCCUAACGCCCUGCAACACCGUUCCCGUGCACGACCGAACCCCGGCAGCCGCAACCGAGCUCGCCGCCGUCGACUCCGGCCACCCCGACCCCAACGGACUCCGCCAAGAGCCGCGGGUCGUCCUCAGCUUCACUCCGGUGGCCUCCGCGGUUCAUUUGGUGGCCGAAACAACCAAAACCACUUUCGCCGCCGCACUGAUGGUCGCCGCCGGCCAGAACUCUGGCGAGCUGACGUGGCCCAGUUAAUUAGCCACUAACCCACCACCUACUGACGCUGACAAGUGGGCCCCAGGGCUUAGUCAAAGCUAACCAGCCCGGGUCAACACGGGAUUAGCCCCUGUGUCACUGACGUGUGGACCCCACACGUCAGGUUUGACCCGAGCCAGCCCUGUUGACCUGCUGAUGUCACUGUGACGUCAGGCUGACGCAGUAAAUGAUAUUUCUGGAUUUAAAUUAAAUCAGGAAAUUCCAGAAUAUUAAUUAAACUUCAAAAAUUCAUAACUUUUAUUCUGUAACUCCAAAUUGGGCAAGUUAUAUAUGAAAAAUGAUCAGAAAAAUCCAAUCUAUCCAUCUGUACUAUUUUCAUGCAUGAUCAAACAAGUUAAAUUGAUGUUUUAAACAGAAUAAGGAAAAGCACUUAAAGAGGCCAUAUUUGAGUUUGAAAUUUGAAUCUUUGAUUCAAAUUUGCUCAAACACUUCUGGCUUUAGUUGCAUUAGCCCAACACACUCAUAUUGCCAUGUUUCAUGCAUGCAUCAUAUUGUUGCACAUUGUUUGGUGAUGCCUGUGUAUCGUUAUCCUUUGCGACAGGAUCUGUCCCCGAGGAGUACCGUGACUACCCUAACGAAGAACCGUAUCCGUGCAACGAACCAUCAGGCAAGCAACCAACCAUUUGAUCAUAUCGAUACAAUCCCAUGUUCUCGCUCCUGCUCUCUUUUACUGCAUUAAGACAACGCGAUUCAAACUGCUGUGUGCUACGGUAGUUGAACCCAUUUCCUCUGCAUGACCUGUCAUUGCCACAGUAACUAGAUGAAAGCCACUAGCAUGUGUAGGAGUUGAUUGAGCCAUAUGUAUGUGUUGUUCCUACCUUGCUAUGCCUGCUAUGCUUAGAGUCGUGUCAGGUCUGGUUCAUCUGGGUGAUGGGCUAGAGUGAAAUGAUUAUGUCGGUAAUGAGAGUGGUGUGGUGAACACGAUUUGGUAAAGGUAUCGAUGAGAGGCCAUGUAGGAGUACAUGGUGGGUUGUUUCAUUGAAGCCGACCUUAAGCACUGAGAUCUGUAUGUGUGAUUUAAGAAUCAGCUACUACCAUGCAUUGGGCCCGAAACCAAUGGACCCUCUCGACUUCUUAUUCACCCUAGUUCUCCGUCCAGGAGUUGCAAGUAGUUUCUGGUGUUUGUAGCCUACUGGAGGCCGUGGACAGCGCUGACCGUAGGGGUGGGCUGUGAUGCGGUAGGUACGUGGCCGGGUGUACCGAAUACCCGUUAGGUAUCUCGGGAACCCUGUUCACAUCGUUUGGGGCCGUAUGGGAAACCUCGGCCGGACUCCCUGCGGAUGGAACCUGAAUAGGCGAUAAACCUGGACUGGAGGCUUAGGUGAUUAGGUAGGUCGUGGCCGACACCCAUGUUGGGCUUCCGCUUGAAGGUUGCCGAGUACAUGUCGUGUAAACGACGGUAAGUGGUGAGAGCGUGUAUGAAGAAGUACCCCCUGCAGGGUUAACAUGAUCUAUUCGAAUAGCCGCGUCCGCGGUAAAGGACUACUUGGUUGCCUAUACAGUUCAUAGACAAGUAAAUGGAAACUACUAAAAGCCUCAAGAUAAGUGUGAGUGCCGAGGAUGGCUCCUCCGUAGGAGGACGGAGGUGAAUCCUCGGUAGUGUAUUGAAGUGGUGAAUAGUGGACUCGUGUGCGCAAAACUAUUUCAAGUUGAAGUAUCGUAGGAUAGCCUAGCCAAGAGUCAAAGCUGGCUUGCUGCAAUAACUCCACCAACCCUUCUUGAUACUAUGCAUGUAUGUAGGAUCUGAUGUAAGUCUUGCUGAGUACCUUUGUACUCAUGUUGCUAUAAUCUACAUUUUUACAGAAGACGCUGCAACCCCUUCUGAUGGGUUCUAUGUAGACGUUGACAUCAACGAGUAGGCUAAAGACCCAGGUGGUGACCCUGAGCUUGUGAAGGACCACGUAGUAUAGCCAGGCUUUCCAAGCCUCUUUUGUUUUACUAGUUGUCUGUACCCAGACAAGUUACUUCCGCUGCUGGCUUGUAUGACUGUAUGACUUGUAUGUUGGGUCGUGAGACCCGUACCUUUGUGUAUGAUAUGUAUGGCUCCCUGAGCCUUAAAUAAAGUAUUUGUGUCGUAGAGUCAUGUUGUGAUGCUUCGUUGUAUUUGCACAUAUCGAGCAUGUUGUGUGUAUGAUUGAAAUGCUUGGUAUGUGUGGGAUCUGACCAUCUAGUUGUUUAUCUUUAGUAGCCUCUCUUACCGGGAAAUGUCUCCUAGUGUUACCGCUGAGCCAUGGUAGCUUGCUACUGCUCUGGAACACUUAGGCUGGCCGGCAUGUGUCCUUCUUCGUUCCUGUGUCUGUCCCUUCGGGGAAAUGUCACGCUUUGAGUACCGGAGUCCUGUUAGCCCGCUACAGCCCGGUUUACCGGAGUCCUGCUAGCCCAGUGCUACAGCCCGGACCCACUUGCUGAUGACCGACACGUUCGAAGCUGGGUCAUGGAUGCCUGUCCCUGUAAGUCUGUGCCACUUUGGGUUUACGACUAGUCAUGUCAGCCCGGGCUCUUUAUCAUAUGGAUGCUAGCGACACUAUCAUAUACGUGAGCCAAAAGGCGCAAACGGUCCCGGGAAAAAGGUAAGACGACACCCGUGGGAAUACCGUGCGUGAGGCCGCAAAGUGAUAUGAGGUGUUACCAGCUAGAUCGAUGUGACAUCGAGUCGGGGUCCUGACAGGAUCUCAACGACAACCCUGCUGCCUCGCCUGCACCUCAUGGGAACGAGUAGGCGCUCUAUGUCUUCAAACCUUUUUGGUCCUCACUGACAAAAGGGGGAGAAGCAUAUGAGUUUAUAGUCUUCAAGCGGGUCUAUAUGGGUGGUUGAUUUAUUUUUUGCUACUUUUGCCAACUGCUUACAACUCUCAUUUUUGAUACAUUUGGUUCUUUGAGUUGUAACACUUAAACUCGAUGGUCGUCUGCUACUUAUUUGCUAUUAUGUGAUGCGAUGAUAAAUUCCACAUGUGCGACGAUAAAUUCCGCACUUAGAUCAUUUUGCAGACAUCCAUUUUUCAUUAUGCAUGUCAUUAUCUUCGUUACAUCAUAUCUUGCAUAAUGACUUGUCAUCAUAUGUUGAAGAGGAUCUCCACAAGUGCAACCUGCCAUGUGCAUUUGCAUUCCAAAAGCAAACUACUUAUAUGCACAUCUUCAGGGGGAGCCCUUGCAACUUAUGAAGACAAUACCCUAUUCUUUACAAAUUCACAUAUUUUAUUCCCCGUUGAAAACUUCAACCAGUUUGUCAUCAAUCACCAAAAAGGGGGAGAUUGUAAGUGCAUCUAGUGCCACCCCUAGUUGGUUUUGGAGUAUUGACGACAAACCUGGUUGAGGGACUAAUGUGUUUGUGAGAAUUGCAGGAUAACACAGGUAGAAGUCCCUCAUUGAUUCGGUUUUCCUACCAGAGAUGACCCCUAAAAAUGUAUGAAGACAUUGAAGCCAAAGGUGGUAUGUGAAGACAUUCACAUUGAAGACUAUGACAAGAGAAGACAUCGCAUGAAGACUAUGGAGCGCGAAGACUUAGUUGUUUCGUCGUUCUUUUUCUUCUUUGUUGAGUCAUAGGAACCACCGUACUGUUAAGUGGGGUCCAAGAGAACCAGUCAGAAUGACUGAAGUGAUGCUUAACCAAAAUCCUAUGUCUUUGAGUGAAGACUAUGAGAGCAAAUCUUGUCCAGAGUUGGAUAAGUCAGCUUUGCUUGUAGCCCAAGUAAAGUUGUCACGUGUGUUUGAAAUCUGACCGUUGGAACACGUGUCAGUUCCUUAGUGACCGAGUGUCAUUUCGGACAAAUCAGGUCGGGUUGCCUAGUGGCUAUUAAUAGCCCACCCCCUACAACCAUAAACAGUUGGCUGCUCAGAGUUAGUGCACGGCUUUUGUCAUUUGAGAGCAACCCACCUCGAAGCCUUUGAGAGAGAAUUCCUUGCGAGGAUAAAGCCCUAACCACCCAGAGCCAAAGAGAGUUAGGCAUCACUGAAGUCUUCCUGUCUGUGUGAUCUGAAGACUUAUUACACUUGAGGACUGUGAAUCCUCCAGCCGGUUAGGCGUCGCGUUCUGAGCAUCCAAGAGUCAUUGUGGAUCGCCGGUGAAUGAAGUCUGUGAAGGUUUGGAAGUCUACCUUGAAGACUUACCUAAGUGAUUGGGCGAGGACUGGGUGUCCUUAGCUCAAGGGGAAUAAGGUGAAGACGCGGUCUUCUGAGUUGAAUCUCAGCCUCCCUAACCAGACGUACAGUUGUCACAACAACUGGAAAUGGUCCAACAAAUCAUCGUCCUCAACAAGUCACUGGUUUCAUCCUUCCCAUUCCCUUACUUACUGUUGGCCCUGGUGAAGUCAUUGCAUGAUUGCCUUAUCUUUUGUCUUCAUUGAGUGACUACUUGUUUUGAUUGGCUUCACUAUAUCUUCCUACCUGAUCUUUACUGCCUAGCUGCUAUUAGUCAUUGUGCUUUCACUUCAUUGAAUACUUGACUAUGGUUUGCCUAGUGUAGUCUACGUUCUGUUGCAUGGUAAUAGGUUUAUCUCUAUCGUUUGUCUUCAAAACUUCCAUGUUUUGAAGACUUUCAUAAAAAUCGCCUAUUCACCCCCCUCUAGUCGAUCACUAGCACUUUCAAGCGCUACCGGAGUUCUUCAAAGAUGUAUCUCCAAGGAAGAGGGGCGGAAACUCUUGGCUGAAAUUCACGCCAGACUCUGCGGUCACCAUGCCGUAGCUCGGGCCCUUGUUAGCAAGGCCUUCCGUACAUGGGUUUAUUAGCCGACGGCCCGAGCAGAUGCACAUGACUUUGUCCAACAUUGCGUUGGAUGCCAACUCUUCGCCAACCAAAGCCAUAUGCCCCCCACUGCCUUUCAAACAAUCCCCAUCACUUGGCCUUUUGCGGUCUGGGGACUCAAUAUGGUCAGACCCCUUAAAGGAGGAAGCCAUAAGAGAAAGUAUCUGCUGGUCAUGGUGGAUAAAUUCACUAAGUGGAUAGAGGCCAAACCAGUCAAAACGGCCGAGGCGGGGCCUGUAAUAGAUUUCAUAUCUGGCGUGGUACACCAUUAUGGUGUUCCACACAACAUCAUCACCGAUAAUGGCUCUAAUUUCACAGCCGAUGAAGUGAAAACUUGGUGUGCUAAUCUGGGCAUUAAGCUCGAUUACGCCUCUGUCUAUCACAUGCAGACAAACGGUCAAGUCGAACGGGCUAAUGGUCUUAUUAUGAGCGGCAUCAAACCUAGACUAGUGCGGUCUUUGAAAGAAUCAGACAAGCACUGGGUGGAGGAACUUGACUCCGUACUCUGGGGGUUGCGGACCAUGCCCAACCACACUACUGGAUAUACACCUUUCUUCAUGGUGUACGGUGCGGAAGUAGUGUUACCCUGCGACAUUAUUCAUGACUCACCUCGAGUGCGCAUGUACGAAGAGAGAGAGGCCGAGCUUGAUCGGGAGGACAACUUAGAUGCCCUGGAGGAGGAGCGCAACGUCACAAAAGCCCGUUCCGCAUUUUAUCAACAGCAGGCUCGCAUGUAUCAAAGCAGAGAAGUGCGGGCUAAGACUUACAACGUUGGUGAACUUGUUCUACGCCUGCCGGAGAAGAAAAAGGACAAACUCAAGCCCAAGUGGGAGGGUCCUUUCAUCAUUGACGAAGUUCUCACCGGAGGAGCGUACCGCCUGCGUGAUGCGUUAGACAAUCACUUGGAGCCGAACCCCUGGAAUGCGGCCAGACUCCGACGAUUCUAUGCCUAGCAUCGAACUCUGUGUUCGUCUCCUUCCUCCUGUUAUUAACGUUAUUUUUUCUCUCUUUUCGUUUUUCUCUUUAGCCCUACGGCUUUAGUACGGCUAGACCGUGCUCCCUUGAUGCGUACAUCUCCAAAUAUGUACGUCCACUAUACCUGGGGGCUUCUUGCACCGAAGCUUGCUAUUAUUCUUCGAGCAUCAUGCUCACCACAUAUGCGUUCUUCCCAUAUGUACCUUUUCUUCGCCAUUAUAUGCAUCGAUAUGACUUAAGUUUUGGCCAAGCUGGGUUACCUGGCUCCUGUGCUUAUGCCCUAUGUUCCCGUUAGUUCAGCCAGGGCAUAAAGGGAGCACCUCUGCGAUUGUUACUCCGGGUCAUCCGGAUGUGUACCUCAGACUGCGGGAAGCCGAAAUCUAGUGUUCUUAAGGGAAUAUUCGGUCGGUGAAUUAAAGACGUUUCCGCAUUCACUCCAUUGUGAAACCCCAAAAGUUACUUACUCUACAAUUUUUUCAAUCAUAGUUUGGACAUGCACAUUAAAUGCAUGCACACCCAGGGAAAGGAAGCCUUAACGGAACUAUUCUCUCUGGAAGAUGUUUCUUACAUAAUGUAAUAUAACAUAACUAGCCGGAUACAUAUUGUCUGUUCAAGCAACUAUGACCCCCACGCCUGGUUCCCAUGCAUACCCUGGUAUAUUCUACUGCUAGGGUAUUUGGAAACACUCCACACCUUCGGGUCUAGAGUUCGAAGCGAAAAGGUCGGCCAUGACAAUUGUUUUUACAAUCCAGCUAGAAGGAAAGUACAUAGUCACUUAGGACUUCAAGACUUCCUCCUCUAUACCGUCCAACAGGCGGUCUAACUUACAAUCCUAUUGGAAUAUCUCGCGGCCACCUCUCUACUUGGUCAUAUACUAAACUAAUAGGAAUUUCUUCCCCAUUUGACCCUAGCGGUCCGACUCGGGCCAUGUGAUUCGGAUCCAGCUUGGUAUACCGCGUUUUUACCAUGGCCCAGGACUCUCGUGCACCCUCUCGGCAGGUUGAUAUCUUCCAUAGUCGGAUAUGCCGCCGCGCUCCCUUGAACAGCUCCACAAGCUUCAGCAUAAUCCAUGGAGGGGAGGCGGAUGGCCAUAAGGCCUUGGCUACACUCUGCAUUGCCUGCCGAGCUUGCUCGUGUAACUGCGAUAGCCCUUGUAGAAGAUCACUUGAUGAUCUGGACACCUCCUCUUCGGGACGGCCUGUUAACAUACCUGCAAUCACAGCUAUAUUAGCUAAGUUUAUUCCCAAACUGUUAUAAGAUAAAUUCGGCCACAUACUGAAUAUGCCGCCUCGCAGCUUUUUGAUCUCCUUCACGGAGUCGGCUAGCUGGGCUCGCACAUCUUUCAGUUCUUCGCCCAGUUUGGUGUCUGAAUCCUGGAGUUUGUUUUUCUCCUCUCUGACUCGUGUCAGAAUGCGCUCGCCUACCGCAUGUUGUCUCUUCGACUCUUUUUCGCUCGUUUGAGCGGCCUUCAGUUCCUCUCCCAGUUGGUUCGAUGACCCUGUUAUGAAACAAUCAGCAGUUGCAAUACAGCUGGCGUAUAAUUUUUUGUUUCUCGAUGGAGGGAAAUAUUACCAGAGGAAGCCUUCUUGAACUUUUCCAGUUCGGCGGUAGCAACAGUUAGCUGUGUCCGGCAUUGCUCCAGCUCUUGGGCUAGCAGGUCGUUCUUCUCCGUAAGAGCCUGGUUAUACAACGAUCCUUAAAAAAUUUGUCCCAGCUGCUUCAAGUCUCGGGGGUUAAGGGCACAUGGUUAUCAAAUUUGUACAAGGUAAACUUACCUGCACAUCUUUCAAAUGUUGCUCGGUGGCUCUGUUAAGCCCAUCUCGAGCAGCUCGGAUGUAUGCAUCAGCCAAGCUGAAGGCACCGAAUGCCUCUUUUGAGAAGCGGGGAUUUCGUAAAACGGCCCUCCGGCGCCGGUGAUUCAUGGCGCACUCCACUUCCGAAUUGGUGACGGACAUAUUUUUCGAACCCUCGGCAGAAGGACAGUCCGGCGCCACUCCCAUAUCGGGCCCCGUCUCUUCGGCUGGGACUGAAUCUUGGUUAUCAGGAGUACAACUGGUCGGGUGUGACGCCCCAAGACCGAUGCGCCAGGUGUCUUCCAGUUAUUCAUUGUUGUUGCCUUGUCUUUUGCUUGCGUGUUGCAUCUUGCCAUGUCAUCAUGUGCAUUGCAUCAUCAUGUUUUCAAAAUUUGCAUCUAUCCAGGUCUCCCCGUUCUUUCCAGUGUCCAUUCCGAGCCCAGACACAAUUGCACGCGCCUGCGGCACCUCCGAGAUAUUAUUUUAUAAGUGGCUGGAAAAUGUUCUCAGAUUGGGUUGAAAGUUGGCAUGCGGGGUUGUUAUAGUGUUAGUAGGUCUCCUGCCAAGUUUCAUCGCAUUCGGAGUUCGUUUGAUAGCCCAACCGUUAAACUAUAGCGGCAGUAUAGCCGGUCUAUCGUCCGACGUUUUCGGUCUCCGGAAACUGCUAUCGGGCCCUCUCUCUCUCUUCUCUCCUCUCAGCCUCGCCACAGUCCACCUAGGCCCAUGCCUACCCCUCUUUGCACAGUGCAUCGGCCCCUCGCGCGCGUCCGAAAGUUGACCCAAACCCGACCCGGGCAGUCAUCACCGUUGUGUCCGGAUCAUCCCCAAAUGUCUACAAAAUAUCACCGUUUUAUUAUUUGGACUCCCUAGCCUAUUCUUUAUGAACCGUCCGAUUUCGAUCGGAGGAUCCAAACUCCCUCUUUUCCUUAUAUUUAUAGACCACCACCUACCAAAUCUAGCCUAACCCUAAAACCUAGGAGGCUUGUCCCUCCCCGCCGCCACUCCUCUCCCACAUCGAGAUCCCCUCCCGGUCCAGUUGCACCCGAGACGAAUCGCAGCAACCACCUUCCUUCCUCGUGUUCAAAUCCAGCCAAUCCAUCCCCUCGUUGAGAGCCGCCACCCAAGCCCAUCGAUCCAACCCUCCUCGCUCUCCUCGUUGACCAGGGAGAUGAGCUCCUCCUCUCCCGUUUCUCCCAUGCGCCACCUCGACCCCUCGAGCUCAAUUACAAGCUCAAGCCCGAACCUCGCCAUCCUCGCUUGGCCGUCGUGUCGUCGGAGGCCACCGUCCCCCGCCACCGAUGAGCACAACGACGUCCCUUCCUUUCCUUCGUCUGGCUCCUUCCUUCUCCUCUCAACAUCUCUGCCUCCCUUUUCUGUCUAGGAGCUCGGCACCAACGCAAUGGACGCCAGCACCAGGAGCUUCGCCCGUGUUGCUGCCAUGGACUAGAUCCGGUCCGGAGCUGCUCAUCUGCCUCAUAUCUCGUCCUGGCUGCAAGUCCCUCACCGUGCCGCAUCUACUCUGCAACGAGCGGAGCUGCCGCCGCUGCAGCUGCCGCGCGCCGUUGGCUGCAUCGGCCCGAACCGGCCUCCUCUUCGCCGUUUCCCACUCCUCCGGCCACCUCCGCCCGUUUCCCCAUCCCCGACAUCAUCUGCAGCUGCGCCAUGCCUCCGCCGCUGGCUCUGCUUCACCUGAACCGGGUUUCAUCUUUUUGCUUCGCCCCACAACAAGUCCCCUGCCACUGUGGAUGUCCCGACGCAGGAGCUCGCCGUCGACCGCAGUCGACGUCGCCAGCCUCCGGAUCCGUCGAACCCCGGUCUCUCUAGCCUCUCUGUCGCAGGAUCCUUUGCGUCCUUCGGUUCAUCCAGCUACCGCCUGCAUCGAGCGGGACGACCUCGCAUUGACCCCGUGCUCGAUUUGGUAGCGAAGCCGCUCGCCCCUCUUACUGCGUCGACCACACGCACCUGGGCCGCCUCCCCUUCAACCAUUGACCGCGACCCAGCCCACACCUUCCCACCGCCCUGGGCCAGGUCCAGCUGGGUGAGUCUAGCGCCCGUGCUCCCAUUGGGCCAGUCAGAUCUGGCCCGAUGUGUAUUUUUUUCCGCUGUAGCGAAUUUUUCCAAUUAUCCAGAAAACUGCCAGUUUACAGUUUAGUCCCUAGUCUUCAUGCAUAUAAUAACUCUUGAACUAUGCACCAUAUGUAAAAACUUUGUAUAUGAAAAAUGCUUAGAAUUGCAUCUAGUUUCAUAAUUUGCAACUUUCAUCCAUGUUUAAAAUGCUUAAAAUGUUGUUUGUUUAAAUUUUGCUCAUAUGCCAUGUUAAAAUGUUUUAAUUCAUAACUAUUUAACCGUAACUCGGUUUGUAACAAACUUUAUAUAUAAAUGGGGUAGAAAAAUGCAUAGUUUAACAUGGUGGCAUCUAUUUGCAUGUUUAACAACUAUAAAAUUGUGUUUAGGGCAGAACAGUACCAUAACCGAAAUAUGCACAUGGGGACUUUUCGGAAUAGUUGUUCGUUGUUUCCGGCCUCAUUUAAACUUGACUAGAUAGGUAGUUUUAAUUUGCUUCACCCUCUUGCCAUGUUUAACAACAUUUAAUAUUGUUGGGUACAUAAACGAGAUCAAACUAAAUAACUUGAAUGUGGUGUGCUCCAGUUAAUUUGUAGGAUUGUUUGUGCUCUUUGCCAUGCCAUGCUUCAUUAAACCGGACAUGCCUCAUACUUGAUUGUGCAUCAUGCCAUAUUCAUGUGUUGGUUGUUUACCAUGUUGUUUGCUUUAUUUCCGGUGUACUUCUUCUCGGUAAUCCGGUAAUGUUGCGUUUGUGAGGAUCCGUUGGCUACGUCUGCUUGUCUUCUUCGUGGACUCAUUCUUCUUCCUUGCGGGAUCUCAGGCAAGAUGACCAUACCCUCGAAAUCACUUCUAUCUUUGCUUGCUAGAUGCUCGCUCUUUUGCUAUGCCUAUGCUGCGAUACCUACCACUUGCUUAUCAUGCCUCCCAUAUUGCUAAGACAAGCCUCUAACCCACCUUGUCCUAGCAAAUCGUUGUUUGGCUAUGUUUCCACUUCGCUCAAUCCCUCUUAUAGCGUUGCUAGUUGCAGGUGUAGAUUGGAGUUUGUUCCUUGUUGGAACAUGUUUAUUGUUGGGAUAUCACAAUAUUAUCUUGCUUAUCUUAAUGCACCUAUAUACUUGGUAAAGGGUGGAAGGCUCGGCCUUAUGCCUGGUGUUUUGUUCCACUCUUGCAGCCCUAGUUUCCAUCAUAUCGGUGUUAUGUUCCUGGAUUUUGCGUUCCUUACACGGUUGGGUUAUAAUGGGAACCCCUUACAGUUCACCUUGAAUAAAACUUCUCCAGCAAGGCCCAACAUUGGGUUUACCAUUUGCCACCUAGCCUUUUCUUUCCCUUGGGUCAUCUUUAUUUAAACCCCCGGGCCAGUGCUCCUCUGAGUGUUGGUCCAACUUGUCAGCCGCCGGUGGCCACCAAGGGCAACUCUGGGCUGGCCUAUCGAAAGUUUGGACAAUCCGGUGUGCCCUGAGAACGAGAUAUGUGCAGCUCCUAUCGGGAUUUGUCGGCACAUUUGGGUGGCUUUGCUGGUCUUGUUUUACCAUUAUCGAAAUGUCUUGUAACCGGGAUUCCGAGCCUGAUCGGGUCUUCCUGGGAGAAGGAAUAUCCUUCGUUGAUCGUGAGAGCUUAUGAUGGGCUAAGUUGGUACACCCCUGCAGGGAUUUGAAGUUUCGAAAGUCGUGCCGACGGUUAUGGGCAGAUGGGAAUUUGUUAAUGUCCGAUUGUAGAAAACCUGAAGCUUAACUUAUUUAAAUUGCAUCAACUGCGUGUGUAAUCGUGAUGGUCUCUUCUCGGCGGAGUCCGGGAAGUGAACACGGUGUUGGAGUUAUGCUUGACGUAGGUUGUUCUAGGAUCACUUCUUGAUCAUAGUUUCUCGAACGUGCUUUGCCUUCUCUUCUCGCUCUCAUUUGCGUAUGUUAGCCACCAUAUAUGCUAGUCGCUUGCUGCAGCUCCACCUGAUACCUUUUACCCUUCCUAUAAGCUUAAAUAGUCUUGAUCGCGAGGGUGUGAGAUUGCUAAGUCCCCGUGACUCACAGAUACUUCCAAAACCAGUUUGCAGGUGCCGACCAUACUGUGGAGGUGACGCAACCGAGCUCAAGGAGGAGCUCAAUGAAUACCAUGCUCGUUAUGUUGUUUCCGUUUUUUAGUUGAUCAGUAGUGGAGCCCAGUUGGGACGAUCGGGGAUCUGUGUAGCAUUUGGGGUAGUCUUCUUUUAUUUUGGGUUCCGUAUUCGAACCUUGCGUGUACCUAGAUGAUGUAAUGUUAUAUUCAUGUAUUGUGUGAAGUGGCGAUUGUAAGCCAACUAUGUAUCUCUUUCCCUUAUGUAUUACAUGGGUUGUCUAAAGAUUACCUCACUUGCGACAUUGCUUUCAAUGCGGUUAUGCCUCUAAGUCGUGCUUCGACAUGAGGGAGAUAUAGCAGCAUCGAGGGUGUUACAAGUUGGUAAUCAGAGCCUUCCCCGACUUUAGGAGCCCCCUGCUUGAUCGAAUCGUUGGCGCUGUUGAGUCUAGAAAAAUCUUUUGAGUCAUUUAGGAUUAUAUAUAUCAGAGAGUAGGAUUCUUUUUACUCCCCAGUCCCUUCGUCGCUCUGGUGAGGCAUCCUAACGUAGAGUUUUGACUCUUCUCUUCUCAAAUUUCACUAAAGAAAAUUAGGAUCACGCGGGUAUCUUGGAAUCGUUCUGAUGGUUUUGUGACGAGAACAUUGUUCUUGGUGCCUCCUGACAUUUAGGGGUUGUGGCAGUGUCCCGGGGAGUUGAGCUCCGAGGUGUUGUCGUCACAAUUUUAUCGUUGCAGUUCUGGAAUACCUGAGUUUUCGCCGACAUCGAAAAUCUCUUUUAUGCAGUUGUUGGUGAGAUAACCUCGACGCCACCUAGUAUUGGGGCGAGAGUUCAGGAGUAUUGCCAUAACUCGUAUAACGGAUGCUUUUCGAAGGUUGAGGUAAAUAAUUUCCGAAGGUUUCUUGGUUAUGUGUUGAAGGAUGGAUACAGCUGGAUGUAGGAUUUGUUAGUUUUGAGUGAGAUAUUAUGCUUCCCCUGUAUCCCCAACACCUGAUUGCACAACUGAAAAGUUUCGGGAGUUUAUAAGUGGGAAUUCAAGUAGCUCUUAGGAUAUCUGUUCGACAAAUGUAUGAUAUGAAAUUGGGGUUCGACGUCUAGUGGUCCGCCUAUCCACGGUUGGUUUUACAGUGGUCUCAUUGUGUCUUAAAGAGUCCUUGGCUAUGUCGAGUCGGGGACGCUUCGUAUGUCAUGUGCACUUCCUUGUACAUGAUGGUGAUGUAUGAUCGAGCCCGUGUAGGCCCCACCAUGAAAACUUUGGACAAAAUCUCUAUCAUAUGUUCGUUCUGGCUUAUUCUGCAAGCCAAUCCUUUGAUUUGUUUUUCAGUUGUGGUAUUCGAUUUGCUUCAAUGUCAAGUGUUGAUUCCAUACCUUUCCUAAGCGGUAUUCUCAUGUUCCUAUGUGAAUACAAAUCCUUCAUGAUAAUCGAGAUUGUCAUGUCAAUCCUUUUCAACCGGUGUGAUUCUUUUCAAGUGGAUCCGAUCAUUUCAAUAUCAGCAAGAUCAAUUAUCAUUUCUUCUCAAUGGUGUUCAUUUCAUUCGUCCCAAGCUUCCUUUGUUUUUCCCGCCCUUCCACCCUUUUUCUUCAAGGACUCGGAUUCCUUAUUCAACUAUCCAUUUUAUUCAUGGGAAGUCUCUCUUCAUUCUUUUCUGUCAAUGUUCUUAUCCGGUGAUUCUAAUGAAGAUUCUAACGGAGUUUCAAGUUCGUCACUCUUCAUUCUCUUUCUUCUCCGGUGGAACCAAUUCAAGCUUUGUUGAUCAUAUCCUUUCCUCGUUUCAAAUGCUUUCUCAUGUCGGUGCAAUUCUUAAUCAUUCACCUCUCGCUAUUCAUUUGUUCCGGAGUACUGAAGAUAUAUCAGAAGAUGCUAGUGUUUAUUCUCAUUCAUUCAAGAUCUUUCGAGAAUGUUAUCUUAUUCAAACCAUUUAAUUCAACCGGUGCAUUCUCCUUUUCAAGUAACCAUUUCAACGGUGUAUCUUUUGAGUGGGCCCUAACCCACAGGUCUUUUUUCUAGGAUCUUACCUGACUCUUCUAAUUUUCUCGGAGCUAUCCUAAAUUCUUUUCAAAGUUUGACGUAAGAAUGAUUCAUCAUCAGUCACAUGUAUUUCUCCAUGAUCUUUCAAAUUCUUUUCAUCUUUGGCUCAACCUCUCCUCUUUUAAUCAUUCCGGAGUGUCUCAACAAUUCUUGGUGGUGUUUCUUAUCGUCUUCCUCAACAUUUGAAGAUCAGAGAAGAUUUUUUUUCCUUUAAAUCUUGCUCUAUUCUCUCAGAGAUUCAUUAUUCUAGCUUGUUGCCAUCCUCUCAUAAUUUGUUUUGAUUGUGAGAAUUCUUUUCACCUAUCCGGAGCAAUUCAGGAGUCCUUUUCAGUUUGAUUAUCCGGAGUCCAUCAAUUCAGGUUUAUUCAUUCUCAGCUUUCAGUUAUCAUUCUCCAAUCUUAUCGGUGCAUCGAUCAAAUAUCCUCUAAUCAGUUCAUGGUCUCUUUGUUCUUUUGUAUCUAAACUCUCUCAUGUAUCUUCGUUCAUUUGCUAAUUCUUACCGGUGAUUCAUCCUUUUACUUCGUUCAUUUUCAAUCCUUACGGUGGUUCAUUCAAGAUUUCUCUUCCUUCUUUAUCAUAUCAAUUCAUUCGUUGUUUCGAUUCUACCCGUGGUUCGUUGAAGACCUUAUCGAGUUUAUGGUAUAUCUCUCUUAAUCUUUUCUAUGAGAAUAAGUAAUAUGUCAAAUCCAUUGAUUGUCAUCAAUUUAAUUGGUGAAGGAUAAGCAUAAGGUAAUUCUUAUUCGUGUUUCAUCCAAGUGAUAAAUUCCUUAUUCCGGAGGUUCAUCAAAAUUCUUGAAUUCUUGUUUCAUCUUUUCUUUUCCGGAGUUUCAAGUUUCCACUUUAUCUCGUCACAAAGCUUCAUCUAAAAUCAUUGCAAGGUUUCACCUUGUGUUUUCAACUUCUCUUUCCUUUCGUUUGAUCAGUCUUUUGUUGACCGGAGUUCUUCAUGGAGGUUUUACAUGAUGGUUCACCAAGGAUUUAAUUCGUUCUUGGAGUGUUCAUCGAGAUUCUUUUCUAAGGAGCUCAAGCAUUCUUAAUCUUGCAAUCCAGAGUGCAAUUCUUUCUAUUGAAUCAUUGGAGGUGGUAUUAUGUCAUUCUUGAUAAUUUGAGUUCAUGUUUCGUGUUUCACAAGUUAUCAAGAAUGAGGUAUUUAAAAUCCAUCAAAUUCUUCUUUGGAUUUAUCUUGGGCUAUAUUUUCACCUAAAGCCUUCCCUAAGGACUGUUGCUAUGAAUGGUGCUCAUAUAUGAUCCAAGUUCUUCUUUUAUCUUCCCGGUGAUAUAAGUUUCUUGUCUUGUUCAUAUCAAUCCAAUCUUUUUUCGUGAGUGGCAGAAUUUCACCUCAUAGUUUUGAGAUGUUCUCCAUAAGCCCACUACAAACUUAUUCUUUUCGUUGUGGUUUUUCAACAACUCUGUGAUAACCUUCUUGGAAGGGUGCCUUCCAAGCUCAAUUGCGGCAGAAGCUGGCAUUUUCUUAUCCAUUCUUUCAUUCCAAUGAUCUACCUUCAAUUUCUUCCUUCCGGAGGCAUUGUGAUGUUGCUCUCUUCAACCCAUCUUCUUGUUUUGUCAGGAUCAUGUUCGUUCUUUUUGCUUAUCCAUAUAACCGGAGUGUUGUGCCCUUUGCUCAAGUUCUUUUCAUCUUAUCAAGUCUUUCAUCUCGUAUCUACCGGAGUGCUUGCAUGUACUUCUUGUUCAUUGCAACCCUUUUCUCUUGUCUUUCAACCUACAGGGUUCUCGUGAUGUUCCUUGUUCCUCUUUUCUAACGAAGUGUUUUCCACUUCGUUCAUCUUCAUUGUAUUCUUUUCUUUCAAGUUGUUCAACUUUUCAAGGUUCUUUGGUUUCACUCGUUUGUCAAAGAAGCAACUUAGUUUUACCUGUUAUCUUCCUCUUCCUUUUCCCUCCGGUGCCAUUCUAGAUCUCGGGACGAGAUCCUCUCGUAGCGGUGGAGUGUUGUGACGCCCCGAGAACGAUGCGCCAGGUGUCUUCCAGUUAUUCGUUGUUGUUGCCUUGUAUUUUGCUUGUGUGUUGCAUCUUGCCAUGUCAUCAUGUGCAUUGCAUCAUCAUGUUUUCAAAACUUGCAUCUGUCCAGGUCUCCCCGUUCUUUCCGGUGUCCGUUCCGAGCCCAGACACACUUGCACGCGCCCGCGGCACCUCCGAGAUAUUAUUUUAUAAGUGGCCGGAAAAUGUUCUUGGAUUGGGUUGAAAGUUGGCAUGCAGGGUUGUUAUAGUGUUAAUAGGUCGCCUGCCAAGUUUCAUCGCAUUCGGAGUUCGUUUGAUAGUCCAACCAUUAAACUAUAGCGGCAGUAUAGCUGGUCUAUCGUCCGAUGUUUUCGGUCUCCGGAAACUGCUGUCGGGCCCUCUCUCUCUCUUCUCUCCUCUCAGCCUCGCCAUAGUCCACCUAGGUCCAUGCCUACCCCUCUUUGCACAGUGCAUCGAUCCCUCGCGCGCAUCCGAAAGUUGACCCGAACCCGGCCCGGGCAGUCAUCACGAUUGUGUCCGGAUCAUCCCCAAACGUCUACAAAAUAUCAUCGUUUUAUUAUUUGGACUCCCUAGCCUAUUCUUUCUGAACCGUCCGAUUUCGAUCGGAGGAUCCAAACUCCCUCUUUUCCUUAUAUUUAUAGACCACCACCUACCAAAUCUAGCCUAACCCUAAAACCUAGGAGGCUUGUCCCUCCCCGCCGCCACUCCUCUCCCACAUCGGGAUCCCCUCCUGAUCCAGUUCCACCCGAGACGAAUCGCAGCAACCACCUUCCUUCCUCGUGUUUAGAUCCAGCAAAUCAAUCCCCUCGUUGAGAGCCGCCACCCAAGACCAUCGACCCAACCCUCCUCGCUCUCCUCGUUGACCAGGGAGAUGAGCUCCUCCUCUCCCGUUCCUCCCACGCGCCACCUCGACCCCUCGAGCUCAAUUACAAGCUCAAGCCCGAACCUCGCCGUCCUCGCUUGGCCGUCGUGUCGUCGAAGGCUACCGUCCCCCGCCACAGAUGAACACAACAGCGUCCCUUCCCUUCCUUCCUCUGGCUCCUUCCUUCUCCUCUCAACAUCUCUGCCUCCCUUUUCUCUCCAGGAGCUCGGCGCCAACGCCAUGGACGCCACCACCAGGAGCUUCGCCCGCGCUGCUGCCAUGGACUGGAUCCGGUCCGGAGCUACUCAUCCGCCUCACAUCUCGUCUUGGCUGCAAGUCCCUCACCGCACCACAUCUGCUCUGCAACGAGCGAAGCUGCAGCCGCUGCAGCCGCCGUGCGCCGUUGGCUGCAUCGGCCCGAACCGGCCUCCUCUUCGCCGUUUCCCACUCCUCCGGCCACCUCCGCCCAUUUCCCCGUCCCCAGCGUCAUCUGCAGAUGCGCCAUGCUGCCGCGGCUGGCUAUGCUUCACCUGAACCGGGUUUCCUCUUUUUGCUUCACCCCGCGCCAAGUCCCCUCCGUCGUGGAUGUCCCGACGCAGGAGCUCGCCGUCGACCGCACUCGACGUCGCCAGCCUCCCGAUCCGUCGAGCCCCGGUCUCUGUGGCCUCUCCGUCGCAGGAUCCUUCGCGUCCUCCGGUUCAUCUAGCUGCCGCCUGCAUCGAGCGGGACAACCUCGCGUUGACCCUGUGCUCGAUUUGGCAGCAAAGCCGCUCGCCCCUUUUACUGCGUUCACCGCAUGCACCUGGGCCGCCUCCUCUUCAACCGUUGACCGCGGCCCAGCCCACACCUUCCCACCGCCCUGGGCCAGGUCCAGCUGGGUGAGUCCAGCGCCCAUACUCCCAUUGGGCCAGUCAGAUCCGACCCGAUGUGUUUUUUUCCGCUACAGCGAAUGUUUCCAAUUAUCCAGAAAACUGCCAGUUUACAGUUUAGUCCCUAGUCUUCAUGCAUAUAAUAACUCUUGAACUAUGCAUCAUAUGUAAAAACUUUGUAUAUGAAAAAUGCUUAGAAUUGCAUCUAGUUUCAUAAUUUGCAACUUUCAUCUAUGUUUAAAAUGCUGAAAAUGUUGUUUGUUUAAAUUUUUCUCCUAUGACAUGUUAAAAUGUUUUAAUUCAUAACUAUUUAACCGUAACUUGGUUUGUAACAAACUUCAUAUGUCAAUGGGGUAGAAAAUGCAUAGUUUAACAUGGUGGCAUCUCUUUGCAUGUUUAACAACUAUAAAAUUGUGUUUAGGGCAGAAGAGUACCAUAACCGAAAUAUGCACAUGGGGACUUUCCGGAAUUGUUGUUCAUUGUUUCCGGACUCAUUUAAACUUGACUAGAUAGGUACUUUUAAUUUGCUUCACCCUCUUGCCAUGUUUAACAACAUUUAAUAUUGUUGGGUACAUAAACUAGAUCGAACUAAAUAACUUGAAUGUGGUGUGCUCUAGUUAAUUUGUAGGAUUUUUUGUGCUCUUUGCCAUGCCAUGCUUCAUUAAACCGGACAUGCAUCAUACUUGAUUGUGCAUCAUGCCAUAUUCACGUGUUGGUUGUUUACCAUGUUGUUUGCUUUCUUUCCGGUGUACUUCUUCUCGGUAAUCCGGUAACGUUGCGUUUGUGAGGAUCCGUUGGCUAUGUCCGCUUGUCUUCUUCAUGGACUCGUUCUUCUUCCUUGCGGGAUCUCGGGCAAGAUGACCAUACCCUCGAAAUCACUUCUAUCUUUGCUUGCUAGAUGCUCGCUCUUUUGCUAUGCCAAUGCUGCGAUACCUACCACUUGCUUAUCAUGCCUCCCAUAUUGCUAAGCCAAGCCUCUAACCCACCUUGUCCUAGCAAACCAUUGUUUGGCUAUGUUUCCGCUUCGCUCAACCCCUCUUAUAGCGUUGCUAGUUGCAGGUGCAGAUUGGAGUUCGUUCCUUGUUGGAACAUGUUUAUUGUUGGGAUAUCACAAUAUUAUCUUGCUUAUCUUAAUGCACCUAUAUACUUGGUAAAGGGUGGAAGGCUCGGCCUUAUGCCUAGUGUUUUGUUCCACUCUUGCCGCCCUAGUUUCCGACAUAUCGGUGUUAUGUUCCCGGAUUUUGCGUUCCUUACACGGUUGGGUUAUAAUGGGAACCCCUUGGUAGUUCGCCUUGAAUAAAACUCCUCCAGCAAGGCCCAACAUUGGUUUUACCAUUUGCCACCUAGCCUUUUCCUUCCCUUGGGUAGGCCUGCCCAAGGGUCAUCUUUAUUCAAACCCCUGGGCCAGUGCUCCUCUGAGUGUUGGUCCAACUUGUCAGCCGCCGGUGGCCACCAGGGGCAACUCUGGGUUGGCCUACCAGAAGUUUGGACAAUCGGGUGUGCCCUGAGAACGAGAUAUGUGCAGCUCCUAUCGGGAUUUGUCGGCACAUUUGGGUGGCUUUGCUGGUCUUGUUUUACCAUUGUCGAAAUGUCUUGUAACCGGGAUUCCGAUCCUGAUCGGGUCUUCCUGGGAGAAGGAAUAUCCUUCGUUGACCGUGAGAGCUUGUGAUGGGCUAAGUUGGGACACCCCUGCAGGGAUUUGAACUUUCGAAAGUCGUGCCCGCGGUUAUGGGCAGAUGGGAAUUUGUUAAUGUCCGGUUGUAGAAAGCCUGAAGCUUAACUUAUUUAAAUUGCAUCAACCGCGUGUGUAACCGUGAUGGUCUCUUCUCGGCGGAGGCCGAGAAGUGAACACGAUGUUGGAGUUAUGCUUGACGUAGGUUGUUCUAGGAUCACUUCUUGAUCAUAGUUUCUCGAACGUGCUUUGCCUUCUCUUCUCGCUCUCAUUUGCGUAUGUUAGCCACCAUAUAUGCUAGUCACUUGUUGUAGCUCCACCUCAUACCUUUUACCCUUCCUAUAAGCUUAAAUAGUCUUGAUCGCGAGGGUGUGAGAUUGCUGAGUCCCCGUGACUCACAGAUACUUCCAAAACCAGUUUACAGGUGCCGACGAUACCAUGCAGGUGACGCAACCAAGCUCAAGGAGGAGCUCGAUGAAGACCGUGUUCGUUAUGUUGUUUCUGUUUUUCAGUUGAUCAGUAGUGGAGCCCAGUUGGGACGAUCAGGGAUCUAUGUAGCAUUUGGGGUAGUCUUCUUUUAUUUUGGGUUCCGUAGUCAGACCUUGCGUGUAUCUGGAUGAUGUAAUGUUAUAUUCAUGUAUUGUGUGAAGUGGCGAUUGUAAGCCAACUAUGUAUCUCUUUCCCUUAUGUAUUACAUGGGUUGUGUGAAUAUUACGUCACUUGUGACAUUGCUUUCAGUGCGGUUAUGCCUCUAAGUCGUGCUUCGACACGUGGGAGAUAUAGCCGCAUCGAGGGCGUUACACGGGUCCCCGGGCAUAGCCCGUCGAACCUUUUCCCUGAUACAAAAUGAACAUAUGAGUCACAGUUGGACGCGACUGCUAAAAAGAGCGUAGUUGCAAACUCAUACCUCUUCAAGGAAGGCCCGACCGUAUCUCCGUUUGCCUUCCUCUUCGAAGGCCUGCCCGACACGGGAGCCGCUCUCUCUGGAGAUGCCCCCGAGGCAGCACGACGCGCCAAACGCCUCCCCUUCUGAGCACAGGAUGGUGCGGUGAGUGAGCAAGAAUGAGAAAACCCUCUCAGACAAUGUGUCUCUUGAUUACUUACAUGAGAAGCAGGGAGAAGACCAGGGUAAUCGGCGAUGAUGGGUACAUCCGUGCCGUCAUAGCUCGUCUGAUAGAAAACUCCAUCUUUGAGCUCCAUGAAUAUGUCUGGAUCUUCCUCAUAUCCGGGGUCGAGAUCCUGAUUGUGAUUCUCCGGCUGAGGGGUAGGGUCAUGGACACCCUCGACAGCCUUUCGCCAUUCCUGUCAUGAAUGAAUAAGAUACCGCCCUUCAAAAAUAAUUCAGGGAGAGGAGUCGAAUAGUGGAGUUAGAGCUUACCCAGCUAGGAGGAUUGUACAGGGAAAACCCGUCUCGAUUUUGGAGACGGGUGAACUCCUCCUGCUCCCCUUUAUAUAGUUCGGCCAAUAUUUUGGCUAGAGCGGUGGGAGUCUUCGGGCCCUUCCGGCCGCAGCGGGAGGCGUCAUCUUCCCCAUUGUAAAGCCACAUGGGUAGCCCUCUAUAUUGGAGUGGUUGGACCCCCGCGUUAUGGAGACCGCCAUUACCUCGACUAUUGACAAUUCGGACUGGGCGAGCAUCUUAAUCUUACCCAGCAACAGACUGAUCUCUGCGCUAUCCUCUUCCUCGAGGCUCUGAGGACGCCGGCUAUGGCGUUUCUUCAAUGGAGCACUUGAAAAUUCGGGGAGGCCCAUCCGGACUGGAUCGGGAAGAGCAACGUCAUUAAUAUAAAACCAUUCAGAGGUCCACUCUUCCGAAGCUUUCUUCGGUGUGCCGGAUAGGUAUCCGGUCUCAACAAUGCGCCAUAUUUCGGCCCCGCCCACUUCAAAUAUCGAUCCCUCGUGUUUGCGUGGCACAAGACAAAACAACCUUCUCCAUAGAUCAAAAUGGGCCUCACAACCCAGGAAUAGUUUGCAUAAAGCGACAUAACCCGCAAUGUGCAGGAUGGAGGUUGGGGUAAAAUUGUGUAGCUGGAGGCCAUAAUACUCUAGAAGCCCUCAGAGGAAUGGGUGAAUUGGAAAUCCCACGCCCCUCAGCAGAUAGGGGAUGAAGCACACUCGUUCCCCCGCAGAUGGAUUGGGGAAAUCUUCCGCCUGGGUUUUGCCGUUGAAGGAAGCCAACCCUGCUCGAACAGGGAUCAGAUCCGCAGGGGGGGAGAAAUCCCUGCGUUUACAACUUCGCUAAUUGGCUAUGGGACACAGAGCACCUCUCCCACUUGCCUUUCUCUGGGUCGUAACGGGAGGAGGAGCUGGGAAUGCUAGCCAUGUUGGAAUGGUCUUUCCUGGCAAUCUCUGAGGAUUUUCUCUGUGUGGUGCCGAAUGGAUCUAAGACCCAAUCUCUUUAAAUAUACGCUCUUUCUUGCAUGGCGGGGGUGUUAUUUGCAAAAAAUACCCUGACCGUCCGCAUUCGCCCGACACAUGGAAGCUGAAGUCAUCGAUGCACAGAAGCCGAGGGGUGCGGCAUUGAAUUGAAAACUAAAUACAUUACUUGGAAGACGUCAGAGGAGGAAGCCGCCUUGCAAUGUCGAAGACAAUCUGCGCGCCGAACACCUCGUCAUUGAAGCCUGGUUCUGGGGCUACAGAGGGAGUCCUGGACUAAGGGGUCCUCGGGCGUCCGGCCUGUUGGCCAUGGGCCGGACUGAUGGGUUGUAAAGAUACGAAGACCGAAGAUUGUACCCGUGUCCAGACAGGACUCUCCUUGGCGUGGAAGGCAAGCUUGGCGACCAAAUAUGUAGAUUCCUUUCUUUGUAACCAACCUUGUGUAACCCUAGAUCCUCCCGGUGUCUAUAUAAACUGGAGGACUUAGUCCGGAGGAUACACAUUACCAUAGCCAUACAAGCUAGACCUCUAGGGUUUAGCCAUUACGAUCUCGUGGUAGAUCAACUCUUGUAAUACUCAUAUUCAUCAAGAUCAAUCAAGCAUGACGUAGGGUAUUACCUCCAUAGAGAGGGCCCGAACCUGGGUAAAACAUUGUGUCCCCUGUCUCCUAUUACCAUUGACCUUAGACGCACAGUUUGGGACCCCCUACCCGAGAUCCGCCGGUUUUGACACCGACACCAGCCGCCUCUGAUAAUCAAACCAUAUUGAUCUUUCCUAAUUAAAUGCAUGUUCAACAUCAGUACCCUCAUCACCAUUGCUAUGGAAAGAAAGAACAUGGCGAGUGUAAUCUCCAGUGGGGUCCCUCGGUAGGAGUUCCAAGUAAUAUUUGAGAGAUGCAGAUCCAGGUAUUCGAUGUGAUUGUCGUUAUCAACAUCUUCCAUCAGGCCUAAUAUGCACUGCAAAAGAAGAGAACGUGUUAGUGCCUACAUGCAGUUAUGAACACUACUACACGCCCAUUUGGUUUGCAGGAUUUGUAAAAUGCACCAACAUUCCAUCUUCGAUCUGUCAUAAUUAACAUGGGCAUUAAUUUGAUUACAAUCUAGAAACAUGUAGCCUUCUGCACAAGAGGUUGGAUUGGAUGAAAAAUUCCCUAAGAAAACUAGUAUAGAUGAAUCCAAAGGAGAAAUGCUUCUGGACGAUUGUAACCAUAUGAAUGAAGCAACCAAUAUGGAGUGGGGGUGUAUCUCCUAAAAUCCUCCAAAAUUCCUUCAAAAAUCGUAGUACAUAGUUAUUGUAAACUUGGGAAAAGGUGCAAAAAUUGAACUCCCUUAUGGUUAACAUUUAACAGGAAAGGAACAUCACCUCGAUAUACAGCUUCUUCAGGCACGGAAAGUGAUGACCCACAAGUGUAGGGGAUCUAUCGUAGCCUUUUCGAUAAGUAAGAGUGUCGAACCCAACGAGGAGCAGAAGGGAAAUGAUAAGCGGUUUUCAGCAAGGUAUUCUCUGCAAGCACUGAAAUUAUCGGUAACAGAUAGUUUUGUGACAAGGUAAUUUGUAAUGGUAACAAAUAAUAAAAGUAAAUAAGGCGCAGCAAGAUGGCCCAAUCCUUUUUGUAGCAAAGGACAAGCCUGGACAAACUCUUAUAUAAAGGAAAGCUGUAGUGUCCUGAGACCGAUGUGCCAGGUGUCUUCCAGUUAUUCGCUGUUGUUGCCUUGUCAUUGCUUGCGUGUCAUGCAUUCCAUAUCAUGUCAUCAUGUGCAUCGCAUUUGCAUACAUGCUCGUCUCAUGCUUCCGAGCAUUUCCCCCGUAGUCCGUUUCUCAAUCCGGCGCUCCUAUGUCACCCGGUGUCCCUUUCUACCUCUUUUCGUGUGCGGGUGUUAAACGUUUUCGGAUUGGACCGAGACUUGUCAUGCGGCCUUGGUUUAGUACCGGUAGACCGCCUGUCAAGUUUCAUGGCAUUUGGACUUGGUUUGAUACUCCAACGGUUAACCGAGGGACCGAAAAGGCCUCGUGUGUGUUGCAGCCCAACACCCUUCCAAACUGGCCCAAAACCCACCUAAAUCCUUUCCAUCAUCUAGAUCGUUCGAUCACGAUCGCGUGGCCGAAAACCGCACCCCAUUUGGACUCUCCUAGCUCCCUCUACCUAUAUAUAUGUGCUCCCCUCCCGAAAUUCACGGUACAAACCCUAAAAAUCCCUCCCCUCGCGCCGCCGGACGCGUCCUCACCGCGCUAGACAAUGUCCGCCCCGCCGGACGCGUCCUCACCGCGCUAGACAAUGUCCUCCCCGCCGGACACGUCGCUCCAGCCAAUCGCCGGACGCCACGUCACCCACGCCGCUACUCUCUGCCAAUCGCGCGCCUCCACGCAUCCCAGCCAGCUCCCACCGCCGCUGCGGCCCGCGGAGCCCAUCCGGGACCCUCGCGGGCCCAGAUCCACGCCGCCGCCUCCCGCUCUCCUUGCAGUGCGGCACCUCGCCGGCUCAGCCCCACCGUCGGUGACCGGACCUCGCUGGAGAUGAGUACCCCGUCGCCUCGUGCCUCUCCUCCUCCCGCCUGUUCUCGCUCUCCCUCACGCUUCUCUUUCUCUCCCUGUCUCUCUCACAGGAGCACCAUGGCUGCCUCGAUCUCCGCGUCCAAGCCUCCGCAUGCCACCUCAUCGCCGGGAACGGCCCCCCGCGGCCAGAUCCGUGCGGAUCCGGUGCAAGAGCACCGCCCCGGCGCCUUCCCACGCCGGCAGCAGGCAGCACCGCCUCCCCUGCCUCCCGUUCGUGCCCGCGCGCAAGGAGGACGAAGAGCCACGUCCGCCCGGGCCUUCCCUGCCUAGCGGGCCUCGUGGGCCACGACUCCGGCCCAGCCGCGCCGGCUUGACCCCUCCACGUCCUGGGCCGAGCCCAUGGUGAGCCCGCAUCUAUCCUCUGCCCCGUGCGACUGUUGCUAUUCUACGCUCGGUUGUUUUUUUUACUAAGUCCUGAGAUUCCAGAUUCAUAUGCCUCUGUUCAUCAGCUGAUAACUCUGAACCCGUUGCUCCGAUUCGUGCAUGUAGCAUAUCAAAAUGUUCAUCUCAUUGCAUCAUUUUAAUUUUAGCUCAUCUUGAUGCCCGAAAUGCUGUUGGAAGAGGGCUAUGUGAUGGUAGUUUCAGAUCUGUUUCAGCAAAUGCACUUUUGUCAUUUUUGCCAUGAUUAAUGUGUGCAUGCUAUGAUCCUGAGCUCUACAUGUGUUUUGAUGUAUGUCAUGCCAUCUUUACAGGGGUGUAUGCUAUGUAUUUUUGUGAUCUUUGUGGUGACUAGCACAAGCAUGCAAAGUAGCUUACUCAAUGAUGCUGAUUUCAGGGACUUAGAAUUUCACUAAGUCCUUGUCUUGUUAUUGUUUUUAUGCCAUCUGUUCAUGUUGUUUCCUAGUGAUUCGUGCCUCUUUUGAGCAUGAUCAGUAAGGAUGUUUUGCAAAUAAUGGUGUGCUCUAUCCAUCCAUGUCUUUGUUUGCAAUUAUGGAUCACCCUAGCUUGAGUCAAUCGAGGUAUACUUUUGCUAUAAAAUGUUCCUGGCAGACUGUUAACAUGUUUAGCAAUUUUGCCGAGCUUGUUGUUGUUGAUCCGUGCAUGCUAUGAUGUUGUUCUUGCCAUGUCUAGCUUAUAUGGCAUGUCUAUUUGCUGGGUGUAUGCUUAGAUUGUCAUGUAAUGCCUCGUAGUGAGUGCAUCGAGCUCGUAAACAUGCCUACUUAUUAACUAUUUUGCCAUGCUCCAGUUUUUCAGAAAGUCUGAAUUUGUUCAUGUUUUUGCUAUGUUCACAUGCUUGCAAUUGUAUUUUCUGAUCCCUUUUGGCUCAUGGUCACUAAGGGACUUUUGUUAUAUGCUUUGAGUAGCUUCAUGAAAUUCCUUGCUUUGCCAUGAUAUGUUCUGUAGCAUGUAGUUUUCGUGCUCUAAACAUUGCUUCCUGAUGUUAAAUUCCUGACUUGCUGUUAAUUUCACUAAGUCUGUAACCUGUUAUCUUUUGCACUUUUGCCAUGCUUGUUUGAACCUGUUAAUGAGUGAAUUAGCCAUAGCUCAGUGUUCAUCUUUUGUCAAGCAUCUUGAGUGGAUCCCUGCCAUGUAUUUUGUUGCUAUGUUGGAGUGCUGUAGCAUGUUGUUCUUGAUGCAUUUAGAUGGACAUUUGUUGUUAAUCGCAGACCGAUGCCAUAUUUGUUUUGCUUGCCAUUUCCAAACCGUGCAUCCGAUUCCGGUGAUCUUUAUAUUGAUUUUGACUGAAAUCAACUCCUCUUUCCAGUGGCACUCUUGGUUUUCCAAGUUGAGGCCAGGUCCAAUCAUUCCUUUCCGAAUCAUGCAUAUGCAUCGCAUAUCGCAAUCCCGCAUCUCAUGACAUGUUUUGCAUCAUGUUGUUUUGUACAUUGCACGUGGUUGAUUGUGUCUCCCUUUGAUUGUGUUCUUGCUUUGGGUAGAUCCGGGAGACGAGUCGUGUUCGAGGACCCAUUGAGUACGUUUACGAGGAUCAAGCUUUCGUCUUCUCGGAGAACUUUGCAGGCAAGAUGACCAUACCCUCGAAAUCACUUCUAUCUUUGCUUGCUAGAUGCUCGCUCUUUUGCUAUGGCUAUGCUGCGAUACCUACACCUUGCUUAUCAUGCCUUCCAUAUUGUGAAGACAAGCCUCUAACCACCUUGUCCUAGCAAACCGUUGUUUGGCUAUGUUACCGCUUUGCUCAGCCCCUCUUAUAGCGUUGCUAGCUGCAGGUGAAGAUUGGAGAUCGUUCAUUGUUGAAACACGUUUAUUGUUGGGAUAUCACAAUAUUAUCUUGUUUAUCUUAAUGCACCUAUAUACUUGGUAAAGGGUGGAAGGCUCGACCUUAUGUCUGGUGUUUUGUUCCACUCUUGCCGCCCUAGUUUCCGUCAUAUCGGUGUUAUGUUCCCGGAUUUUGCGUUCCUUACAUGGUUGGGUUAUAAUGGGAACCCCUUGAUAGUUCGCCUUGAAUAAAACUCCUCCAGCAAGGCCCAACCUUGGUUUUACCAUUCGCCACCUAGCCUUUUCCCCUUGGGUUUAGCGGACUCAAGGGUCAUCUUUAUUUUAAACCCCCCGGGCCAGUGCUUCUCUAAGUGUUGGUCCAACCCAGAGCAUCGUGCGGGGCCGUCCCUUGGCAACUUGGGUUACAUUGGCUUCUGUAUGCUUAGCUUAUCCGGUGUGCCCUGAGAACGAGAUAUGUGCAGCUCCUAUCAGGAUUUGUCGGCACGGCGGGUGGUCUUGCUGGACUUGUUUUACCAUUAUCGAGGAUGUCUUGUAACCGGGAUGCCGAGUCUGAUCGGAUUGUCUUGGGAGAAGGAAUAUCCUUCGUUGACCGUGAGAGCUUGUGAUGGGCUAAGUUGGGACACCCCUGCAGGGAUUGAACUUUCAAAAGCCGUGCCCGCGGUUAUGGGCAGAUAGGAAUUUGUUAAUGUCCGGUUGUAAAAAACCUAAAGUUUUUCUUAAUUAAAAUGCAUCAACCGCGUGUGUCGCCGUGAUGGUCUCUUCUCGGUGGAGUCCGGGAAGUGAACACGGUGUUGGAGUUAUGCUUGACAUAGGUUGUUCUAGGAUCACUUCUUGAUCAUAGUUUCUCGAACGUGCUUUGCCUUCUCUUCUCGCUCUCAUUUGCGUAUGGUAGCCACCACAUAUGCUAGUCGCUUGCUGCAGCUCCACCUCAUACCUUUUACCCUUCCUAUAAGCUUAAAUAGUCUUGAUCACGAGGGUGUGAGAUUGCUGAGUCCCGUGACUCACAGAUACUUCCAAAACCAGUUUGCAGGUGCCGAUGAAACCGUGCAGGUAACGCAACUAAGCUCAAGGAGGAGCUCGAUGAGAUUCGCGUUCAUUAUGUUGUUCUGUUUCCAUUUGAUUAGUAGUGGAGCCCAGUUGGGGUCGAUCGGGGAUCUGUGUAGCAUUUGGGGUAGUCUUCUUUUAUUUUGGUUCCGUAGUCGGACCUUGAGUGUAUUUGGAUGAAUGUAAUGCUUUAUUCAUGUAUUGUGUGAAGUGGCGAUUGUAAGCCAACUAUGUACCUUUCCCCUUUAUUUAUUUACAUGGGUUGUUGUGAAGAUUACCUCACUUGCGACAUUGCUUUCAAUGCGGUUAUGCCUCUAACUCGUGCUUCGACAAGUGGGAGAUAUAGCCGCAUUGAGGGCGUUACAAGUUGGUAUCAGAGCCGACCCUCGCGGUUACACGGAUGGUUGCGGACAGGUGCGUGGUCAUGUUGUUCAUGACGUUUGUGACCCGUCGUGGCACACGACAUGGCACAUGUACUAGACUGGAAGCAUAGACGUAUGUGCCAAGAGGGAACGUUCCUGUGGCCUGACGGGGACGUCGGUUCCUCUGAGUGGGGGUGUAUGUGAUGGCCUGGCUUAUUAGGGAUGAUAGACUACUCAUAUCAAUAAGGAAUUCCUUCUUUUCCGGGAUCCCAUUCGGACAGAACUCCAAAGUUAAGCGUGCUCAGCUGGGAGUAGUGUCAGGAUGGGUGACCACCGGGAAGUUGCUCCCGGGUGCGCAUGAGUGAGGACAAAGUGCGCAUAAAAGACUAGUAUUGAUCUGUGGGGCCAGUCUAGAUCCCGCCAGGAGUAACGACCACCGGCGGGUGUGUCCGGGGCGUUACAAGUUGGUAAUCAGAGCCUUCCCCGACUUUAGGAGCCCCCCUGCUUGAUCGAAUCGCUGGCGUUGUUGAGUCUAGAAAAAUGUUUUGAGUCUUAUAGGAUUAUAUAUAUCGGAGAGUAGGAUUCUUUUUACUCCUCAGUCCCUUCGUCACUCUGGUGAGGCAUCCUGACGUAGAGUUUUGACUCUUCUCUUCUCAAAUUUCACUAAAAAAAAAUUUGGAUCACGCGGGUAUCUUGGAAUCGUUCCAAUCGAUUUGUGACGAGAACAUUGUUCUUGGUGCCUCCUGACAUUUAGGGGUUGUGGCAGUGUCCCGGGGAGUUGAGCUCCGAGGUGUUGUCUUCACAAUUUUAUCAUUGCAGUUCUGGAAUACCUGAGUUCGCCGACAUCGAAAAUCUCUUUUAUGCAGUUGUUGGUGAGAUAACCUCGACGCCACCCAGUAUUGGGAAGGGAGUUCGGGAGUAUUGCCAUAACUCGUAUAACGGAUGCUUUUCGAAGGUUGAGGUAAACGAUUUCCAAAAGUUUCUUGGUUAUGUGUUGAAGGAUGGAUACAGCUGGAUGUAGGAUUUUCUAGUUUUGGGUGAGAAAUUAUGCGUCCCCUGUAUCCCCAACACCUGAUUGCAUAACCAAAAAGUUUCGGGAGUUUAUAAGUGGGAAUUCAAGUAGCUCUUAGGAUAUCUUUCCGACAGAUGUAUGAUAUGAAAUCGGGGUUCGACGUCUAGUGGUCCGCCAAUCCACGGUUGGUUUUACAGUGGUCUCAUUGUGUCUUAAAGAGUCCUUGGCUAUGCUUACUCGGGGACGCUUUGUAUGUCAUGUGCAGUGCCUUGUACAUGAUGGUGUUGUACGAUCGAGCCCGUGUAGGCCCCACCAGGAAAACUUCGGACGAAAUCUCUAUCAUAUGUUUGUUCUGGCUUAUGUUGCAAGCCAAUCCUUUGUUUUUGUUUUCUGUUGUGGUAUUCGAGUUGAUUCGAAGUCAAAUGUUGAUUCCAUACCUUCCCCAAGCGGUGUUCUCAUACUCCGAUGUGAAUACCAAUCCUUCUUGAUCAUCGAGAUUGUGCUGUCAAUCCUUUUCAACCGGCGUGUUUCUCUUCAAGUGAAUCUGAUCGUUUUCAACAUCCGCUAGAUCAAGUAUCAGUUCUUCUCAACGGUGUUUGUUUCAUCCGUCUCCAAGUUGUCUUUGUUUUUCCCGCCCACCCACCCCUUUUCUUCAAGGAAUCCGAUGUCUUAAUCAAGUAUCCUUUUAUUCUUGUGAAGUCUCUCCAUACUUUUCCGUCGAUAUUCUUAUCCGGUGAUUCUCAAGUUCAUCAUUAUUCAUUCUUUUUCUUGUCCGGUGGAUUCAAUUCAAGCUUUGUUUCAAAUACCUUCUCAUGUCGGUGCUCCUCAUAUUGAUUCAUUUCUCGCUAUUCAAUUGUUUCGGAGUGCUGAAGAUAUCUCAGAAGGCUCGUCUUUUCAUUCAAGAUCCGUUCAAACCUAUCUCGAGGUUGUUAUCUCAUUCAAGCCAUUUGAUUCAACCGGUGCAAUCUUUCUCUUUAAAUCUUUUCAACGGUGUUUCUCUUGAGUGGGCCCUAACCCACAGGUCUUUUCCCAGGAUCUUACCUGACUCUUCUUAUUUUCCCAGAGCUAUCCUCAAUUUUCUUUCCAAAGUUUGACGUAAGAAUGAUUCAUCAUCAGUCAUAUGUAUUUCUCCAAGAUCUUUCAAAUUAUUUUCAUCGUUGGCUCAACCUUUUCCAUUCUUCAUUCCGGAGUGCCUCAAUAAUUCAUGGUGGUGUUUCUCGUCGUCAUUCUCAACACUUGAAGACCGAAGAAGAGUUUUACCUCCAUAUCUUAUCUGUCCUCUCAGAGAUUCGUGGUUCUAGUUCGAGGCCAUCCUCUCAUAAUUGUUUUCGAUUGUCAGAAUUAUUUUCACCCAUCCGAAGCAAUUCAAGAGUUUUUUCAAUUUGAUUCUCCGGAGCCCAUCAUCUCAGAAUUAUUCAUUCUCAGCUUUCAGCUCUCGUUAUAUAAAUCUUACCAGUGCAUCAUUCAAAUUUCUCUAAUCACCUCGGGAUCUCUUUGUUCACUUGUAUCUAAAUUCUCUCAAGUAUCCUCGUUCAUUUCAUAAUUCUUCCCGGUGUUCCUUUAUCUUUUCUUUGGCCAUUUUAAUUCUUACGGUAGUUCAUUCAAGAUUCUCUUCCUUCGUUUAUCAUAUCAAUUCAUUCGUUGUUUCAACCUACCGGUGGUUUGUUGGAGACCUUCUCAAGUUGACGCUAUAUCUAUCUUAAUCCUUUCUACGAGAAUAAGUAGUAUGCCAAAUCCGUUGCUUGUCAUCAAUUUAAAUUGAUGAAGGAUAAGCAUAAUGUAAUUAUUAUUCUUGUUUCAUCGAGUGAACAUAAUUCCCUAUUCCGGAGGCUCAUCAAACUCCUGAUUUCAAUUGUUUCAUCUUCUCUUUUCCUGGAGUUCCAACCUCUUUUAAUUAUUUCAUCAUGAAGAUCCAUUUAUAUCAUCGCUAGCCUUCACCUUGCGUUUUCAAUUUCUCAUUCCUUUCGUUUGAUCAUCCUUUUUGUUACCGGAGUUCUUCAUGGAGGCUCUACAUGAUGGUUCAUCAAGGAUUUAAUUCCUUUUCGAAGUGUUCAUCGAGAUUCUUUUCAGAGGAGCUCAUGCUUUUUUCAUCUUGCAAUCCGGAGUGCUAUUCUUUCACGCAUAUCUUUUGAGGUGGUGUUAUGUCUUUAUUGAUAAUUUCCCGUCGUGCUCCGUGAUUCACAAGUUAUCAAGAAUGAGAUAUUUUAAAUCCAUCAAUCUCGCCAUUCGAGUUAUCUUGGGUAAUAUUUUCACCUAAAGCUUUCCCUAAGGAUUGUUGCUAUUAAUGGUGAUAAUAUAUGAUCCAAGUUCUUCAUCUAUCCUCCUGGUGAAAUAUUUUUUCGUCUCCUUGUUCAUAUCAAUCCAAUUAUUUUCCCGUGAGUGGCAGAAUUUCACCUCAUAGUUUUGAGUUGUUCUCCAUAAGCCCACUGAAAGCUUACUCUUUUCGUUGUUGGUUUCUUUUCCAACAACUCUGUUCGACCCUUCUCCUGAGGAUGCCUUUUCAAACUCUUUUGUGACAGAAGUUGGCAUUUUCUUAUCCAUUCUUUUAUUUCAAUUAUCUAUCUUCUAUUUUUUUAGUUCCGGAGGCAUUGUGAUGUUGCUCUUUUUAGUCAUCAUCUCGAAUUACGAAGAUCAUGAUCUUUUCAUGCUUAUCCUAUUUAACCGGAGUGUUGUGACCUUUUUGCUCAAGUUCUUUUCGCCUUAUCAAGCCUUGCACCUCUUUUCAACCGGAGUGCUGUCUGAGAUCUUUAUCAUCCCUUGUUCCAUUCAUUCAAUAGUUCCAGAGGCAGUGUGUUGUGAUUUCAUCAAGUAUCUUCUCAUCUUAUCAAGUUCUUAUUCAAUUCCUUUUCUUUUCAAUCGGAGUGCUGCCCAAAGUUGUUCUUCCUUGUCCCUCUUUUCUAACGGAGUGCUCUCAACUUCGUUCAUCUCCAUGGUAUUCUUUUCUCGAAAUGGCUUAACCUUUUCAAGGUUCUUUGGUCUCACUCGUUUGUCAAAGAAGCAACUUAGUUUUACCUCUUCUCUUUCCCUUCCGUUUUUCCCUCCGGUGCCAUUCUAGAUCUCAGGACGAGAUCCUCUCGUAGUGGUGGAGUGUUGUAGCGUCCCGAGACCGAUGUGCCAGGUAUCUUCCAGUUAUUCGCUGUUGUUGCCUUGUCAUUGCUUGCGUGUCAUGCAUUCCAUAUCAUGUCAUCAUGUGCAUCACAUUUGCAUACAUGCUCGUCUCAUGCUUCCGAGCAUUUUCCCCGUUGUCCGUUUCUCAAUCCGGCGCUCCUAUGUCACCCGGUGUCCCUUUCUACCUCUUUUCGUGUGCGGGUGUUAAACGUUUUCGGAUUGGACCAAGACUUGUCAUGCGGCCUUGGUUUUCUACUGUAGACCGCCUGUCAAAUUUCGUGCCAUUUGGACUUCGUUUGAUACUCCAACGGUUAACCGAGGGACCGAAAAGGCCUCGUGUGUGUUGCAGCCCAACGCCCUUACAAACUGGCCCAAAACCCACCUAAACCCUUUCCAUCAUCUGGAUCGUUCGAUCACGAUCGCGUGUCCGAAAACCGCACCCCAUUUGGACUCUCCUAGCUCCCUCUACCUAUAUAUAUGUGCUCCCCUCCCGAAAUUCGCGGUACAAACUCUAAAAAUCCCUCCCCUCGCGCCGCCGGACGCGUCCUCACCGCGCCGGACAAUGUCCGCCCCGCCGGACACGUCGCUCCAGCCAAUCGCCGAACGCCACGUCACCCCCGCCGCCGCUCUCCGCCAAUCGCGCGCCUCCACGCGUCCCAGCUAGCUCCCACCGCCGCGGCGGCCCGCGGAGCCCAUCCGGGGCCCGCGCGGGCCCAGAUCCGCGCCGCCGCCUCCCGCUCUCCUCACAGUGCCGCGCCUCGCCGGCUCAGCCCCACCGACAGUGACCGGACCUCGCCGGAGAUGAGUGCCCCGCCGCCUCGUGCCUCUCCUCCUCCCGCCUGUUCUCGCUCUCCCUCACGCUUCUCUUUCUCUCCCUGUCUCUCUCACAGGAGCACCAUGGCUGCCUCGAUCUCCGCGUUCGCGCCUCCUCAGGCCACCUUAUCGCCGGGAACGGGCCCCCCGCGGCCAGAUCCGUCCGGAUCCAGUGCAAGAGCGCCGCCCCGGCGCCUCCCCACGCCGGCAGUAGGCAGCGUCGCCUCCCCUACCUCUCGUUCGUGCCCGCGCGCGAGGAGGCCGAAGCGCCACGUCCGCCUGGGCCUUCCCUGCCUAGCGGGCGUCGUGGGCCACGACUCAAGCCUAGCCGUGCCGGCCUGACCCCUCCACGUCCUGGGCCGAGCCCAUGGUGAGCCCGCAUCUAUCCUCUGCCCCAUGCAACUGUUGCUAUUCUACGCUCGGUUGUUUUUUUACUAAGUCCUGAGAUUCCAGAUUCAUAUGCCUCUGUUCAUCAGCUCAUAACUCUGCACUCGUUGCUCCGAUUCGUGCGUGUAGCAUAUCAAAAUGUUUGUCUCGACGAGUACAUCAUUUCAUCUCAUUGCAUCAUUUUCAUUUGAGCUCAUCUUGAUGCCCGAAAUGCUGUUGGAAGUGGGCUAUGUGAUGAUAGUUUCAGAUCUGUUUCAGCAAAUGCACUUUUGUCAUUUUGGCCAUGAUUAAUGUGUGCAUGCUAUGAUCCUGAGCUCUACAUGUGUUUUGAUGUAUACCAUGCCGUCUUUACAUGGGUGUAUGCCAUGUAUUUUUGUGAUCUUUGUGGUGACUAGCACAAGCAUGCAAAGUAGCUUACUCAAUGAUGCUGAUUUCAGGGACUUAUAAUUUCACUAAGUCCUUGUCCUGUUAUUGUUUUUAUGCCAUAUGUUCAUGUUGUUUCCUAGUGAUCCGUGCCUCUUUUGAGCAUGAUCAGUAAGGAUGUUUUGUAGAUAAUGGUGUGCUCUAUCCAUCCAUGUCUUUGUUUGCAAUUAUGGAGCACCCUAGCUUGAGUCAAUCGAGCUAUACUUUUGUUAUAAAGUGUUCCUGGCAGACUGUUAACAUGUUUAGCAAUUUUGCCGAGCUUGUUGUUGUUGAUCCGUGCAUGCUAUGAUGUUGUUCUUGCCAUGUCUAGCUUCUAUGGCAUGUAGAUUUGCUGGGUGUAUGCUUAGAUUGUCAUGUAAUGCCUCGUAGUGAGUGCAUCGAGCUCGUAAACAUGCCUACUUGUUAACUGUUUUGCCAUGCUCCAGUUUUUCACAAAGUCUGAAUCUGUAUAUGUUUUUGCUAUGUUCACAUGCUUGCAAUUGUAUUUUCUGAUCCCUUUUGGCUCAUGGUCACUAAGGUACUUUUGUUAUAUGCUUUGAGUAGCUUCAUGCCAUGGCUUGCUUUGCCAUGAUAUGUUCUGUAGCAUGUAGUUGUCGUGCUCUAAACAUUGCUUCCUGAUGUUCAAUUCCUGACUUGAUGUUAAUUUCACUAAGUCUGUAACAUGUUAUCUUUUGCACUUUUGCCAUGCUUGUUUGAACCUGUUAAUGAGUGAAUUAGCCAUAGCUCAAUGUUCAUCUUUUGUCAAGCAUCUUGAGUGGAUCCCUACCAUGUAUUUUGUUGCUAUGUUAGAGUGCUGUAGCAUGUUGUUCUUGAUGCAUUUAGAUGGCCAUUUGCAGUUAAUCGCAGACCGGUGCCAUAUUUGUUUUGCUUGCCAUUUCCAAACCAUGCAUCCGAUCCCGGUGAUCUUUAUAUUGAUUUCGACCGAAAUCAACUCCUAUUUCCAGUGGCACUCUUGGUUUUCCAAGUUGAGGCCAGGUUCAAUCAUUCCUUUUUGAAUCAUGCAUAUGCAUCGCAUAUAGCAAUCCCGCAUCUCAUAACAUGUUUUGCAUCAUGUUGUUUUGUGCAUUGCACGUGGUUUAUUGUGUCUCGCUUUGCUUGUGUUCUUGCUUUGGGUAGAGCCGGGAGAUGAGUCGUGUUCGAGGACCCGUUGAGUAUGUUUACGAGGAUCAAGCUUUCGUCUUCUCAGAGAACUUUGUAGGCAAGAUGACCAUACCCUCGAAAUCACUUCUAUCUUUGCUUGCUAGAUGCUUGCUCUUUUUCUAUGCCUAUGUUGCGAUACCUACCACUUGCUUAUCAUGCCUCCCAUAUUGUGAAGCCAAGCUUCUAACCACCUUAUCCUAGCAAACCGUUGUUUGGCUAUGUUACCGCUUUGCUCAGCACCUCUUAUAGCGUUGGUAGCUGUAGGUGAAGAUUGGAGAUCGUUCAUUGUUGAAACAUGUUUAUUGUUGGGAUAUCACAAUAUUAUCUUGUUUAUCUUAAUGCACCUAUAUAAUUGGUAAAGGGUGGAAGGCUCGGCCUUAUGCCUGGUGUUUUGUUCCCCUCUUGCCGCCCUAGUUUCCGUCAUAUCAGUGUUAUGUUCUCGGAUUUUGCGUUCCUUACACGGUUGGGUUAUAAUGGGAACCCCUUGACAGUUCGCCUUGAAUAAAACUCCUCCAGCAAGGCCCAACCUUGGUUUUACCAUUCGCCACCUAGCCUUUUCCCCUUGGGUUUCGCGGACUCAAGGGUCAUCUUUAUUUUAAACCCCCCGGGCCAGUGCUUCUCUAAGUGUUGGUCCAACCGAGAGCACCGUGCGGGGCCGUCCCUUAGCAACUUGGGUUACGUUGGCUUCCAUACGCUUAGCUUAUCCGGUGUGCCCUGAGAACGAGAUAUGUGCAACUCCUAUCGGGAUUUGUCGGCACAGCGGGUGGUCUUGCUGGACUUGUUUUACCAUUGUCGAGGAUGUCUUGUAACCGGGAUGCCGAGUCUGAUCAGAUUGUCUUGGGAGAAGGAAUAUCCUUGGUUGACCGUGAGAGCUUGUGAUGGGAUAAGUUGGGACACCCCUGCAGGGAUUGAACUUUUGAAAGCCGUGCCCGCGGUUAUGGGCAGAUGAGAAUUUGUUAAUGUCCGGUUGUAGAAAACCUAAAGUUUAUCUGAAUUAAAAUGCAUCAACCGCGUGUGUCGCCGUGAUGGCCUCUUCUCAGCGGAGUCCGGGAAGUGAACAUGGUGUUGGAGUUAUGCUUGACGUAGGUUUUUCUAGGAUCACUUCUUGAUCAUAGUUUCUCGAACAUGCUUUGCCUUCUCUUCUCGCUCUCAUUUCCGUAUGGUAGCCACCACAUAUGCUAGUCUCUUGCUGCAGCUCCACCUCAUACCUUUUACCCUUCCUAUAAGCUUAAAUAGUCUUGAUCGUGAGGGUGUGAGAUUUGCUGAGUCCCCGUGACUCAUAGAUACUUCCAAAACCAGUUUGCAGGUGCCGAUGAAACCGUGCAGGUGUCACAGCUGAGCUCAAGGAGGAGCUCGAUGAGAUUCGCGUUCGUUAUGUUGUUCCGUUUCCAGUUGAUCAGUAGUGGAGCCCAGUUGGGGUCGAUCAGGGAUCUGUGUAGCAUUUGGGCUAGUCUUCUUUUAUUUUGGUUCUGUAGUCGGACCUUGAGUGUAUCUGGAUGAAUGUAAUGCUUUAUUCAUGUAUUGUGUGAAGUGGCGAUUGUAAACCAACCAUGUACCUUUCCCCUUUAUUUAUUUACAUGGAUUGUUGUGAAGAUUACCUCACUUGCGACAUUGCUUUCAAUGCAGUUAUGCCUCUAAGUCAUGCUUCGACACGUGGGAGAUAUAGCCGCAUCGAGGGCGUUACAAAAGCAUUCCCGAGGACACAUGGGAAUUAUCGUCAAGCUAGUUUUCAUCACGUUCAUACAAUCCACAUUCGGUACUUUGAUAAUUUGAUAUGUGGGUGGACCGGUGCUUGGGUAUUGCCCUUCCUUGGACAAGCAUCCCACUUAUUAUUAACCCCUAUUACAAGCAUCCGCAACUACAACAGAAGUAUUAAGGUAAACCUAACCAUAGCAUGAAACAUAUGGAUCCAAAUCAGCCUCUUACGAAGCAACGCAUAAACUAGGGUUUAAGCUUCUAUCACUCUAGCAACCCAUCAUCUACUUAUUACUCCCCAAUGCCUUCCUCUAGGCCCAAACAAUGGUGAAGUGUCAUGUAGUCGACAUUCACAUGACACAACUAGAGGAAAGACAACAUACAUCUCAUCAAAAAAUCGAACGAAUACGAAAUUCACAUGACUACUUAUAGCAAGACUUCUCCCAUGUCCUCAGAAACAAACGUAAUGAUACGUCUCCAACGUAUCUAUAAUUUUUUAUUGUUCCAUGUUAUUAUAUUAUUUGUUUUGGAUGUUAAUGGGCUUUAUUUUACACUUUUAUAUUAUUUUUGGGACUGACCAACUAAUCCAAGGCCCAGUGCAAAUUGUUGUUUUUUUGCCUAUUUCAGUGUUUUGCAGAAAAAGAAUAUCAAAUGGAAUCCAAACAGAAUGAAACCCUCGGGAGAGUUAUUUUUGGAACAAACGUGAUCCAUAGGACUUGGAGUGGACAUCAAGAAACAAACGAGGAGUCCACAAGGCAGGGGGCGCACCUACCCCCUGGGCGCACCCUCCCCCUCAUGGGCCCCUCGUGGCUCAACCGACCUACUUCUUCCUCCUAUAUAUACUCAUAUACCCUGAAAACAUCCAGGAGCACCACGAAACCCUAUUUCCACUGCCGCAACCUUCUGUACCCAAGAGAUCCCAUCUUGGGGCCUUUUCCGGAGCUCCGCCGGAGGGGGCAUCGAUCAUGGAGGGCCUCUACAUCAACUCCAUGGCCUCUCCGGUGAUGUGUGAGUAGUUUACUUCACACCUUCGGGUCCAUAGUUAUUAGCUAUAUGGCUUCUUCUCUCUCUUUGGAUCUCAAUACAAAGUUCUCCUUGAUCUUCUUGGAGAUCUAUUCGAUGUAACUCUUUUUGCGGUGUGUUUGUCGAGAUACGAUGAAUUGUGGGUUUAUGACCAAGUCUAUCUAUGAACAAUAUUUGAUUCUUCUCUGAAAUCUUUUAUGUAUGACUGGUUUAUCGUUGCAAGUCUCUUCGAAUUAUCAGUUUGGUGUGGCCUACUAGAUUGAUCUUUCUUGCAAUGGGAGAAGUGCUUAGCUUUGGGUUCAAUCUUGCGUGUCCUUUCCAAGUGACAACAGGGGAAGCAAGGCACGUAUUGUAUUGUUGCCAUCGAGGAUAAAAGGAUGGGGUUUAUCAUAUUGCUUGAGUUUAUCCCUCUACAUCAUGUCAUCUUACCUAAUGUGUUACUCUGUUUUUAUGAACUUAAUACUCUAGAUGCAUGCUGGAUAGUGGUCGAUGUGUGGAGUAAGAGUAAUAGAUGCAGGCAGGAGUCGGUUUACUUGUCACGGACGUGAUGCCUAUAUACAUGAUCAUGCCUAGAUAUUCUCAUAAUUAUUUGCUUUUCUAUCAAUUGCUUGACAGUUAUUUGUUCACCCACCGUAAUAGUUAUGCUAUCUUGAGAGAAGCCACUAGUGAAACCUAUGGCCCCUGGGUCUAUCUUUUAUUAUCAUAUAAAGUUUCCAAUCUAUUUUUCUUUGCAAUCUUUACUUUCAAUCUUUAUCAUAAAAUACCAAAAAUAUUUAUCUUAUUAUUAUUACCUCUAUCAGAUCUCACUCUCAUAAGUGACCGUGAAGGGAUUGACAACCCCUUUAUCGCGUUGGUUGUGAGGUUCUUAUUUGUUUGUGUAGGUACGAGGGACUUGCGUGUGGCCUCCUACUGGAUUGAUACCUUGGUUCUCAAAAACUGAGGGAAAUACUUACACUACUUUGCUGCAUCACCCUUUGCUCUUCAAGGGAAAACCAACGCAGUGCUCAAGAGGUAGCAAGAAGGAUUUCUGGCUCCGUUGCCGGGGAGUCUACGCACAAGUCAAGAUAUACCAAGUACCCAUCACAAACUCUUAUCCGUCGCAUUACAUUAUCUGCCAUUUGCCACUCGUUUUCCUCCCCCCACGUCACCCUUGCCAUUUUAUUUGCCCUCUUUUUCCGUUCCCCUUCUCCUUUCCAGUUCUCCUCUUUUUGUUUUCCUUUUGCUUGCUUGUGUGCCGCGAUGGCCUUACCAAAAAGUUUUCAUCUUCACCUUAGAAGGUUGGAAGAAAUUGAAAACAAAGUUAGAAGUUUUAUGUCCUUGCAAUUUGAGCAUAAUAAUUUCUUCAGAAAAGAGCUUAAAGAACAAAAAAGUUUUAUAGGGUACAUGAAUAAAGAGCUCGAUGAUAUGUCUAAGGAAUUUUAUGGUUUGAAAUCUCAGUUUGCUCAUCUUGAAAACUUAAUAGCCCAAAUUUCGGAUAAGGAGGCCACCUUAUUUAAUAAGAUGGCUGCCAAACCGGAAGAACUUGAUGGUAAUAAGGAUGAAGAUAUAAAAGUUAUUGAUGUGUCCCCUAUUAAAUCUUUGUUUUGCAAUAUGAAUCUUGAUAAUGAUGGGACUGGAGAUGAGUCAACUUUAGUUAAAAGUCGUCCCAAUGAUUCGGAGUUUUUAGAUCUUGAUGCAAAAAUUAAUAAAAGUGGGAUUGGAGAGGUCAAAACUUUACAUAGCAAUGAACCCACUAUUUUGGAUUCCAAGGAAUUUAAUUAUGAUAAUUGUUAUCUAAUAGAUUGUAUUUCCUUGUUGCAAUUCGUGCUAAAUUCUCCGCAUGCCUAUAGUCAAAACAAAGCUUUUACUAAACAUAUUGUUGAUGCUUUAAUGCAAUCUUAUGAGGAAAAGCUUGAAUUGGAAGUUUCUAUCCCUAGAAAACUUCAUGAUGAGUGGGAACCUACUAUUAAAAUUAAGAUUAAAGAUCAUGAAUUCUAUGCUUUAUGUGACUUGGGUGCUAAUGUUUCCACGAUUCCUAAAACUUUGUGUGAUUUGCUAGGUUUCCGUGAAUUUGAUGAUUGUUCUUUAAACUUGCAUCUUGCGGAUUCCACCAUUAAGAAACCUAUGGGAAGAAUUGAUGAUGUUCUUAUUGUUGCAAAUAGGAAUUACAUGCCCGUGGAUUUCAUUGUUCUUGAUGUUGAUUGCAAUCCUUCAUGUUCUAUUAUUCUUGGUAGACCUUUCCUUAGAACGAUUGGUGGAAUUAUUGAUAUGAAAGAAGGGAAUAUUAGAUUCCAAUUUCUGUUAAGGAAAGGCAUGGAACACUUUCCUAGAAAGAAAAUUAAAUUACCUUAGGAAUCUAUUAUGAGAGCCACUUAUGGAUUGCAUACCAAAGAUGAUAAUACCUAGAUCUAUCCUUGCUUUUAUGCCUAGCUAGGGGCGUUAAACGAUAGCGCUUGUUGGGAGGCAACCCAAUUUUUUUCUUGAUUUUUAUACUGUUUAGUAAUAAAUAAUUCAUCUAGCCUAUGUUUAGGUGUGGUUUUAUGCUUUUAAUUAGUGUUUGUGCCAAGUAGAACCUUUGGGAAGACUUGGGGAAAAUCUUUGUGAUUCUGCUGUAAAAAACAGAAACUUUAGCGCUCACGAGAUUUGCUGCCAUUUUUUACUGGAGAGUGAUAUUUAGUUAAUUCUUUUUGCAGAUGAUUAAAAGAUAAAUUACUCGUGUACAGCAAUUUAUUUUAGAAAUUUUUGGGGUUCCGGAAGUAUUCGAAACCUACAGAUUACUACAGACUGUUCUAUUUUUGACAGAUUCUGUUUUUCGUGUGUUGUUUGCUUAUUUUGAUGAAUCUAUGGCUAGUAAUAGAGUUUAUGAACCAUAGAAAAGUUGUAAUACAGUAGAUUUAACAUCAAUAUAAAUAAAUAAUGAGUUAAUUACAGUACCUUGAAGUGGUGGUUUGUUUUCUUUUACUAACGGAGCUCACGAGAUUUUCUUUUAAGUUUUGUGUUGUGAAGUUUUCAAGUUUUGGGUAAUGAUUUGAUGGAGUAUGGAACAAGGAGUGUAAGAGCCUAAUAUUGGGGAUCCCAAGGCACCACAAGGUAAAAUUCAAGGACAACCAAAAGCCUAAGUUUGGGGAAGCCCCGGAAGGCAUCCCCUCUUUCGUCUUCGUCCAUCGGUAACUUUACUUGGAGCUAUAUUUUUAUUCACCACAUGAUAUGUGUUUUGCUUGGAGCGUCUUGUAUGAUUUGAGUCUUUGCUUUUUAGUUUACCACAAUCAUACUUGAUGUACAACCUUUUGGUAGAGACACAUAUGAAUCAGAAUUUAUUAGAAUACUCUAUGUGCUUCACUUAUAUCUUUUGAGCUAGAUAAUUUUGCUCUAGUGCUUCGCUUAUAUCUUUUAGAGCACGGUGGUGGUUUUAUUUUAUAGAAAUUAUUGAUCUCUAAUGCUUCACUUAUAGUAUUUUGAGAGUCCUUUAAAACAACAUGGUAAUUUGCUUUGGUUAUGAAUUUAGUCCUAAUAUGAUAGGCAUCCAAGAUCUGUAUAAUAAAAACUAUCAUAAAAAGUGCAUUGAAUACUAUGAGAAGUUUGAUACUUUGAUACUUGAUGAUUGUUCUGAGAUAUGGAGAUGGUGAUAUUAGAGUCAUGCUAGUUGAGUAGUUGUGAAUUUGAGAAAUACUUGUUCUAAAGUUUGUGAUUCCCGUAGUAUGCACGUAUGGUGAACUGUUAUGUGAUGAAGUCGGAGCAUGAUUUCUUUAUUGAUUGUCUUCCUUAUGAGUGGCGGUCGGGGACGAGUGAUGGUGUUUUCCUACCAAUCUAUCCCCCUAGGAGCAUGUGCAUAGUACUUUGUUUUGAUAAAUAAUAAAUUUUUGCAAUAAGUAUAUGAUUUCUUUAUGACUAAUGUUGAGUCCAUGGAUUAUACGCACUCUCACCCUUCCACCAUUGCUAGCCUCUAGUACCGCACAACUUUCGCCGGUACCAUAAACCCACCAUAUACCUUCCUCAAAACAGCCACCAUACCUACCUACUAUGGCAUUUCCAUAGCCAUUCCGAGAUAUAUAUUGCCAUGCAACUUUCCACCGUUCCGUUUACUAUGACAUGCUUCAUCAUUGUCAUAUUACUUUGCAUGAUCAUGUAGUUGACAUCGUAUUUGUGGCAAAGCCACCAUUCAUAAUUCUUUCAUACAUGUCACUCAUGAGUCAUUGCAUAUCCUGGUACACCGCCGGAGGCAUUCACAUAGAGUCAUAUUUUGUUCUAAGAAUUGAGUUGUAAUUCUUGAGUUUUAAGUAAAUAAAGUGUGAUGAUCAUCAUUAUUAGAGCAUUGUCCCAAGUGAGGAAAGGAUGAUGGAGACUAUGAUUCCCCCACAAGUCGGGAUGAGACUCCGGACGGAAAAAAGAGGCCAUAAAAAAGAGAGAAAAGAAGGCCCAAAUAAAAAAAUGAGAGAAAAAGAGAGAAGGGACAAUGUUACUAUCCUUUUUCCACACCUGUGCUUCAAAGUAGCACCAUGAUCUUCAUGAUAGAGAGUCUCAUAUGUUAUCACUUUCAUAUACUAGUGGGAAUUUUACAUUAUAUAACUUGGCUUGUAUAUUCCAAUGAUGGGCUUCUUCAAAAUUCCCUAGGUCUUCGUGAGCGAGCAAGUUGGAUGCACACCCACUUAGUUUAUUUUUGAGAUUUCAUACACUUAUAGCUCUAGUGCAUCUGUUGCAUGGCAAUCCCUACUCACUCACAUUGAUAUAUAUUGAUGGGCAUCUCCAUAGCCCAUUGAUACACCUAGUUGAUGUGAGACUAUCUUCCCCCUCUUUUGUCUUCUCCACAACCACCAUUCUAUUCCACAUAUAGUGCUAUGUCCAUGGCUCACGCUCAUGUAUUGCGUGAAGAUUGAAAAAGUUUGAGAACAUCAAAAGUAUGAAACAAUUGCUUGGCUUGUCAUUGGAAUUGUGCAUGAUUUAAAUACUUUGUGUGGUGAAGAUAGAGCAUAGCCAGACUAUAUGAUUUUGUAGGGAUAACUUUCUUUGGCCAUGCUAUUUUGAGAAGACAUAAUUGCUUAGUUAGUAUGCUUGAAGUAUUACUAUUUUUAUGUCAACAUUAAAAUUUUGUCUUGAAUCUUUCGGAUCUGAAUAUUCAUGCCACAAUAAAGAGAAUUACAUUGAGAAUUAUGUUAGGUAGCAUUCCACAUCAAAAUUACCGUUUUUAUCAUUUACCUACUCAAGGACGAGCAGGAAUUAAGCUUGGGGGUGCUUGAUACGUCUCCAACGUAUCUAUAAUUUUUGAUUGUUCCAUGCUAUUAUAUUAUCUGUUUUGGAUGUUAAUGGGCUUUAUUUUACACUUCUAUAUUAUUUUUGGGACUAACCUACUAACCCAAGGCCCAGUGCAAAUUGCUAUUUUUUGCCUAUUUCAGUGUUUCGCAGAAAAGGAAUAUCAAACGGAAUCCAAACGGAAUGAAACCUUAGGGAGAGUUAUUUUUGGAACAAACAUGAUCCAGAGGACUUGGAGUGGAUGUCAAGAAACAAACGAGGAGUCCACGAGGCAGGGGGCGCGCCUACCCCCCUGGGCACGCCCUCCCCCCUCAUGGCCCCCUCGUGGCUCAACCAACCUACUUCUUCCUCCUAUAUAUACUCAUAUACCCUGAAAACAUCCAGGCGCACCACGAAACCCUAUUUCCAUCGCUGUAACCUUCUGUACCCAAGAGAUCCCAUCUUGGGGCCUUUUUCGGAGCUCCACCGGAGGGGGCAUCGACCACGGAGGGCCUCUACAUCAACUCCAUGGCCUCUCCAGUGAUGUGUGAGUAGUUUACUUCAGACCUUCGGUUCCAUAGUUAUUAGCUAGAUGGCUUCUUCUCUCUUUGGAUCUCAAUACAAAGUUCUCCUCGAUCUUCUUUGAGAUCUAUUCGACGUAACUCUUUUUGUGGUGUGUUUGUCGAGAUCUGAUGAAUUAUGGGUUUAUGAUCAAGUCUAUCUAAGAAAAAUAUUUGAUUCUUCUCUGAAAUCUUUUAUGUAUGAUUGGUUUAUCUUUGCAAGUCUCCGCAUUAUCAGUUUGGUGUGGCCUAGUAGAUUGAUCUUUAUUGCAAUGGCAGAAUUUCUUAGCUUUGGGUUCAAUCUUGCGGUGUCCUUUCCAAGUGACAGCAGGGGCAGCAAGGCACGUAUUGUAUUGUUGCCAUAGAGGAUAAAAAAGAUGGGGUUUAUAUCAUAUUGCUUGAGUUUAUCCCUCUACAUCAUGUCAUCUUACCUAAUGCGUUACUCUGUUCUUAUGAACUUAAUACUCUAGAUGCAUGCUGGAUAGCGGUCGAUGUGUGGAGUAAUAGUAGUAGAUGCAUGCAGGAGUUGGUCUACUUGUCACGGACAUGAUGCCUAUAUACAUGAUCAUGCCUAGAUAUUCUCAUAAUUAUUCGCUUUUCUAUAAAUUGCUCGACAGUAAUUUGUUCACCCGUCGUAAUACUUAUGCUAUCUUGAGAGAAGCCACUACUGAAACCUAUGGCCCCCGGGUCUAUCUUUUAUCAUAUAAAGUUUCCAAUCUAUUUUACUUUGCAAUCUUUACUUUCAAUGCUUAUCAUAAAAAUACCGAAAGCAAUUAUCUUAUUAUUAUUAUCUCUAUCAGAUCUCACUCUCGUAAAUGACCGUGAAGGGAUUGACAACCCCUUUAUUGUGUUGGUUGCGAGGUUCUUAUUUGUUUGUGUAGUUAUGAGGGACUUGCGUGUGGCCUCCUACUAGAUUGAUACCUUGGUUCUCAAAAACUGAGGGAAAUACUUACGCUACUUUGCUGCAUCACCCUUUCCUCUUCAAGGGAAAACCAACGCAGUGCUCAAGAGGUAGCACGUAGCUACUCACAAAUCAUAUUCAUGUUCAUAAUCAAAGGGGUAUUAAUAUGCAUAAUGGAUCUGAACAUAUGAUCUUCCACCAAGUAAAAAAAUUAGCAUCAACUACAAGGAGUAAUCAACACUACUAGCAACUCACAGGUAGCAAUCUGAGGCUUUGGGACAAAGAUUGGAUACAAGAGAUGAACUAGGGUUUGAGAGGAGAUGGUGCUGGUGAAGAUGUUGAUGGAGAUUGACCCCCUCCCAAUGAGAGGAUCGAUGGUCAUGAUUUCCCCCUCCCGGAGGGAAGUUUCCCCGGCAAAACAGCUCCGCUGGAGCCCUGGAUUGGUUCCGCCAAGGUUCCGCCACGUGGCGGCGGAGUUUUGUCCCGUGAGCUAGCUUAUGAUUUUUUCCUCCACGACAGACCUCAUAUAGCAGAAGAUGGGCAUCAGAUGGCUGCCAGGGGGCCCACGAGGCAGGGGGGCGCGCCCCCACCCUCGUGGACGGUGGGUGGGCCCCCUCUGGUACUUCUUUCGCCCAAUGUUUUUUAUAUAUUCUAAAACGUGCUCCCGUGAAGUUUCAGGACUUUUGGAGAUGUUCAGAAUAGGUCUCUAAUAUUUGCUCCUUUUCCAUCCCAGAAUUCCAGCUGCCGGAAUUCCCCCUCUUCAUGUAAACCUUGUAAAAUAAGAGAGAAUAGGCAUAAGUAUUGUGACAUAAUGUGUAAUAACAGCCCAUAAUGCAAUAAAUAUUGAUAUAAAAGCAUGAUGCAAAAUGGACGUAACAAAAAGCAUCUCAGGAAACCGAAAACUUGGUCCAGGUUGGGGGCGACAGAUUCUAGUGCCAAGACCUUCACCGUGCCCAGAGUCUGGGUGAAGCUUCGCUAGAUGACAGACGAACAUACAUCUUCAAAACUAGAAAUAACGUUGAUAUCAAGAAGGAGAGGUAUAUAAGGUGACUGUUGUACCUGAAAGUUGUAGUAUUUGAUAGACGAGUAGCCCACCACUUUCAAUUUCGGCGCAAAAAUGACAUUGAUUCUUGUUGGACAUUGUUGAUCAACUACAAGUAAUCUCUCAAGUGAAGGUGUGUCCUGGAUGACCAUAUUGUGGUCCACCUUUUGUGAUCUCUUGUUGCAGCACCAGCAACACACAUAAAUAGUACGGAGAGUCCUGGAGGUGAUGUGCAAGGUACUCGACCAAUUCAUCUCCUGAAGACGAAGGAACUCGAGUGUAGUACAGACGCGGAGUAGGCGCUCCAUGUCAUCCUUUGGGAUGCGGACGGCGACGAGCUUGAGGUGCUUCAGUCGUGGUAGAAAAAGAGCGGGCGCGUCAUUAAGGGGGGAUGGCAGUUCAUGAACUUGGCGAGGCGCAGCGUGGGCGCGAAGCGGAGCACGGACGUUGGCAGCAAGCUCAUAUGCCCAUCAUUAUAACUUAGCUUAUCGAGCUGAUCUAUGGCACGGGAUCAGAACCACUCGUCAAGCUUGGCUCGCUCCUUGCCAUUGGAACGAAACUUGCCGCGAUAAGGCCUUUGAUUGGGCCAUGGUGACUACCGAGGAUCUAGCAGAACGCAUCCAAGCUUUGGCGAUAGCCAUGGCAGAGCUUGUGGGCGUGGAGGAGGUCGACAGGGGUGCGGAGCCAUAGGGUGCACCACCGCCGGGAAAUGGCGGCUGUCCUCGCCCAAUUUCUGAUUGGGAGAAGGGAUAUGAUGACUAUCAACAUAUCAUCGGGGAGGUUGUUGACGAAGUCUAGGCCUGCUGGAGUCGCUUGAGGUUGUUUCUCGACCCGCCUCCGCUUGUUGGCAGCCUCGUUCUCCACCUCAUCGGCGGGGACAGGAACCUCUGUCUCCAUAUUCACGCUGUGCUCCAGUGCUUCAAUAGCCCAGGCGUUGCCACUCCCUCCCAUGGGGCGCUUCGACGGCAUCCUCAUACACUGACGGUUUUGAGGAUUCAGAGCCACGUCGAGGAUGCGGGUGGAGAGAGAGGAAUUGUGUGUGUGGCGAGGAUGGGGGGUGCGGCCGCUCGGCGCGCCAUUAAUAUAGACCAGUGGGAGCGAGGCGGGCGGCAGUCCAAGGCUUCCCGGUGAAAACGACUGCUUAAUCUCUAGUAUGAACGAAAUCUAUGCUUAAUUACUGAAUUUUAGUUGCAAAAAAUAGAUAGUGAUAUUGAUUUUUAGCUGCAUAUUUUGAAAAAUCGCAGUGUCUCUUGGCUUAGAGCCGAAGUCUGGCUUUAAUUUGCAUACCGUAAUCUGAACCGUUUGCGUUGACGAGAUGCAUAGAUCUUGCGUUGAAUAGCUUGUACGCUUCCAGGUGAGCCUGCGCACCUGACUGCACUCGCACGCCUCCCGUUCAGUCAAGGAGCUUUCCACACGGCACCUCCUAUAGCCAUUAAAACCAAGACACAUGGCGCCACGUGAAUGGUUAACCGAACGCACACAGUUUGAAUUAUACAAACGUUUGAGAUAUUAAAGUGGCAACAAUUUGUUUUCAAAAUGCCUUCGUUGGCUGUCAUUAUUUGAGUGUGCCUUCUCUCAAAAUGGACACGAAAAAUACCACAGCAUGUCGGGUGCCCUUCCAUGAUAGCAUGCCAAGUUUCAUGAAUUUCAAAUGAGUUUUGGAUUUAUUUGAAUUUAAAAACCAGGCAUCUCAAUGUUUUGCCGACAAUCAAUGGUGCCCUGGUGUUUGAAAUUCAUUCCCAUUUCUUGCAUGGGACCUAAGCAUGCACCCAAGGACACAUAUUUGAUUUUUCAACCAAUUUAUAUGCACCGGAGCAUGCGCAUGUAGUUCAAUUUUAAAUUAUGCACAUAAAUGCAUUGAAAACUCAGUUAAUGCAUAAAAAUGUCCAAACGAACCCCGAAAAAUCACAAAAAUUCACACAACACUCUUGUUGUUCUAUGUUGACCGAGAAAAAAAAUUGGAAGCAAUAAGAGGCAAUGGAUAUCGUUUCGUCCCCAAAGGUGGGACGUUCCCUAUCGAAAACCAUCAUGCUUGUUGUGAGAAGCUCCAAUUUGUGAGAAGCAUAUACCCAAACCUGCCCCAAAUGAGACAAAAUUUGUACCAUGGCAUGUUGAUGCCGCUCCAUGAUAGCCUGCCAAGUUUCAUGAAUUUCAGACGAGUUUUGGAUUUACUAGAAUUUAAAUACCAGGCAUCUGAAUGUUUUGCCGGCAAUCAAUGGUGCCCUGGUGUUUGAAAUUCAUUCCCAUUUCUUGCAUGGGACCUAAGCAUGCACCCAAGGACCAUAUUUUAUUUUUCAACCAAUUUAUAUGCACUGGAGCAUGCACAUGUAGGUCAAACUUGAAUUAUGCACAUAAAUGCAUUGAAAACUCAGUUAAUGCAUAAAAAAUGUCCAAACGAACCCCAAAAAAUCACAAAAAUUCACACAACACUCCUGUUGUUCUAUGUUGACACGAGAAAAAAAUUGAAAGCAAUAAGAGGCAAUGGAUAUCGUUUCGUCCCCAAAGGUGGGACGUUCCCUACCGGAAACCAUCAUGCUUGUUGUAAGAAGCUCCGUUUGUGAGAAGCAUAUACCCAAACCUGCCCCAAAUGGGACAAAAUUUGUAGCACGGCAUGUUGAUGCCGCUCCAUGAUAGCAUGCCAAGUUUCAUGAAUUUCAGACAAGUUUUGGGUUUACUAGAAUUUAAAAACCAGGCAUCUCGUCGUUUUGUCGGCAAUCAACGGUGCGCUGGUGUUUGAAAUUCAUUCUCAUUUCUUGCAUGGGACCUACGCAUGCACCCAGGGACACAGAUUUGAUUUUUCAACCAAUUUAUGCACUGGAGCAUGUGCAUGUAGUUAAAAUUUGAAUUAUGCACAUAAAUGCAUUGAAAACUCAGUUAAUGCAUAAAUAUGUCCAAACGAACCCCGAAAAAUCACAAAAAUUCACACAACACUCCUGUUGUUCUAUGUUGACACGAGAAAAAAAACUUGAAAGCAAUAAGAGGCAAUGGAUAUUGUUUCGUCCCCAAAGGUGGGACGUUCCCUACCGAAAACCAUCAUGCUUGUCGUGAGAAGCUCCAGUUUGUGAGAAGCAUAUAUCCAGACCUGCCCCAAAUGGGACAAAAUUUGUACCACGGCAUGUUGAUGCCACUCCAUGAUAGCAGGCCAAGUUUCACGAAUUUUAGACGAGUUUUGGAUUUACUAGAAUUUAAAAACCAGGCAUCUCAAUGUUUUGUCGGCAAUCAACGGUCCCCCGGUGUUUGAAAUUCAUUCCCAUUUCUUGCAUGGGACCUAAGCAUGCACCCAAGGACACAUAUUUGAUUUUUCAACCAAUUUAUAUGCACUGGAGCAUGCGCAUGUAGUUCGAAUUAUGCACAUAAAUGCAUUGAAAACUCAGUUAAUGCAUAAAAAUAUCCAAACGAACCCUGAAAAAUCACAAAAAUUCACACAACACUCCUAUUGUUCUAUGUUGACACGAGAAAAAAAACUUCAAAGCAAUAAGAGGAAAUGGAUAUUGUUUCGUCCCCAAAGGUGGGACGUUCCCUAUCGAAAACCAUCAUGCUUGUUGUGAGAAGCUCCGGUUUGUGAGAAGCAGAUACCCAAACCUGCCCCAAAUGGGACAAAAUUUAUACCACGGCAUGUUGAUGCCGCUCCGUGAUAGCAUGCCAAGUUUCAUGAAUUUCAGAUGAGUUUUGGAUUCACUAGAAUUUAAAAACCAGGCAUCUGAAUGUUUUGCCGGCAAUCAAUGGUGCCCUGGUGUUUGAAAUUCAUUCCCAUUUCUUGCAUGGGACCUAAGCAGGCACCCAAGGACAUAGAUUUGAUAUUUCAGCCAAUUUAUAUGCACUGGAGCAUGCGCAUGUAGUUCAAAUUUUAAUUAUGCCCAUAAAUGCAUUGAAAACUCAUUUAAUGCAUAAAAAUGUCCAAACGAACCCCAAAAUAUCACAAAAAUUCACACAACACUCUGUUGUUCUAUGUUGACACGAGAAAAAAAUUGGAAGCAAUAAGAGGCAAUGGAUAUCAUUUCGUCCCCAAAGGUGGGACGUUCCCUACCGAAAACCAUCAUCCUUGUUGUGAGAAGCUCCCGUUUGUGAGAAGCAUAUACCCUAACAUGCCCCAAAUGGGACAAAAUUUGUAGCACGGCAUGCUGAUGCCACUCCAUGAUAGCAUGCCAAGUUUCAUGAAUUUCAGACGAGUUUUGGAUUUACUAGAAUUUAAAAACCAAGCAUCUCAAUGUUUUGUCAGCAAUCAACGGUGCCCGGGUGUUUGAAAUUCAUUCCCAUUUCUUGCAUGGGACCUAAGCAUGCACCCAAGGACACAUAUUUGAUUUUUCAACCAAUUUAUAUGCACUGGAGCAUGCGCAUGUAGUUCAAAUUUGAAUUAUGCACAUAAAUGCAUUCAAAACUCUCUUAAUGCAUAAAAAUAUCCAAAUGAACCCCGAAAAACCACAAAAAUUCACACAACACUCCUGUUGUUCUAUGUUGACACGAGAAAAAAAUUUGAAAGCAAUAAGAGGCAACGGAUAUCGUUUCGUCCCCAAAGGUAGGACGUUCCCUACCAAAAACCAUCAUGCUUGUUGUGAGAAGCUCCUGUUUGUGAGAAGCUUAUACCUAAACCUACCCCAAAUGGGACCAAAAUUUUACCACGGCAUGUUGAUGCCGCUCCAUGAUAGCAUGCCAAGUUUCAUGAAUUUCAGACAAGUUUUGUAUUUACUAGAAUUUAAAAACUAGGCAUCUCAAUGUUUUGCCGGCUAAACAGUGCCAUGGUGUUUGAAAUUCAUUCCCAUUUCUUGGAUGGGACCUAAGCAUGCACCCAAGGAGAAAGAUUUGAUUUUUCAAAGAAUUUAUAUGCACUGGAGCAUGUGCAUGUAGUUCAAAUUUUAAUUAUGCACAUAAAUGCAUUGAAAACUCACUUAAUGCAUAAAAAUGUCCAAACAAACCCUGAAUAAUUCCAAUUCUUUUAUGAUCACUGCAGAUAAAAGGUCUAGCAAUUCAAACACCGUCCAUGGCCGUUGUGACCCCAUUAUGUAAUUCAAAUCAAGACCAAAAAUCAAGUAGAUCCCACAUAGUUUAUUACAACCAACCGUGUGAGAUGCAGCACAAAAUAUCUUCGGACCGUGUUUGAAUAAGGGACCAUGUCUGAUGACACUUUGCGCGCCAGUUUUUUGUCUGAAGCGAUUCCAAAUUUUUGGCUUCCGCGGAAAUAUCUACCUACUCGCCCCCUCCCCCUUACCAAAAGCCACAUUUCUCCUCUUUCCGCCUUCCUUUCCAAGUUGAAACCUUCACUCCUUGCUUGCAGCGCCACCACCUCCUCGCCGGCGACCGUCCUUCACGUUGCUCGGCCUCGCCUAUCCAGGCAGGUAAUCCACACCAGACCCCCAUCCUCCUCCUCCUUCCACAUCCCACAUGCCCCGACCGCCGGUGCGAGCGCGACACCUUCCACCCAAAUCACCGACCCCUCCACCAAAUAAGCGCCGGCCUAAGCCAUGGUGCAUGCAUUAUAGCCAGGACCUCAAGGAGCAUUUGGCAACGGAGAAGAAAAUCGCGGCCGCACGCGCGGAUGAGAUCGCGAUGGCUGCCAUUCGUGCCGACCCCCAGAUCUUGGAGGAGCACCUCGCUGUCGAGGCCACCGUUAACGCCUCGCGCGCCGACACCGUGAUGCGGUUGGCUGCUUUAAACGACAGUUCAUAGCGUUUUCUCGAGGCCACCGUCGGUGCCUUCGACGAAGACUACGAGGUGUUUUCUCAGCGUGCAUGUGCUUACCUCAUCUCGAGAGCCAGCGGGUUGGUACCCGGAGCAGCUCAGGCAACUCACCACUACAAUGAGGGCACCCAUGAUGCGGAGGCCUCACCCUCUUCCAUGUCCAAGGAGCCAAUCGUCAUUGAUAUCUCCGACAAUGAGGAGUAGCUUGUCUUAUUAGCUCACUACAAGGACCCAUGUUCAGUUUGCUAGCUACUGCAUUUCCUUAACAAAUUCUAGUGAAUUGUGCUAUCUACUUUUACCAUGCAAUCUUCUGCUAUAGUGUAUAUGUUCUAUAUGUCGUGCAAUGUGGUGUUCAAUUAACUACUUGGUUCAAUUCUGCAAAUGUGAUGUUCAAUUCUUCUGGGUGCAAUAUUUCCAAGUUGUUAAGCAUGCUUGGUUUGGUUAACUGUUUGAUCUUCUAUUAGGAGUAUGCUAUAUUGUUCAAUUGGUGUUUAGUUAACUGCUUGGUUCAUUUGUUGUGGCUUGGUUCACUUGCCGUGGUGUUUACUUAACUGCUUGGUUCAAUUUUGCAAUGCGAUGUUCAAUUGUUGUGGAUGCAUUCUAUUAUUGUAUACCAUGUGAGGAAUAAAUCGAAUUUGGCUGUACUAAAUACAUGAGAAACAAAUACAAUUUCUAUAUUUCCAAGUUGUUAAGCAUGCUUGGUUUGGUUAACUGUCUGAUCUUCUAUUAGGAGUAUGUUAUAUUGUGCAAUGUGGUGCUCAGUUAACAUUUGGUUCAUUUGUUAUGGUGUUUAGUUAACUGCUUGGUUCAAUUCUGCAAUGCAAUGUUCAAUUGCUGUCGCUGCAUUCUGUUAUUGUAUACCAUGUGAGGAAUAAAUCGAAUUUGGCUGCACUUAAUACAUGAGAAACAUAUACAAGUGCUAUAUUUCCUAGUUCUUAAUCAUGCUUGGUUUGGAUAAAUGGGUUUUCCAUGUGGCUUGAAUUAAUCUGAUGAAUCUGCAAUGUGCUUAUUUAUCAUCAACAUAUUUUACUGAUAGCACGCAAACCCUUACUUAACCUAAUGACUAACUACCUUAUAUGUGUUGCAGGGAAACAAUGGGAAGCACUGAGGUUUACAAGAUGGUACUAACUAUUACACCUUGCCUUUUUGUAUUCCUUUGCCCCAUUUCCAACAUAGAGAAGAUAUUUAUGCACAUUCUUGUUUUCAGGCUUCACUGAUGAUUACCUCUCAAACCACCUCUGUGGUCAGGAGGCGAGGAAAGUUUUCAUACAACACCCAUGGUUCAAUAUUGAAGUGUUCCUGAAGAGGUUGAACGAUGGAUGGUCAAUCAUCCACAUGCACUGGCCUAAAGUUGCAAAGACGUUCAACAUGAAGGAAGGCUCAAUAUUCGCCUUCCGCUUCAGCAGUUUUCCAGAUGAGAUGCAUCUCUCUAUGUACCGUCUAUGAUGCUAACUCCGAAAGGUUCUAGAUGUUGCAUGUGAAACUUGUUGUUGGUGCAGUUGUGUAAUGGGGUAGCUGAGUGCUGAAUCUAUAUCAUGUUGUACUCUGAUGUAUUUCAAUUAUGAAAUCCUGCUUCCUUAAUAUGGAAAUGGAAUAUAUUAUGCGCUUAAUAUGAAUGUCAAUUAGAUUAGUAAAUGGAUUAUUAAUAAUAGGGCAAUUAGCCCGCUAAUUGGCCAAUUAGCUUAAAAAUUGGGUUUUCCUAUUGCAAACGGUUAAUGAGAAACCACCGUGGGCGAUGACCUCAGGCAACGCACACAGUUUCUAGGAAUAAACCGUGUUGGAUCAAUGAACAAUCACACAUGACAUUUUCUUCAAAAUUGUUUGCGUUACGCCACCUUGUGCAAACGUUUUCCUUGUAGUGACUGUCUGGGAUGUAUAUACGAAUGGAAACGUUUAGUGGUGACUGACUGUGUGGGAUGUACUUACGACCGGAAAUGGUUUCGCAUGUAUAAUUGUAUUUUUUAUGAGCACUACUGUACGUAUUUCUGUAUUUGAGUGCUCGCCGGCCGCACACGAUCUCAUUUUGCCGAGCAUGUGUGCCAGGAGGGCAUAUCCCCAAUGUUUCCUGGGUCAUGUGGGGAGGACCCCCCUAUCGCCCACACUCACUUGGCGAUGGUUCUGAAUGCCGUCACGGAAAGGGAUUAAAAACCGUUUGUUUAGGACCGACGCGCGCUAGUGUACAUCUUGACAACCCUUCUUCCCUUUCAGCAGAGCUUCCAGGAAAUCCCCCCCCCCCUUUGAUCAUCCCAAUAUCACCCAUUCCAUUCUCUUGCAUUAGAUUUUGCUACUGUAAUUGUUUUCUCCUAUUCUGAUGCAUAGCCUGCUUUUGUACCUAGUGGUGUACCUUACCUGCUUAUCCUAAACUGCUUAGUAUAGGUUGGUUAGUGAUCCAUCAGUGACCCCCACCUUCUCCCUGUUGCCCCUGGUUCAUCAUCGAUGACUCGAUCAACGUGAUUGACGACCAAAGCCCGACACCUCACAUCACAUCACGCCCCUUUUGUUGCUCAACUCUGCAGAGCUACUAUCGAGUGCCUAGGGUGAUACCUCAUAACGCACUCCUGGUGAUGACUCUAUAGUGUAGCUAUUCAUUCGUGGUCAUCAAGGGUGAUUCCUCCUUUACCACUCCUGAUACGACUCUGUCGUGCGACCCCUCAAGUGUGAACCUCGAGGGUGGUUCCUCUUAUGUUCACCUUGACGAUUACAUCGAGUGGAAUCCAUCGAGGGUGAUUCCUUGGGUUUUCCCCUUGAUGUUUGGACACAUGGUUACCUUGACUUUACUUGAGACCUUUGUGAAAGUCGGGCGGGCCCGGAGAGCACCCACAAGAUAAUUAUGUGGCACGACCGGGCAUUCUGGGCCCUUGCCGUAAGUCCAUGGGACGGGGCGACGGGGUCACAUCGAUCGUGAGUCUCUGUUCAUCUCCGCAAGCUCACGAGGGUGGGGGGCGACCCCCCUAGGGCGCGCCCCCUACCUCAUGGGCCCCCUAGUGGCUCUCCGACGCCCAUCAUCUCCUAUAUGAAGUCUUUCGAUGAGAAAAAAAUAAGAAGGAACUUUUCGGGACGAGACUCCGCCGCCACGAGGUGGAACCUUGGCGGAUCCAAUCUAGAGCUCCGGCAGAGCUGUUCUGCCGGGGAAACUUCCCUCCGGGAGGCGGAAAUCAUCACCAUCGUCAUCACCAACGCUCCUCUCAUCGGGAGAGGGCAAUCUCCAUCAACAUCUUCACCAGCACCAUCUCAUCUCUAGACCCUAGUUCAUCUCUUGUAUCCAAUUCUUGUCUCAAAGUCCGGGAUUGGUGCUAGUAGGUUGCUAGUAGUGUUGAUUACUCCUUGUAGUUGAUGCUAGUUGGUUUAUUUGGUGGAAGAUCAUAUGUUCAGAUCCUAUAUGCAUAUUAUUACCCCUCUGAUUAUGAACAUGGAUAUGCUUUGUGAGUAAUUACGUUUGUUCCCGAGGACAAGGGAGAAGUCUUGCUAUUAGUAGUCAUGUGAAUUUGGUAUUCGUUUGAUAUUUUGAUAAGAUGUAUGUUGUCUAGCCUCUAGUGGUGUUAUGUGAACGUCGACUACAUAACACUUCACCAUUAUUUGGGCCUAGAGGAAGGCAUUGGGAAGUAAUAAGUAGAUGGUGGGUUUCUAGAGUGACAGAAGCUUAAACCCUAGUUUAUGCGUUGCUUCGUAAGGGGCUGAUUUGGAUCCAUAUGUUUCAUGCUAUGGUUAGGUUUACCUUAAUACUUUUGUUGUAGUUGCGGAUGCUUGCAAUAGAAGUUAAUCAUAAGUGGGAUGCUUGUUCAAGUAAGAACAACACCCAAGCACCGGUCCACCCACAUAUCAAAUUAUCAAAGUAUUGAAUGCGAAUCAUGUGAACAUGAUGAAAACUAGCUUGACGAUAUUCCCAUGUGUCCUCGGGAGCACUUUUCCUAUUAUAAGAGUUUGUUCCGGCUUGUCCUUUGCUACAAAAGGAUUGGUCCACCUUGCUGCACUUUAUUUACUUUUGUUACUUGUUGCUCGUUACAAUCUAUCUUAUCACAAAACUAUCUGUUACCACUUAUUUCAGUACUUGCAGAGAAUACCUUGCUGAAAACCGCUUAUCAUUUCCUUCUGCUCCUCGUUGGGUUCGACACUCUUACUUAUCGAAAGGACUAUGAUAGAUCCCCUAUACUUGUGGGUCAUCAAGACUCUUUUCUGGCGCCGUUGCCGGGGAGUGUAGAGCCUUUGGUAGGUGGAAUUUGGUAAGGAAAAAUUUAUAUAGUGUGCUGAAAUUUACUGUCACUUGCUACUAUGGAAAGUAAUUCUCUGAGGGGCUUGUUCGGGGUAUCUUCACCCCGUCCAGUAGAGCAAAGAGUUGCUCCUCAACCUACUGAACCUAUUGAAAAUGAAACUCCUUUUGAAUUUCCUUCGAGUAUGAUGGAAAAACUGCUAGCUAACCCUUUUACAAGAGAUGGAACAAAGCAUCUUGAUGAGCACUUAAUAUAUGUGGAUGAAGUUUGUGGAUUAUUGAAGCUUGCAGGUAUACCCGAUGAUGUUGCUAAGAAGAAGGUCUUCCCUUUAUCUUUGAAGGGAGACGCAUUGAUAUGGUAUAGGCUAUGUGAUGAUAUGAGAUCAUGGGACUAUAAAAGUUUGAAGUUGGAAUUUCAUCAAAAGUAUUACCCUAUGCAUCUUGUUCAUCGUGAUCGCAAUUAUAUAUAUAAUUUCCGGCCUCGCGAAGGAGAAAGCAUCGCUCAAGCUUGGGGAGGCUUAAAUCAAUGUUAUAUUCAUGCCCCAAUCAUGAGCUCUCAAGAGAAAUGAUCGUUCAAAAUUUUUAUGCUCGGCUUUCUGAAAACAAUCGCACCAUGCUCGAUACUUCUUGUGCUGGCUCUUUUAUGAUGAAGACUAUUGAAUUCAGAUGGAAUUUAUUAGAUAGAAUUAAACGCAACUCUGAAGAUUGGGACCUCGACGAAGGUAAGGAGUCAGGUAUGACACCUAAGUUUGAUUGUGUUAAAUCUUUUCUGGAUACCAAUAUUUUCCGUAAGUUUAGCACUAAAUAUGGACUUGACUCUGAGAUAGUAGCUUCUUUCUGUGAAUCUUUUGCUACUUAUGUUGAUCUCCCUAAGGAGAAGUGGUUUAAAUAUCAUCCUCCCAUAGAAGUAAAAGUAGCUGCACCUAUUAAAGUUGAAGAAAAGACGGUCACUUAUAAUGAUCCUAUUGUUCCUACUUCUUAUAUUGAGAAACCACAUUUCCCUGUUAGAAUAAAGGAUCAUUCUAAAGCUUCAACUGUUGUUCGUAAAAGCAAUAUUAGAACUUAUACACCUCCUGAGCAAGUUAAAGUAGAACCUAAUAUUGCUAUUGUUAAAGAUCUCUUGUCUGAUAAUAUUGAUGGGCAUGUUAUUCAGUUCGAAGGUGAAACUGCUAGAAUUGCUAAACCUUGUGCUAAAGAUAAACAUAGACCUGUGGUAGGCGUGCCUGUUAUUUCUGUUAAAAUAGGAGAUCAUUGUUAUCAUGGCUUAUGUGAUAUGGGUGCGAGUGCUAGUGUUAUACCGCAUACUUUAUACGAAGAAAUUAAGAAUGAAAUUGCACCUGAUGAGUUAGAAGGUAUUGAUGUCACAAUUAAACUUGCCAAUAGAGAUACUAUUUCACCAAUUGGAAUUGUUAGAUAUGAUGAAGUCUUGUGUGUGAAAACUAAAUAUCCUCCUGAUUUUCUUGUUCUUGGUUCCCCACAAGAUAGCUUUUGUCCCAUUAUAUUUGGUAGACCCUUCUUAAAUACUGUCAAUGCUACCAUAGAGUGCACAAAGAAUGUUGUUACUAUUGGCUUGGAUGAUAUGGUUCAUGAGUUUAAUUUCUCUAAAUUUAGUAAACAACAUCCUAAGGAAGAAUUACCUAGUAAGGAUGAAUUUAUUGGUCUUGCUUCUAUUGCCGUACCUCCUAGUGAUCCUUUAGAACACUAUCUGCUAGACCAUGAAAAUGAUAUGUUCAUGAAUGAAAGAAGGGAAAUAGAUGAAGUAUUCUUUAAACAGGAACCUAUUCUGCAACACAAUUUGCCUGUUGAAAUUUAGGGGAUCCACCUCCACCCAAGGGUGAUCCCGUGUUUGAGCUUAAACCCUUGCCUGAUAAUCUUAAAUAUGCUUAUCUUGAUGAAAAGAAGAUAUAUCAUGUUAUUAUUAGUGCUAAUCUUUCAGAGCAUGAAGAAGAAAGAUUAUUGAAAACUCUGAAGAAGCAUUGUGCUGCUAUUGGAUAUACUCUUGAUGAUCCUAAGGGCAUUAGUCCCACUCUAUGUCAACAUAAAAUAAAUUUGGAAGCAGAAGCCAAACCAGUUCGUGAUCCUCAACGACGUCUGAAUCCUAAAAUGAAAGAAGUGGUAAGAAAAGAAAUACUAAAGCUUCUGGAGGCAGGUAUAAUCUAUCCCGUUGCUGAUAGUGAAUGUGUAAGUCCUGUCCAUUGUGUCCCUAAGAAGGGAGGUAUUACUGUUGUUCCUAAUGAUAAAGAUGAAUUGAUUCCACAAAGAAUUAUCAUAGGUUAUAGGAUGGUAACUGAUUUCCGCAAAUUAAAUAAAGCUACUAAAAAGAUCAUUACCCCUUACCUUUUAUUGAUCAAAUGCUAGAAAGAUUAUGCAAACAUACACACUAUUUCUUUCUAGAUGGUUAUUCUGGUUUCUCUCAAAUACCUGUGUCAGCUAGAGAUCAAUCAAAGACUACUUUUACAUGCCCUUUUGGUACUUUUGCUUAUAGACGUAUGCAUUUUGGUUUAUGUAAUGCACCUGCUACCUUUCAAAGAUGCAUGAUGGCUAUAUUCUCUGACUUUUGUGAAAAGAUUUGUGAGGUUUUCAUGGACGACUUUUUCGUCUAUGGUUCCUCUUUUGAUGAUUGCUUGAGCAAUCUUGAUCGAGUUUUGCAGAGAUGUGAAGAAACUAAUCUUGUCUUGAAUUGGGAAAAGUGCCACUUUAUGGUUAAUGAAGGUAUUGUCUUGGGGCACAAAGUUUUUGAAAGAGGUAUUGAAGUUGAUAAAGCCAAGGUUGAUGCUAUUGAAAAGAUGCCAUGUCCCAAGGACAUCAAAGGUAUGAGAAGUUUCCUUGGUCACGCCGAAUUUUACAGGAGGUUCAUUAAGGACUUCUCAAAAAUUUCUCGGCCUCUAACUAAUUUAUUGCAAAAAGAUAUACCAUUUGUCUUUGAUGAUGAUUGUGUAGAAGCAUUUGAAGUACUUAAGAAAGCAUUAGUAUAUGCACCUGUUGUUCAGCCACCUGAUUGGAAUUUACCCUUUGAAAUUAUGUGUGAUGCUAGUGAUUAUGCUGUAGGUGAUGUUCUAGGGCAAAGAGUUGAUAAGAAAUUAAAUGUUAUUCAUUAUGCUAGUAAGACUCUAGACAAUGCUCAAAGAAAUUAUGCUACUACUGAAAAAGAGCUUUUAGCAGUUGUAUUUGCUUGUGAUAAGUUCAGAUCUUAUAUUGUUGAUUCUAAAGUAACUAUUCAAACUGAUCAUGCUGCUAUUAAAUACCUUACAGAAAAUAAAGAUGCUAAACCUAGACUUAUUAGAUGGGUUCUCUUGCUACAAGAAUUUGAUUUGCAUAUUGUUGAUAGAAAGGGAGCUGAGAACCCCGUUGCAGACAACUUGUCUAGGUUUGAAAAUAUUCUUGAUGACCCACUACCUAUUAAUGAUAGCUUUCCCGAUGAACAAUUAAAUGUUAUAAGUACUUCUCGUAGUACUCCAUGGUAUGCUGAUUAUGCUAAUUAUAUUGUUGCUAAAUUUAUACCACCUAGCUUCACAUACCAACAAAAGAAAAAGUUAUUCUAUGACUUGAGACAUUACUUUUGGGAUGACCCACAUCUUUAUAAAGAAGGAGUAGAUGGUGUUAUUAGACGUUGUGUACCUGAGCAUGAACAGGAAUAGAUCCUACGCAAGUGUCAUUCCGAGGCUUAUGGAGGACACCACGCUGGAGAUAGAACUACACAUAAGGUAUUGCAAUCUGGUUUUUAUUGGCCUACUCUCUUCAAGGAUGCCCGUAAGUUUGUCUUGUCUUGUAAUGAAUGUCAAAGAAUUGGUAAUAUUAGUAGACGUCAAGAACUUCCUAUGAAUUAUUCUCUUGUUAUUGAACCGUUUGAUGUUUGGGGCUUUGAUUAUAUGGGACCUUUUCCUGCCUCUAAUGGAUACACACAUAUUCUAGUUGUUGUUGAUUACGUUACUAAGUGGGUAGAAGCUGUUCCAACUAGUAGUGCUGAUCAUAACACUUCUAUUAAAAUGCUUAAAGAAGUUAUUUUUCCGAGGUUUGGAGUCCCUAGAUAUUUAAUGACUGAUGGUGGUUCACACUUUAUUCAUGGUGCUUUACGUAAAAUGCUUGCUAAAUAUGAUGUUAAUCAUAGAAUUGCAUAUCCUUAUCACCCUCAGUCUAGUGGUCAAGUAGAGUUGAGCAAUAGAGAGCUCAAAUUAAUUUUGCAAAAGACUGUUAAUAUGUCUAGAAAGAAUUGGUCUAAGAAACUUGAUGAUGCAUUAUGGGCUUAUAGAACUGCAUACAAAAAUCCUAUGGGUAUGUCUCCGUAUAAAAUGGUUUAUGGAAAAGCAUGUCACUUACCUCUCGAACUAGAACAUAAGGCAUAUUGGGCUAUUAAAGAGCUCAACUAUGACUUUAAACUUGCCGGUGAGAAGAGGUUAUUUGAUAUUAGCUCACUUGAUGAAUGGAGAACCCAAGCAUAUGAAAAUGCCAUGUUGUUUAAAGAAAAAGUUAAAAGAUGCCAUGACAAAAGGAUACAAAAGCGUGAGUUUAAUGUAGGUGAUUAUGUAUUUCUAUACAACUCUCGUUUAAGAUUUUUUGCAGGAAAACUUCUCUCUAAAUGGGAAGGCCCCUAUGUUAUCGAAGAGGUCUAUCGUUCCGGUGCCAUAAAGAUCAACAACUUUGAAGGCACAAAUCUGAAGGUGGUAAACGGUCAAAGAAUUAAACAUUAUAUCUUAGGUAAUCUCAUAAAUGUUGAAACCAAUAUUAUUGAAACCGUAACCCCGGAGGAAUACAUAAGGGACACUUUUCGGAACAUUUCAGACUCCGAAAAGGAAUAGGUAUGUGGUACGGUAAGUAAACCGACUCCAAAACAAUUUUUAAGGCAAUAUUUCUCCGUUUUGGAAUAUUUAGAAAAAUAGAAAAAUAAGUAGCAGUCCGGGAAGGACACGAGGGCCCCACGAGGGUGGUGGGCGCGCCCUAGCCCCCUGGGCAUGCCCCCCUACCUCGUGAGCACCUCGUGUGCCUUCCGGACUCUGUUUUCUUGCACGUUACAUAUUUUGGUCGGUAAAAAUUCAUUAUAUAACCUCCCGAAGGUUUUGACUCCCGUAUCACGCAAACCUCCUCUGUUCUUGUUUCGAGCUAUUUUCUGUUAGGGUUUUCCAGGCUAGGCAUCAUGUCAUCUCCCUCCUUCAACAAUGGUGACAAUGAUGCUUGGCUAAUGAAGAUAGAUCUGAAGAGGGAAGAACCCACAAGGGUCAACAAGGAUGAAAGGCUCAAGAAGGCCACGGAGGAUCAAGCUCCAGCAGCAAAAGACACCCUCCAACUUGAUCAUAACCUUCUUACCCCAACUGAUAUCGAAGCUUUCAAGAUGAUUGAGUUAGCUCGUAUACAAAACAAGUAUCUCGCACAAGAAAAUAUUUUGUUGAAGGAGCAUAUUGUUGCACUCAAGGGCAUUAUUCGCAAGCUGGAGGACCUCUUAUGCUCGAUGUGCGAUUAUCCGUCACCUCCACCUUCUUCACCAACUAAGGAGAUAUAAUCACAUGGGUAUGGGCACUCCCCUUGGCAACUGCCAAGCUUGGGGGAGGUGCCCCGGUAUCGUAUCACAAUCACAACUCCUAUCUUUACCAUUUUUCUUAGUUCGAUCCUAUUAGUAGUAUCUUGAUCUAGUAGAAUAAAGUUUAUGGCAUGAUCUAGUUUUGAGUUUUGCUUUAUUACCCCUCUUUGUAAUCGAGUCCGUGAGCUAUAUAUAAUAAAGAUUAGUGUUGAGUCAAGGGCUUGAUUAUUUUGCCAUGAUCUUGGGUGAAUAAAAGAAAAGAGAAAAAGAAUAAAAAGAAACAAAGAGUUCAUAUUGAUCUUAUUGAGAGUAAUGACUUCACAUAGAAAGAGUAUGAUGAUUAAAAGUUGUUGGGAGUUGGCAGACAUAGCUUUGGUCAUUGUUGCAAUUAAUAGGAAGUAAUAAGGAAAGAGAGGUUUUCACAUAUAGAUAUAUUAUCAUUGACAUCUUUUAUGAUUGGGAGCACUCAUUAAAAUAUGACAUGCUAAAGAGUUGAUGUUGGACAAGGAAGACAACAUAAUGAGUUAUGUCUUUCUUAUAUCUGAGAUAAAGUAUGUUGUCAUGGAUCCUCUAACUUGUUGAGCUUUCCUUUCCCCCUCAUGCUAGCCAAAUUCUCAGCACCAAGUAGAAAUACUACUUGUGCUUCCAAAUACCCUUAAACCAGUUUUGCCAUGAGAGUCCACCAUAUCUACCUAUGGAUUGAGUAAGAUCCUUCAAGUAAGUUGUCAUCGGUGCAAAGCAAUAAAAAUUGCUCUAAAUAUGUAUGAUUGAUUGGUGUGGGAGAAAUAAGCUUUAUACGAUCUUGUGAUGUGGAAGUAAUAAAAGCGACGGACUGCAUAAUAAAGGUUCAUAUCACAAGGAGCAAUAUAAAGUGACGUUCUUUCGCAUUGAGAUUGUAUGCAUCCAACCAUAAAAGCGCAUGGCAACCUCUGCUUCCCUCUGCGAAGGGUCUAUCCUUUAUUAUUAUUAUCUUCUAACUUAUGCAAGAGUCAUGGUGAUCUUCACCUUUUCUUUUUCAUUUUAUCCUUUGGCAAGCUCAGCAUGUUGGAAAGAACAUGAUAUAUAUACAUAUAUAUAUAUAUAUAUAUAUAAAAUUGGAUGUAGGGGAGCAUGAACAAUUAUUGUUGACAUUACCCUUGAGGUAAAAGGUCGUGGGGCAAAACUAUAAGCCCCUAUCUUUCUCUGUGUCCGAUUAAAACUCUGUAACCACAAGUAUUGCGUGAGUGUUAGAAAUUAUGGAGGACUAAAGGACUAAAUGAUAGUUGAGUAUGUGGACUUGCUUUUUAGCUCUGAUAUAGACUCUUUCCGAUGUUAUGAUAAAUUGCAAUUGCUUCAAUGACUGAGAUUAUAGUUUGUCGGAGCCCAAUAAGGUUUAUGAUUUAUACUUUUGCAUUGUGAAUAGAUCAUCACUUGGACAUAAGUAAUCAUAUGACAAAAGCUAUAUAUGUUGCUGUUAUGAGAAUAAUCAUGAUGCCUUCAUGUCCGUAUUUUUAUUUUCAUCGACGCCUCUACCUCUAAACAUGAGGACAUAUUUAUUGUUAUCGGCUUUUUGCUUGAGGACAAGUGAGGUCUAAGCUUGGGGGAGUUGAUACGUCCAUUUUGCAUCAUGCUUUUAUAUUGAUAUUUAUUGCAUUAUGGGCUGUUAUUUCACUUUAUUUCACAAUACUUAUGGCUAUUCUCUCUUAUUUUACAAGGUUUACAUAAGGAGGGAGAAUGCCGGCAGCUGGAAUUCUGGGCUGGAAAAGGAGCAAAUAUUAGAGACCUAUUCUGCGCAACUCCAAAAGUCCUGAAACUCCACGGAACAUCUUAAAAUAAAUAAAGAAAAAUCCUCGCCAAAGAUGAAGGCCAGGGGGCCCACACCNNNNNNNNNNNNNNNNNNNNNNNNNNNNNNNNNNNNNNNNNNNNNNNNNNNNNNNNNNNNNNNNNNNNNNNNNNNNNNNNNNNNNNNNNNNNNNNNNNNNNNNNNNNNNNNNNNNNNNNNNNNNNNNNNNNNNNNNNNNNNNNNNNNNNNNNNNNNNNNNNNNNNNNNNNNNNNNNNNNNNNNNNNNNNNNNNNNNNNNNNNNNNNNNNNNNNNNNNNNNNNNNNNNNNNNNNNNNNNNNNNNNNNNNNNNNNNNNNNNNNNNNNNNNNNNNNNNNNNNNNNNNNNNNNNNNNNNNNNNNNNNNNNNNNNNNNNNNNNNNNNNNNNNNNNNNNNNNNNNNNNNNNNNNNNNNNNNNNNNNNNNNNNNNNNNNNNNNNNNNNNNNNNNNNNNNNNNNNNNNNNNNNNNNNNNNNNNNNNNNNNNNNNNNNNNNNNNNNNNNNNNNNNNNNNNNNNNNNNNNNNNNNNNNNNNNNNNNNNNNNNNNNNNNNNNNNNNNNNNNNNNNNNNUGCCGGGGAUACUUCCCUCCGGGAGGGGGAAAUCAUCACCAUCGUCAUCACCAACGCUCCUAUCAUCGGGAGAGGGCAAUCUCCAUCAACAUCUUCACCAGCACCAUCUCAUCUCCAAACCCUAGUUCAUCUCUUGUAUCCAAUUCUUGUCUCAAAGUCCGGGAUUGGUGCUAGUAGGUUGCUAGUAGUGUUGAUUACUCCUUGUAGUUGAUGCUAGUUGGUUUAUUUGGUGGAAGAUCAUAUGUUCAGAUCCUAUAUGCAUAUUAUUACCCCUCUGAUUAUGAACAUGAAUAUGCUUUGUGAGUAAUUACGUUCGUUCCUGAGGACAAGGGAGAAGUCUUGCUAUUAGUAGUCAUGUGAAUUUGGUAUUCGUUUGAUAUUUUGAUAAGAUGUAUGUUGUCUAGCCUCUAGUGGUGCUAUGUGAACAUUGACUACAUAACACUUCACCAUUAUUUGGGCCUAGAGGAAGGCAUUGGGAAGUAAUAAGUAGAUGAUGGGUUGCUAGAGUGACAGAAGCUUAAACCCUAGUUUAUGCGUUGCUUCGUAAGGGGCUGAUUUGGAUCCAUAUGUCUCAUGCUAUGGUUAGGUUUACCUUAAUAUUUUUUUUGUAGUUGCGGAUGCUUGCAAUAGAGGUUAAUCAUAAGUGAGAUGCUUGUUCAAGUAAGAACAGCACCCAAGCACCGGUCCACCUACAUAUCAAAUUAUCAAAGUAUCGAACAUGAAUCAUAUGAACGUGAUGAAAACUAGCUUGACGAUAUUCCCAUGUGUCCUCGGGAGCGCUUUUCCUAUUAUAAGAGUUUUUUCCGGCUUGUCCUUUGCUACAAAAGGAUUGGGCCACCUUGCUGCACUUUAUUUACUUUUGUUACUUGUUGCUCGUUACAAUCUAUCUUAUCACAAAACUAUCUGUUACCACUUAUUUCAGUGCUUGCAGAGAAUACCUUGCUAAAAACCGCUUAUCAUUUCCUUCUGCUCCUCAUUGGGUUCGACACUCUUACUUAUCGAAAGGACUACAAUAGAUCCCCUAUACUUGUGGGUCAUCACAUGGCUGGGCCAGCACCAUCCAUGUAGAGUUCGAGCUUGGACCUGCCCUACACGCAAUGACCCGGAGUGCAACGGGCAAUGGGUCCAGACCCCGGAGUGCUUAGGAUGUAGACCGGCAGGGACCUCUCUGCUGAGCCUAGGUAGGGCUACGACGUGUUGAUCUUCCGAGGCUGGUCAUUGACCCAGAAAAAUGUGUCCGUCCAGAGUAAGCACGCGUGUUGGAAAAUGUGGUGCACCCCUGCAGGGAAGAUUAUCUAUUAAUAGCCGUGUCCAUGGUAACGGACGUUCAGACUUAUAUCCUGAUCUUUUACAACUAGAAAUGGAUACUUGAGAUAUGUGGCACCGGGAUUGCUUUCUCGUAGGGAGUCGAGGAAGGAUCUCUGGGCAUUACUACUACAACAUGCUUGUUAAUUAAACUGCUAUUCUUUACUCUUCUACAUGCUGCAAGAUGCUUGGAGCUGCUUGAAGGUGCUAUUCUUUGAUAGGCUAGGCCUUCCCCUCUAUUCUGGCUUACUGCAGUUCAGUCCACAGAUACAACCCUUCCAUUUGAUAUGAAUGCAUACUUAGUGUAGAUUUGAUGCUUGCGAGUACUUUCGAUGAGUACUCACGGUUGCUUUGCUACCCCCUUUUCCUCUUCUUUCUUCUUUCUGGUUGUUGCAACCAGAUGGUGGAUCCGAGGAGCUAGAUGCCACCCCUGACGACUACUACUACCCCGAGGGUGCCUACUGCUACGUGGAGCCCGCCGACGACCAGUUGUAGUUAGGAGGUCCCAGGCAGGGGGCCUUGCCUCUUCGGUCGUGUUGCUUUUGUGCUAGCCUUUUUAAGGCAUCCUUGUUUAACUUAUGUCUGUACUCAGAUAUUGUUUCUUUCACUGACGCUUGUGUAUCGAGCUUGUAUUCGAGCCCUCGAGGCCCCUGGCUUGUAAUAUAAAGCUUGUAUUAUUUCUUUUUGUGUCUAGAGUUGUGUUGCGAUAUUUUCCCGUGAGUCCCUGAUCUUGAUCAUACACAUUUGCGUGUAUGAUUAGUGUAUGAUUGAAUCGGGGGCGUCACAUUGCAAUAUAGACCGUCCGAUCUAUUUCUGACGGAUAGAAAACAAACUAUGGCAAUUUUGCAAAAAGAUACCCGCACCUCUCUCCAUAUUUGUAGAUAACGCCUUCCCUCGUUCAUCCUUAUCUCCCACAAUCUCAUUGUUGAUCAAUUAAAAAAGGAAGCCUCUGGAACAAUCUGACAUGGUGACCGCUGCCGGCAUCGUCCAUCCCCAUGGCUCGGCUUAGUCCGACCACCAAUCACCACCAUGCCCCACUUCUCCUCACCUUAUCUCUCCUCUUUCUCUAAAUAUCAUUAGUUUUUACACAUGGGAUUACUCCCUCAUGGGUCAAUCACAAUAGGUGUUUUGUAAAAAAUGCAUCUUGGUGUUCCGAGCAAUGCACGGCCAUCUUGCUAGUCAUUGCUUUAAAUUGAAAUGAAUUGGUCGUUUGAAGGUGCCAAUAGUCUCUCCUCGAUCUAUUACGCUCUCUUGGAUGGAUUCAAGUAGCUAGCAAGAAUGGGGAAGGAGAUGAACAUGAAGAGAGAAUCCGCCGGUACUGAAGCCGUUUCACCUACUCCACUGGAUACCCAGUUUUUUAUUUUUGAGGGGCUGGAUACCGAGAUCCUUUUUUUGUCAAUUUUUUAACUGGCUUAGGCGCCAGUUACGAACUCGAUCUCUUGGCUAGCAUAACAGGCCAGCCCAAAAAUGUCUCUUCCCAGCAAUGGUUUCGGGAACCUUCUAUAAGGUUCUCUCUGUUUUAAUUCGGGCUGGUUUUUCUUCUUCUUUGUGUUUCACCAGUUGUAACAUCCCAAAUUUUCAAUUGGUAAUGUUAUACAUUAGAUCAUCAUUGCAUAUCAUAUUUUAUUGCAUUUUGGUUGAUCCGAGAAAUUCCACGCAACUCAAGGACCCACAGAGAGAGUUGGGGAUUUCAUUAUUUUCAUAUUCGAGUUUUCUCGAAUUUUGAAAAGAGGAUCGUUUGAUUUUAAUUAUUUUCUCUUCGAAUAUUUCUUUUAUAAAAAUAAACGAGAGAUGAUAAAAUGACUUCCUCAAAAUAAAGAAAUAUCGAAGAUUUAAUAUUAAAAUCAAAUAAGAUUUUUUUAAUUCAGAGUUUUAUCGCUAUUUUAUUUGAAAUAGGAAAAAUAUGCAUUUUUCAAAAUUGCAUUUUAGGCCCAAAUAAAUGUUCACCUUGUCCGGCUUAUUUUUAGAGGAUGGGGAAAAUUUAUUUCGGGAUUUUUGGAGUACGUUUAGAAUUCCUUUUCUUUCUUUUUUGCACGUCGGAAUUAUUUAAAAAAAGUCAAACCAACUUCGGGCCGUACCCGGCAAGGAGACCUCGGGCCGGCCCUCUUUAUAAGCCGCCACCACCGAGCCGCUGAAGCCCACUAGCCCAACCCGCGAUGCCGCCCCAAACCCUUACCCUAGCCCGACGCCGCAGCUGCCGACGCUGCCGCCGCCACCCGCCGCCCCGCCGCCUCGCCGAACCGUCGCCGGAGGUAAACGUUGUCGCCUCGGUUUACGUAGGAAAACCGAGCGGGUUUUUCUCUAAACCCUAGAUCCAUUUUUUUAAAUCCGUUUUUUUGGUUUAAUAAAUAGCGGACGUUCGUCCGGACGUUCGUUUUAACGAACGGUUUUCACCUUUUAGCCGCAGAUAGCGAACGUUCGUUCGUUAGCCUGUUCAUUAGUUUUUCUUUUUUCUCGGAUUUUCCGCGGUUAUUUUCGAUCGCGAUUUCUGAUCCGAUUUUCGUUUUAGUAUAACUUUUCACUCGUUUAUCGAAAUCAAGCGAUUCAAGCGCCUAGAGUUUCGUCUCGAAACCCUUUUUCUGUUUAACCAACUUAAACAAGUUUUUGCUACUGUAAAAUUUGACUUUAGUCCAGAUUAGUAAAUGAAGCUUGUUUCUUUUGCCGUUUGAAUUUUGUUGCUUCGUUUGAUUUGAUUCUUUUUGCAAACCGGAGUUCUGAAGUUGAACUUUCUGGUUAUAUCUCUUAUUUGAGUUUUACCCAUGCCCUUGCUUGAUUGCUUAUUGUAUGCUUGUUUGAUUGUGAUAGAGUACCCGGAGUGCGAAGCGUGCUACAUCGAGUCUCUAGGUUUCACGGAUCAUCAGCAAGGCAAGUAACACUUUGAUCAUACCUCUUUACUACCUAGUUUUAUUGCGUUAGAUCAAUCCUCAAACACUUGCAUGGUUAGGAUCUGAUAAAUUGUGGGUUGGGAUGUAGUUGAUGAGGUAGGAACCUAUUGUCCUGUUUAUUAUCAAACCCUUGGGAGUUACUUCUACGUUAUGCUUAUAUUGCUCUGCUAUGCUCGUAGACAUGGAUUGGGUUUGAGCGUAUUCAUGAUAGUUGUGAGUACUGUUAAUUAAUGGUUAACUUAAGGUGGCAACUUUAAUACACAUCUGGGUGGAUUGAGGCACAUGGGGAACUCCAGUGAUUGCCUGUAUUUUUGGAAAUCCCGGGGUACCGUGUGAUUUUCCUAUGGACCGCCACCCCGGCUCAAAGGGAUCAUAAGAUUAUUCAUGCUAGAAACUUCCGUGUGCAGCCACAUGCCAUUAUGGGCUCUGGCAUAGUUGAGUAAGUUGUGGGAAACCUUUCCAUGAUGGGCUAGCAGAUGUAGGGGAUUGUAGGUGUACCGGCCUAUCUAUCGGCUAAAGGGACCUCUUCGGAAAGACUAUGUCUCGGUCAUCCAUUUCCCAAACAUCAUGUAGUGCGAGAAAUCCAACGGAGGAGAUCGAGUCUUGUGGGGAAAAGUGCACAAACCUCUGCAGAGUGUACAAACUAAUCAUGGUUAUCGGUGUCCCCGGUUAUGGACAUCUUGAGUAUCUGGUUCUUGGAUUAUCAUAUGGAUCUCAUCACUCUUUAAUAUAAUUUGAUUGGGUUAAUGAUUACUUUUAAUUGGGAUUGAGAGGGGGUUUACCUUCUCAAUGUUUUCAACCAACUUUGUAGUUAAGUAAAAUAUAUUCCUUUGUAGUAGGGAAAAUUGGCUUUUCAAAACAUAUUAACCAUACAGCCUCCACCAGCCAUAUAUGCAUGUAGUGAUAGCUUUACAUUGUUCAUUACUCUCUUGUGUUACAUUUCCAGCAUAUUCCAUGUGUUGACCCGUUCCGGGCUACAACGUAUCAUGUUGCAGACUUUUCAAACAACGAGUAAGGAGCCUUAGGUCAUGGCCUUUCCCAGUGAUGCCGUUGGAGUUGAUGGACUCACUUUAUCUUCCAAGCCCUCCACUGUUAUCGUGUUAGAUGGCCUUAAGACAUAUUUAUUGUAAUAAGUUCGCUUUUGAGACAUUCGAUGUAAUACGUGUGUGAUUUCUACUCUGUUAUAAAUCCUCAAGUACCGUGCGUGUCAGCAUUACCGAUCCAAGGAUGACAUUAAUGCACAGAGAUCAGACUGUUUGAGGUCUGGUCGCUACAAGAUGGUAUUAGAGCACACGCUGACUGUAGGACACGACCACUAAGCCAAAACCCUAGAUCAUUACUCUGCUCUCAUUUCUGACUCCUCUCCAUUUUCUACUCUUUAGGAUGGCGGACACAAGGAAGAAGUUUGCACAACCAGAUGAAGACACACCUUUUGGACGCCACUUGAAGGAAGUCACUAGGUACCUGAACAUCGGAAUACCAAGGUUCACCGGGACUUACAACGCCACUUUACCAGAAGAGGAGCGUUGGAUGAUUCAAGUUCAAGUUCCAGGAAGGACAUUUAUGCCAGUCACUGAGCCCAUAGAGUUUUCCUUUGACGCACCAACCUGGAGUCUAGGAAAGAGUAUGGCAGCCCACAUCACCAUGGGACACAUUGGAGAAGUUUACCACAAGGAUCUCAAGGAUACUAUCUACCAGAUUUGUGGGCACCGAGAUGAGCAAUGGGAAAUGAUCAGCACCAGGAAGGAUAGAUCAAUUGCUGCUUUCAUCCAGGAGUUAAACCAGCACAUUCGUCGCCAGGAGAAUUAGAUGUUCGCAGGCAUGAUAGAUCUGAAGAAGGCGAUGACAAGGAUCACGGAGUUGGAGGAAGAACUCAAGGAAACUCCGAAGAUUAUGAGGAAGAAAUUGUCAUACUAGUGGAGAAGAAUGACGACCUGACAAGGAAGCUAGGAGUAUUCAUGGGAGACCCCGCACUAGGAGAAGAUGACGGUUCCACUUGCCCGGAGAACUACAUCAUCAUCGACGACACCGACUCAGACCCCGACGAUAGUGAUAAUGACUAUAUUGAUGAAGCUGGAGCGGAUAUCAUGGAGUGUUCGACCGAACAAUAUUUCUAGUCGACCACCAUAUCAGUAGUAUUCCACCAUGUAAAUAUUAUAGUCCAAGCACUUUGUAACAAUAGUUCUAGACCGAUUGUAUGCCCUUUGCUUGAUUGAUUGAGUGAUAUGAUUGUGUUUGUCUCAUGUGCAUAUGGGUAGUGUUUUCUCACUAGACCUCAUUCUAUUCUAUUCUCUUCCCUCUAAAACCUCUGAUGCCUCCGAGACGUGACCCCGGAUUUACCUUUCCACCGGAGCUCACUCAGUUGAUCCAACAACAGAAUACCCUGAUGCAGUUGUUAGUUUAGAACCAAGGCAACAACAACAACAACCCACCACCACCACCCCAGUUGACAAUUUAGCCCGUUUUCUGAGGUUGCAGUCGUCGGUGUUUUCCAGUAGCACCGAGCCGAUAGUGGCAGAUGAUUGGCUCCGCAGGAUUGGAAGGGAGUUAACCACUGCAGGGUGCACAGAUGCUGAGAGGGUGCGUUUUCUGCGCACCAAUUGGAUGGACUAGCAGCCUCAUGGUGGGAGAAUUACACUGUCACCUAUCCUAUAGCCACUGUUACAUGGGACCAGUUCUAGCAGGCUUUUCGCACUGCCCAUAUAUCAGCAGGAGCUAUGGCCGUAAAGAAGCGUGAGUCUCACAACUUACGCCAAGGAGGACGCACCGUUAGCCAGUAUGUGGAUGACUUUAGCAAGCUAGCACAUUAUGCCCCACAUGACGUUGCUACGGAUGCAGCUAAGCAGGAGAAGUUUUUGGAAGGACUGAAUGAUGAGCUGAGCAUGCAGUUGAUGGUAGAAACCUUUAAUAACUACCAACAGUUGGUAGAUAGAGCUCUCAUGAUUGAAGGGAAGCAGCAGCCGAUUGAUAACCGCAAGAGGAAGUAUGGACAAGGGAAGUAUAAUUCUGGAGCCCAACAGAGACCCCGUUUCACCCCGAACUCGGGAGGACUUGUGCAUAACCAUGGAGGCCACACUCACAAUGGAGGAAGUUCUCACAACCAUAGUGGAUCCAAGAAUGGUAAUGGAGGAAGAAACGGACAAAACCGUUCCAACCCAGCAACGCCCGCCAAGAAAGAUCUAAGCCACGUUACUUGCUACAAGUGCCAGAAGACCGGACAUUACGCCAAUGAAUGUCCUGAAGCUAAGAACGGAAACGGCAAUGGAAGCUCUAGGAAGAAUCCCAACCCUUUCAACAGGGGACAAGUGAACCACGUUAACGUGGAGGAGAUUGAAGCCUAGCCAGAUGCAGUAAUAGGUAAGUUUUUGGUUAAGUCUUUUACUGCAGUCAUACUUUUCGAUACUGGUGCAUCGCAUUCAUAUAUAUCAAGGGGAUUUGUGGAUAAUUAUAAACUGCCCACCAAAGUUCUUAGUACACCUUGAUGACCCACAAGUAUAGGGGAUCUAUCGUAGUCCUUUCGAUAAGUAAGAGUGUCGAACCCAACGAGGAGCAGAAGGAAAUGAUAAGCGGUUUUCAGCAAGGUAUUCUCUGCAAGUACUGAAAUAAGUGGUAACAGAUAGUUUUGUGAUAAGAUAGAUUGUAACGAGCAACAAGUAAUAAAAGUAAAUAAAGUGCAGCAAGGUGGCCCAAUCCUUUUGUAGCAAAGGACAAGCCGGAACAAACUCUUAUUUACAUGGUGGAAUAUCGUCAAGCUAGUUUUCAUCACGUUCAUAUGAUUCGCGUUUGAUACUUUGAUAAUUUGAUAUGUCGGUGGACCGGUGCUUGGGUGCUGUUCUUACUUGAACAAGCAUCCCACUUAUGACUAACCUCUAUUGCAAGCAUCCACAACUACAACAAAAGUAUUAAGGUAAACCUAACCAUAGCAUGAAACAUAUGGAUCCAAAUCAGCCCCUUAUGAAGCAACGCAUAAACUAGGGUUUAAGCUUCUGUCACUCUAGCAACCCAUCAUCUACUUAUUACUUCCCAAUGCCUUCCUCUAGGCCCAAAUAAUGGUGAAGUUUUAUGUAGUCGACGUUCACAUAACACCACUAGAGGCUAGACAACAUACAUCUUAUCAAAAUAUCAAACGAAUACCAAAUUCACAUGACUACUAAUAGCAAGACUUCUCCCUUGUCCUCAGGAACGAACGUAAUUACUCACAAAGCAUAUUCAUGUUCAUAAUCAGAGGGGUAAUAAUAUGCAUAUAGGAUCUGAACAUAUGAUGUUCCACCAAAUAAACCAACUAGCAUCAACUACAAGGAGUAAUCAACACUACUAGCAACCUACUAGAACCAAUCCCGGACUUUGAGACAAGAAUUGGAUACAAGAGAUGAACUAGGGUUUGGAGAUGAGAUGGUGGUGGUGAAGAUGUUGAUGGAGAUUUCCCUCUCCCGAUGAGAGGAGCGUUGGUGAUGACGAUGGUGAUGAUUUCCCCCUCCCGGGGGGAAGUUUCCCCGGCAGAACAGCUCUGCCGGAGCUCUAGAUUGGAUCCGCCAAGGUUCUGCCUCGUGGCGGCGGAGUCUCGUCCCGAAAAGUUCCUUCUUAUUUUUUUCUCAUCGAAAGACUUCAUAUAAGAAAAGAUGGGUGUCGGAGAGCCACCAGGGGGCCCACGAGGUAGGGGGCGCGCCCUAGGGGGGGCGCCCCCCACCCUCGUGAGCAGGGUGUGGGUCCCCUGGCCUUCAUCUUUGGCGAGGAUUUUUCUUUAUUUAUUUUAAGAUGUUCCGUGGAGUUUCAGGACUUUUGGAGUUGCGUAGAAUAGGUCUCUAAUAUUUGCUCCUUUUACAGCCCAGAAUUCCAGCUGCCGGCAUUCUCCCUCCUUAUGUAAACCUUGUAAAAUAAGAGAGAAUAGCCAUAAGUAUUGUGACAUAAAGUGAAAUAAUAGCCCAUAAUGCAAUAAAUAUCGAUAUAAAAGCAUGAUGCAAAAUGGACGUAUCACACCUAUGUUAGUGAGCUCGCCAGGAGCAGAGUAUAUGGCAAGCCAAGGAUGUUUUCAGAUACCGUUGGCCAUAGGUAGGCACGUUGUCGGUGACAAAACCGGCGGAUCUCGGGUAGGGGGUCCCGAACUGUGCGUCUAGGCCGGAUGGUAACAGGAGGCAAGGGACAAGAAGUUUUACCCAGGUUCGGGCCCUCUCGAUGGAGGUAAAACCCUACGUCCUGCUUGAUUAAUAUUGAUGAUAUGGGUAGUACAAGAGUAGAUCUACCACGAGAUCAGAGAGGCUAAACCCUAGAAGCUAGCCUAUGGUAUGAUUGUUGAUGUGUAUGUUAUCCUAUGGACUAAAACCCUCCGUUUUAUAUAGACACCGGAUAGGGUUAGGGUUACAUAGAGUAACCCUCCGUUUUAUAUAGACACCGGAUAGGGUUAGGGUUACAUAGAGUCGGUUACAAUGGUAGGAGAUCUGAACAUCCGUAUCGCCAAGCUUGCCUUCCACGCCAAGGAAAGUCCCUUCCGGACACAGGACGGAGUCUUCAAUCUUGUAUCUUCAUAGUCCAGGAGUUCGGCUGAAGGUAUAGUUCGGCUAUCCGAACACCCCCUAAUCCAGGAAUCCCUCAGUAGCCCCGAACCAGGCUUCAAUGACGAUGAGUCCGGCGCGCAGAUUGUCUUCGACAUUGCAAGGCGGGUUCUCCUCCAAAUUCCGUGUACCUGUUUGAAUAAAGUCCGGUUUCUUGUAGAUGUUGCGCUCCUUGGCUUCUACGCCCAAUAAUGGUCGUCUCCCACGUGUCAAACGAAUAUGAAAAGUCUGAGUGUUUUUAUGUUCACACCCCUAGCCGCGUAAAUGAGCUGCCCUAUUUAAGGGGACGAGGAUUUAGAUCCAAUCCACACCUUCUCCCCUCCACGAGUGUUCAUCAGAGCGCAUCCGACAAAGGUCCAUUCCACCAUGGCCAGCCGCCACAACUCCUCCGCUCGCCCUUCCAGCCCGAAGCCUGGAUAUUGGGAGAGAUGUUUCAGUCCGCAUAGCGAGCUAGUGACGCUCCAGACCAAGGGAUUUCUCCCCCCGGCCAAUAUGGUCCCGGUUCGAGCCGGUCUUGCCGUGUACAACGGCGGAGAGCAAGCAGAGAAUGCCCCUAAUCCAUCCAAAGGAGAGCGCGUGUGACUUGUCCCUUACUUAAUAAAGGGGCUCGGAUUUCCCAUCCAUCCAUUUCUCCGGGGGCUGCUGGAGUUCUAUGGCCUCCAGCUACAUCAUCUCACUCCUGCCUUAGUAUUGCAUAUCGCGGGCUUUGUAGCCCUCUGGGAGCUGUUAUUGGGUAUUGAAGCUCACUUCGGACUAUGGAGGGAGCUAUUUUGCCUCGUGCCCCGUUCCAAGAAGGGGUCUAUGUAUCAAGUGGGCGGAGCCGAAGUAUGGCGCAUCGCCGGGACCGGCUAUCUGUCCGGAACCCCAAAGAAGGCGUCCGAAGACUGGCCCUCGAAAUGGUUUUACAUAGAAGAUGUCCCGCUGCCGGAUCCUGUCCGAAUCGGCCUCCCUGAAUUCAAUAAUGCUCCCUUAAAGAAGCGCCUAAGCUGGCGCCCACGGAGCCCUCAGAGGGAAAGUGACAGGGACGUUGUUUACCUGAUGGGCCGGAUAAGAUUGUUAGCUCAUUCCGGACUAACCAUGAUCGGGUCAUGGCCGCAUGCAUCAUACGAGGGGUGCACCCGCUACAGUAUAGAGGCCACUCCAUGUGGGAUUUCAACGGGGAGGACGACACCACCCGCUACGGCCAUAAGGGGCCGGAUUCGGCUGCGGCUCUAAUAAAGACCUUGUCCGCUUUGGACAAGGGAGAAGAGGAGGAUUUUCUCCGCGUAGACCCAAAGGGUGGAUUUUCCAUGUACAAUCCUCCAAGCUGGGUGAGUGAUUACAUCUUGCCCAUCCGUUUUAUAUCCCUAUUGUUAAAUAUUUAAUCUUAGUGAUUUCGAAGCAGGAACUGCGCCAGGCUGUUAAAGAAAUAAACAGCCCUCCUCCACAACCCGAGGACCCAGGACGGUCCCUCGACCCGGACUCGCAAGAGGAUCCAGAGCUUUCGGUGGAUCUGAUUGAUGGAGUGUUCCAUCAAUUGAGCAAGGACAACACCCUGCUGGCCAUUACGGCCGAUUAUCCAGGGCUAAUCCCUGCCUCCCAGAAACGGGAGGCCGAACCUGCGGCGACAAGCCAACGAGGGGCCGCAGGGCCCCGUGGGCAGGAAAGAGGUGUAGUCCGGACCGGAGCGUCAGCGCAAAGGUAUGGAGCACCCCCUUAUCCCAGGUGUCGUACCUUCAGGGCAUAUUAACAAUUGUGCCCUCUUUAGGACAAAGAGACCUCGCCGAACUAUAUUCGGAGAGACCGCCAAUCGCGCCUCGACCAGCCAGGCUCCAAAGCCUGGCCCGGGAGCGGGGCCAAACACAAGGCGCGCGCCGGACGCUCCUCCGACGGAGGAUGUCGACAGGUUGUCUGCCACCAACUCUGCGAUAGAGAGUGCCAUGAACCACAGGCGUCGCCAGACAAUUCUUCGCGACGCUUGUUUCUGCCAAGAGGCGUUAGAUGCCUUUAAGUCGGGAGAUGCGUACCUCCGUGCCGCUCAAAAUGGUCUAACCAGAGCCACAGAGCAAUAUGUAAAAGACAUACGGGUAAGGAAAUUUUGGUAAUUAUAUAUAUACUAGUAGCCCCCGAGACUUGAAACAGUUAAAAUAACUAAUUUAAGGAUCAUUUGUUAUGCAGGUUCUUAUAGAAAAGAAUUCCCUACUGUCCAAGGAGCUGGAAGAGUGCAAAGCCCAACUUGAGGCUGCACUAGCCGCGGCAGGGGAGCCUAAGGAGGCCCCCUCUGGUAAUAUACACUUCGAAAGAUAGGUAUUUUGCGAAGCACAGCUUUGGUGCGAAUCUGACAAAUGAAAUUGCAGAUGGCACCGGAUUGGAUCCGAAAAGGCAACACCUCCUACGCCAGCUAAAGGCUGGUGAGAGGGUGCUGCUAAAGGUGAUGGGGGAGAAGAACGAUCUCCGAGAUGCCAACACCAAGCUGGGCAUCGAGCUGAAAGAUGUUCGUGCCCAGCUGCCAGACUCCAUGAAGGAGAAUCAGCGGCUUCGGCGCGGCAUAUUUAGUAAGUGCUUGAACGAACCUUUUGAAAGAAAGUUCGGCGGGGAAGUCGACUAACAGAGCAAUGUCUGUAGGUGUGCUGACAGGCCGUCCUGCGGAGGAGAUGCCCGGUUCUACGGGUGACCUUCUUCCCGAGCUCUCGCAACUGUCCGAUCGAGUUCGGCAGGCGAUGCGAGGCAUCACCCAGGCCCUGUGGCCAUCCGUCUCCAUGCCCGAAGGUCUUGGAGAGCUUGCCAAGAAGCUAAAAGGAGCACGGCGGCGCUUCCGAUUGUGGAAGAUAUCAGCAUGCCGUCAAGGCGCUAGGGAGGCCUGGGCCAUGGUGAAGACGCGGUACACAAAGGCUGACCCCAACCACAUGGCCGAGGUCGAUCCUAUAGGGCCCGAUGGGAAGGAGAUCCCUGUAAGCUUAGUAUACGGCCAAGUAGAGUUGGCCGCAAAGUAUUCCCAGCAGGACUGUAAAUUAGACAGCCUGAUAGAUGGUAUUGAAGAGGAAUACAAUCAGUCAAAAUGACUAUGUAAUUUAGUUGACAUUUAUAAUGCCUUCUAGCCGGAUUGUAGAUCAUUUGUCAUGGCCGACCUUUUCGCUUCAGCCUCGGGACCUGACGGUCUGGAGUGUGUCCGAAUUCCCAUGUGAUUAUAUAGGAACCGGGGAAUGCAUGGAGACCAGGCGUAGGGGUCAUUAGUGCGUGAAUAGACAAGUGCCCAACUAGUUAUGCUAUAUUACAUGGUUAGUAAGAAACAUCUUCCAGGGAGAAUAGUUCUGUUAGGGGUUCCUUUCCCUGGGAGGCAUGCCCUAAGGUGCAUGUCCAUGCUGCGAAAAGAAACCCAGGAAAAACAUCUGGGGGCGUAUAGAUAAAAAUAAAAAAGAUCAUCUUUAGUUCACCGACCGAAUAUUCCCUUAAGAAUGCUAGCUUUCGGCUUCACCCAGUCUGAGGUACACGUCCGGCUGACCCGGCAGUAACAGUCGUAGAGGUGCUCCCUUUACCACCUAGCCGAACAAUCGGAAACAUAGGGGUAAGCACAGGAGCGAGGCAACCCAGCUUGGCCAAAACUUAAGUCAUAUCGAUGCAUAUAAUGGUGAAUAAAAGGUACAUGCAGAAGUGUGACGCAUGUAUUGGGCAUGAAGCCCGUAUGAAUAAGCUUCUAUUUAAAGAAGCCCCCAGGUUUAAUGAGUGCAGAUGGCGCUUCACUUUAUGAGCCUUUAAGGGCUAUAAGAGAGAGAGAGAAGAAGAAGAAGAGAAAUGCAAGACAGAAAAUAUAUAAAAAAUGGACAGAGGAAGGAGACGAACAUAGAGUCCGGCGCUAGGCAUAGAAUCUUCGGAGACGGGCUGCGUUCCAUGGGUUCGGCUCGAGUCGGUUAUCCGAUGCAUCUCGCAGGCGGUACGCUCCACCAGUCGGGACUUGGUCAAUUAUGAAGGGACCUUCCCACUUGGGAUUGAGUUUGUCCUUUUUCUUGUCCGGUAGUCGUAGAACUAAUUUGCCAACGUUGUAAUUUUUGGCCCAUACUUCUCUGCUUUGGUAUCUUCGAGCCUGCUGUUGAUAGAAUGCGGAACGGACUUUUGCCAUGUCAUGCUCCUCCUCCAAUGCGUCUAAGUUGUCCUACCGAUCGAGCUCGGCUUCUCUUUCUUCGUACAUGCGCACUCAAGGUGAGUCAUGAAUUAUGUCGCAGGGAAAAACUGCCUAUGCGUCGUAUACCAUAAAUAAUGGUGUGUAUCCGUGGUGCGAUUCGGUGUGGUCCGCAGCCCCCAGAGUAUGGAGUCGAGCUCCUCUACCCAGUGCGUGUUAGAUUCCUUGAGGGACCGCACUAAUCUGGGUUUAAUGCCGCUCAUGAUAAGACCAUUUGCACGUUCGACCUGGCCGUUAGUUUGUGGGUGAUAGACGGAAGCAUAGUCGAGCUUGAUGCCCAUGUUUUUCCACCAGAGUUUUACCUCGUCGGCCAUGAAGUUCGUGCCAUUAUCAGUGAUGAUGUUGUGGGGAACGCCGUAACGGUGUACGACCCCGGAUAUAAACUCUAUCACCGGUCCGAAUUCGGCCGUCUUAACACACUUGGCUUCUAUCCAUUUGGUGAAUUUAUCCACCAUGACCAGUAAGUAUUUUUGCUUGUGGGUGCCGCCUUUAAGGGGUCCAACCAUGUCAAGCCCCCAGAUCGCGAAGGGCCAAGUAACGGGGAUAGUUCGGAGGGCGGUGGGUAGCAUAUGGCUUUGGUUUGCAAAGAGCUGGCAACCGGUGCAUCGUUGGACUAAGUCCUGAGCGUCUGCCCGGGCCGUCGGCCAAUAAAAGCCUGUAUGGAAGGCCUUGCUUACAAGGGACCGAGCUGCAGCGUGAUCACCGCCCAGUCCGGCAUGAAUUUCAGCCAGGAGGUUCCGCCCCUCCUCUUCGGAGAUGCACCUUUGAAGGACUCCGGUAGUGCUUUUCUUAUAAAGCUCUCCCUCGUGGACUCUGUAGGCUUUGGAUCGCCGCACUAUGCAGCGUGCCUCAUUUUGGUCCUCGGGGAGUUCCUGCCUAGUGAGGUAGGCGAGGAAUGGUUCUGUCCACGGGGCGAUGAUGGCCAUUAUUACGUGGGCUAAAGGUGUUAUUUCAUUGGCAGAGCCUCCAACUAUGUCAGAAUGUUCAGUGUCGGGCAGUGCGGUUGGGUCCGGGGUGUUAUUGUUUGGCUCCCCUUCCCAUACUACAGAUGGCUUGAACAGCCUUUCCAAGAAGAUGUUGGGGGGACUACAUCACAUUUUGCGCCGAUGCGCGCCAGGACAUCUGCCGCCUGAUUAUUUUCCCGGGCUAUAUGGCAAAAUUCAAGCCCCUCAAACCGAGCUGACAUUUUUAGGACGGCGUUGCGGUAAGCUGCCAUUUUUGGAUCCUUGGCAUCGAAGUCUCCAUUUAUUUGGGAUAUUGCGAGGUUCGAGUCCCCGCGUGUCACAUCCCUAGUCUGGUAUGACCUAGGCUAGCUAGCCAUUUGUGCAUCAUAUUUAAAUUUCAUUUAAAUUUGAAAUGAGGAUUGGAGGAACCCUCAGAAUCAUUUUUGAAAAUGACCCAAAUAAAAAUUUCUCCAAAAAGGGUCCAAGAAAAUGCUCAUGAUGCCCUCUAAAAAUAUUGGACAGAGAUAAAAAUCAAAACAAUAUUUUUAGGAGUUCAUGGACAUUUUAUUUUGGCUAUUUGGAUUAAUUCGAUAAAUAUUUGCAUUGGGAAUUUAUUUCUAUAUAUAUGAAAUAUGGCCCAAAAAUUAUGCCAUUUAUAAAAGAGCUCUGGAAUAAUAUAUCCAGCUCCUGCAAAAAUUGGCUUAAUAAAAUAAAAUGAUUUAAUAUAUUUAUUAAAUCAAACAAAUGUCAGAAAAAAAUAGAAAAACAGAAAUAAAAGAAGGAGGGGCUUACCUGGGGCUUCCCCUGUGCAGCCCAGCCGCAGCAGGCCGGCCCAGCCAGGAGGUGGCCCAGCCCACCAGGCCCCCCUCCUCUGUCGUCUUCCUUCCCGACAGGGGAACGGAGUGUGGCCGGCGCGCGCGCGCGCCACCGCGCCACGCCUCCUCCCUCCCUGUCUGCCUGUCCUCCCCUCGCUGCUCUGGAUGGAUUGCACAUCGCCACGCAGCCGCCCCGGUUCCUUUUCCCCUCCCUCUCGCUCAUCUCCUCCUCUGGCUCCCCCUCACUCCCACCGAACGCGACCGCCGCCGCCGACGAGAACCACCACGGCCACCGGCCUCCCCUCGCCUCCCUGAGACGCUUCCCAGCUCCGCCUCGACUCCCUCUACCUCCUCGUCAAGCCUCGCACCUCCGGACGUGCUCCAUCGCCGACGCCGUUGUCUUUUUCACCACCGACGCCGGAGAUCGACUUCGCCGCCAUCACCGUCAAUUCGUCGGACGCAGGACGUCCCCGAGCACACCGGCCUGCUCUGUGAGUCCGCCGUGAGCCUCUCAUCCUUUCCCCUCACCUCUCUCUCUCGCGCGUGCCCUGUAGCCGCUGCCCCGCGAGCGCCCGAAGCCGCCGUCCGCCAUGGCCGGCGAGCUCCGUGCCCCCGAGCACCUCCGCCUCGCGUAGAUAGCUCGAUGUGCUCCUGCUGCCUCGUAGAUACCGCCUGUGCCCUCCGUUCGCUCGAACGCGAGCUGCAGCCCCACGCCCGCGCUAUCCCGAGCUCCGGCCGCCGCCGCAAGCUUGCUCUGACGAGCUCCGGUGCCCCCGCAGCCCCCCAACCAGCUCCCCUGGUUGCGGACGACGACGGGCUACGCCCCGGUGGUAUUCGCGCGAUCAAACACCGUCUGUAACGCAAGUCCGGCGAGUCGCCGCCGCGCGAAUGGUCGCCGCCGGCCAGAACCCCGGCGGGCUGACGUGGCCUGUUAAUUAGUCACUAAUUCCCACCCGCUGACGCUGACAAGUGGGCCCCAGGGCUUAGUCAAAGCUGACCAGCCCAGGUUUGACUCGGGGUUAACCCCCUGUCACUGACGUGUGGGUCCCACACGUCAGAUUUGACCUGGACAGCCGCGUUGACCCGCUGAUGCAAUGAUGACGUCAUGCUGACGCAAUUAUACCUUUUCUGGAAUUAAAAUAAUUCAGAAAAUCCAGAAAAUGAUUUAAACUUCAAAAAUUCAUAUCAAUUCAACCGUAGCUCAGAUUUAAAUAAUUUAUAUAUGAAAAAUUAUCAGAAAAAUGCAAUCUUUCCAUCUGUACUAGUUUCAUGCAUGACAAACCAACCUAUACAUGCUGAAUAUGAGAAAACACAUUAUGGCAUAUAUAAGAGACCUAAUUUAGAAAUGCAUUUGAACCUUUGGUUCAAAUGGGCUUCAAACCAUUUGAACACUAGUUGCAUUAGCUCAACAGCAUCACAUCUACAUGCCAUGUUCAUGCAUCAUAUUGUUGCAUAUGAUUGUUUAUUGAUUGCCGGCACUGUUCCUUCUCGAUAGGUCCUGCUCCGGAGACGUUCCAGAGUACCUGUCUGUGAAGCAGUGCCUCCCCUGUUGUUUUACCAGGCAAGCAAACCGCCUUGCUCAUUUCAAUAAAACCCUACUCUCUCGCUCCUGCUCUCAGAUAUUGCAUUAGGACAACAACGAUUCAUCUGCUACUUUGUGCUGCGGUAGUUGAACCCAUUCCUCUGCAUGACCUGUCAUUGCCACAGUAAAUAGUUGAAACCCACUAGCAUGUGUAGGAGUUGAUUAAAGCCACUGAUGUGUUCCUACCAUGCUAUGCCUGCUAUUGCUUAGAGUUGUGUCAGGUCUGAUUCAUUGGGAAUGAAUUGGAGUGUUACGAUAUGUUCUGAUGCUGAGAGUGAAGUGUGUGAACACGAUUUGGUAAAGGUAGCGGUGAGAGGCCAUGUAGGAGUACAUGGUGGGUUGUCUCGCUGGAACCGUCCUUAAGCACUGAGUUCUAUGUAUGUUGUCCAAUGACUCGAUACUACCACACAUUGGGAUCCUUAAUUGACUCUCUCGGCUUAUUAACCAACUUGAUCUCUGUCCAGGAGUCGCAACUAGUUUCUGGUGUUUGUAGGUAGUGCUAUUUUUCUACCAAGUGGCACCCGGCAGGGUGGGCUUGGGACAGACUAGGCACACGUGGCACGGUGUACCGAGUGGCACCCGGUUGGUGGGCUCGGGAACCCUGCUCACAUCGUUUGGGGCCGUGAGCGACACCCCGGCCGGAUCUCCUUGCGGAUGGAACCCGAAUAGGCGAUAAACCUGGACUAGAGUCUUGUGUGGUUAGUCAGGUCGUGGCCGACACCCUCGCCAGGCUUCCGCUUGAAGGUUGCCGAGAUACAUGACGUGUACAUGGCGGUAAGUGGCGAGAGCGUGUGUGAAGAAGUAUACCCCUGCAGGGUUAACAUGAUCUAUUCGAAUAGCCGGGUCCGCGGUUAUGGACUUCUUGGAUGCUUACAUGGUACAUAGACAACUUGAAGUGGAUACUAUAAAAUGCUCAAGACAAGUGUGAGUGCUAUGGAUGGCCUUCCCGUAGGAAGACGGGGAUGAAUCCAUAGUAGUGUAUUGUAUGGUGAUUAGUGGACUCGUGUACGUUGUUUCACCUCCAGAGUUUCUGGUAGUCGUAGAACAGGAUAGCCACAGAGUCAAAGCUGGCUUGCUGCAACUAAACCCCACAUUACCCUCUUGAUACAGUGCAUGUAUGAUAGGAUCUGAUGUAAGUCUUGCUGAGUACCUUUGUACUCAUGUUGCUUUAUUUAUGUUUUUGCAGCGGAGACUUCGGUCUUACUAGUGUUCUCGUGGACUUCGACUAGUAGCUAGUACCUCAGCUACGAUCUUGAUCGGAUGUUGUAGAUAGUCAGGCUCUUCAGCCUUUUUCAUUUAUAGAUGUCUGUACCCAGACAUGUAAUGCCUCCGCUUGUUGCUUGUAUGGUCUGUAUGAUGGGUCUUGUGACCCCUGUUUGCAAUAAAUGCUAUGAUGGCUCUUCUGAGCCUUUAUCUAUAUAAUUGUUGAGUUAUCCUGUGAUGCCAUGUUGUACAGCACAUACCUGCAUGUUAUGCGUACGUGUAAUGUGUAGUGCUAUGUGUGGGAUCUGACUAUCUAGUUGUUUAUCCUUAGUAGCCUCUCUUACCGGGAAAUGUCUCCUAGUGUUACCGCCGAGCCAUGGUAGCUUGCUACUGCUCUGGAACACUUAGGCUGGCCGGCAUGUGUCCUUCUUCGUUCCUGUGUCUGUCCCUUCGGGGAAAUGUCACGCUUUGAGUACCGGAGUCCUGUUAGCCCGCUACAGCCCGGUUUACCGGAGUCCUGCUAGCCCAGUGCUACAGCCCGGACCCACUUGCUGAUGACCGACACGUUCGAAGCUGGGUCAUGGAUGCCUGUCCCUGUAAGUCUGUGCCACUUUGGGUUUACGACUAGUCAUGUCAGCCCGGGCUCCUUAUCAUAUGGAUGCUAGCGACACUAUCAUAUACGUGAGCCAAAAGGCGCAAACGGUCCCGGGAAAAGGUAAGACGACACCCGUGGGGAUACCGUGCGUGAGGCCGCAAAGUGAUAUGAGGUGUUACCGGCUAGAUCGAUGUGACAUCGAGUCGGGGUCCUGACAGCGUUGGUAUCAGAGCUUGACUGCAUGUAGGUUUACCAAGCCAACCUGGUCGAAGUUGAGUCUAGAAAAUCUUUAGUUAUGUAAGGGAAUUGAUUGUGGGAUGGAACGUCAGGCUCUUUUUACUCCUUUACCUCAUGGCCUUCUGAUCUGAGUCAUCCUAUCUUUCCGACGGGGUUAAGGAACUAGGCUUCUCUUCCGUCUAUCAGGAUCACGUGUUACUACUCCGUAGUCCCAUAGGACUGGUUGAUCAGAGUCAUACCCCAGUUUUGAGUAUUUCUGGUGUAGUCUGUUUAGUACUAUCCCAGAACCUUGAGUGGUGAUGUUGAGUUGUUGUACUACCCCAUUUCUAGUAGGAUGUCUCAUUCUGAGCAUUUUACUGCCGUUAUGCUGCCGGAAUUUCCCUAGGAGUUCGAGUAAUACUAAUUCCUUGUCCUACAUUCUACAGUCGAUAGUUGAUGCUGAUUCCGUCCUUGGUUCGUCUCUCAGGAUGUCAUCAGCUAAGCGAAGUUCCGUCGCUCGUAGCCAGAACCAUGGAAAUGGUAGGGAUGAGGAUCCUCCUGAUCAGCCUUCGUUGACAGAGUUCAUGCUAGAGAUGGAGAGGAACAAGCGUGAGUCCAACCGCUUGUUGGCACGUAUCGAGGAGAACACCGCACAUCAGUCCAAUAAGCCUGUGACCAUUCAUGACUUCAUCCGCCUGCAUCCACCUACCUUUCAUCAUUCCAUCGAGCCACUCGAUGCAGAUGACUGGCUCCGUAGCAUCACCCAUAAGCUGUGUUCCGCGAACGUAGCUGAAGAUGACAAGGUCACUUAUGCCACAUACCACCUGGAAGGUCCUGCUAGUCUUUGGUGGCAGAACUAUGAGACUUUGCUUCCAGCCGGCCAGAUUCCUACCUGGAAGGAUUUCACUGAGUCUUUUCGUGAGCAUCACAUUCCCCAGGCCCUCCUUGAUCGCAAGAGAGAAGAGUUCUGUAGUUUCACCCAGAAUAAGAUGGCUGUUGAUGCUCAUAGCAGAGAAUUCGAGAACCUUGCCCGCUAUGCCACAGAAGAAGUGUCCACGGACGCCAAGAAGCAAGCUAGGUUCCGGAAGGGUCUCAACCCCAAGUUGCGUCGUGAUCUCCACCUGCAUCAUUGUGAUACAUUCCAAGCCCUUGUGAACAAGGCCAUCAAUGCAGAGACAGCUCAACUCACUUACGAGGAGUCUCGUAAGCACACCCGUGAUUUGGGAUCUUCCUCCGGUUCUAGUUCCCAGAAGCGCCGGAUUUGGGUUCCAACCUCCGCUCUUCCUUCCGGUUAUACACCGAGGUCAUCCUAUGUGGUGCCUUCCCCAGCUCAGUCGUAUGUUCUACCCAGGCCUAUUGGUAGACCGUUUGUCAGUGCGGGUCCCCGUCCAACCUCAGGGACUUGCUUCACAUGCGGGAAGCCAGGACACUAUGCACGUGACUGCUCUCAGACUAGUUAUGCUCCACCCCAGCCCGAGAAGACUGUUGGCUGUAUUAAGCCAUCACGCAAGAUGAUCAGUGUCAAGUCAGCCCCCACUGAACGUGGACAUGUGCAUCACGUCUCAGCUAAAGACGCUCAUGAUGAUCCAGAUGCCGUUCUUAGCACACUCCUUGUCAAUUGUCACCCAGCAUCAGUUCUAUUUGAUACUGGAGCAUCUCACUCUUUUAUUUCUGAAAGCUAUGCUAACUUGCACAACCUGUCAUUUUGUGAAAUGCCAACUCCGCUAGUCAUCCAAACUCCUGGAUCCAAAUGGCAAACCUCUAGUGUAAGCCAUGGUAACGAAAUCCUUGUUGACAGACUUGUAUUUCUUGCAUCACUUGUAGCCCUCAAGUCUUCAGAUAUUAACAUCAUCUUGGGUAUGGACUGGAUGACAGCUCAUCAUGCCAAGAUUGAUUGUUACACAAGAUCUGUUCAGCUUACACACCCAUCUGGCAAGAUAGUCACCGUCUCCACUAGAGUUGCAAAGCGUCAACUCUAUUCUCUUAAUGCCAGCCCUCUUCCAGACCUUGAAGAUAUCCCGGUAGUCCGUGACUUUCCGGAUGUCUUUCCAGAGGAACUGCCAGGUGUUCCACCUGACAGAGAUGUAGAGUUCGUCAUAGAUCUUAUCCCAGGAACAGCUCCAAUCUCCCGGAGACCUUACAAGAUGGCACCCUUAGAACUAGCCGAGCUUAAGAAACAACUCGAUGAGUCCUUGCAAAAGGGUUUCAUCCGUCCUAGUUCUUCUCCUUGGGCUUGCCCCGUCCUCUUCGUCAAGAAGAAAGACGGUACGGACCGGAUGGUCAUUGAUUAUCGUCCCGUUAAUUUGGUCAUGAUAAAGAACAAGUAUCCGCUUCCCAGGAUCAACGACCUGUAUGAUCAGCUCGCUGGAUCCUCAGUCUUCUCCAAGAUGGAUUUAAGGCUAGGCUACCAUCAAAUCAAGAUCAGAAAUGGGGACAUUCCCAAGACAGCUUUUGUCACUCGUUAUGGCCAGUAUGAGUACACCGUCAUGUCCUUCGGACUAACCAACGCCCCAGCCACAUUCUCCCGCCUGAUGAACUCGAUCUUCAUGGAUUACUUAGAUAAGUUCGUCGUGGUUUACCUCGAUGAUAUUCUUAUUUACUCGAAGAACGAGGAAGAGCAUGCCGAACAUCUUAGACUUGUGUUAGAAAAACUCAGGGAGCACCGCCUUUAUGCCAAGUUCUCCAAGUGUGAAUUUUGGUUGCCAGAAGUGACCUACCUAGGCCACGUAAUCUCUGGUAAGGGCAUUGCUGUCAAUCCCGAGAGAGUUCAGGCUGUUCUCGAUUGGACUCCACCUGAGACCGUGAAACAAGUUAGAAGUUUCCUUGGUCUAGCCAGCUAUUGUCGCCGCUUUGUUGAAAACUUCUCCAAAGUAGCCAAACCCCUCACGGAACUUCUCAAGAAAGAUAAAAAGUUUGAGUGGUCCCCACAGUGUGAGUACAGUUUUCAGGAACUGAAAAGACGCCUGACUUCUGCUCCCAUACUUGUGCCACCGGAUUUCACUAAAGACUUUAUUAUCUACUGCGACGCCUCACGACAAGGACUAGGUUGCAUUCUUAUGCAGGAUCGUCAUGUGAUUGCCUAUGCAUCUCGACAGUUGCAUCCACAUGAGGAGAAUUAUCCUACACAUGAUCUAGAGCUUGCAGCCGUAGUCUAUGCACUCAAGACCUGGCGACAUUACCUACUUGGUAAACGUUGCGAGAUCUACACCGAUCACCAGAGUCUCAAGUAUAUCUUCACCCAACCGGAUCUGAACCUUAGGCAAAGACGUUGGUUGGAGUUAAUCACAGAUUAUGAUCUAGGGAUUACCUACACCCCAGGCAAGGCCAAUUUCAUGGCUGAUGCUCUAAGCCGUAAAUCCUAUUGCAACAAUCUCAUGUUGCAGCAAGGCCAACCACUUCUCCAUGAGGAAUUCUGUAAGCUUAACCUUCACAUUGCUCCUCACGGAUUCCUUUCUACCUUGGUGGCGAAACCUACCCUUGAGGAUCAGAUCAUAACUAGCCAGCAAUAUGAUACGGGUAUUUCUCGUAUCAAGGAUAACGUUAAGAAGGGAGUUGCUGGUAGUUUCUCUGUUGAUGAUCGUGGUGUUGUUUUCUUUGAGAAUCGCUUGGUGGUUCCCAAGAAGCAACAUCUUCGGCAAUUGAUUCUUAAGGAGGCGCAUGAAUCCCCUCUCACGAUUCAUCCCGGUAGUACUAAGAUGUAUCAGGACCUACGCCAGAGGUUCUUGUGGACUAGGAUGAAGAGAGAAAUCGCAGAGUUCAUUGCUAAAUGUGACAUUUGUCAUCGCGUUAAGGCAGAGCAUCAAAGACCUGCUGGCACCCUUCAGCCUUUAGCUAUUCCUGAAUGGAAAUGGGAUAAAGUUGGUAUGGACUUCAUCACCGGCUUUCCCAGGACCAAGAGAGGGAAUAACGCUAUCUUCGUAGUCGUUGAUCGUCUUUCCAAAGUGGCUCACUUCCUUCCUGUUCGAGAGAGUAUCACUGCUAGUCAGCUUGCUGACUUAUACAUUUCUCGAAUAGUGUCACUUCAUGGUGUUCCACUAGAGAUCAAUUCGGACCGUGGCAGUCUUUUCACUUCUCAUUUCUGGGAGAGUUUCCAAACUGCCAUGGGAACCCAUCUUUCCUUCAGUACCGCUUUCCACCCUCAGUCGAGUGGUCAGGUGGAACGGGUCAAUCAAAUUCUCGAAGACAUGCUCAGAGCUUGCGUUAUCUCCUUCGGUAUGGAUUGGGAGAAAUGUCUUCCUUUUGCCGAGUUUGAUUAUAACAAUAGCUACCAAUCCAGCCUCAAGCAAGCUCCUUUUGAGGUUCUCUAUGGACGAAGAUGUCGAACACCUUUGAACUGGUCAGAAACCGGUGAAAGACAAUUCUUUGGACCAGAUAUGAUCCAGGAGGCAGAAGAGCAAGUUCGCAUCAUUCGUGAGAAUUUGAAAACAGCCCAGUCUCGUCAGAAAAGUCAGUACGAUCGUCAUCAUAAGGAUAUGACUUAUGAGAUUGGCGACCAAGCUUACCUUCGGGUUACUCCUUUAAAGGGUACCCAUCGUUUCGGUAUCAAGGGCAAGUUGGCUCCUCGUUACAUUGGUCCUUUUCGCAUUCUCGCUAAACGAGGAGAGGUUGCCUACCAAUUGGAGCUACCCCCACAUCUUUCUCGAGUUCAUGAUGUCUUCCACGUCUCUCAACUCAGGCGUUGCUUCUCGGAUCCUAUCCGCGGAGUGGACCACGAAACGCUUGAUCUCCAAGAUAACCUCACAUACCGAGAGUACCCGGUUCGCAUUCUUGAUCAAGCAGAGCGUGUUACUCGACGUCAGAACAUCAAGUUUCUCAAAGUUCAGUGGUCUCAUCAUUCCGAGAGAGAGGCUACUUGGGAGCGAGAAGAUCGUCUUCGACUGGAGUACCCCGCUUUCUUUCCGUCGACCCCUGAAUCUCGAGACGAGAUUCUUUCAAGUGGGGGCGAGUUGUCACAUCCCUAGUCUGGUAUGACCUAGGCUAGCCAGCCAUUUGUGCAUCAUAUUUAAAUUUCAUUUAAAUUUGAAAUGAGGAUUGGAGGAACCCUCAGAAUCAUUUUUGAAAAUGACCCAAAUAAAAAUUUCUCCAAAAAGGGUCCAAGAAAAUGCUCAUGAUGCCCUCUAAAAAUAUUGGACAGAGAUAAAAAUCAAAACAAUAUUUUUAGGAGUUCAUGGACAUUUUAUUUUGGCUAUUUGGAUUAAUUCGAUAAAUAUUUGCAUUGGGAAUUUAUUUCUAUAUAUAUGAAAUAUGGCCCAAAAAUUAUGCCAUUUAUAAAAGAGCUCUGGAAUAAUAUAUCCAGCUCCUGCAAAAAUUGGCAUAAUAAAAUAAAAUGAUUUAAUAUAUUUAUUAAAUCAAACAAAUGUCAGAAAAAAAUAGAAAAACAGAAAUAAAAGAAGGAGGGGCUUACCUGGGGCUUCCCCUGUGCAGCCCAGCCGCAGCAGGCCGGCCCAGCCAGGAGGUGGCCCAGCCCACCAGGCCCCCCUCCUCUGUCGUCUUCCUUCCCGACAGGGGAACGGAGUGUGGCCGGCGCGCGCGCGCGCCACCGCGCCACGCCUCCUCCCUCCCUGUCUGCCUGUCCUCCCCUCGCUGCUCUGGAUGGAUUGCACGUCGCCACGCAGCCGCCCCGGUUCCUUUUCCCCUCCCUCUCGCUCAUCUCCUCCUCUGGCUCCCCCUCACUCCCACCGAACGCGACCGCCGCCGCCGACGAGAACCACCACGGCCACCGGCCUCCCCUCGCCUCCCUGAGACGCUUCCCAGCUCCGCCUCGACUCCCUCUACCUCCUCGUCAAGCCUCGCACCUCCGGACGUGCUCCAUCGCCGACGCCGUUGUCUUUUUCACCACCGACGCCGGAGAUCGACUUCGCCGCCAUCACCGUCAAUUCGUCGGACGCAGGACGUCCCCGAGCACACCGGCCUGCUCUGCAAGUCCGCCGUGAGCCUCUCUUCCUUUCCCCUCACCUCUCUCUCUCGCGCGUGCCCUGUAGCCGCUGCCCCGCGAGCGCCCGAAGCCGCCGUCCGCCAUGGCCGGCGAGCUCCGUGCCCCCGAGCACCUCCGCCUCGCGUAGAUAGCUCGAUGUGCUCCUGCUGCCUCGUAGAUACCGCCUGUGCCCUCCGUUCGCUCGAACGCGAGCUGCAGCCCCACGCCCGCGCUAUCCCGAGCUCCGGCCGCCGCCGCAAGCUUGCUCCGACGAGCUCCGGUGCCCCCGCAGCCCCCCAACCAGCUCCCCUGGUUGCGGACGACGACGGGCUACGCCCCGGUGGUAUUCGCGCGAUCAAACGCCGUCUGUAACGCAAGUCCGGCGAGUCGCCGCCGCGCGAAUGGUCGCCGCCGGCCAGAACCCCGGCGGGCUGACGUGGCCUGUUAAUUAGUCACUAAUUCCCACCCGCUGACGCUGACAAGUGGGCCCCAGGGCUUAGUCAAAGCUGACCAGCCCAGGUUUGACUCGGGGUUAACCCCCUGUCACUGACGUGUGGGUCCCACACGUCAGAUUUGACCUGGACAGCCGCGUUGACCCGCUGAUGCAAUGAUGACGUCAUGCUGACGCAAUUAUACCUUUUCUGGAAUUAAAAUAAUUCAGAAAAUCCAGAAAAUGAUUUAAACUUCAAAAAUUCAUAUCAAUUCAACCGUAGCUCAGAUUUAAAUAAUUUAUAUAUGAAAAAUUAUCAGAAAAAUGCAAUCUUUCCAUCUGUACUAGUUUCAUGCAUGACAAACCAACCUAUACAUGCUGAAUAUGAGAAAACACAUUAUGGCAUAUAUAAGAGACCUAAUUUAGAAAUGCAUUUGAACCUUUGGUUCAAAUGGGCUUCAAACCAUUUGAACACUAGUUGCAUUAGCUCAACAGCAUCACAUCUACAUGCCAUGUUCAUGCAUCAUAUUGUUGCAUAUGAUUGUUUAUUGAUUGCCGGCACUGUUCCUUCUCGAUAGGUCCUGCUCUGGAGACGUUCCAGAGUACCUGUCUGUGAAGCAGUGCCUCCCCUGUUGUUUUACCAGGCAAGCAAACCCCCUUGCUCAUUUCAAUAAAACCCUACUCUCUCGCUCCUGCUCUCAGAUAUUGCAUUAGGACAACAACGAUUCAUCUGCUACUUUGUGCUGCGGUAGUUGAACCCAUUCCUCUGCAUGACCUGUCAUUGCCACAGUAAAUAGUUGAAACCCACUAGCAUGUGUAGGAGUUGAUUAAAGCCACUGAUGUGUUCCUACCAUGCUAUGCCUGCUAUUGCUUAGAGUUGUGUCAGGUCUGAUUCAUUGGGAAUGAAUUGGAGUGUUACGAUAUGUUCUGAUGCUGAGAGUGAAGUGUGUGAACACGAUUUGGUAAAGGUAGCGGUGAGAGGCCAUGUAGGAGUACAUGGUGGGUUGUCUCGCUGGAACCGUCCUUAAGCACUGAGUUCUAUGUAUGUUGUCCAAUGACUCGAUACUACCACACAUUGGGAUCCUUAAUUGACUCUCUCGGCUUAUUAACCAACUUGAUCUCUGUCCAGGAGUCGCAACUAGUUUCUGGUGUUUGUAGGUAGUGCUAUUUUUCUACCAAGUGGCACCCGGCAGGGUGGGCUUGGGACAGACUAGGCACACGUGGCACGGUGUACCGAGUGGCACCCGGUUGGUGGGCUCGGGAACCCUGCUCACAUCGUUUGGGGUCGUGAGCGACACCCCGGCCGGAUCUCCUUGCGGAUGGAACCCGAAUAGGCGAUAAACCUGGACUAGAGUCUUGUGUGGUUAGUCAGGUCGUGGCCGACACCCUCGCCAGGCUUCCGCUUGAAGGUUGCCGAGAUACAUGAUGUGUACAUGGCGGUAAGUGGCGAGAGCGUGUGUGAAGAAGUAUACCCCUGCAGGGUUAACAUGAUCUAUUCGAAUAGCCGGGUCCGCGGUUAUGGACUUCUUGGAUGCUUACAUGGUACAUAGACAACUUGAAGUGGAUACUAUAAAAUGCUCAAGACAAGUGUGAGUGCUAUGGAUGGCCUUCCCGUAGGAAGACGGGGAUGAAUCCAUAGUAGUGUAUUGUAUGGUGAUUAGUGGACUCGUGUACGUUGUUUCACCUCCAGAGUUUCUGGUAGUCGUAGAACAGGAUAGCCACAGAGUCAAAGCUGGCUUGCUGCAACUAAACCCCACAUUACCCUCUUGAUACAGUGCAUGUAUGAUAGGAUCUGAUGUAAGUCUUGCUGAGUACCUUUGUACUCAUGUUGCUUUAUUUAUGUUUUUGCAGCGGAUACUUCGGUCUUACUAGUGUUCUCGUGGACUUCGACUAGUAGCUAGUACCUCAGCUACGAUCUUGAUCGGAUGUUGUAGAUAGUCAGGCUCUUCAGCCUUUUUCAUUUAUAGAUGUCUGUACCCAGACAUGUAAUGCUUCCGCUUGUUGCUUGUAUGCUCUGUAUGACGGGUCUAGUGACCCCUGUUUGCAAUAAAUGCUAUGAUGGCUCUUCUGAGCCUUUAUCUAUAUAAUUGUUGAGUUAUCCUGUGAUGCCAUGUUGUACAGCACAUACCUGCAUGUUAUGCGUACGUGUAAUGUGUAGUGCUAUGUGUGGGAUCUGACUAUCUAGUUGUUUAUCCUUAGUAGCCUCUCUUACCGGGAAAUGUCUCCUAGUGUUACCUCCGAGCCAUGGUAGCUUGCUACUGCUCUGGAACACUUAGGCUGGCCGGCAUGUGUCCUUCUUCGUUCCUGUGUCUGUCCCUUCGGGGAAAUGUCACGCUUUGAGUACCGGAGUCCUGUUAGCCCGCUACAGCCCGGUUUACCGGAGUCCUGCUAGCCCAGUGCUACAGCCCGGACCCACUUGCUGAUGACCGACACGUUCGAAGCUGGGUCAUGGAUGCCUGUCCCUGUAAGUCUGUGCCACUUUGGGUUUACGACUAGUCAUGUCAGCCCGGGCUCCUUAUCAUAUGGAUGCUAGCGACACUAUCAUAUACGUGAGCCAAAAGGCGCAAACGGUCCCGGGAAAAGGUAAGACGACACCCGUGGGGAUACCGUGCGUGAGGCCGCAAAGUGAUAUGAGGUGUUACCGGCUAGAUCGAUGUGACAUCGAGUCGGGGUCCUGACACCGCGCAUCUCUAGGCGUUGAAUGCCCAUGGAUACUGCCAUCCGGAGACCAUGUAAAAGGGCCUCAUAUUCGGCUGCGUUGUUGGAGUCCGUGUACAUAAUCUGGAGAAUGUAUUGAACUGUGUCUCCUGUGGGGGACGUCAAAACGACACCAGCCCCCAGUCCGGCCAACAUCUUGGAGCCGUCGAAAUGCAUGAUCCAAUUUGAAUAUGUGUCGUACUCUUUAGGGAGUUCGGCCUCCGUCCAUUCUGCGACGAAGUCGGCCAGGACUUGCGACUUGAUGGCUCGCCGUGGCUUAUAAGUUAUGUCGAACGGGAGGAGCUCAAUGGCCCAUUUUGCAAUCCGGCCCGUUGCGUCACGGUUGUUUAUAAUAUCGUUAAGUGGUACUUCUGAGGCUACUAUUAUUGAACACUCUUGAAAGUAGUGUCGUAGCUUCCGGGAUGCCAUGAAUACUGCGUACGCGAUCUUUUGAUAAUGCGGGUACCGUGAUUUGCAAGGAGUGAGGACAGUGGACACAUAAUAGACUGGCUUUUGAAGGGGGAAUAUGUGUCCGUCCGCUUCUCGUUCGACGAUGAGCACUGCGCUUACAACCUGAUGUGUUGCUGCAAUGUAUAAUAGCAUUGGUUCGCCAAUAUUUGGCGCAGCUAGGACUGGGUUUGUUGCAAGUAUGGCUUUUAUCUCCUCGAGUCCAGCCGUGGCUGCAUCCGUCCAUUCGAAGUUUUCGGUGCGCCGAAGGAGGCGGUAAAGGGGUAGGGCCUUUUCUCCCAAGCGGGAGAUAAAUCGGCUCAGAGCCGCCACGCAUCCAGUUAACUUUUGUAUUUGUUUGAGGUCCUUUGGGAUAUCCAGUUACGACAGAGCUAGGAUCUUGGCUGGAUUUGCUUCGAUUCCUCUACCAGAUACAAUGAAGCCCAAGAGCUUUCUGGCUGGAACGCCGAAAACGCAUUUUUCCGGGUUGAGCUUGAUGUCGUAUGUUCGGAGUUUAUCAAAUGUGAGCCUCUGUCGAUGGGGAUUAUUCCUCUAAAGGUUCCCGACUGGGGAUUAUUCCUCUAAAGGUUGUGUUGCUUCGCUCAAUGCGGUUCCAGUCUAUUUCCAUUUUUUGAAGGGUUUCCUCGUAAAUGAGGUUCAAUCCGCUGCCGCCGUCCAUGAGUACCUUGUUAAGACGAAAGCCGUCCACUAUUGGGUUGAGGACCAAUGCGGCUGGUGCUCGGGCUAUUCGGAAUUUAGGUUCAUCACUGGCGUUAAAGGUAAUAGCCAUGUCACUCCAUGGGUUUAUUGUUGCUACUUGGUAGACUUCGGCAAGGCUGCGGAGUGUCCUUUUUCGCAUACUAUUUGAUGCGAAAGUCUCGAAGACUGUUAAUACCGUAUGGGUGUCUUUGGGUGGCUUUCUGUGGCCUCCGGAAUUAGGAGGUUUUCGCCAAUUUUGGCCACCUGUCGGAGUAUCCAACAUGCUCUAAGGCUGUGAGUUGGUGUGGCAUCCUCUAUACUGUGAAUUUUACAGGGUCCGUUAAGCCAUCCUUCCAGUACGGUUCCAUGCCCUAUAGAGGGUUUUUGCUUUUUGGUGUUUGACCUGGGUGUCUGGUUAUGCUGCACCCUUUUAUUUCGGACUGGGUUUGUAUUUAGGGCCGGAUUGUCCCAAAAUUUUAUUUUGGUUUUCUAGGCGCUUUCCAUCGCACAAUACUUUUGUACAAUGGACGCCAAGUCAGCGAAGCGUGUGAUAUCACGGCGAGUUAUGGCGUUGAGUAUUCCCUUGUCCGUGCAAUUAUUGCAGAAGAUUAAGAUUGCGUCUUCCUCGCGGCAGUCCCUUAGCCUGUUCUUAACCAGGAGGAAUCUAGCCCAGUAAUGAUGUACUGUUUCAUGGGACUCUUGCCUAAUUUUGGAUAGAUCGCUUAUGUUGGGGUGGGUGGGUGGAGUUAAAUCCGGAGCCUCACCCCGUCUGAGGCUCAGAGGCCGAGGAAUUUCUGAACUCGAAAAUUUGGAUCCCUGGGUGUUGUCCAUUGAAUCCAGCCCAUCGCAUGACUCUAAGUUCAGGUCUUGAGUGAUAUCCUCCCCUUCGCGGGUAUUCGUCUUGGAGGGAUCGGGAAUCCGGACGUAGCGAGUCCUUAAGAUAGACGAAGGUUUGCCGCACUAUCCCUCUACCACGGCAACGUGAUGGGUGACUUGGGGAGAGUUAAUCUCUCUCAGAUCGGUUUUAGGCCCAAUCUGGUCAUAAUCCGUAGCGACUCCCAGGGCGGCGAAGCGAUCCAAGAGCUCAUUUAUGGAGGAAAGCUCCAUUGGAUCUAACUGCUCGGCGAGUUCUGAACUGACAUGAAGAUUGUUUUUGAUGGCUCGAGAGGUCAUCGUCGGCGCAGAAGCCGAACAGGCGGUCAUAAGAAAACCACCUAGCCGGAGGGUUUGGCCGACAGCCAAAGCUCCCUUAGCAACGGUGACGUCUUUAAAGACGGGACGAGGCAUCCUUCCUGAUGGCGACGACACAAAGGAACUCUCAAUGAAAGCACCAAUGUCGGUGUCAAAACCGGCGGAUCUUGGGUAGGGGGUCCCGAACUGUGCGUCUAGGCCGGAUGGUAACAGGAGGCAAGGGACACGAAGUUUUACCCAGGUUCGGGCCCUCUCGAUGGAGGUAAAACCCUACGUCUUGCUUGAUUAAUAUUGAUGAUAUGGGUAGUACAAUAGUAGAUCUACCACGAGAUCAGAGAGGCUAAACCCUAGAAGCUAGCCUAUGGUAUGAUUGUUGAUGUGUAUGUUGUCCUAUGGACUAAAACCCUCCGGUUUAUAUAGACAACGGAUAGGGUUAGGGUUACAUAGAGUCGGUUACAAUGGUAGGAGAUCUGAACAUCCGUAUCGCCAAGCUUGCCUUCCACGCCAAGGAAAGUCCCUUCCGGACACAGGACGGAGUCUUCAAUCUUGUAUCUUCAUAGUCCAAGAGUUCGGCUGAAGGUAUAGUUCGGCUAUCCGAACACCCCCUAAUCCAGGACUCCCUCACACGUUUUCCCCUCAGAUCUGAUAAUUCUGGAGUCGCAAGGUUUGGAUGUGAUUCUGUGUAUGGAUUGGCUAUCGAUGUAUGGAGGGAACAUCGAUUGCGCUAGUAAGUCGAUUUUGCUCACCACCCUAGAAGGAAGAAGGAUCAAGUAUGUAUCCCGGCAUGUGCCAAUUAGGACUCAAAUAAAUUCCUUAACAGGAGUUGUACACGAGGAAGUACCAGUGGUGAAGGAUUUCCCGGAUGUAUUUCCAGAAGAGUUGCCAGGCAUGCCACCGGAUAGAGACAUCGAGUUUUUGAUUAAGCUUUUGUCAGGCACAUGACCCAUAUCUAAGAGACCAUACAGGAUGACCACACAGGAUUUAGAGGAAAUUAAGAAGCAGAUUAAGGAGUUACUGGAUAAAGGAUAUAUUCGCCCAAGUUUGUCACCUUGGGGAUCACCAGUACUUCUAGUGGAGAAGAAGGAUGGAUCGUUAAGGAUGGUUGUUGAUUAUCGUGGAUUGAAUGAAGUAACGAUCAAGAACAAGUACCCACUACCGAUGAUCAAUGAUUUGUUUGAUCAGCUGCAAGGAGCUAAGGUGUUUUCCAAGAUCGAUUUGCGAUCAGGGUACCACCAGUUGAAGAUUCGAGAGCAGGAUAUACCUAAGACAGCUUUUACCACAAGGUACGGGCUAUAUGAGUAUACCGUUAUGUCAUUUGGCCUGACUAACGCACCCGCUUAUUUCAUGAACAUGAUGAACAAGGUGUUUAUGGAGUUUUUGGAUAAGUUCAUUGUGGUGUUCAUUGACGAUAUUCUGGUCUACUCGAAUAAUGAAGAGGAGCAUAAGGAGCAUUUGCGUUUAGUACUUGGGAAGCUCAGAGAACAUCAGCUAUACGCCAAGUUCAGCAAGUGUGAGUUUUGGUUGAAGGAAGUUGGAUUCCUUGGACAUGUUAUAUCUGGAGAAGGAAUAGCAGUAGACCACAACAAAGUCGUCACUGUGACAAAUUGGGAGGCACCCACGUCCGUUGGAGAGAUCCGGAGUUUUCUUGGACUCGUAGGAUACUACCGGAGGUUCAUUGAGAAUUUCUCAAAGAUUGCAAAGCCUAUGACGGAGUUUUUAAAGAAGGACACCAAAUUCAAAUGGACUGAGGAGUGUGAGGCUAGUUUUUGGGAAUUGAAGAAACGUUUGGUUACAUCACCAGUGUUGAUUCUGCCAUAUCAACGCAAGGAUUAUGAAGUGUAUUGCGACGCCUCUCGUCGAGGACUUGGAGCAGUGCUUAUGCAGGAAGGAAGAGUUGUUUCAUAUGCCUCACGACAGCUUAAAACCCAUGAGUUAAAUUAUGCUACACAUGAUUUUGAGUUAGCAGUCGUAGUGCAUGCGUUGAAGACUUGGUAUACACGGAUCACAAGAGUUUGAAGUAUAUCUUCACGCAGAAGGAGUUGAAUCUCAGGUAGAGGAGAUGGUUGGAACUCAUAAAGGAUUAUGAUAUGAAGUUGCACUAUCAUCCCGGAAAGGCUAACGUAGUAGCCGAUGCGUUGAGCCACAAGAGUCAUGUCAAUACACUCAUGACAGGAGAGUUACCCAAGGAGUUAGCAGAAGACCUUCGUGAUCUAUGUUUGGAGAUAUUUCUGAGAGGCUAUGUAGCAGCUUUGGAGAUUCAAUCUACUUUGAUGGAUAAGAUCAGAGAAGCAUAGAAGACGGACAAGGAGAUUGCCGAGAUAAAGGAAAGGAUGAGCAAAGGAAAAGUCAAGGGAUUUCGUGAAGAUGAGCACGAUACCGUAAGGUUUGAGGGCCGCGUAUAUGUACCAAAUGAUCAGGAGAUCAGGAAGCUGAUUUUGCAGGAGGCCCAUGACUCACCAUAUUCGAUUCACUCAGGAAAUACUAAGAUGUACCUGGAUCUGAAGGAUAGAUUCUGGUGGACUGGAAUGAAGAAGGAUAUUGCGGAGUAUGUAGCAGUUUGUGAUGUAUGCCAGAGAGUGAAGGAAGAGCAUCAGAAGCCAGCACGAUUGCUGCAACCAUUGCCGAUACCCGAAUGGAAGUGGGAUAAUCUAGGCAUGGAUUUUAUCACAGGAUUACCCAGGACUCGUUCAGGCUAUGACUCGAUAUGGGUUGUAGUCGAUCGUUUGACGAAAGUAGCUCAUUUCAUCCGAGUGAAGACCACUUACACCAGUGCUAAGUUGGCUAAGAUAUACAUGACCAAGAUCGUAUGUUUGCAUGGAGUUCCGAGGACAAUCGUAUCAGAUAGAGGAACCCAGUUUAUCUCAAAGUUUUUGAAUCAGUUACACGAAACUUUGGGAACCAGGCUAGAGUUCAGUACAACUUUUCACCCGCAGGCGGAUGGACAGACUGAGAGAGUAAAUCAGAUUCUCGAGGACAUGUUGAGAGCUUGUGCGCUAGUUAUGGAUCUAGUUGGACGGUAAUUUGCCUUACGCAGAGUUCUCUUACAACAACAGUUACCAAGCCAGUUUGAAGGUGGCCCCUUUCGAAGCAUUGUACGGAAGGAGGUGCAAAACACCGUUGUUGUGGGACGAAGUUGGAGACCGACAGUUGUUUGGACCAGAUUUGAUUAAAGAAUCGAAAGAGAAGGUUAAGCUGAUUCGUGAUAGACUCAGGGUAGCCCAGUCCAGGCAGAAGAGCUAUACGGAUUCUAAACGCAAGGAGACAGCUUACGAAGUUGGAGACAGAGUGUACCUUCGUGUAUCACCACUCCGAGGAGUUAAGCGCUUUGGAGUUAAGGGAAAGUUAGCACCGCGUUUUGUGGGACCAUACAAAGUUUUGGAACGUAUGGGAGAAGUUGCUUACAAGUUGAAAUUGCCCGAAGGAUUGUCAGGAGUUCACGAUGUGUUCCACGUUUCUCAGAUGAAGAAGUGCCACGUGGAGAUGGCUGAUAUCCCUCUGAGAGAUACAGUCCCACUAGAAGCGAUACAGUUGGAUAGCGACUUGACCUACGAGGAGAAGCCAGUCAAGAUUCUCGAGUUUGCCCGCCGAGUUACAUGCAGCAAAGUUAUCAAGUUCUGUAAAGUUCAGUGGAGCCACCAUACCGAGGAUGAAGUCACCUAGGAGCGAGAGGAAGACCUACGCAAAGACCAUCCACACCUAUUUUCUAGCCAACCCGAAUCUCGAGGGCGAGAUUCAUCUUAAGGGGGGUAGGUUUGUAACAUCCCAAAUUUUCAAUUUGGAAUCUUAUACAUUAGAUCAUCAUUGCAUAUCAUAUUUUAUUAAAUUUUGGUUGAUCCGAGAAAUUCCACGCAACUCAAGGACCCACGUAGAGAGUUGGGGAAUUCAUUAUUUUCAUAUUCGAGUUUUCUCGAAUUUUGUAAAGAGGAUCGUUUGAUUUUAAUUAUUUUCUCUUCGAAUAUUUCUUUUAUAAAAAAUAAAAGAGAGAGGAUAAAUUGACUUCCUCAAAAUAAAGAAAUAUCAAAGAUUUAAUAUUAAAAUCAAAUAAGAUUUUUUUAUUCGGAGUUUUAUCGCUAUUUUAUUUGAAUUAGGGAAAAUAUGCAUUUUUCAAAAUUGCAUUUUAGGCCCAAAUAAAUGUUCACCUUGUCCGGCUUAUUUUUAGAGGACGGGGAAAAUUUAUUUCAGGAUUUUUAGAGUCCGUUUAGUAUAUCUUUUCUUUUAUUUUCUGCACGUCGGAAUUAUUAAAAAAAGUCAAACCGACUUCGGGAUGUACCUGGCCAAGAGACCUCGGGCCGGCCCUCUUUAUAAGUCGCCACCCCCGAGCUACCGAAGCCCACCGGCCCAACCCGCGUCACCGCCCCAAACCCUAUCCCUUGCCCGACAUCGCCGCCGCCGCCCGCGCCACCGCCGCGCCUCGCCGGACCGCCGCCGGAGGUAGCCGCCGCCGCCUCAGUUUACGUAAGAAAACCGAGCGGUUUUUUUUCUAAACCCUAUAUUCUUUUUUUAGAUCCGGUUCGGUUUAUUUUUUUCGGCUUAGUAAAUAGCGGACAUUCGUCCGGACGUUUGUUUUAACGAACGGUUUUCACCGCUUAGCCGCAGAUAGCGAACGUUCGUUCGUUAGCCCGUUCGUCAGUUUUUCUUUUUCUCGGAUUUUUCGCGGUUAUUUUCGAUCGCGAUUUCUGAUCCGAUUUUCGUUUUAGUAUACCUUUUCGCUCGUUUACCGGAAUCAGGCGAUUUUAGCCCCAGGAGUUUCGUCUCGAAACUCUCUUUCUGUUUAACCAAUUUAAACAAGGUUUUGCUACUGUAAAAUUUGACUUUAGUUCAGAUUAGUAAACGAAACUUGUUUAUUUUGCCGUUUGAGUUUUGUUGCUUCGUUUGAUUUGAUUCUUUUUGCAAACCGGAGUUCUUAAGUUGAACUUUCUGGUUAGAUACAUUAUUUGAGUUUUACCUGUGCCCUUGCUUGAUUGCUUAUUGUAUGCUUGUUUGAUUGCCAUAGAGUACCCGAAGUGCGAAGAGUGCUACAUCGAGUCUCUAGGUUUCACGGAUCAUCAGCAAGGCAAGUAACACUUUGAUCAUACCUCUUUACUACCCAGUUUUAUUGCAUUAGAUCAAUCCUAAAACACUUGCAUGGUUAGAAUCUGAUAAAUUGUGGGUUGGGAAGUAGUUGAUGAGGUAGGAACCUAUUGUGCUGUUUAUUAUCAAACCCUUGGGAGUUACUUCUACGUUAUGCUUAUAUUGCUCUGCUAUGCUCGUAGACGUGGAUUGAGUUUGAGCGUAUUCAUGACAGCUGUGAGUAUUGUUAAGUAAUGGUUAACUUAAGGUGACAACUUUAAUACACAUCUGGGUGGAUUGAGGCACCUGGGGAAUUCCAGUGAUUGCUUGUAUUUUUUGAAAUCCCAGGGUACCGUGUGAUUUUCCAAUGGACCACCACCCAGACUCAAAGGGAUCAUAACAUUAUUCUUGCUAGAAACUUCUGUGUGUAGCCACAUGCCAUUAUGGGCUCUGGCAUAGUUGAGUAAAUUGUGGGAAACCUUUCCAUGAUGGGCUAGCAGAUGUAGGGGAUUGUAGGUGUACCGGCCUAUCUAUCAUUUAAGGGGACCUCUUCGGAAACACUGUGUCUCGAUCAUCCGUUUCUCAAACAUCAUGUAGUGCAAGAAAUCCAACGGAGGAGAUCGAGUCUUGUGGGGAAAAGUGUACAAAUCUCUGUAGAGUGUAUAAACUAAUCAUGGUUAGCCGUGUCCCCGGUUAUGUACAUCUUGAGUAUCUAGUUCUUGGAUUAUCAUAUGGAUCUCAUCACUUUUUAAUAUAAUUUGAUUGGGUUAAUGAUUACUUUUAAUUGGGAUUGAGAGGGGGUUUACCUUCUCAAUGUUUUCAACCAACUUUGUAGUUAAGUAAAAUAUAUUCCUUUGCAGUUGGGAAAAAUUGGCUUUUCGCAAAAUAUAUUAACCAUACAGCCUCCACCAGCCAUAUAUGCAUGUAGUGAUAGCUUUACAUUGUUCAUUACUCUCUUGUGUUACAUUGCCAGCAUAUUCCAUGUGCUGACCCGUUCCGAGCUACAACGUAUCAUAUUGCAGACUUUUCAGACGACGAGUAAGGAGCCUUAGGUCGUGGUCUUUCACUCAGUGAUGCCGUUGGAGUUGAUGGACUCACUUUAUCUUCCAAGCCUUCCGCUGUUAUCGUGUUAGAUAGCCUUAAGCCAUAUUUAUUGUAAUAAGGUCUCUUUUGAGACAUUCGAUGUAAUAAGUGUGUGAUUGUUACUCUGUUGUAAAUCCUCAAGGACUGUGCGUGUCAGCAUUACCGAUCCAGGGAUGACACUAAUGCACAGAGAUCGGACUGUUUGAGGUCUGGUCGCUACACCAGUUUUGUUUGGUUUUUGCGUUUUUUCUCUUUCUUUUUUUAUUUCUCCUUUCAUUUAUUUUGUUUAGUUUCCUGUUCCCAUUUUUCUUUCAUUUUUCCUUUUUUAUUUUUAUUAUAUUUACUUUUAUGGAUUUUUUUCAAUUUCGCGAACAUUUUUUGAAAAUCACAAGCAAUGUCAUUUUCAUGAAUUUUUUUAUUUCAUGAACCAUUUUUAAAUCCGUGAACUUUUUUUGAAUCAUGAACUGAUUUGAAAUUCAUGAAUGAACCUUUUCAAAUCUGUGAAAAAAAUUCCAGUUUGCCAUUUUUUUUAAAUCAUGAACUUUUUAAAUAAAUCAACUUUCUUCGAGUUCAUGAAUACCUUUUUAGUUAUACUAACUUUUUUCCCAAUUCAUAACUUUUUUCCAAGAGCCACAGUCAACCGGUCUACCAUGAGAGGAAGCGAGCAACCUGGCGCCCACGAGCGAAUUAAUGGUUGUUGUUGGGCCAACCACGUGAGCUGGCGCAUGAGCGCCGCUUCGGUAGCGGGCACACUAGGCGUGGAAUAGGAGUUCCCUUGGAUACCCCUCUGUCUUGCAGUUGGCGCUUAGUACUGUCGAGGAUGGGCCGGGCCACUAGACCCAGUGACCAUGGUAGGCCUUGCAUAGACGAGCUGGACGCUUAGCUCGCAACGAGUUACCUUGGUCACUGCAUGGUGGGGUUGCUCUCUCAAGGAUGCUGACAUCGCCCCCUUCUUGCUUUGCGGCUUCCCACCAAGCCUCAGCAGCUCGGGAGCAGGUCUGGAGCUUGAGUUUGUCUUCCCACGAUUUCACGGACAAAUACUCCCUCCGUAAACUAAUAUAAGAGCGUUUAGAUCACUACUUUAGUGAUUUAAACACUCUUAUAUUAGUUUAUAGAGGGAGUACAUGUCAGUGUUGGUGAUGCUCUAAUGCUACAUCAAUGGACGUUUUAUUUAGAGUGAAUUCCACUUUUUACCCCAUAUUUAUACAUUUAUGACACUAAUUACCCCUUCGAGUGAAAAUUCGUCUAGAAUACCCCUUUUGAAAUCUUUGGACCCCUGUUUUGUGAUGCGUGUCCAUCAGGUAAGGUGUGAGGUGACGCCCUGUAUCUAAAAACAUGUGGACGGCCACAAGGAGUGGAACAGAUAGACAAGAGAAGCUUGGACAAGAUCGCCAAUGAUGCCCUCCGAUCCUUAUAGUUUUUUUUACGAAUCAAUGACGCAACAUGCCGAUCCUAUCGACCAUAAACAAACAAAAUGUAAAACCGGGGUAAAACCGUGUUAAAAGUCUUCAAAAUCUGACAUUUCGAUAAAAGUUCCGCUAAAUAGGGUAAUAUGUGUCACAAAUGUACAACUACAAGGUAAAAAAUGGAAUUCACUCUUUUAUUUACGGAGGAGUUCGUCCCAAUCCAGCUGGACCUGGGUUAAUGCAGUAUUUUGAUCAUGUGCGCUCGCUCAGUUGUUUCAAAUACACCUAGCUAGUUCUGGGUUUUUUCAGUUUCUUUUUCUUACUAAUGAUGCUUGUUUCUAUUUUCUAAUUUGAUUUGCCCUGCUACGCAAACUGAUCGACAGAUUGAAUUACACCCGUUACCCAUUGCAAAUUUGCACAGACACAAACUAGCAUUCCAUUCUUCACUUAUUCCACGAAUGCUGUUUGCUGGCAGUUUUAAUUGCCAGGCAAGAUGAAAUGAUGUUAGUUUUUGCCUCAAUUUUUUAUUCUUCCUGAAAACUGCCAUUUGUCUCUGAAGAAAAUGGCAUGCGCCUGUGAAGAAUCUGCCAAGAAAAACGUUCGUAAAUGUCACCCCUCACAGCGAACUCGUUCGCCAGCUAUCAGGGGCCCAAAAACUGAGCUAGUUCUGUGUUUUUCCAGUUCUUUCUUUCCUUCUAAUGCCUUUAUUUCCCCGCUGCUUAGCCCUGCUACAAAACUUGACAACGGAUUUCAUUCCAUGACACAAGCUUACAUUCCAUUCGUUACCCCUACUCCAUGUACGACACACACGCAGCUUUAUUGAGCUCGAACUGAAACACGAGAGCAGAGAUGAAUAUGACGAAGGCCGGUUCAGUACUUGGUGCAUUUGUUGGUGGAGCCACUAUCGAGGUGGAGCACGCAGCCCUUGCCGUCCUCGGGCGCGCACAUGCAGGCGCACCCGUUGAGCUUCUGGCCGGGGUAGUUCUUGCAGGUGAUGUACCCUCCCUGGAUGCAGUUGCCAGGUUCCCGGAUCGAUGGGGUCGAAGGAUGGGAACGAGGGUCGAGGAUCACCGACUACCGAUAGUAGGGGAAGAUGGGGGUAUACAUCUUUAGACCGAACCGGUCGAUAGGCGGAACGUGACCCCCAACAAUUUGGGAACGAUGACCCCACAACGAUAUGGCAGGUGGAGGAACAUGACCCUUUUUUUUGCAUGGUAAUACAUGUCUCAUUCAUAUCAGAAAGAACAAAGUACAAAUUACGUAAAGACCGACAUGACAAAACUGAAAAGAUAGCAGAACAUUUCUGAGAUUGACACCAACGCCCGUCACCUGCCUCCGGCACCACCACAGCAGCCACCGAAGAAAAGAAUGACGAAUCACCUCCUCACCUGAGCUCGACGCGGCUCCAUCUCUGAUAUGCAGCCUUGCGGACCUCGAAGGUGGCUCACCAAAAGUGAAGCCCUUACCGUUGAACGAAUCAGACCGGGGCAACACCCCGGACACGCCAUCGAACUCCAGAUCUGACACCCCACUAUGACUAAAACGCCGAAGGAGGAAACCAUAUCUGCCAUCCACGAUGCACGAGCCCAGCACAUGCUCCGUCUUCCAGAUGUCGUCGAUGCAGACCACAAUCUGCAUCCGCUCCUGGACUACCUCCCAAGCUCCGCGUCGACGCUGGAGCAAACGCCAUUGCAACGGCGGAGCCCGAGGACACAGGUCCACCAUGAGGAUGCUGCCGCCGCCAUGCCAUCCUUGCUUGAACAGUCUGGUUUCCAAAUCCAUCCCAAACCAUAGGACCAAUGGCCUCGUCAGGGAAGGAAGGAUCCGAAGAAUCUUUAUUCAGCAUUGUCAUCGUCGCCGCCGAAGCAAAGACGAUGAACAACCUAAAAACCUAGACUACGAGAGAGUAAAAGCGAUCCACACGUGUGGAUCCGGCGACCCCCCUCACCACCAACGACCGAAGUCGCCGGCAGAGGGGAGCUGCCGGAGAGCGGCGUUGGAAGAUCGGCCUCCCCUAGCGGCGGCCAGGGUUCCAGCCGUCAGGGAUGAGAGGAAAACAGGAAAGAGUAGGUGCAACGUGACCGUCCUUACACGCAAGAGGAAAGUCAGUAGCUCAGGUAUUAAUUAUCACUUCAUCUUAGGAACUGUUUGGUAUGUACCAAAAUCUGCCUCACCAAUUCGUGCAAGGUUCUAGCAUCGUCCAUGAUUGGAAAUGAGGUUUGUUCAGAUAAUGAACUAAUGAGUGCAGAAUGUGAACAAAUAUUUGUCAAAUUUUUGCGAGGAACAUAAAUGCGUGCAAUAUCUAGUCAAGCGUACAGGUCUCCCCGGCAGUAUUACAGACACAGAAGUUGCACGUCAAUAUAACAGUGCAGUUGACUUCCAUUUUCCUGCAGAUCUCACUGAGAUGGAUCUUCGAGCAAGGAGCGAGCAUGGUAGCCAAGAGUAAGAAAAAGGAGAGGCUUCAGGAGAACCUAGGAAUCUUUGACUGGGAACUGACGGACGAAGACCGGUUCAAGAUUACUCGGAUACGGCAGUACAAGAAGGUCACGGUGCUGGCGAUCCUCUGCCCUGAAGGUGUCCCUGGCGUCGAUAUGUCGGAGGUUGAUGUGGUUGAAACGUAGGUGCCAAAUUGUGGAGAUGCAUGCGCCAUUUAAACACUGCGAGUUACUCCUGUAAUUUGGUGAAGAUGCAUGCGCCAUUUAUGCACUCCAAAUUACAAAGAUUUGGUGGUGAGAUGCUUCUGGUGGUGCUACCUGUGCCCUACCUGGAUGAGGUCCUGCUUGGCAUCAUCAAUUGUGAUGAUCCUGACGGGUUCCCCUACAGUGCUGGUGGGUAGCCGUCAGUCGUCAUUCACUGUGUCACAAAUGGACUUGGCCACAGGCCACAACAUCUUCGGUUGGCUGAUCUUUCCUUGUCUCGCGCCAGCAUCAUCUUCUCUUCUCUCCAGGAAGAAAGAAAGACUUUUUUUACGAAGAAGGAAGAAAGAAAGACUAGCAAAAGUUGCUCCUAGAAAAUCGACGAAAUUUAAGCUUGCAUGGAUAGUAGAAGGCUCCUGUUUGUCCCACAGGCAAUCCAAAUUUCUUGUGGCGAGCGCGACAAGUCAACAACUGAGGUGGGUCCUGGUUAGGAGAUGGAUGUAUCAUGUAUGACAGAUAUGUGGGCCUCACAGCUAUUUGUGUGUGUGUGUGUGUGUGUGUGAGGAAGAACUGGGCCUCAGAAUUACUACGAAAGUAUGGCGGAGAACGAAACAUAUGGUACAAGAAAUUGUCUAGCUCAGCUUAGUCCAUGACCUUCUUAAAAAAAAGCUUUGUCCAUGUGUUGUGGUGACUAGAGUAGUUCACAACUAUCUACUCCUACACCGCACAAGGAUCCAGUUUCAUUGCAGAGACAAUUGAUGCCCGCUGGAAGAACCAAAAUCCACCUCUCUGCCUUUGAAAAACGGACGAACAGCUACGUAAGAGCAUCUUCAGCCCCGCUCAUAGGGAGGCCUCCUUAGGCGAUUUUUUCGCGCCGGCGUCGAAAAAAUGGACCAGUCGCAUUUUCAGAAGCCUGAUUUUCGCCGGCCUGGGCCAAAAUCAGCGCCAGCGGACCCAGGCCGAACCCGGCAUCCAGGGGCGAGCGGUUUUGGCGCGAAAAAGCCGCGGGCCAGCCGCGUCAGUGACACCGCGGCUCGUCCUUCCCCAACGCCUCGGUUUCCCGCGCGGGGAAUCAAUGAUAAGGCUGCCGCCAGUCAGCCUUACCAUUGAUUCCUCAUGGGCGGCGCAUCACGGGACGGCACGCCGACGCCUCCCUUCCCUCGCACGCGUACACACGAGCGCGGUGCGGCUAUAUAAGCCGGUGGACUCGCUCGCCUGUGGCCACACAAGCCCCGCCCUCGCCGCCGAGCUUUACCUCUCCCGAGCGCCACCGCCGAGCUCUCCCUCUCCCGUGAACCGCCGCCCAGCCCCUCCCUCUCCCUCCCCCUCUCACGAUGGCCGAGCGUUUCGCCGGAGACGAGGCGGCGGCCAACGGCUUCGACCGCCGCAGUCUUCGCGAACAGGAGUCGUGGCUCAUGUUCCAGGCGAACAUCCCGACGCCACCGGACAUGCGCGCCGGGUCGAUGGGCUGGAAGCUCAGCAAUGGGGGAGUGCCCAUUCCCCCGUUGCCCGAUGCCGUGGUUAAACCCUCCUACUUCGCCGACGAGGUCGAGGUCGUGCGUGCCUCCCUCAUCGACGCCCAGCUCUUCCUCCCCCAGUACGCCGCCGACAACCACGCGGCUUGGGCGGCGUACUUCCAACGCCGUCAGCAGCAGCGGCUGGCGUCCACCAACGGCGCGGUCGUGGUCGGCGGCCAGAAGAACAUCGAGGGGCGCCACCUGUGGUGGGGUGUCCCCGGCCGCACACUCGAGGGCGUGCUGACGCACCUCGAGGGCAGCAACAACCCGCCAUUAGCGUACCCCCCGGCGAGGGCGGCCGCGGCGCCCCGCCGAUGCGACAGGCCAUGAGCGCCAAGGAGGUUCGGCUCCUCCUCCUCUUCCUCCUCGUGCUCUUCCUCGCACUCCUCCGGCACUCCAGCGCUGCUCGGCAUCAAGGUCGAGCCCGCGGCGGAGACGCCGCUCGGCCGGCGCACUCGCAGCGUCGGCAUCGUCAUCAACGAGGGCGGCCGGCGCGCCUCCUCGUCGGCUCCUCCUCCGCGCUUCGUCAAGCCAAAGACGGAGCCGGGGCUCGCGCCGGUGAAGGCGGAGCCGGGUCUCCCCGCCAUGAAGAGGGAGCACAGCGAGGUCAAGCUCGACAACGACGUGGCCCUUGAAUGGGCACGUCAGGACUCCCUGAAAAUGGCGAGGGAGCGCCAGUGCGCCGUACUGCGACGCUUCGCGGAGCGCCGCCGGGGCCGCGAGGAAGGAGGAGUCGUCAUCAUCGCCGACAGCGACGACGACGACGCGCCGCCGCCGUCAGCAGUCCGCCAUGGCGACGCCGGGUCCAGUAGGGGCGCCCGCGUCAAGGAGGAGAAGGCCGAUGAUGACGAUGGCGGUGAUGAUGGCAGCGAUGACGGCGACUACCCGAUGUUCAGCCAGUUUCUUUUUUAGAUUAGUUUAUAUAUUUGCUAUGUAAUAAAAAUUCGUGAACUUUGUUGAAUUAUAUGCCCAAGUUGAACCAAAUUUGUCGUGUUUAGUCGAAUUUCGCCGAACUUUGCUAUAUACUUUUAUUUUUUGAACGCGUCUGGGGACCGCUCUAGAGCCGGCGGCUGGAGACCAACUCACCCCAGUUCAAUUUUUUGCGCCGGUUCAUCCCAGGCGGCGGCGAUUUAGGCGCCCGGGGGGCCAACGGCUGGCUGGAGAUGCUCUAAGUCCUUAUGUCACUCGGGCCAGUAUAAAAGCCGGUGGCUCGUCCUGUACUUGAACCACAAGACAAGACAAGCUCAAUCGCUCUGCAGAGACGACGCAUGGCCUCGACGACAGCGGCGGUGCCGGAGGUGGCGCUGCGGUCCGGCGGCGCGAGGCCCAUGCCGGCCGUCGGCAUGGGCACCGCCAAGUUCCCGGCGGUGGCGGAGACCACCGUGAAGGCCGUGCUGGAGGCCGUGGAGGUGGGCUACCGCCACUUCGACACGGCCGCCAUGUACGCGACGGAGCGGCCCCUGGGCGAGGCCCUCGCGGAGGCGGUGCGCCGCGGGCUCCUGGCGUCCCGGAAGGAGGUGUUCGUCACGUCCAAGCUCUGGUGCACGCAGUGCCACCCUCAGCUCGUGAUUCGGUCCCUCCGGGAGAGCCUCCAGUAAGCUCGGUCCAUCUAGAGUAGACUUUUGCCCGUUGACUUCUGUUGAUCUUGAUCAAUCGUCUCGGGGUUUGUGCUUCGUUUCUGAAGGAACCUGCAGAUGGAGUACGUGGACCUGUACCUGAUCCACUGGCCGAUCAGCCUGAAGCCCGGGCCGGCGGUGUUCCCGGUGAAGCGGGACGACGCCGUCCCGUUCGACUUCGAGGGCGUGUGGCGCGCGAUGGAGGAGUGCCACCGCCUCGGGCUCGCCAAGGCCAUCGGCGUCAGCAACUUCACCACCAGCCACCUCCACAAGCUACUCGCCGCUGCCACCGUCCCUCCUGCAGUCAACCAGGUUGCUGGAUGUUACGAGCUCCUACGAGAUUACGAAUACUGGUCUGAAUGUCUUAGCAAGACGAUCCACCGUCACUGUAACUCUGUGUAUCAUCUGUAGGUGGAGAUGAACCCGGUCUGGCAGCAGAGGAAGUUGAGGGGGUACUGCGCGGAGAAGGGCAUCCACGUCGCGGCCUACUCGCCGUUGGGAGGGCAGAAUUGGUCCGGCGACGGAAACGCCGUGCUGGACUCCGAGGUGCUCGCGGAGAUCGCCAGGGCCAGAGGAAAGACCGUCGCACAGGUAACCGUAACCGUAGUGUACACGCCUCGUUUCUCCUAGCAACUGCUCGGAAUUACGACAUGCAGUCCGUAUGACACCAACCGAUUCCUCUUUCUUCUCAUUCAGGUAGCGCUGAGGUGGAUCUACGAGCAAGGGGUGACCCCGAUCGUCAAGAGCUUCAGCAAGGAGAGGCUCAAGGAGAACCUCGGGAUCUUCGACUGGGGGCUCGCCGACGACGACCUGCGCAAGAUCGGCCAGAUUCCGCAGAAGAAGAUCGUCAAAGCUGCAGGCAUGCUGUUCUCGGCAGAGGGCGAGUUCACGUCGGUUGACCUCGCAGACAUGGAAAUUGUCGAGGAAUAAAAUAGGCACUCAGAAAGUGAGAGUACCUGCUUCGCUGUGUGACGUAGUAGUAAAUUACAGUAGUAGCUUACUUUGAGGGUGGGGAUAAAUAAGAGCAUCUGCAAUAGUCUUUAUGAUAGAUUUCUUGAUACAAGGUCCACAUCAGCAGUCAACCGUGUAUCAUACGAGUUCUCUAAUGAAGCGUAUGUUAGUCUGAUGGAACCACGCAUAUUAAAUCAAUUUAAAUAAACUGAUGACCAACCAGGUCCGGCCAGGAG
RNAcentral lists this long non-coding RNA (191299 nucleotides) under Triticum aestivum (bread wheat). Its description in RNAcentral is "long non-coding RNA (TAES_LNC020979)". The stretch from base 183975 to 184061 matches the Rfam family "MIR1120/MIR1122 microRNA precursor family". Lineage: Eukaryota; Viridiplantae; Streptophyta; Magnoliopsida; Poales; Poaceae. The record is from RNAcentral.